RNAcentral lists this long non-coding RNA (265174 nucleotides) under Citrus maxima (pomelo). RNAcentral describes it as "long non-coding RNA (CMAX_LNC003448)". Lineage: Eukaryota; Viridiplantae; Streptophyta; Magnoliopsida; Sapindales; Rutaceae. The record is from RNAcentral.
UUUUGACGACGAAGAGAGAUCCUUCAACAUCCUUACGACUCCAUUGGCUGAGGUCGAUGUUGAACUCGUAGAAGGUGACAUGAGCGGCCGUGAUGAGGAUCUCCUCAAUGAAUGGAUCGAUUCGCUGAAGAACUGUCAGGUUUAGGAGUUUUGUGCUCUGCUGGUCCAGAUUAGGCAUCAAUUUUCCGUUCUGCGACAUUUUUCAUAGUCCUUUGGGCUCUGCCCCGAGCACAAGCCCCAUGGUUUUUCUGUGAGCUCUCUCUUUUGUAAAUAAAGUGUUUGAUGAGAUAGCCGAGAGAGAGUGAAAGAGUUGAACAGCCAAACAAGGUGAGGUGAACAGUUUCGGACUGAGACUCGAGAUUGGUCUUGCUUUAACUCUUUUAAACAUUUGGAAAUAGCAUUUAUUUCUUUCAAUUUCUCUACUGUUUUUUUCCUUUAUGUCAUUUAGACCCCAAAAUAGAUUUAUUANNNNNNNNNNNNNNNNNNNNNNNNNNNNNNNNNNNNNNNNNNNNNNNNNNNNNNNNNNNNNNNNNNNNNNNNNNNNNNNNNNNNNNNNNNNNNNNNNNNNNNNNNNNNNNNNNNNNNNNNNNNNNNNNNNNNNNNNNNNNNNNNNNNNNNNNNNNNNNNNNNNNNNNNNNNNNAUUUUAACAGCCUUUUAUACUAAACCCUAAAAAUACAUGAAUUUAUCAAAAUAAGUAAAUUAAUUUAAAUUGGUAUGGCAUAAUAGAAGUUUUACCUGCCGAAACAAAUUAAAAAAAUAUUACACUUAAAUCAAAUAUUGACAAAAAUAGAUAACAAUCUAAUGAGAAUCUUAACUAGACAUUUUUACUUCUAUCCAAUUUAACUGGAACGAGAAUUAAGUCCUUUCAAUAGUUAAGACUCAUAACUCAUACAUGCUAGUUUGAGAGUGUGGGGUGUGACAAUGGGUCAAAAGACCAUUGACAAGUACAAAAGAGUGAUUGCAAUUAAUUCAAACCGCUACACACGCUAUAUUGAGGGCCCAUUUUUGUUUAUUUCGUUGAAAAGUAGUUUUCACAAUUAAUUCAAACCGCUACACACGCUAUUGCGUCUUUUAAAAAAAGAAAAAUGGAGUAGUUUUCCAAAAUUUAAUUCAGAGAAGAAGAUUUACUAAUAAUGAUUAGAAAUCUUAAUAUUUGAAUCUUAAUAUUAUGUAUCACUCAUUUAUUAAAUAAUAGAUUUCAUAGUUUGUAAAUUUACUUAACCACUUGAUAAAUGUUAUAUUUGUUGGGACUAAAUUGGGACUUAAUGUUGGAAUAUCUAGUAUUGCAUAAAAAAAAAAUAAAAACUUAACAAUUUAUCUUCGCAUGACUAAUUGUUUUUACAUCACAACUAACCUUAGUUAUUUUUUAAAGUUAUAGUAUUAUUAAAUUGCCCUAACUGGUUAUCAAAAGAUGAAAGCAUGUUAAAAUAAGAAAUUACUAAGAAACAUGUGCUUAAACAGAGGUUAAGGCUACGAAAAUUAAGAAGAAACAACUUACAAUCAAAGGUUAAGAUUAUGAACAAAUUAAGGAAGGUAUUGAGCAGAUAAAGGGACGGAAUCAUUGUCUGAAUUGCCGGUGACAAGAAUGCUUGUGUUGUGAAAAGAAAUUUGAUGGUUUGUAAAUGGGUUGAAUUUUUUAUUCGCUCGCUCCAACUGACUUACUAAUGCCAAAAUUUAUUACUUUGCACAGUAGUGUUUAGGAUCCUCAAGAUCAACUCUUAAUUUGGUCCCAAUUAGUGCAGAAAUCAUCUAUUGAGCAAUAGAAUAAGAAUUUUUUCUAGUCAUGAAAUUCAAUAUAUAAUAUAUCCUUGACACACAUCGAUUAUAACUUAACUGUUAGAAUUCAUAACAUUACUCUCUCUCAAGGGGAGUUCUCUUAACAUAUUAUGUUAGGUUGCCUACAUUCAAAAUAUGUUAGACUGCUCUUUGAAAGCAAUAUUCCCUUUUCCGUAACUUUGAAUUGAUCCAAUAGCUCUUGAAAAGCACAUAAUAAUCAUUAUAAAUUUAAUCAAAGACUAAGCAGGUCUUCUUUGCAUUUGAUCACUGGCAUUUCAGUUAAGUAUGUCAUUUACUUAAAUUUUUCUUGCUUUCAAUUUUCACUGUUGUUUUUUUUUAAUAAAAUAAUUUGUUUAACUAGUCACAGAAAUAAGAGAGAAAAUGGGCCAUUUCUUGACUCAAAGUCAAUUAUAAUUAUCAAAACUUGAGCGGACAUUGCAUGCCUAAAUUCCACACACCCUAAAACGGUUUGAUUGCUUUCACGCGUUCAUGAUUUUCCAUGAAAGAGAGUGCCUCUCGUCUCUUUCCGGACAGUGACGACAAUUAUGUUAACGUGACAAAUACAUAACGUUAUUACAUACAAGAAUAAGUUUUUGGAGCCGAGACUUGAGGGAGGUUCUAUCUAAUUCUAAAGAUUGUAAACCAAAUCAUUAUCCCCAAUUUUUUCAGUUAAAUAAAAUAAAAUUUAUGCUUAAGUAUAAAUAAACAUCCAUAGUGGAUAAAUAUUUGAUUAUCGAUUUUUUUAAUGUAAAAUUGCUGGGUUUGUUGCUUUAAAAUUUUCAAUAAUAAUUUCACUUAUUUAGUAAUUAGAGAGAGAGAGAGGAUUGAGGGCCAAUGUUUCGCGAUUUGGGGGUCAAUUCAAAGUUCAACUAAGGUGUAAAACAUGAUUUCCCUUUCAUGAACUUCGAAGAAAGAAAGAAGACUCUUCACCUUCUUCAUGACAACGAAUGAUGUUGAUAUGACAAAUACAAUCGCUAUUACAGGGAACAGCAUAAGACCGAAAUUUGAUAAAGGGUUUGUUAAAUUAACAUGUUAUUUUUCUUGUUAACUAUGAAUUGGAAGAAAAAAUAAAAAUAAAAUAAAAUUGUAAUCAGUGUGAUGUGUGGAAUAUAUUGAAAUAAAUAAAAUAGAGAAGAGAAAUUCGUUGAUCAAUAUUCAAGAACUCAUCCAAAGUGACUGUUAAAGUCUAGAGGUUCCGUAUGAUUAGCAUUUAUUUUUUUAAUUUUUUGCUUAACAUCAUAUGUAGUCACUGGUCGUGUGAUCUAGGACAGGUUUAGAAAUCUUUUUUUUUUUAACUUCCGUAUUCUUAUUAUUUAAUUAGUUAUAGGUUUUUUAGUAUUUGAGUAGUGAUCACAGGUCUCCUAAUCUAAAAAUAAUGUUUUACGAGUACAAAUAAAAACUAGGAUUUUAACAGCCUUUAUACUGAACCCUAAAAAAUACAUGAAUUUAUCAAAAAUAAAUAAAUUUGAAUUGGUAUGCCAUAAUAAAAAUUUUACUUGCCAAAACAAAUUAAAAAAAAUAUGACGCUUAAAUCAAAUAUCGACAAAAAUAGAUAAAAAUCCAACAAGAAUCUAAAAAUAAGAAAGAUAUCUUCAAAAUAGAAGCGUCCAAGAGAAAUUUGGCGAAGAUUUGCUAAUCCACAUUGAAAAUGUCACUUUUCCUUGAGAACUUCAUAAUGAUAUAUUAUGAGCCUAAGACAAAUACCAAUUACUCAAGUAUGGCCCUAUGAAGACAUCCUAUUCAUUCUCCCUAGACCAGGACGUGUCGCACAUGUUUGCAUUCAAAUUUAGGUGAAAAUCUACUCUCAUCAAGGGAUAUAUAGGUACCUGUGAAGUCUCAAACCCGAGAUAAUGUGAAAGCAAAUCGGGAGUUUGAUUAAAAUUCAGCCAAUAUUAGUGUGUACGGAUGGUAGGGAUGGAAAAAAACUCGACCGUCUUAGGUAUGGUAUUACCCAGAUCUGGCCUAAGCAUGUUUUUUUUGAAACACUCAGAAUUUUUUAAUCAAAACUUAAAAAACCUAGAAUUUAUAUUUUAUAAUAUUAUAUAUAUUUAUUUUAUUUUAUAAUUUUAAUAUUUUCAAAUUUUAUUUUAAUGAAUUGGAAUUAAAAAUAUGAGUUUUAAAUGUUUAAAAUUUUAAAAAUAGAUAAUAAGUGGACCAAAUGAACAAAAUAAUAGAUAUUUUAUAAUAUUCUUCAUAAAAAUCAAGUUUUGAGCUAGCCCAUAAGCUUGUCUAGUGAAGUCUGGGUACCCGCGUUGCCCAAGGUUCCGUCAGAAUCCAGGCUGUGCAGAUAUUUAUGGACGAGAGGAAAUAUUUUCAAGUUGACUGAAUUAAAUAAAAAUAUAUUACAAUCAUAUUAUAUAUUAACAGUAAAAAUAAAAAGAAAUGAAAGAAAAACGCAUGCAAGACUUAGACAAAGUCAAUUAAAAGCUGGGAGUAUCAUCAGUUCAAUUGGUUUUAAAUAGCGUAGAGCCAUCCUCUCGUUGUGUUGCAGAAGAGAGACAGAAGAGUGUGUGUAGGCGAUUAUAAUUAAGCAGAUAUAAAUUGUGGGUUCAAAAAGAGUGUGGGUGAGUGAGUUAAUUUUCAUAUUAUUAGUAGUAAAAGGGUGGUGGAGUGAGGGAUGUUUGGAGCAAGAGAGGUCUGCUCUCCUCCAACUCAGACAUUUCUUCAAUGAUGAUCACCGUCUUCAAAACUGGGUAGACGAUGAGUAUUAUUCAGAUUGUUGUCAGUGGGAACGGGUUGAGUGCAACGACACCACUGGCAGAGUGAUUGAAUUAGAUCUAGCAGUAACUCGGAAUUGGGAAUCAGCAGAGUGGUAUAUGAAUGCUCUCUGUUUAUCCUUUUGAACAAUUAGAGUCUCUUGAUCUAAUAGGGAACAAUAUAGCCGGUUGUGUUGAAAAUGAAGGUCCGUAAUUUACUCUAUUUUAAUUCUUCCUCAUAAUUUUUUUCCAUUUAUCUGAUCCCUUUUGGUUUUUAUUUAAUUUGUAGUGAUACAAUAAAAUUACUUUUUAUUUUUUGGCAGGUCUAGAUAGGUUAUCAAGGUUGAACAACUUGAAGUUUCUUUAUUUAGACCUUAACCACUUCAACAACAGCAUCUUUUCAUCUCUAGGUGGUCUUUCAUCACUCAGAAAACUUAUCAUUGGCUGCUAAUCGAUUGAAUGGAAGUGUUGAUAUUAAAGGUAAGUAAGCUUCAUCCUUCUCCCCUGUCCCAUCUUUUGUGGAUCUUAUUUCACUGAGCAGCUGGAAGUAUUGAUACGAGAUCUAGCUAGACUCUUGCGAGUUUAGGCUUCACGGCUUUGAAUAGUAAUAAAAUAAGUUGAAUAAAUUAUCAAUAUAUGCAAUUUUCAAUGCUUCUCAAUAAUCAGACACAAUUCAAUCUAAUUAUUUCGUAUGUCCUGUCUUCAAAAGUAAAGAAUUGUACACUAAUUGGAAAUCGACAUCGUAGCUUUUUAUUUUCUAUAAUGCUAUUUCUUCGUUAACAAGUUUAUAUCCUAAGAGGGAUUGGAUUGAAAAAAAAAAAAGAAGUUUUGAUGUUCAAUGUCAGCCAUGAUAACCUGCAUCUUAUUUGUCUGCCGACAUCCAAAUUUGUGCACUGAAUUUAGUAUUUUGGUUAUUGUGAAGGGAUCAGAUAUUGGCUUCCAUAGACCAAACUUGUAUUUACUUAAUUAAUUAAUUAACGACAUUUAGUAUUAACAAUUAAAAUUUCAUGUUUAAUUCUAUUUAAUUUUUUUAAGAAAAAAGAAAAUAGAUAUAGCAGCAGGUAAAGCUGAAAUAAAUUUUAAUUCCUUACAAAUUUAAAUUCAUGGUUGUCAGCUAAAUAUACCUGCUUAAAGCCACUCUUUCGCUGAGAUUUAACCAAAAAAAAAAGAGAAAAUAAUUUAUUUAAUUAAACUCUGUUUUAAGUGUUGGAAUAAAUACAGGACUGGAAUCCUUGAGUAACUUGGAGAUGCUGGACAUGAGGGACAAUGCAAUCGACAAUCUAGUGGUUCCUAAAGGUAUACAAAAUGACACUAACCCAAAAUAAUUUAAUCCGAAAUUGUAUCCCAAAUAGAUUACAGAGGUUUGAGGAAGUUGGAUACCCUUUAUUUGGGGGGGAAGGGAAAUUGCAGUGAUAUAUGGAAGCAAGGUGUUGCAAUCAAUAAAGAAAUUCGUUGGUCAAUAUUCAAGGACUCAUCCAAAGUAAUCGUUAAAGUCUAGAGGUCUGCUCUCCACCAACUCAAACAUUUCUUCAAUAUGAUCAACGUCUUCAAAACUAGGUAGACGCGGGAGAUGAUGAGAAAUAAUUUAGAUUGUUGUCAGUGGGAAGGGAUUGAGUGCAACAAAACCACAGGCAGAGUGAUUAAAUUAGAUCUAGCACAAACUCGAAAAUGGGAAUCAGCGAAGUGGUAUAUGAAUGCCUCUCUGUUUACUCCCUUUCAACAAUUAGAGUCUCUUGAUCUAAUUGGGAACAAUAUAGCUGAUUGUGUUAAAAACGACGGUCAUUAAUUUACUCUAUUUUAAUUCUUCCUCCUCGUAAUUUCUUACAUCUAUCUGAUCCCUUUCGGCUUUUGUUUAAUUUGUACGUGAUACAAUAAAAUUAUUUUUUUUCAGGUCUGGAGAGGUUAUCAAGGUUGAACAACUUGAAGUUUCUUGAUUUAGGCUUUAACCACUUCAACAACAGCAUCUUUUCAUCUCUAGGUGGUCUUUCAUCACUCAGACACUUAUCAUUGGCUGAUAAUAGAUUGAAUGGAAGUAUUGAUGUUAAAGAUAAGCAAGCUUCAUCCUUCUCUCGUGUCCCAUCUUUGUGGAUCUUAUUUCAUCGACCAGCUGGAAGUAUUGAUACGAGAUCUAGCUAGACUCUUGCUAGUUUAAGCUUCAAGGCUUUGAAUAUUAUAAAAAUAAGUUUAAGGAAUUAUCAAUAUAUGCAAUUUUCUAUGCUUCUCAUAAUCAGACACAAUUCAAUCUAAUUAUUUCGUAUGUCAUGUCUUCAAAAGUAAAGAAUUGUACACUAAACGGAAAUCGACAUUGUAGCUUUUUAAUUUUUCUAAUGCUCUUUCUUUGUUAACGAGUUUAUAUCCUGAGAGUGGAUUGGAUUAAAAAAAAAAAAAAAAGUUUUGAUGUUCAAGGUAAGCCAUAAUAACAUGCAUCUUAUUUAUCUGCCUAUAUCUAAAUUUGUGCACUGAAUUUAGUAUUUUGGUUAGUGUAAAGGGAUCAGAUAUUGGCUUCCAUAAACCAACUUGUAUUUACUUAAUUAAUUAAUUAACAACCAUUUAGUAUUUAACAAAUUAAAAUUUCGUGUUUAAUUUGUCUUAUUUUUUAUUUUUUGAAGCAAGAAUAAGGUAUAGCAGUAGGUAAAGUUGAAAUACAUAUUUAUUCCUUACAAAUUUAAAUUCGUUUUCAGCCAAAUAUACCUACUUAAAACCACUCAAUCAGGCCAUUGGCAACAGUUUUUUUAGGUUUUUCUAGUUAACCGUGUACUUUUUUGCUUAUUAAUAAAAUUCUUUUGUGCUGAGAUUUAAAAUAAAGAAGGAGAAAAUAAGUUAUUUAAUUAACCCUGUUUUUAAGUGUUGGCAUAAAUACAGGACUGGAUUCCUUGAGUAACUUGGAGGAGCUGGACAUGACAGGCAAUGCAAUCGAUAAUCUUGUGGUUCCUAAAGGUAUACAAAAUGUUCAAAUAUUAAUAAUUUGGAGGACAGUUUAAUUGAUUUGAUUAGGGAAUGCCCAAUGACACUUACCCAAAAUAAUUUAAUCUGAAAUUGUAUCCAAAAACAGAUUUCAGAGGUUUGAGGAAGUUGAAUACCCUUCGUAUAGGGGGAACCAGAAUUCAAAUGAUAGAUGGAAGCAAGGUGUUGCAAUCAAUAGGAUCACUACCGUCCCUCAAAACACUUGACCUUUGGUAUACUAAUUUUACGGGAACAGUAGUUAAUCAAGGUAAGUAAAUCUUUUAUGUCGAAAAUAAUUGAAUUAAUAUAUAUAGCUAAAAUUUAUUGUUUCUACUUCUUUCUAAAUAGAAUUGCACAAUUUCACCAACUUGGAAGAAUUGAUAUUGCUCGAGUCUGAUCUCCAUGUAAGCCAGCUUCUACAAAGCAUCGCAUCAUUCACUUCGUUAAAGUAUUUGUCAAUGGGAGGUUGUACUUAAUGAAGCAAUUAUGGGUAUCCAAAAGAUUUUUUCUUAAUUCGAUAAUAAAUUAUGGGUAUCUGAAGCUUUUAUGAUAUUAAUUCGAUAAUAAUUCUUUCUUUUCAAGUUAAUUUUUUCCCCUAAAAUAAGAUUUUUUUUCUUUUAAAUUUCAUAUAUUUUCAUUGUCCAAUAGUUCUAGCUUCUCUUAAUUGCAGGAUUCUUGAUUAAGGUUAAUGAAAUUUUAGUUCUGUUAUGUUAAGAAUAUUUCGAUCGCUUAGAAGAGUAAAGAAAAAUAAGUAAAUUAACCAAAAAAAAAAGAGAAAAGGACCGGAUUAUCCUUAUUCCCUUGCAUUAUGUGAUCAAUAUCAAAAUUAUAACCAUUUCUUGUUUUAUUGCUUGUAGAUUUUCUUAAAUUCAAGAAUUUGGAACAUCUGGACAUGGGUGGGGCGCAAGUUGACGUCAACACCAGUUUUCUUCAAAUUGUCGGCGAAUCGAUGCCUUCUCUUAAGUUUUUAUCACUGACAGGUUCAAGUCUUAAUAAAAACGCCAUUCUUGAUCAAGGUUAGUUAAUGAUUCUCUUUCUCCCUCUCUCGCAUCUUAACUAAAUUUAAUUGAGAAUAUCUAUAAUGCUAGCUAUUUAUAAACUUAAUGAAAGAUGAUAAGGAGCUACUAUAAUGACAAAAACAACUGUAAAAUAGUGCGCUGUUGUAGUGUUAAUUGAAAAAUAAUGCUAAUUUUAUAGUCAUUUUGUUGCCAUUACGUCAGAUUCCAUUGUUCAAUUAUUUAAGUUUUAUGCAAAUAUAUUUUUCAGGACUUUGUCGGUUAGUGCAUCUACAAGAGUUAUACAUCGGCGGUAAUGAUUUGAGAGGUAGCUUGCCAUGGUGCUUGGCAAACAUGACAUCCCUCCAAGUGUUAGAUGCCUCUUUUAAUCAACUUACUGGAAACAUCUCCCCAGGCCUUUGUGAGUUGGUGCUUCUGAGAGAGUUAUACAUUGAUUACAAUUAUUUAAGAGGUAGCUUGCCUUUGUGCUUGGCAAAUUUGACUUCCCUUCGAGUAUUAGAUGUCUCUUACAAUCAACUUACUGAAAACAUCUCAUCUUCCCUCAUGCAUCUAAUAUCUAUGGAAAAGCUCAUACUUUCAAAUAAUCACUUCUUCCAAAUCCCUAUUUCACUUGAACCACUUUUCAAUCUCACAAAACUCAAGACUUUCGAUGGUGAAAUAUACGCAGAAACUGAGUCACAUUAUAAUUCUUUGACCCCAAAAAUUCCAAUUGACUUCUAUCUCAUUGUCUGGCUACGGAGAUGGUGGCACAUUUCCCAAAUUCUUGUACCAUCAGCAUGACUUGAAGAAUGCUGAUCUCUCACACCUUAACUUGAGUGGAAAUUUUCCAAAUUGGUUGGUAGAAAACAAUACGAACUUAGAGACGCUUCUUCUUGCCAAUAACUCUCUUUUUGGAUCAUUUCGGAUGCCAAUUCAUUCCCACCAGAAAUUAGCAACAUUGGAUGUCUCCAACAAUUUCUUUCAAGGCCAUAUCCCAGUAGAAAUCGGAACAUAUCUGCCAGGCUUAAUGCAUUUAAACUUAUCUAGAAAUGCUUUCAACGGUAGCAUUCCCUCUUCAUUUGCUGAUACGAAAAUGUUGAAAAGCUUGGACAUAUCCUACAAUCAGUUGACUGGUGAAAUCCCUGAGCGCAUGGCCAUGGGUUGCUUCUCAUUGGAAAUUCUUGCAUUGUCAAACAACAGUUUGCAAGGUCAUAUAUUCUCUAAAAAAUUUAACUUGACAAAUUUGAUGAUGUUGCAGUUGGAUGGUAAUAAAUUCAUUGGAGAGAUCCCAGAAAGCUUAUCUAAGUGCUAUUUGUUGGGAGGAUUGUAUCUGAGUGAUAAUCAUCUCUCUGGUGAGAUUCCAAGAUGGUUGGGUAAUUUGUCAGGUUUAGAAGAUAUUAUAAUGCCCAAUAACAAUCUUGAAGGACCAAUUCCAAUCGAGUUUUGUCAGCUUGAUUAUCUGAAGAUUUUAGACCUUUCAAACAAUAGUAUUUUUGGAACUUUACCAUCUUGUUUUAGUCCAGCAUCUAUCGAACAAGUUCAUUUGUCGAAAAACAAGAUAGAAGGACGGCUGGAGAGUAUAAUCCAUGACAGCCCUCAUUUGGUGACAUUCGAUCUUAGUUAUAACAGCUUACACGGAAGUAUUCCAAAUCGGAUUGACAGACUACCUCAGUUAAACUACCUUCUUUUAGCUCAUAAUUAUAUUAAAGGCGAAAUACCAGUUCAAUUAUGCCAGUUGAAGGAAGUGCGGUUGAUUGAUCUUUCUCAUAAUAAUCUAUCUGGUCAUAUUCCUCCUUGCUUGGUUAACACUUCACUCAGUGAAGGUCAUCAUGAGGCAGUAGCUCCAACUUCUAGUUCGUGUGGUCGAGCGUCUGGCUAUGCAAGUCCAUGUGCGAAAAAUACAAGUGGACUUCCGAUGGGAAAGGAAGAAACUGUACAGUUCACAACAAAGAAUAUGUCCUACUAUUAUCAAGGAAGAAUUUUGACGAGUAUGUCUGGGAUUGAUCUUUCUUGUAACAAACUGACAGGUGAGAUUCCUACUCAAAUUGGAUAUCUUACAAGGAUUCGUGCGCUAAAUCUAUCUCAUAACAAUUUGACGGGCACAAUCCCGACAACAUUUUCAAACCUGAAGCAAAUCGAAAGCUUGGACCUCUCCUACAACCUACUGCAUGGGAAAAUCCCUUCUCAGCUCACUGUGCUAAAUACAUUGGCGGUCUUCACAGUAGCAUACAAUAACUUAUCAGGAAAAAUUCCAGAUAGAGUUGCACAAUUUUCAACUUUUGAGGAAGAUAGCUAUGAGGGGAAUCCUUUUCUUUGUGGAUGGCCACUGUCUAAAAGUUGCAAUGAUAGUGGAUUAUCAGCAGUGACACGAGAAGCUUACACUGAUAAUGAAGAAGGUGAUAGUUUAAUUGACAUGGACAGUUUCCUAAUCACUUUUACAGUAUCUUAUGGAAUUGUGAUAUUAGGAAUUAUUGGAGUUUUGUACAUAAACCCCUAUUGGCGACGAAGAUGGUUUUACCUUGUUGAAGUAUGUAUGAUCUCUUGCUACUAUUUUGUAGUAGAUAAUCUUAUUCCUAGAAGAUUCUAUGGUGGAUGGAUGUAAUUUCAUUUACUUUACAACUUAUAUGUAAUUUUUAAAGAAUUUUCUUUUGCAUGCAUGGAAUAGCAACUCAAUAAAAGUAUUUGAUGCAAAUUGUCCUAGAACAACUUAGUAAUUUCAUUGCUACUAUUUGGUUGUAUAUAUACAGUUAAUGAAAUUUUUAAUCAUUCGCAGUAGGAAUUUCUUUAGAUGGCGGCCAAAACUAACAGAUUUGGGGCUCUACUUCUACACAUCAUAACAGGCAAAAGGUCUCUCUUUUACACGAUCUGAAUGAAGAUUAACUUACGCCCUCUAGGCUCUGGAGUGUGUGUAAGUUCUCUAUUAAACUUGACGGUUGAGAUUUCAGGUCCAGAUGAAAGUGAAAUGCAGGCGACGAGACUACACUUUAAGUAAACUGGGACAAACUUAAAAUAAAAAAAAUUGUAGUCCAGGGUGAGAGUGAUGGGUAGCUCAACUUAUGGAGGAUAACUAGGACUUGGAAUAACUAUCAGAUUUGCAACUCUUGUUAUAUGCUAGUGGGGAUUUAGGUAGCAAUUUUUUUUUUUUUCCUUUUUGCCCUCUUCCUCACAAUAAAAACACGUAACACACCAAGCCGUGCCCAAAAUAAUCCUAUUUUAUUCAUGUCAUGAAUCCAAAAACUAUCCCAGCUCACUUUGUUUAACCAGCAUAACUAAAUUGUGGGUAUAAAUGAACACACUUUCGAAGCCUGUAACUUAUAAUAAGCUCAAACCCAAAAAUGACAUUUAAAUCCUGCAAGUGUUUUUCAUCAUCCCUAACAAAAAGAAACAAGAAUAAUUAUAUACCAAUAAUUUUUCCAUAAAAAAUACUGAUUUGAGUUGAAACACUAUACAAACUGGGUUUUAUACACUUCCAGAAAGCUACACGGUAGACAAAAUCUAGCAGCUACAUAUUGGUAUCACUUUCAGCUGGUCAUGAAUGGUGUGCAUUCAGCAGUGCUCGAUAGACCAUGUCUAUGAAUUGAUUGUCCUAUUACAUAUAAAAGCUGGUCAGAUAUACAAGGAAAAAAAUAAUAAUUGAAAAUGCAUCACAAAAAAUAAGUGUUUCGCAUUAGUGUUUGCACUCUAAGCAUGGCAAAGUGGUGCGGGGUUCAUGAUUUUGAAGACUGUGAUAAGUGAAAAAUAGUUCAAUCCACUGAUGAACAUAAAUUUAUUUACAUGUCAAUUUAGAUAUCAUCAAAAAGUAAACAGUAAUUCAGAGUCACUUAAAAUAGUUGAUAAAAUGCGUGCCAUGAAUGUAUUUUUGUACAUAAGAAAUCCAAAGAGUAUUUCUGACAAUACAAAUAUGCUAGCUUUAAGUCUGCUGUCAAUAUGCAAUUAAGAAGAUUAUACCAGCUGCAUGAUAAAGUUCCCCUAAUCUUAAUAACAGUAAACAUGAACAUGUCAGAUGCAAUUAUAGCUUUGAGCAUUUGCAUAACCAGAAAUCCUAACCUGAACAAGCACCAGAAGUGUCUCUCGGACUUUCUCCUUGCUGAUAAAUGGUCCGCUGUCUGAAGUAAGAGCAGGAGUAAGAGAUGGUGGAGGGGUUGGUGGUGGAAAAGGUUGAAGCACUGGGGCACCAUAUGGGCGUUGCAGACUCGGGGGAGGAUUAAGUGGCGGAGCUGUUGGUGUAGAUGAAGAGACAAGCUGCAUCAUCCGUGCAUAGGAGGAUGGAGGAGGAACAAAGAAUAAGGAAGGCUUUACAAGAUUAGGGGUAGGUGCUGAUAGAGGUGGAGAUGGUAUUUGCAAAGUUGGCACGAUAGGAGAAGCAACACUGGCGGGAUGAGAAGGUAAAGAAAUAGUUGUAUUGGACUGGUAAGGUUGUGCAGAGAUUGCUGCAUUAGAAUUAUUCCCCACAGUCAAAGCUGUCUGCAAUGAUAAGGACAGAUGUCAUAUAAAAGGACAUCAUAGAAGUUGAACCUCACACAAAAAUGAAGUGAUAACAUAUGAAAAUAGUAUAUGACUUGCUGCAUUUUUGUGGUAAUGUUGCAUACUUAUGUAGAAACAUAUUAUUUCAAAGAAAACAUACACUGAAGAAGUUCACAAAAGCAGGAUCUUCAGGAACAUCAACAGCAUUUGAGGGAGUUGACUCUAGAGGACCAUCCAUAACUGCCAUAGUUGGAACAGCUUCCAGUUCCUCAAACUCACUGCAGUUUAACAUAAAAGGAACUUGAUGACCAAUUUAAGUAAUAAUUAGAUGAUAUAAGAGGUUAGGGAAAAUGAUGAGUGGACCCUUAUGGAAGAUGAUUUCACCUUAGCUAAACACGAAAAUAAAAUGAAAUCAAAGCUGAAUCCUCGAGUGCAAUGCAAAUAAUUUUUUCUCUCUCUUCUCUAACUCCUCUUAUUCGAAAUUGCUCAUCAUUGUGCAGUUCCUCGAGAUUUUGCUAGAGUAGAGAAAGCUAUUCUCCCGUUAAGUGCAGAGGAAAAAGAAGGGCAAGGGCCUGGUAUGAUGCUAUUCUAUAGGAAGUGAGAAGGUGAAGGGCUAAAAUAUUUUGCAAUUUGGAGGUGGUGUUUGUUAGUGUGUGUACUUCUGAAUUUAUUACCUCUUUAGGAUCCAUAGAAAUUGCCUCUUGUUCAGCAUGCACUGUGCCUACGAGUAAGGCGAGCUUGCAUGGUAUCUAUUGUCUAUUUACUUGGAUAUUCAAACAGGACUACCAGCAACCAAACACAAAUCCCCAAACAAAACACUCUUUCAAGUGCAAGGAAAGAGUAACUUGGGCAUAUUUAUGGUUCAAGCACUACAAUAACUAAGAAUGUGAUGACUGUCCACAAACACUAUAUCAGUGCCUUUUGAACUACAUCACAUGCUUGAAGACUUUUUUUUUAGUCAUACAUAAAUUAGCUAUAAAAUCAAGACCCUUAUACAACUAAAAAGAAAGAAAAAUUGUUUGCUACUACAUAUCAAAACUGGUAAUAGCAAUGUAAGAUGGCAGACUUCUUACUUAAACAGAUGAGAGGCUACAAAUAAAAAAUUUGUGCAAAUAAAAUAUAUGAUAAAGAGCAUAAUACUUUCUUGGGGGCUAAAAAUAAUAUACAACUUGUGAAAUAUAAAUUGAGCUACCAUUACCUUUUAGAUGUGGCAACUUUCGACUUUUGAGGCACCUUGGAAUAUGCAUUCAGAAUCCUGCAUUUGGAAGCCAAAUAAAUAAUGUUAAUAACAAUUUUACAAUAGAAAAAUUAAAAAUUGAUAAAUGGCAGUUGUAAUUUAUGUAUGGUAAAGAUAGCAUCACAUCCAGGUUCCUCCCAUAAACAUGCUUGUAACAAGAAUUAGUUUGCCUCAACUGCUAGCAACUAUACAAUAGUAAAAAUCACUCUUAUGAACUCAACAAUACUAGGCACCAAUAAGAGUAUGACACAGCCAUUCUAAAUGGAAGAGAAUACAACUGUUUUACAACUAUGUUGCAUCAGGAGAUAUGUUAGGAGGAUUAAUCCAGAUACCUUCCAACCCAAAUUAGGAAAACUCGAGUCAGAAACCAGGAGCUGCAACCAAACCUUACAAUCUUGAAGGAAGAAGGAGACUUGGGGCAUUUUUCCAGAUAGGUGACUUACAAGAUCUCCUGCCAAGAAAAUAUCUAUUGCUUUGAACCUCCAUUGAAAUUUCUUUUCCCUUUUUCUUGUUUUGACUUGGAACUUUCCAGCAUCAUCUAUUUGAUCUUUUUUAAAGCUAAAAUAGCAAUCUAUGCGUUGUCAACAUCUUAUCCCCCGCCCCCCCGGGGGGGCCACCAAAAAAAAAAAAAAAACCAAUGAGUUGUCAAUAAAUAGCGCCUACUCAACUUAUGUUCUCCAAUGAUGACAAUGUGCAAAUUGACCUAGCAGCCACAUUUUUCCCCCCUUUCAACCACCAUUAGGCAACUUUUCUAACCUUUCUUCAUUGCCCACGUCUACAGAACUAUCAUAUAAAGACUACAUUAUUAUUGGGACAGAGAAAAAAAUACAGACUAUAUUAUUAUUAUAUCUCAUUUUAUUAAUUAACUAGUGCAAGACUUAUUUAGUGUCAAAUCAAGAACUAAUUAGAAAAGACAACUCAUGAUAAUACAGACUUUAAAAAGCAAUAGCUAGCAACACCCCAUAUACUCCUAUUUUAGCCUUCAAUAUCCUGGUAAAAACACAAUUAAGUCUAGCAAAAGAACAUUCACAAGUAAAUUCAACAUUAAUUAAGAUUAAGUAUCUACUGCACCUUCAAUCAAUGACUCGGUGAAUAGCAUGGUCAACCAUCUAGUUCCUGUAGCCCUCCUUGUACCUAUGUUAGUUACAUUUUACAUAUUAAGCCACGAAAAUGAAGGAUCACAGCCUGGUAAAGAAAGCCAUUAAUUAAUAGUUUUUGUUUAAAAAGUUCUCGUUUAGAUCUUUCCUAUUCAAUGAAUCAAUGUAAUCCAAGGAGAACUCUUCCAUUUCAAGCAGUGUUAGAAGAUAAUUGGAAAGCCUAAAGAUAAUAUACAAGGACCAAGAUAUCGAUUAGGUCAAAUAGUGAAUGUCAAAUAUAAAAAAUAAAUAAAAGAAGUUGUACAUGAUCAUUUACUAUCAAGUUCUGUAAAACUGAAAAUACCAUUAUCCCUGUAGAGAUUCUCAAACAACUCUUUAGCAAAUUAUAAAAUAGUUAAAAAAAGAUCGAAAGUUUAAAAAAAAAAAAAUGUACAACAGCCAUAUCAGGAGAAGUUUUUCUUCUCAAUCUCAAUAUUUUCUAGCCGUAAAACAAUUGAAAAGCUUAACACCAAGUGAAUUAUUAAGAAUUCAUCAUUUAAAUUCCCAAAUCGUAAAAUGUUGGUGCAACUACGAAAGUGCAAAUGCAAUCACUUUACUUACACAAGAAACAUCAAUAGUGAGAAGCCAACUUUGUAUCAAAUUUGAAGCAGAUAGAUAGAGGUCAAAAAAAUUAUAAAGACACUCAAUUAAAAGCCUUUCAAACAGCUUUUGCAUGCAACAAGAACAAAUCAAAGGCGAUGUGAAUGUAUUCAAAGACUAAUUUACAAUCAUCUACAGGACAUAAAUAUCUUGGAUAACUACUCUCUAUACCUUACUGUCCCACUGAAAAUCAUCAAAUCCCUCCAAACAAAAAUGACAAAAUGGAUAAGAAUUGUGUGGUCAAACAUCAAUAACUUAGCAGCCACAGCAAAAACUUAUGUAGACACGCAAGCCACUCAAAAUAGUCAUAUUGUUUGCUUUCCAAACACAAGCCACUUUGUAAUGAAUAUUCAUAAAUUGCUACUACCAUGUUUGUUAAAACACGUGAAAACCGCCAUCACUAACUAAAUGUAACUGAUGAUCAUCAUCACGUUCAUGGAAUCACAUGUCUGACAGUAUUAAUUAGUGCAAAUGGCAUGCUUCUUAAAACUCCUUAUUUAUCACACGGGCGCCAUUCCAAUCAACCAAUGAUUCUGAUCUAGUCGGCAUAUUCAACCCACGAGCGAGUAAUAGCUCCUAUUGCUUCUUUACAUUUCUCAACGAAAUUCCACAUUCUAACCAUACUUCUGAACUUGUUGCUCCCAUAGACUAAUACAAUAUAAAGAUUUCUUCCCACACCGCCUCAGCCCCCACUCCUAAAAAACCAAUUUAAAUUCUCAUUGACUGUACAACCUAUAGUCCAUACCAAAUUGAAAAAUUUACAAAUAUAGAACCUCAAAGAAUCUUCUUGCAUUCCAUUUUUUACGUCAAGAAAUUUGACUUUUACCACAUGCAAGUCAACAAAUAAAAAAAUCAUGUCUUUGUGAGAUGCACAUUUUCAGACGAAUCUGAAGAGCAAUGAAACCGUAAAAACCGAAUAUGAGAACACCGAGGACUCCAGAUAUCACCUAUAGAAUCUUCGGUCCACACUUGCAUGAUGAAAAUGAUGAAAAAAAAUUGAAGGCUUCGUCACCAACUCCCCAGGUUGUUUUGUUCUCCUAUCUCCUAAAUGUAAAGGAAAGGCAACCCGUUCUUUUUCCAAUCUUAAGGGGCACAGAACGACUCUGGUAUAAAAUAGUCAGUUUCUAUACAAAAAUAACUCCUUUGCACUUGGCACUGCACAUCUCAAAAUAAAAAGCAUGCAAGGAGGAGAAUAUAAUAGCAUUAAACAAGUUUUAUUAACCAAACUUCAAAGAUGCCACACAAGGCAAAAAAGAAAUCUGUACAAGCCAGAUCCCAAGAAUAAUAAUUCCAAUAUACAAUUCAGGAAAACAAUAACUAAAACCAGGUUCAUGAGGCCUCAGCAGAAGCAACAUGUAAUAGCCAUACUCUAUUAUUUGAAACACAUUUCCAAGUUUGGUUAAGAUUCUAAACUAUUCUCUAUGUGUCAAUUAUUAACAUGUAAAACAUAAUAAUAUACACUUAUACUACUACAGUAGUAAAACCAGUAAAACAACAAUACCUGCUGAAAAGAUUUGCUACCUCUUCACAUUCACGAGCAUUGUAGAAUCAAAUCCCAUUUACUUCUUGGGAUGCAUUCCGAUAUAACAAAUACGGAACCUGAACUUCAAACUCAAAAUCUCCCAAAAGAUUUUCCACUAAAUUAUCUGCACAUAUCCAAGAUAUUGAAGCUUAUCAGUGCAAAAACAUAUGCAAAAAGACAUGAAGGUUAGAAGACAUAACUAAAACUUAGCAACAACUGAUAAGCACAACAAGACAUGAAAUAUAACACUAGUUGUAAAUACUCUAAAACUUACCAACCCCCUCUCCUGAUUGUCAUAAAACGGCCAAUAUUUAACCCUAGACAACAAAAUUGCAAAUACUCUAGCCUCUAUAUUAUUGGCAUAUAAAUAUUUUCGGUUAGGUACAUUAUAUUCUUCGUUCUAAAACCUCAAUUAUUAGCUAGUACUGUGAUAAAAUGAUUCAUCACUGAAAUUAAAACUAGUUCACGUACAAAUAAUCAAAACUGAAAUAGAAGCAACGAUAAACCAACCUGUAUUACGUCGAUUCAUCACAACAAACUGAAAUCGAGGCUGUGUGUUCCUGAAAAUUGAAAAAAUAAUAAUUUCACCAACUUCAUAUGUAAUACAAUCUCCAAAACACCGAAUAUCAAAUGAAAAAAUGGAAAGCAUAAGAGAUAAAAGAAUCUAAUUUUAUUGACCUUUUGACGACGAAGAGAGAUCCUUCAACAUCCUUACGACUCCAUUGGCUGAGAUCGAUGUUGAACUCGUAGAAGGUGACAUGAGCGGCCGUGAUGAGGAUCUCCUCAAUGAAUGGAUCGAUUCGCUGAAGAACUGUCAGGCUUAGGAGUUUUGUGCUCUGCUGGUCCAGAUUAGGCAUCAAUUUUCCGUUCUGCGACAUUUUUCAUAGUCCUUUUGGGCUUCUGCCCCGAGCACAAGCCCCAUGGUUUUUCUGUGAGCUCUCUCUCUUUUGUAAAUAAAGUGUUUGAUGAGAUAGCCGAGAGAGAGUGAAGAGUUGAACAGCUAAACAAGGUGAGGUGAACAGUUUCGGACUGAGACUCGAGAUUGAUCUUGCUUUAACGUCUUUUAAACAUUUGGGAAAUAGCAUUUAUUUCUUUCAAUUUCUCUACUGUUUUUUUCCUUUAUGUCAUUUAGACCCCAAAAUUAGAUUUAUUAUAAUCAUAUUGUACCCAUACACUAUUAACCCCUUUUAUUUUUUAUAUUGUCAAUAUUAAUGUAUUAGAAUAAUGUUAGAAAUCUCAAUUAUUAUCUCAAUGUUUCAAUCAUAACUAAUGUGAUAAUUCAUCGGUAACUGCAACAUUAACUUAAUUAUUAAUGUUUAUCAUGAAAUGAUGAGAUUAUUAUUCAAGAAAGAAUUAGUAAACAUCAAUGACUAAAAUAAUGUGACAAUUAUAGCUGAAUAUUAGUACAAUAAUUAGAAUUCCUAAAGUUAGUGAAUGUAUUAUAAUAUAUGUGUGUUACACCACUUUAUGUCUCUCAAAUUCAAUUAAGUAAUUUCAGAAACCUGACCUUUUAUUAUAUUAAUUAGGAAUGCAUACAUGAACGAAAGAUGUGCAAAUUUUGUUCUAUUUUUCACUAUUAUUUACCUUUCAUCUACAUACGUCACUUGAUUUUUUGUGAUUAAUAUGCUUAAAUGGAUCUCUUUGAUAUAAAUAAAAUAAACAAAAAGUCUAAGAGAAAAAAAAAAUGAGGACCGAAAUUAUUACACCUACAACAAAUUUGCCCAGAGAGCAAUAAAUCAAACUUGCUUAGGAAGUACAAUGAUUAGUUAAUAACUAUCAUGUUAAAGCUUCUGUCAAGCAAACACCCAUUGAAUUUUUCGCUCGCUUCAAUGACUUACUUAUGCCCAAUAUAUUACUUUGCACAGUAGUAUUUGGGAUCCUAACAAUCAACUCUUAAUUUGGUCCCAAUAUAUUACUUUAUGAAUGCUUGUGUUGUUUUUUUUAUAUAAAAUAAUUUAUUUAAGUAAUCAUAGAAAUAAGGGAGAAAAGGGGGCAUUUGUUGACUCAAAGUCAAUUACAAAUAUUCCAUGCCUAACUUCCACGCACCCUAAAACGGUUUUAUUUGCUUUCACGCGUUCAUGAAUUUCCAUGAAAGAGAGUGCCUCUCGUCUCUUUCCGGACAGUGCCGACAAUUAUGUUAACGUGACAAAUACAUAACGUUAUUACAUACAAUAAUAAGUUUUUGGACCCGAGACUUGAGGGAGGUUCUAUCUAAUUCUAAAGAUUGUAACCAAAUCAUUAUCCCCAAUUUUUUUCAGUUAAAUAAAAUAAAAUUUAUGCUUACGUAUAAAUAAUACUUUGGACAUUCUUGAUAUUUGUCCUUUUAAGAUAAACACCAACCCAAUUAUCUAUUUGUUUGUCUGUUUUUUUUUUUCAAUAACAGUUUGUUAGCAUAAAUAUUUACCUGUGAAAUCGAGGAGGAGAAAAUGUUAGAAAAAAUAAAAAGAAAAAAAAUUAAGGGAGAUAGAAUCAGAUUUUCUUUUUUGAGCAAAGAACAUACAUAAAAAGAUAUUAAAUCUAUUAAGUCUACUUGUCUAUAACGGUAAAUUGCAUAACGAAUAAUUUAUCAGAACAAAAUAAAUUUUAUUAGAUUAUGAGUGUUCUGAUUAUUUUUUAGAGUACCAAUUGUCCCAUGGCACAACAAAAUGCCAGAAAAUAUAAUGUAAAAUUGCUGGUUUGUUGCUUAAAAUUUUCAAUAAUAAUUUCACCUUUUUAGUAAUUAGAGAGAGAUGGAGAGGAUUGACGGCCAAUGUUUAGCGAUUUGGGGUCAAUUCAAAGUCAACUAACGUGUAAAACACGUGUAAGCAUAGAAAACGCUUAGAUUAUUUGUGUUUCAAGUGCAAGAAAAGUAAGAAAAGAAAAAAUGAUUUCCUUUCAUGAACUUCCAAGAAAGAAAGAAGACCCUUCACCUUCUUCGCGACAACAAAUGAUGUUGAUAUGACAAAUACAAGCGCUAUUACAGGGAACAUCAUAAGACCGAGACUUGAUAAAGGGUUUGUUAAAUUACACGUUAUUUUCUUGUUGACUGAAUUGGAAGAAAAAAAUAAAAUAAAAUAAAAUUGUAAUCAGGGUGAUGUGUGGAAUAUAGUGAAAUAAAUAAAUAGAGAAGAGAAACUCGUUGAUCAAUUAAAAGCUGGGAGUAUCAUCAGUUCAAUUGGUUAUAAAUAGCGUAGAGCCAUCCUCUCGUUGUUGCAGAACUGAAGGAAAGAGAGACAGAAAGAGUGUGUGUAGGUGAUUAUAAUUAAGAAGAUAUAAUGUGUGGUUCAAAAAGAGUGUGGGUGAGUGAGUUAAUUUUCAUAUUAUUAGUAGUAAACGGGUGGUGGAGUGAGGGAUGUUUGGAGCAAGAGAGGUCUGCUCUCCUCCAACUCAGACAUUUCUUCAAUGAUGAUCAACGUCUUCAAAACUGGAUAGACGAUGAGUAUUAUUCAGAUUGUUGUCAGUGGGAACGGGUUGAGUGCAACAACACCACUGGCAGAGUGAUUAAAUUAGAUCUAAGAUAUACUCGGAAUCGGAAAUCAGCAGAGUGGUAUAUGAAUGCCUCUCUGUUUACUCCCUUUCAACAAUUAGAGUCUCUUGAUCUAAUUGGGAACAAUAUAGCCGAUUGUGUUGAUAAUGAAGGUCCUUAAUUUACUCUAUUUUAAUUCUUCCUCAUAAUUUUUUCCAUUUAUCUGAUCCCUUUUGGUUUUUAUUUAAUUUGUAUGUGAUACAAUAAAAUUAUUUUUUAUUUUUUAUUUUUUGGCAGGUCUAGAUAAGUUAUCAAGGUUGAACAACUUGAAGGUUCUUUAUUUAGACCUUAACCACUUCAACAACAGCAUCUUUUCAUCUCUAGGUGGUCUUUCAUCACUCAGAAACUUAUCAUUGGCUGCUAAUCGAUUGAAUGGAAGUGUUGAUAUUAAAGGUAAGUAAGCUUCAUCCCUUCUCCCCUGUCCCAUCUUUUGUGGAUCUUAUUUCACUGAGCAGCUGGAAGUAUUGAUACGAGAUCUAGCUAGACUCUUGCGAGUUUAGGCUUCACGGCUUUGAAUAGUAUAAAAAUAAGUUGAAGAAAUUAUCAAUAUAUGCAAUUUUCAAUGCUUCUCAUAAUCAGACACAAUUCAAUCUAAUUAUUUCGUAUGUCCUGUCUUCAAAAGUAAAGAAUUGAGCUCCGAUUGGAAAUCGACAUCGUAGCUUUUUAUUUUCUGUAAUGCUAUUUCUUCGUUAACAAGUUUAUAUCCUAAGAGGGAUUGGAUUCGAAAAAAGUUUUGACGUUCAAGGUAAGCCAUAAUAACCUGCAUCUUAUUUGUCUGCCUGUAUCUAAAUUUGUGCACUGAAUUUAGUAUUUUGGUUAUUGUUAAGGGAUCAGAUAUUGGCUUCCAUAGACCAACUUGUACUUAGUUAACUAAUUAAUUAACGACAUUUAGUAUUUAACAAAUUAAAAUUUUGUAUUUAAUCUAUUUUAAUUUUUUUAAGAAAAAAGAAAAAGAUAUAGCAACAGGUAAAGCUAAAAUAUACCUGCUUAAAGCCACUCAGUCGAGCCAUUUGAGAGCUGCUUUAAAUUUUUCGGAUUAGCCAUAUUCUUUUCUUAUUAAUAAAAUUCUUUUCGCUGAGAUUUAACAAAAAAAAAGGAGAAAAUAAUUUAUUUAAUUAACUAUGUUUUAAGUGUUGGAAUAAAUACAGGACUGAAAUCCUUGAGUAACUUGGAGGAGCUGGACAUGAGCUUCAAUGCAAUCGACAAUCUUGUGGUUCCUAAAGGUAUACAAAAUGUUCAAAUAUUAAUAAUUUGGAGGACAGUUUAAUUGAUUUGAUAAGGUGAAGAAACGUGUUUUCAUUUCUUAAAUAAAGCAUUAUACAUUGAGAGUUAUUUAUAGAUGCAGAGGCUACAUUUUUUCAAAGAUUACAUAUGUGAAUACGGAAGGAAAUGUGUCAAUCCGUUCGGCGCGGAUCUUGUCUUUGACAAGUGCAGAUUCUGUCUUUGAAAGCUUCAUUCAAUGUCGUUUUAUUUGAUUCUCAACACUCCCCCUCAAGUUGGUGCAUAGAUGUCUUGCAUACCCAACUUGUUUAGGAAUUUUGUAAAUGCCCUGCUUGAAAUGGCCUUCGUUAAAAUAUCUGCAAGUUGAUCUUCUGAUCGAAUUUUCGGCAGUUCUAAGAUUUUUUCAUCUAAUUUCUCCUUGAUGAAAAAUCUAUCUACCUCCACAUGUUUUGUUCGAUCGUGUUGAACUGGGUUAUGAGCAAUAUCUCGUGCAGCUUUGUUGUCACAGUGUAAUUGUAUUGGUUGUUGUGAUGGAUAGCCCAAAUCGUUUAAGAUAAAACUUAUCCAUUGCCCUUCACAUAUCCCAAGGGCCAUGCCUCGAUAUUCUGCUUCAGCGCUCGAACGGGCAACGACAUGUUGUUUCUUGCUUCUCCAUGUGACAAGGUUUCCUCCCACAAAGGUAAAGUAUCUUGAAGUAGAGCGUCUAUCACUAACUGACCCCGCCCAAUCUGCAUCAGUAUAAACUUCUAUGUUGCUGUAAUCUUCAUUUUUGGAAAAUAAGAUUCCUUUUCCUGGAUUUGUCUUCAGGUACCUCAAGAUCCGCAUUACUGCUUUCAUGUGUUGUUCUCUGGGAUUAUGCAUAAACUGGCUUACAACACUCAAUGCAUAAGCAAGAUCUGGCCUUGUGUGGGACAAGUACAUCAAUCUUCCAAUCAGCCUUUGAUAUCUUCCUUUGUCUACUGGAACUUGGUCUGAAGUAAUACAAAACUUCAAUCCUUCUUCUAUUGGGGUGUCAAUAGGCUGACAAGCUGUCAUUCCCGUUUCGUGCAAUAGAUCUAAGGCAUAUUUCCUUUGAGACAGAAAGAUUCCUCCCUUAGAUCGAGAAACCUCAAUUCCAAGAAAGUAUUUUAAGGCACCUAAAUCCUUUAUCUCAAACUCUCUUGACAAGUACUUCUGAAGAGCCUCUGUUUCUUCCUCGUCGUUGCCUGUAACUACCAUAUCAUCCACAUAGACAAUAAGGGCAGUGAUUUUACCUUGUCGUUUUUUUAAUGAAUAAGGUAUGAUCUGAAUUGCUUUGGUUAUACCCAAAACGAACCAUAGCCUUUGUGAAUUUCCCGAACAAUGCUCUUGGGGAUUGCUUCAACCCAUACAAUGAUUUCUUCAAUUUGCAUACUUUCUGACUGAGUCGUUCUAGUCCACUGCAUCCUGGUGGCAGAUCCAUAUAAAUUUCUUCAGACAGGUCUCCAUGGAGGAAAGCAUUCUUUACAUCGAACUGUUGCACUGGCCAAUCCAAGUUGACUGCUAAUGAUAAUAAGAUACGAAUAGUAUUAAUUUUUGCUACCGGUGCAAACGUAUCAAUAUAAUCAAUCUCGUAGGUUUGGGUGUAACCCUUAGUUACGAGUCUUGCUUUGUAUCGUUCAAUAGAGCCAUAUGCUUUGUAUUUUAUAGUGUAGAUCCAUCGACAACCCAUUGGUUUCUUUCCUGAUAGAAGAUCAACUAGUUCCCAUGUUUGAUUUUUCUGAAGAGAUCUCAUUUCAUCAUUCAUAGCCGCUUUCCACUUUGGAUCUUUUAAAGCUUCCUGAACACUGUUAGGAAUAGAUACAGCAGAUAAUUGAUUCACAGAUGACUGAUUUGAUUCUGACAAGCGAUGGUUAGACACAAAAUGACUCAUAGGGUAUUUGACUCUACUAGAGAAGUCAGGCUCAUAUGUGGGUUUAGGGAUACCUCUAUUUUGACGUUGGGGAAGAAUUCUUCUUAUUGGACUUGUGGUAGGAACAUCCUCUGCAGACGAUUGGUUAGGUAUUUCUUCAUGUGACUCAUUCUCGAUUGCAGUUGUGUUUGAGUUAUUGUGCUCCCCAAAUGUGUCUUCACAUAUCUCAGCCUGCGAAUCAUCACCAUUUGCUUUUCCAGUAUUUUGAAGGUUUACUAUCUCAAUGGAAGAUUGACUUUCUUCAGGUGGAAGAUAUGUAAGAGUAUGAAUUUCCUAUUCAUUAUACUCCCCCUGAAAUUCAGACUCUGACAAGUAGUAUAUGAUAUCUUCAUGAAAAACGACAUCCAUGGUGAUGUAUAUUUUUCUUGAUGGUGGAUGAUAGCAUCGAUAUCCCUUUUGAUGUAAGGCAUACCCUACAAACACACAACGUAGUGUUCGAGGAGAUAAUUUGUCUUGUUGUGGCAAAUGAACGAAGGCAACACAGCCAAACACAUGUGGGGGCAGAUUCGGCAUAUUUGGUGACAUAAUUGCAUCAUUCAGAACUUGGAAAGGAGUCUGGAAUCCAAGGGAGCUUGAAGGUGUUCGAUUGAUCAAGUAUGCUGCGGAUGCCAGUGCUUCUCCCCAAUAAGAUAAUGGCAUGUGGGCUUGGAUUAGUGAUGCUCGAACAACUUCUAGUAAAUGUCUAUUUUUUCGUUCAACAACGCCAUUUUGUUGGGGUGUCCCCACACAAGUGGUUUGAUGGACAGAUCCUUGUGAUUUCAGAAACUGUUGAAUUGCUGUGCUCAUAUACUCGCCUCCAUUAUCAGUAUGUAGAACUCGAAUUUGUGUCUGAAAUUGAGUAGUCACCAUCUUAUGAAAUCUUUGAAAUAAAGAGUUUACUUCGUCUUUCGAUUUCAUCAGAAAAAUCCAUGUCAUUCUGCUACAAUCAUCAAUAAAUGUAACAAACCAACGAGCACCUCCAAUUGUAGAAACUUUAGAUGACCCCCAUACAUCAGAAUGUACUACCAUAAAAGGAACUGGAUUUUUAUUUAAGGACAAUGGAAAAGUAGUUCGAUGGCUUUUUGAAAGUUCACAAACAUCACAUUUAAAGUUACAAACAUCAAAUUUCAAAAACAAACUAGGAAAUAAUUUUUUUAAGUAACCAAAUGACACAUGCCCUAAACAUCUAUGCCAUAACCAAAUUUCUGAUUUCCCUUUUUUAUGGAACUAUCUGCGACUAGUGCGGGGCUUAGCUUUCCAGUGUUUGUUGAUGACAUCUCCAAGUAGUACAAGUUGCCUCGUCUAAUACCAUAACCAAUCGUUUGCUUCGUUUGGAUGUCCUUAAACACACAAUGAUCAGGCCAAAAAAUUACAACACAUGAUAAGUAAGUGGUUAAUUGAGACACAAAUAAAAGAUUAUAAUCUAAAGAUGGAACAAUUAACACAGUGUCUAAAUUUAAUUCAUUUGUGAGUCAUAAAGAUCCUUCCCCAAUAACUGAGGUUGUGGUUCCAUUUGCAGUAGAAAUAUGUUUUUGUGAAGAUGGUUUCAAUUGAGAAACUUGUCGAGAAUCAAAAGUCAUAUGAUCAGUUGCCCCAGAAUCAAUUAUCCAUGUACUAUUAAUAACAGGUGUACGAGUUUUAAGGGCCUUACUUAGACUAACAGAGGUUGCGAUUUGCACUGAAGAUUCUUUUCUAAGAUCUGUAGUGGAUGUGGAUUCAGCUACUGCAGUUUUUGAUCCAUGCUUGGUGUUCUUCUUUCGAGUAUCCCACCAGUUAGGAUAUCCAAUGAUUUCAAAACAUUGUUCUUUCGUAUGACCCUUCUUUCUACAAUGAGUGCAAUGGAGUGAUGACUUGUCAACAAACUUCCUUUGAGGCUGCUGUCGUGCUAUCAUAGUAGACGUUUCUGAGUCGACCUUCUUGUUUAGUUUGCUUUGCCGUAUAUCUUCUCUUCGGAUCAGAGAAUAACAUUCUUCUAACUCUGGGAUAAUGUCUUUUCGUAGAAUUUCUCCACGAACUUGGUCAAAUUCUUCAUCUAGCCCAGCAAGAAAAAUGUGCACUCUCAAUCUUUCAACAGACCUUCUGUAUAUUACAACAUCUUCUGGAUCCUUCAUGACCACUUUAUCUCGGUGAUCAAGUUCUCGAAAUAUUUCGACCAAUUCUCCAUAGAAUUUAGAGAGUGGUUGUCCAUUUUGCUUAGUAGAGAAUGCCUUCUGGUUUAGAGUGAAAACUUGUAAUUCAUCGCUUCCAUCAUAGAAGGCUUUUGAUAAUGCAUCCCAGAUUUCGUAGGCUGUAGGAAUUCGUAAAUAUCGCUUCAUGAUCACCAGAGACAUGGAUAUGAGUAACCAUCUUUUUAUUUUUUGGUUCUCACUAUACCAUUUCUCAUAUUCCUUUGAAGAUUCCUCAAAUGGCUUUGUGCUGCUACGAAUAUAUGAGAGUUUUUCUCUUUCUGCAAGAUGCAUCUCCAUUAUUUGAGACCAAACAUCGUAGUUUGUCUCAGUCAGGAUAAUUCCAGCAUUAAAUACUCCAUCAGAUUGAACAGAUUGAAUGACAACAUGACUAGAUUCAGUUGGAGUUUUCUCCAUUUUUUUUGUUUUUCUUUUUUCUCUUUUUUUUUUGUUUUUUUUGUUUUUUUUGUUUUUUUUGUUUGUUUUCUUUUUUUUGUUUUUUUUCCGUCUAGAUUGAAAGAAAAAAAAAAUAACCUUUUUAGGUAACAAAACGACAGGUCGUUUGGCCACUGCUUGCCAAACUGACAUGUCGGUUAUGGUGGAAUAUAAACGACAUGUCGUUUUAAUCCUGUUGCACUUCUGGAGACUAAGCGUCACGUCGUUUUACCUCUAAUUUAAAAUCGACAUGUCGGUUUUAAUAUAACGAAAAAAGACACGUCGUUUUUUGACUGCUGCACUUCUGAAAUAAAAACGACAUGUCGGCUGACGUCUUCUUCAACCUCUGGAGCAUGUGAGAGCGCGUGAAUGAUGACAGAGGCGCGUGGUUGACUGGCCGUGGCUUCGGGUGGCGGGUGGGAGCGCGUGGGAAUGUGUUUAAAUGCGAAAUUUUUACAGUUUCUUCACUGAAAACUGAGAAAUUUGAUGGUGUUCUUGGGUUUUGAGGAACACACUCUCAGAAAAUUGCUGGGAUUGUUGAUAAAUUUGUAAACUCAAGUUUUUUACGUAUGGGUGGCUUGUUUCUUGAUCGGCAUGGAUAUCUGUAAUGGUAGGAAUGGGUUUAAGAAAGAAAAUGGUGGGAAAAAUGGUUGUGGGAGGAAUUUGGUUUCCUCUAUUUUUGUUACAAACAGAGCAGCGGAACUUGAAGAAACUUGAGCGUAUUCAUGGCUCUGAUACCAUGAAGAAACGUGUUUUCAUUUCUUAAAUAAAGCAUUAUACAUUGAGAGUUAUUUAUAGAUGCAGAGGCUACAUUUGUUCAAAGAUUACAUAUGUGAAUACGGAAGGAAAUGUGUCAAUCCGUUCGGCGCGGAUCUUGUAUUUGACAAGUGCAGAUUCUGUCUUUGAAAGCUUCAUUCAAUGCCGUUUUAUUUGAUUCUCAACAGGAAUGCCCAAUGACACUUACCCAAAAUAAUUUAAUCCGAAAUUGUAUCCCAAAUAGAUUACAGAGGUUUGAGGAAGUUGGAUACCCUUUAUUUGGGAGGGAAGGGAAAUUGCAGUGAUAUAUGGAAGCAAGGUGUUGCAAUCAAUAAAGAAAUUCAUAGGGUCAAUAUUCAAGGACUCUCCUCCAACUCAAACAUUUCUCAAAUAGAUUAUUUAAUCUGAAAUAGUAUCUCAAAUAGAUUAUAGAGGUUUGAGGAAGUUGAAUACCUUUUAUUUGGGGGGGAAGGGAAAUUGCGGUGAUAUAUGGAAGCAAGGUGUUGCAAUCAAUAAAGAAAUUCGUUGGUCAAUAUUCAGGACUCAUCCAAAGUGAUCGUUAAAGUCUAGAGGUCUGCUCUUCUCCAACUCAAACAUUUCUUCAAUGAUGAGAAUUAUUCAAAUUGUUGUCAGUGGGAAGGGGUUGAGUGCAACAACACCACUGGCAGAGUGAUUAAACUAGAUCUAGGAGCCACUAGGAAUCGGGAAUCAUCAGAGUGGCAUAUGAAUGCUUCUUUGUUUACUCCCUUUCAACAAUUAAAGUCUCUUCAUCUAAUUGGGAACAAUAUAGCCGAUUGUGUUGAAAAUGAAGGUCUUUAAUUUACUCUAUUUUAGUUCUUCCUCGUAAUUUCUUACAUUUAUCUUAUCCCUUUUGGCUUUUGUUUAAUUUGUACGUGAUACAAUAAAAUUAUUUUUUAUUUUUUGGCAGGUCUAGAGAGGCUAUCAAGGUUGAACAACUUUAAGUUUCUUUAUUUAGACCUUAACCACUUCAACAACAGCAUCUUUUCAUCUCUAGGUGGUCUUUCAUCACUCAGACAAUUAUCAUUGGCUACUAAUCGAUUGAAUGGAAGUGUUGAUAUUAAAGGUAAGUAAGCUUCAUCCCUUCUCCCGUGUCCCAUCUUUUGUGGAUCUUAUCUCAUUGACGGGCUGGAAGUAUUGAUACGAGAUCUAGCUAGACUCUUGCUAGUUUAGGCUUCAAGGCUUUGAAUAUUACAAAAAUAGGAUUAAGAAAAUAUCAAUAAAUGCAAAUUUCAAUGCUUCUCAUAAUCAGACACAAUUAAAUCUAAUUAUUUUGUAUGUCCUGUCUUCAAAAGAAAAGAAUUGUACACCAAAUGGAAAUCGACAUUAUUGUUUGCUUUUGAUUAGUGGAUCAAAAAUCGACUAAUUUUUGUUUAACAUAAAAAUAAAAAAGAGAAAAUAAGUUAUUUAAUUAACCCUGUUUUAAGUGUUGGCAUAAAUGCAGGACUGAAUUCCUUGAGUAACUUGGAGGAGCUGGACAUGAGCUUCAAUGCAAUCGAAAAUCUUGUGGUUCCUAAGGGUAUACAAAAUGUUCAAAUAUUAAUAAUUUGGAGGACAAUUUAAUAGAUUUGAUUAGGGAAUGCCCAAUGACACUUACCCAAAAUAAUUUAAUCCAAAAUUGUAUCCCAAACAGAUUUCAUAGGUUUGAGAAAGUUGAAUACCCUUUGUUUAGGGGGAAGCAGAAUUCGAAUGAUAGAUGGAAGCAAGGUGUUGCAAUCAAUAGGAUCACUACCGUCCCUUAAAACACUUUAUCUUUCGUCUACUAAUUUUACGGGAACAGUAGUUAAUCAAGGUAAGUAAAUCUUUUAUGUAGAAAAUAAUUGAAUUAAUAUAUAUAGCUAAAAUUUACUGUUUCUACUUCUUUCUAAAUAGAAUUGCACAAUUUCACCAACUUGGAAGAAUUGAUAUUGCUCGGGUCUCAUCUCCACGUAAGCCAGCUUCUGCAAAGCAUCGCAUCAUUCACAUCGUUAAAGCAUUUGUCAAUGCCAGUUUGUACGCUUACAGGUGCCGUACAUGGUCAAGGUAAAUUACGGGUAUCUGAAGCUUUUAUGAUAUUAAUUCGAUAAUAAUUAUUUCUUUUCAAGUUAAUUUUCUCCCAUAAAAUAAUAUAUAUUUUUUUAAAUUUUAUAUAUUUUCACUGUCCAAUAGUUCUAGCUUCUCUAAUUUGCAGGAUUCUUGAUUAAGGUUAAUGAAAUUUUAGUUCUGUUAUGUUAAGAAUAUUUUGAUCGCUAAGAAGAGUAAAGAAAAAUAAGUAAAUUAACCCAAAAAAAGAAAAGAACAGGAACAUAUUAUCCUUAUUACCUUGCAUUAUGUGAUCAAUAUCAAAAUAAUAACCAUUUCUUGUUUAUUGCUUGUAGAUUUUCGUAAAUUCAACAAUUUGGAACAUCUGUACAUGGGUGAUGUGCAGGUUGACGUCAACACCAGUUUUCUUCAAAUUGUCGGCGAAUCGAUGCCUUCUCUUAAGUUUUUAUCACUGACAGAUUCAAGUCUUAAUAAAAACACCAUUCUUGAUCAAGGUUAGUUAAUGAUUCUCUUUCUCCCUCUCGCGCAUCUUAACUAAAUUUAAUUGCGAAUAUCUGUAAUGCUAGCUAUUUAUAAACUUAAUGAAAGAUGAUAAGGAGCCAUAAUAAUGACAAAAAUAACUGUAAAAUAGUGCACUGUUGUAGUGUUGAUUGAAAAAUAAUGCUAAUUUUUUACUUAACACUAUAACGCUGUAUAAUUUUACAGUUAUUUUGUUGCCAUUACGUCAUAUUCUACUGUUCAACUAUCAGUGAUCAAACUUAAUUUUUAAUAUGUACUUUAAAGAUUUUAUGCAAUUAUUUAAGUUUUAUGCAAUUAUAUUUUUCAGGACUUUGUCGGUUAGUGCAUCUGCAAGAGUUAUACAUCAACGGUAAUGAUUUGAGAGGUAGCUUGCCAUGGUGCUUGGCAAAUUUGACUUCCCUUCGAGUAUUAGAUGUCUCUUACAAUCAACUAACUGAAAACAUCUCCUCAUCUCCCCUCAUGCAUCUAACAUCUAUCGAAGAGCUCAUACUUUCAAAUAAUCACUUCUUCCAAAUCCCUAUUUCACUUGAACCACUUUUCAAUCUCUCAAAACUCAAGACUUUCGAUGGUGAAAUAUGCGCAGAAACUGAGUCACAUUAUAAUUCUUUGACCCCAAAAUUCCAACUGACUUCUAUCUCACUGUCUGGUUACAUAGAUGGUGGCACAUUUCCCAAAUUCUUGUACCAUCAGCAUGACUUGAAGAAUGCUGAUCUCUCACACCUUAACUUGAGUGGACAAUUUCCAAAUUGGUUGGUAGAAAACAAUACGAACUUAGAGACGCUUCUUCUUGCCAACAACUCUCUUUUUGGAUCAUUUCGGAUGCCAAUUCAUUCCCACCAGAAAUUGGCAAGAUUGGAUGUCUCUAAAAAUUUCUUUCAAGGCCAUAUUCCGGUGGAAAUCGGAACAUAUCUGCCAUGUUUAAUGGAUUUAAACUUAUCUAGAAAUGCUUUCAACAGUAGCAUUCCCUCUUCAUUUGCUGAUAUGAAAAUGUUGGAAAGGUUGGACAUAUCCUACAAUCAGUUGACUGGUGAAAUCCCUGAGCGCAUGGCCACGGGUUGCUUCUCAUUGGAAAUUCUUGCAUUGUCAAACAACAGUUUGCAAGGUCAUAUAUUCUCUAAAAAAUUUAACUUGACAAAUUUGAUGACGUUGCAGUUGGAUGGUAAUAAUUUCAGUGGAGAGAUCCCAGAAAGCUUAUCUAAGUGUCGUUUCUUAAGAGGAUUAUAUCUAAGUGAUAAUCAUCUCUCUGGUAAGAUUCCAAGAUGGUUGGGUAAUUUGUCAGCUUUAGAAGAUAUUAUAAUGCCCAAUAACAAUCUUAAAGGACCAAUUCCAAUCGAGUUUUGUCAGCUUGAUUAUCUGAGGAUUUUAGACCUUUCAAACAAUAGUAUUUUCGGAACCUUACCAUCUUGUUUUAGUUCAGCAUAUAUCGAACAAGUUCAUUUGUCAAAAAACAAGAUAGAAGGACGGUUGGAAAGUAUAAUCCAUGACAGCCCCAAUUUGGUGACAUUAGAUCUCAGUUAUAACCGCUUACACGGAAGUAUUCCAAAUCUGAUUGACAGACUACCUCAGUUAAGCUACCUUCUUUUGGCUAAUAAUUAUAUUGAAGGUGAAAUACCAGUUCAAUUAUGCCAGUUGAAGGAAGUGCGGUUGAUUGAUCUUUCUCAUAAUAAUCUAUCUGGUCAUAUUCCUCCUUGCUUGGUUAACACUUCACUCAGUGAAGGUCAUCAUGAGGCAGUAGCUCCAACUUCUAGUUCGCAGGAUCAAUCGCCUGCCUUACUUCCAUCUGAGGCUCCAACUGGAUCUCCGAUGGGAAAGGAAGAAACUGUACAAUUCACAACAAAGAAUAUGUCCCACUAUUAUCAAGGAAGAAUUUUGACGAGUAUGUCUGGGAUUGAUCUUUCUUGUAACAAACUGACAGGUGAGAUUCCUACUCAAAUUGGAUAUCUUACUAGGAUUCAUGCACUAAAUCUAUCUCAUAACAAUUUGACGGGCACAAUCCCGACAACAUUUUCAAACCUGAAGCAAAUCGAAAGCUUGGACCUCUCCUACAACCUACUGCAUGGGAAAAUCCCUUCUCAGCUCACUGUGCUAAAUACAUUGGCGGUCUUCACAGUAGCAUACAAUAACUUAUCAGGCAAAAUUCCAGACAGAGUUGCACAAUUUUCAACUUUUGAGGAAGAUAGCUAUGAGGGGAAUCCUUUUCUUUGUGGAUGGCCACUGUCUAAAAGUUGCAAUGAUAGUGGAUUAUCAGCAGUGACACGAGAAGCUUACACUGAUAAUGAAGAAGGUGAUAGUUUAAUUGACAUGGACAGUUUCCUAAUCACUUUUACAGUAUCUUAUGGAAUUGUGAUAUUAGGAAUUAUUGGAGUUUUAUACAUAAACCCCUAUUGGCGACGAAGAUGGUUUUACCUUGUUGAAGUAUGUAUGAUCUCUUGCUACUAUUUUGUAGUAGAUAAUCUUAUUCCUAGAAGAUUCUAUGGUGGAUGGAUGUAAUUUCAUUUACUUUACAACUUAUAUGUAAUUUUUAAAGAAUUUUCUUUUGCAUGCAUGGAAUAGCAACUCAAUAAAAGUAUUUGAUGCAAAUUGUCCUAGAACAACUUAGUAAUUUCAUUGCUACUAUUUGGUUGUAUAUAUACAGUUAAUGAAAUUUUUAAUCAUUCGCAGUAGGAAUUUCUUUAGAUGGCGGCCAAAACUAACAGAUUUGGGGCUCUACUUCUACACAUCAUAACAGGCAAAAGGUCUCUCUUUUACACGAUCUGAAUGAAGAUUAACUUACGCCCUCUAGGCUCUGGAGUGUGUGUAAGUUCUCUAUUAAACUUGACGGUUGAGAUUUCAGGUCCAGAUGAAAGUUAAAUGCAGGCGACGAGACUUCACUUCAAGUAAACUGGGACAAACUGAGAGUGAUGGGUAGCUCAACUUAUGGAGGAUAACUUGGACUUGGAGUAACUAUCAGAUUUGCAACUCUUGUUAUAUGCUAGUGGGGAUUUAGGUAGCAAUUAUCGCCUUGAGAGUUACAGUAAUCGAUUCAUUUCCUCCUCCAUUUCUGAUGGUAACCCAGCUCUAUACAAGAACAAUCAGAGAAGGUUCAUUUAAGAAAUUUCACAACCCACAUUUUUUUUUUCCUUUUUGCCCUCUUCCUCACAAUAAAAACACCUAACACACCAAGCCGUGCACAAAAUAGUCCUAUUUUAUUCAAGUCAUGAAUCCAAAAACUAUCCCAGCUCACUUUGUUUAACCAGCAUAACUAAAUUGUGGGCAUAAAUGAACACACUUUCAGAAAGCUACACAAUACAAACUGGGUUUCACUUGCAGAAAGCUACACGAUAGACAAAAUCUAGCAGCUACAUAAUGGUAUCACUUUCAGCUGGUCAUGAAUGGUGUGCAUUCAGCAAUGCUCGAUAGACCAUGUCUAUGAAUUGAUUGUCCUAUUACAUAUAAAAUCUGGUCAGAUAUACAAGGAAAAAAAUAAUAAUUGAAAAUGCAUCACAAAAAAUAAGUCUCGCAUUAGUGUUUGCACUCUAAGCAUGAUUUGAAGACUGCGAUAAGUGAAAAAUAGUUCAAUCCACUGAUGAGCAUAAAUUUAUUUAAAUGUCAAUUUAGAUAUCAUAAAAAAGUAAACAGUAAUUCACAGUCACUUAAAAGAGUUGAUAAAAUGCGUGCCAUGAAUGCAUUUUUGUACAUAAGAAAUCCAAAGAGUAUUUCUGACAAUACAAAUAUGCUAGCUUUAAAUCUGCCGUCAAUAUGCAAUUAAGAAGAUUAUACCAGCUGCACGAUAAAGUUCCCCUAAUCUUAAUAACAGUAAACAUGAACAUGUCAGAUGCAAUUAUAGCUUCGAGCAUUUGCAUAACCAGAAAUCCUAACCUGAACAAGCACCAGAAGUGUCUCUCGGACUUUCUCCUUGCUGAUAAAUGGUCCGCUGUUUGAAGUAAGAGCAGGAGUAAGAGAUGGUGGAGGGGUUGGUGGUGGAAAAGGUUGAGGGACUGGGGCACCAUAUGGGCUGCAACACUCAGGGGAGGAUUAAGUGGCGGAGCUGUUGGUGUAGAUGAAGAGACAAGCUGCAUCAUCCGUGCAUAGGAGGAUGGAGGAGGAACAAAGAAUAAGGAAGGCUUUACAAGAUUAGGGGUAGGUGCUGAUAGAGGUGGAGAUGGUAUUUGCAAGGUUGGCACGAUAGGAGAAGCAACACUGGCGGGAUGAGAAGAUAAAGAAAUAGUUGUAUUGGACUGGUAAGGUUGUGCAGAGAUUGCUGCAUUAGAAGUAUUCCCUACAGUCAAAGCUGUCUGCAAUGAUAAGGACAGAUGUCAUAUACAAGGACAUCAUAGAAGUUGAACCUCACACAAAAAUGAAGUGAUAACAUAUGAAAAUAGUAUAUGACUUGCAGCAUUUUUGUGGUAAUGUUGCAUACUUAUGUAGAAACAUAUUAUUUCAAAGAAAACAUACACUGAAGAAGUUCACAAAAGCAGGAUCUUCAGGAACAUCAGCAGCAUUUGAGGGAGUUGACUCUAGAGGACCAUCCAUAACUGCCAUAGUUGGAACAGCUUCCAGUUCCUCAAACUCACUGCAGUUUAACAUAAAAGGAACUUGAUGACCAAUUUAAGUAAUAAUUAGAUGAUAUAAGAGGUUAGGGAAAAUGAUGAGUGGACCCUUAUGGAAGGUGAUUUCACCUUAGCUAAACACGAAAAUAAAAAGAAAUCACCUCGAGUGCAAUGCAAAGAAUUUUUUCUCUCUCUUCUCUAACUCCUCUUAUUCGAAAUUGCUCAUCAUUGUGCUGUUCUUCGAGUUUUCGCUAGAGUAGAGAAAGCUAUUCUCCCGUUAAGUGCAGAGGAAAGAGAAGGGAAAGGGCCUGGUAUGAUGCUAUUCUAUAGGAAGUGAGAAGGUGAAGGGUCGAAAUAUUUUGUAAUUUGGAGGUGGUGUUUGUUAGUGUGUGUGUACUUCUGAAUUUAUUACCUCUGUAGGAUCCAUAGAAAUUGCCUCUUGUUCAGCAUGCACUGUGCCUACGAGUAAGGCGAGCUUGCAUGGUAUCUAUUGUCUAUUUACUUGGAUAUUCAAACAGGACUACCAGUAACACAAAUCCCCAAACAAAACACUCUUUCAAGUGCAAGGAAAGAGUAACUUGGCCAUAUUUAUGGUUCAAGCACUACAAUAACUAAGAAUGUGAUGACUGUCCACAAACACUAUAUCAGUGCCUUUUGAACUACAUCACAUGCUCGAAGACUUUUUUUUUUAGUCAUACAUAAAUUAGCUAUAAAAUUAAGACCAUUAUACAACUAAAAAGAAAGAAAAAUUGUUUGCUACUACAUAUCAAUGUAAGAUGGCAGACUUCUUACUUAAACAGAUGAGAGGCUACAAAUAAAAAAUUUGUGCAAAUAAAAUAUAUGAUAAAGAGCAUAAUACUUUCUUGGGGGCUAAAAAUAAUAUACAACUUGUGAAAUAUAAAUUGAGCUACCAUUACCUUUUAGAUGUGGCAACUUUCGACUUUUGAGGCACCUUGGAAUAUGCAUUCAGAAUCCUGCAUUUGGAAGCCAAAUAAAUAAUGUUAAUAACAAUUUUACAAUAGAAAAAUUAAAAAUUGAUAAAUGGCAGUUGUAAUUUAUGUAUGCGUAAAGAUAGCUUCACAUCCAGGGUCCUCCCAUAAACAUGCUUGUAACAAGAAUUAGUUUGCCUCAACUGUUAGCAACUGCUAACAAUAUACAAUAGUAAAAAUCACUCUUAUGAAGUCAACAAUACUAGGCACCAAUAAGAGUAUGAUACAGCCAUUCUAAAAUGGAAGAGAAUACAACUGUUUUACAACUUUGUUGCAUCAGGAGAUAUGUUAGGAGGAUUAAUCCAGAUACCUUCCAACCCAAUUAGGAAAACUCGAGUCAGAAACAAGGAGCUGCAACCGAACCUUACAAUCUUGAAGGAAGAAGGAGACUUGGGGCAUUUUUCCAGAUAGGUGACUUACUAGAUCUCCUGCCAAGAGAAUAUCUAUUGCUUUGAACCUCCAUUGAAUUUUCUUUUCCCUUUUUCUGGUUUUGACUUGGAACUUUCCAGCAUCAUCUAUUUGAUCUUUUUUAAAGCGAAAAAAGCAAUCUAUGGGUUGUCAACAUCUUAUCACCCCCCCCCCCCGGCCCCCAAAAAAAAAUCAAUGAGUUGUCAAUAAAUAGCGCCUACUCAAAUGUUUUCCAAUGUAUAACAAUGUGCAAAUCGACCUAGUAGCCACAUUUUUCCCCGGUUUCAACCACCGUAUGCAACUUUUCUAACCUUCCUUCAUUGCCCACGUCUACAGAACUAUCAUAUAAAGACUACAUUAUUAUUGGGAUAGAGAAAAAAAUACAGACUAUAUUAUUAUUAUAUCUCAUUUUAUUAAUUAACUAGUGCAAGACUUAUUUAGUGUCAAAUCAAGAACUAAUUAGAAAAGACAACUCAUGAUAAUACAGACCUUAAAAAGCAAUAGCUAGGACCACCCCAUAUACUCCUAUUUUAGCCUUCAAUAUCCUGGUAAAAACACAAUUAAGUCUUGCAAAAGAACAUUCACAAGUAAAUUCAACAUUAAUUAAGAUUAAGUAUCUACUGCACCUUCAAUCAAUGACUGGGUGAAUAGCAUGGUCAACCAUCCAGUUCCUGUAGCCCUCCUUGUACCUAUGUUAGUUACAUUUUACAUAUUAAGCCAGGAAAAUGAAGGAUCACAGCCUGGUAAAGAAAGCCAUUAAUUAAUAGUUUUUGUUUAACAAGUUCUCGUUUAGAUCUUUCCUAUUCAAUGAAUCAAUGUAAUCCAAGGAGAACUCUUCCAUUUCAAGCAGUGUUAGAAGAUAAUUGGAAAGCCUAAAGAUAAUAUACAAGGACCAAGAUAUCAAUUAGGUCAAAUAGUGAAUGUCAAAUAUAAAAAAUAAAUAAAAGAAGUUGUACAUGAUCAUUUACUAUCAAGUUCUGUAAAACUGAAAAUACCAUUAUCCCUAUAGAGAUUCUCAAACAACUCUUUAGCAAAUUAUAAAAUAGUUAAAAAAAGAACGAAAGUUUAAAAAAAAAAAAUGUACAACAGCCAUAUCAGGAGAUGUUUUUCUUCUCAAUCUCAAUAUUUUCUAGCCGUAAAACAAUUGAAAAGCUUAACACCAAGUGAAUUAUUAAGAAUUCAUCAUUUAAAUUCCCAAAUCGCGAAAUGUUGGUGCAACUAGGAAAGUGCAAAUGCAAUCACUUUACUAACACAAGAAACAUCAAUAGUGAGAAGCCAACUUUGUAUCAAAUUUGAAACAGAUAGAUAGAGGUCAAAAAAAUUAUAAAGACACUCAAUUAAAAGCCUUUCAAACAGCUUUUGCAUGCAACAAGAACAAAUCAAAGGCGAUGUGAAUGUAUUGAAAGACUAAUUUACAAUCAUCUACAGGACAUAAAUAUCUUGGAUAACUACUCUCUAUACCUUACUGUCCCACUGAAAAUCAUCAAAUCCCUCCAAACAAAAAUGACAAAAUGGAUAAGAAUUGUGUGGUCAAACUUCAAUAACUUAGCAGCCACAGCAAAAACUUAUGUAGACACGCAAGCCACUCAAAAUAGUCAUAUUGUUUGCUUUCCAAACACAAGCCACUUUGUAAUGAAUAUUCAUAAAUUGCUACUACCAUGUUUGUUAAAACACGUGAAAACCACCAUCACUAACUAAAUGUAACUAAUGAUCAUCAUCACGUUCAUGGAAUCACAUGUCUGACAGUAUUAAUUAGUGCAAAUGGCAUGCUUCUUAAAACUCCUUAUUUAUCACAUGGGUGGCAUUCCAAUCAACCAAUGAUUCUGAUCUAGUCAGCAUAUUCAACCCACGAGCCAGUAAUACCUCCAUUGCUUCUUUAGAUUUCUCAACAAAAUUCCACAUUCUAACCAUACUUCUGAACUUGUUGCUCCCAUAGACUAAUACAAUAUAAAGAUUUCUUCCCACACCACCUCAGCCCUCACUCCUAAAAAACCAAUUUAAAUUCUCAUUGACUGUACAACCUAUAGUCCAUACCAAAUUGAAAAAUUUACAAUAUAGAACCUCAAAGAAUCUUCUUGCGUUCCAUUUUUUACGGCAAGAAAAUUGACUUUUACCACAUGCAAGUCAACAAAUAAAACAAUCAUGUCUUUGUGAGAUGCACAUUUUCAGACGAAUCUGAAGAACAAUGAAACCAUAAAAACCUAAUAUGAGAACACCGAGGACUCCAGAUAUCAUCUAUAGAAUCUUUGGUCCACCCUUGCAUGAUGAAAAAAAAUUGAAGGCUUCGUCACCAACUCCCCAGGUUGUUUUGUUCUCCUAUCUCCUAAAUGUAAAUGAAAGACAACCCGUUCUUUUUCCAAUCUUCAGGGGCACAGAACGACUCUAGUAUUAAAUAGUCAGUUUCUAUACAAAAAUAACUCCUUUGCACUUGGCACUGCACAUCUCAAAAUAAAAAGCAUGCAAGGAGGAGAAUAUAAUAGCAGUAAACAAGUUUUAUUAACCAAACUUCAAAGAUGCCACACAAGGCAAAAAAGAAAUCUGUACAAGCCAGAUCCCAAGAAUAAUAAUUCCAAUAUACAAUUCAUGAAAACAAUAACAAAAACCAUGUUCAUGAGGCCUCAGCAGAAGCAACAUGUAAUAACCAUACUCUAUUAUUUGAAACACAUUUCCAAGUUUGGUUAAGAUUCUAAACUAUUCUCUAUCUGUCAAUUAUUAACAUGUAAAACAUAAUAAUAUACACUUAAACUACUACAGUAGUAAAACCAGUAAAACAACAAUACCUGCUAAAAAGAUUUGCUACCUCUUCACAUUCACGAGCAUUGUAGAACCAAAUCCCAUUUACUUCUUGCGAUGCAUUCCGAUAUAACAAAUACGGAACCUGAACUUCAAACUCUAAAUCUCCCAAAAGAUUUUCCACUAAAUUAUCUGCACAUAUACAAGAUAUUGAAGCUUAUCAGUGCAAAAACAUAUACAAAAAGACAUGAAGGUUAGGAGACAUAACUAAAACUUAGCAACAACUGAUAAGCACAACAAGACAUGAAAUAUAACACUAGUUGUAAACAAGAUAGACACACGGUAUCUAAAUAAUUGUACCAACCCCCUCUCCUGAUUGUCAUAAAAUGGCCAAUAUUUAACGCUAGACAACAACAUUGCAAAUACUCUAGCCUCUAUAUUAUUGGCAUAUAAAUAUUUUCGGUUAGGUACAUUAUAUUCUUCGUUCUAAAACCUCAAUUAUUAGCUAGUACUGUGAUAAAAUGAUUCAUCACUGAAAUUAAAACUAGUUCACGUACAAAUAAUCAAAACUGAAAUAGAAACAACGACAAACCAACCUGUAUUACGUCGAUUCAUCACAACAAACUGAAAUCGAGGCUGUGUGUUCCUGAAAAUUGAAAAAAUAAUAAUUUCAUCAACUUCAUAUGUAAUACAAUCUCCAAAACACCGAAUAUCAAAUAAAAAAAUGGAAAGCAUACGAGGGAAAAUAAUCUUAUUUUAUGACCUUUUGACGACGAAGAGAGAUCCUUCAACAUCCUUACGACUCCAUUGGCUGAGAUCGAUGUUGAACUCGUAGAAGGUGACAUGAGCGGCCGUGAUGAGGAUCUCCUCAAUGAAUGGAUCAAUUCGCUGAAGAACCGUCAGGUUUAGGAGUUUUGUGCUCUGCUGGUCCAGAUUAGGCAUCAAUUUUCCGUUCUGCGACAUAUUUCAUAGUCCUUUUGGGCUCUGCCCCCAGCACAAGCCCCAUGGUUUUUCUGUGAGCUCUCUCUUUUGUAAAUAAAGUGUUCGAUGAGAUAGCCGAGAGAGAGUGAAAGAGUUGAACAGCCAAACAAGGUGAGGUGAACAGUUUCGGACCGAGACUCGAGAUUGAUCUUGCUUUAACUUCUUUUUAAACAUUUGGGAAAUAGCAUUUAUUUCUUUCAAUUUCUCUACUUUUUUUUUCCUUUAUGUCAUUUAGACCCCAAAAUUAGAUUUAUUAUAAUCAUAUUUUACCCAUACACUAUUAACCCAUUUUAUUUUUUAAAUUGUCAAAUAUUAAUGUAUUAAAAUAAUGUUAGAAAUCCCAAUUAUUAUCUCAAUGUUUCAAUCAUAACUAAUGUGAUAACUCAUCGGUAACUGCAACAUUAACUUAAUUAUUAAUGUUUAUCAUGAAAUGAUGAGAUUAUUAUUCAAGAAAAACUUAGUAAACAUCAAUGACUAAUAUAAUAUGACAAUUACAGCUGAAUAUUAGUACAAGAAUUAGGAUCCCUAAAGUUAGUGAAUGUAUUAUAAUAUAUGUGUGUUACACCACUUUAUGUCUCUCAAAUUUAAUUAAGUAAUUUUAUAUUCAAUGAAUCAAUGUAAUCUAAAGAGAACUCUUCCAUUUCAAACUGUGUUAGAAGAUAUUUGCAAAGCCUAAAGAUAAUAUACAAGGACCAAGAUAUACACAGAUUGUUUCUUUAUGGAAUUAAAGAGCUUUAUAGAUGUUAAAACUGUUUCAAACAAUUUUUCUUGUUUGGUUUAACUAAGGAAGAGCUUGUGGAAGAUUAAAAAUGAUGUUUCCUAUUCUCUGUAGGAAGCUUUUAGGAGAUAUUUUGGGCUUUUUUGAAAGGUUGAAUUGUCAAAAAUACCUUCAUGUUAUUGUUUGCUAAAAGAUGUUAUGGACAACUAAACAACCAACGACAUUUUGUUAAAAACUCUACUAGUGUAGGAUCUACUUAAAGAAGUUAUACCAAACAGACUCUUAGACUGAAUAACCCGAUCUUAAGUUUGUAAAAUUGGGCUCAGAAUCUUCACUAACAACCCCGCUUCGGUGAGAAAGCCCAAGCCUGUUACUUUGUAUAACCUUAUUCUGUAUGUUUGAUUGUAGGAACUGGCCAAUCAUACCGACGAGGUGAGUGUGCAGCAUGAGGUGCUUGACGGGAUGUUUACUUUCAAUGAUACAACUAAAGCUAGCCUCAACAUAUAUCAGGUGCCUGCUUGUUUUUGCCUUCUAGAUACUAAUAUUGUUUAGACGUGUAAUCUCUCUCUCCAUUGAACGCUAGCCAAGAGAAAUGUCUGAAUUAUCGAAACAAGAUGAAUUAUUUUUUGUUUAUCGCAGCAGACGAUCUAUGAGCAGAAUUUCUUACAACAAAAGAUGUGUGUCCACCGGCUUGUAUUUAGUCUCGUAAUGCAUUUUAUAUAUAUGCACGCGCACACAGUUUGAGAAGAAUCAGACCAUUAAUUUUCGUUUGAGCCAAUCAACAGAAUGUACAUUUCUUCUAUGAACUUGUAACCGAAACCGCAGUUUUUCAGGUUUGAUGCAUCUGGGAAAAUUUUCAGAUGGAAUAAAACCACCAUGCGCCAAGGUACCAAUGAUGUUUCUUCCAGCUUACGAGCACUUCAAAUAAACUUAGGUCAUAUUUACACAAGGGCGCACAUGAUAUCAAUCUAAUGGCAAUUAUAUCAUCUAAAAUCCAAGACCAAGAGUCUCCCAUUUUCCCGUUCCCUACUCUGUUCAUAUUAUCAUAACUUGAAGUUGCAAGGCAGCCGCAAUCUCCCAGAUCUUUGCUCCUUCCUCAUAGCAGUUAAUCAAACGAUAAACAGAGAUAUCCCAUGUCAACAAGGAGGUAAUCAUAAAAGAACAACAGAAUUGUUGCAAUAUAUUCAUAUGAAAUGUAAAACAAUUUUGAGAAAAAAUAUUGGGAAGAUAUUUUUUUUUUCAUAGAAGUUGCAAUCUUUACGUUAUAUACUAGUUUGACUAGACUAUACAAGGAAGCUAUAUGAAAUUAGAAAAAUAAGCUAUACUAGGAAAGAAUAAAUAUAUGUACAGAAAAUUAGGCUAUAAUCUCUGACUUUCAACAAAUUUAAUAUCAAUUUUCUUCAGGAAGUUGUCUCGCAAGGGGCGCAUCAGUAUUGCAACGUCUGCUGGGUCUUACAUUAUCCACAAAAAUAACUCGUCCAUCUAGUAACUGCAAGUACAUACUGUGAGAUGCUUAAACUCAACAAUAUAAGCAUGGUAAAUUAGAGAAAAAUGAUGCAAUUUUACCUUCCCAUUCAUGUCUGCCAAGGCUUUUUGGGCUUCCUCUUAUGUACUGAAAGUCACAUAUCCGUAACCUUUUGAUCUAUUCUUACCUUAUCCAUUAUUAUUGUAGCUGCAAAAAGAAAAGAAUCGGAUAUUACAAAAUAGUGAAGAGGGAAGAGGGGUUGAGACUUAAAACAGAAAUAGACCAAACCCUCAGUGACGUGGCCAAAUUGUGAAAAAGCAUCAGCUAACAUGCCUUUAGUGGUUGAGAAAGAUGCGCCUGCAAAGGAUGCCAGUUAAUUUUAUCAUAAUUAGAUGGUAAGAUUGCAAAUUCUGCAGCCAAAGGUAGUACGGAACUGAAUGAAGGAAAUCAAAUAUGAAUAUGUUGUCAAUCUCAAAAUAUUAAGAGUAGCAUAAGUAACUUGUGAAACAGUUAUAAGUUCAAGGGAAUUAGAUGAUGGUAUGGUUGAAUUUAUAAAUAUUUGAUAUUUAACAAGUUAGUGUGUACUAUGCAAUUGCAAAAUUUAAGUUCCACAGAAUCGGUUCCUUUAACAUGAUGCAUCACAUAAUAUUUUGUUUGCAAAAUAAAGAAGAAAGAUGACAUAAUAGAAACACUCACAGAGAGAGAAUACCUUUGACGAAAAGCUUAGAAGUGAAUCCUCUGUAAAAUACGAGUUGAGCUGCUGAAUUUUCGAGUUUGAAUGAGAGACUGCGGCAAUUCUGAAAAUGUUUUUUUCUCAUUAGCGCCGCCAUUUUUGUAAUAGAGGGUAAAGAAAUAAGUAACAGAGUAAGAGGUGAGCAGAAACGGCCCAAUUUAGUUAUAUGCCAUGCAUGCGAUCAAAAUUGAAUGGUUAAAUGGCAGCCACUAUGUUACAUCUUGUGUAAGUAACAAACCGCCUACAUGGAUCGUUGGAUUUGGGAAUAUGAAAUCCAAUGGAUAAUAUUGAAUUUAACGAAAAAUAGAUUACAGGUUGCAUUAGUCCAAGAUUAUUUCAAACAAACCAGCUGAUGAAAUAGCCGCUAAUCAAAUUUAAAAGGGAAAAAAAAUCAUAGGUUAUAGAUCUUAUUUCCAUCUUAAAUCUAUGUCUUUCAUGGUAACUCAAUGUGUAUUCUAAUUUAUAAUUUGGAUCUAUAUUAGAGCUAAUGCUUCCCUAAAUAACUAAGAAAAUUUUCUUUUCAUUGAUUAAAUAUCUAUUUCCAAGAUCUUGUAUAUGUAGGAUUUGAAAAGAGGGAGAAUAGUAGGGUUGAUAAUGAGAGAAGAUAGAGAUGUCCAUUCUCAAAUCUAAUAUUAAUGCUAUACUUAUGUUCCUAUACUAAAUAAAUUAUCCAAGGUUCGUGGUUAAUGAUAAGUUGCGAAAUUUUAAUUUCUAUUUAAAGUUUUGUCUAAUAUGGCUUUUCAUAAAGCUUAGAGAAAAGUAGAGCUUUUACAAAAAAACAUUUAAUUAGAAUUGUGAAUGAUAAAUUUUAUUAAAAUUUUUUAAAAAGUACUUUAAUAAAUAAGCUUUUAAAGUUAUAUAUAUUAUGAAAGAAAUGAAAUAAGAUUAUAUAAUAAAUUAAGAGUAUCUUAGAUAAUUGAACUUAAAAAAAAAACUCGCUAAGAGGAUUAAAAUUUGAGUUUUAAUAGUGGAUACAAAAUAGUUUAUUUAAUUCUCAAAAGCUCUACUCAAAAUAGUUUAUUUAAUUCUCAAAAAAUAUUUUUUUCAAUGAGUAAAUAAUACUAAACAUGCACUAAAGUGUUAGGACCAGAAGUUGUCCAAAUAAAAUCAUGAAAUUAUAUGCUGUUGGAUGGAUAUUUUUCAAAUUUGCUGUAGUUUUUUUUUCUUUUCUGCUGGGAAAUUGAAAUGAUGGCUACAACUUAAAUUAUGAAUGGAGUAAUCGGAGAAUAUUGAAACCCAUUUAAUUUGGAUCGUGCAUUGAGGGACGAAAGGAUAAAAAAUUUAAUUUUGAAAUUGCUGUUGGGUACGGUACAAUGACUUACCGUUGACAGCUUGUGCAACCGGAUUACAAUCGGUUAGUUCAAUAAUUUUAUAUCCCUAUUCAACCGCCACGUGCUGCUGUUACAUGGGUCAAUUACUCAUGUCAUUACUGUUACUUACAGCUGCUGUAACAUAACCGGACCCAAAUGGUUAAAUUCUGUUGUUUCCAAUAAUUUUAUGCUGUAUCUUCUUUAAUAAUAAAGAAAACUUGCAUUAAAAUUAAAAUUAGGGUAAUGCCUGAUUUUAUAAAUAGAUUGCAAUGUAAUUUUGAAAAAUAAAUUAAUAAUUUACGAAAUGUUUAUAACAUAAUUUAAUUUUUUUCAAAAAGGAAAAACAACAAAAGUAAAAAAUAGAGAAUGAGGGCUACAAACUUUGCAUCUUAAACGGCCGUUAGAUUAUUUGUAAAUGAAAGCAACGGUCAGAUAUUGGUGGAUUAUGGAAACAUGUAAUCAUAAGGACUACGAGUUUUUUUUUGUUACAUUAAUAUAUUACAAUCAAAAUUCUGUUGGUAUUUAGAACCAGAAUUUCAUUUGACUAUCUUUGAUAAUUCUAAGCUGGUACAGCCUAAAUUCUUAUUCUCAUAUAAUAUCAAAGAGAGAUAUAUAUUCUUCUCCUCUAUUAAUAAAGAGACAUUUUUACUUCUAUCCAAUUUAAAUAGAACAAGAAUUAAGUCAUUUUAAUAGUUAGGACUCAAAACUCAUACACGUUAGUUUGAGAGUGUGGGGUGUGACAAUGGGCCAAGAGACCAUUGACAAAUACAAAAGAGUGGCAGAAAUUAAUUCAAACCGCUACACACGCUAUUGCAACCAAAUUGAGGGCACAUUUUUGUUUAUUUUGUUGAAAAGUAGUCUGUAAAAUUAACUCAAACCGCUACAUACGCUAAUGCAACCCAAUUGAGGGCCCAUUUUUGUUUAUUUCGUUGAAAAGUAGUUUGCGCAAUUAAUUCAAACCGCUACACACACUAUUGCAUCUUUUGAAAAAGAAAAAUGGAAUAAUUUUUCAAAAUUAAUUUAGAGAAUAAGAUUUACUAAUAAUGAUGUUAGAAAUCUUAAUAUUUGAAUCUUAAUAUUAUCUAUAGAAAUCUUAAUAUUUGAAUCUUAAUAUUAUCUAUCACUCAUUUAUUAAAUAAUAAAUUUCAUAGUUUGUAAAAUUACUUAACCACUUGAUAAAUGUUAUAUUUGUUGGGACUAGAUUGGGACUUAAAUAUUAGAAUAUCUAGUAUUACAUAAAAAAAAUUAACAAUUUAUCUUCACACGACUAAUUGUUUUUACAUCACAACUAACCUUAAUUAUUUUAAAAGUUAUAGUAUUAUUAAAUUGCCCUAACUAGUUAUCAAAAGGUGAAAGCAUGUUUUAAAAAGAAAUUACUAAGAAACAUUUGUUUAAACGAAGGUUAAGGUUAUGAUCAAUUAAUUAAGAAGAAACUUACUAUCAAAGGUUAAGAUUAUGAACAAUUUAAGGAAGUUAUUGAGCAGAGAAAGGGACAGAAUGGAUGUUUGAAUUGCCGGUGACAAGAAUGCUUGUGUUGUGAAAAGAAAUCCGAUGGUUUGUAAAUGGGUUGAAUUUUUCGCUCGCUUCAAUGACUUGCUUAUGCCCAAUAUAUUACUUUGCACAGUAGUAUUUGGGAUCCUAACAAUCAACUCUUAAUUUGGUCCCAAUAUAUUACUUUAUGAAUGAUUAGUUAAUAACUAUCAUGUUAAAGCUUCUGUCAAGCAAACACCCAUUGAAUUUUUCGCUCGCUUCAAUGACUUACUUAUGCCCAAUAUAUUACUUUGCACAGUAGUAUUUGGGAUCCUAACAAUCAACUCUUAAUUUGGUCCCAAUUAGUAUAGUAAUCAUCUAUUGAGCGGUAAAAUUUUCUUGCUUUCAAUUUCCACUGUUAUUUUUUUUAAAUAAAAUAAUUUAUUUAAACUAGUCAUAGAAAUAAGAGAGAAAAGGGGUCAUUUCUUGACUCAAAGUCAAUUGUAAUUAUCAAAACUUGAGGGGACAUCGCAUGCCUAAAUUCCACACACCCUAAAACGGUUUGAUUUGCUUUCAGGCGUUCAUGAAUUUCCAUGAAAGAGCCUGCCUUUCGUCUCUUUCGGGACAGUGACUACAAUAAUGGAAAAAAUUAUAAUUCUCGUUAGAUUGUAACCAAAUUAUUAUCCCUAAUUUUUUUAAGUUAAAUAUAAUUAAAUUCAUGCUUAAGUAUUUAGUAAUUAGAGAGAGAUAGAGAGGAUUGAGGGCCAAUGUUUCGCGAUUUGGGGUCAAUUUAAAGUCAACUAACGUGUAAAACACGUGUAUGCAUAGAAAACGCUUAGAUUAUUUGUGUUCCCAAGUGCAAGAAAUUAAGAAAAGAAAAUUUGAUUUCCUUUCAUGAACUUCCAAGAAAGAAAGAAGACCCUUCACCUUGUUCGUGACAACAAAUGAAUGAAUGAUGUUGAUAUGACAAAUACAAGCGCUAUUACAGGGAACAGCAUAAGAUCGAGACUUGAUAAAGGGUUUGUUAAAUUACAUGUUAUUUUCUUUUGACUUGAAUGAUGUUGAAGAAAAAAAUAAAAUAACAUUGUAAUCAGGGUGAUGUGUGGAAUAUAGUGAAAUAAAUAAAUAGAGAAGAGAAAUUCGUUGAUCAAUAUUCAAGAACUCAUCCAAAGUGAUCGUCAAAGUCUAGAGGUUCGGUAUGAUUAGCAUUUAUUUUUAUUUUUUUUUGGCUUAGCAUCAUAUAUAGUCACCUGUCGUGUGAUCUAGGACAUGUUUAGAAAUCCUUUUAUUUUAACUUCCGUAUUCUUAUUAUUUAAUUAGUUAUUGGGUUUUUAAGUAUUUGAGUAUUGAUCACAUGUCUCCUAAUCUAAAAAUAUGUUUUUAAGAGUACAAAUAACAAACUAGGAUUUUAACAGCCUUUUAUACUAAACCCUAAAAAUACAUGAAUUUAUCAAAAUAAGUAAAUUAAUUUAAAUUGGUAUGGCAUAUUAGAAGUUUUACCAGCCGAAACAAAUUAAAAAAAUAUUACACUUAAAUCAAAUAUUGACAAAAAUAGAUAACAAUCUAAUGAGAAUCUUAACUAGACAUUUUUACUUCUAUCCAAUUUAACUGGAUAAAUUGACAAAUAUUGACAAAAAUAGAUAACUCAUACACGCUAGUUUGAGAGUGUGGGGUGUGACAAUGGGUCAAAAGACCAUUGACAGGUAUAAAAGAGUGGUCGCAAUUAAUUCAAACCGCUACACACGCUAUUGCGUCUUUUAAAAAAGAAAAAUGGAAUAGUUUUCCAAAAUUAAUUCAGAGAAGAAGAUUUACUAAUAAUGAUGUUAGAAAUCUUAAUAUUUGAAUCUUAAUAUUAUGUAUCACUCAUUUAUUAAAUAAUAGAUUUCAUAGUUUGUAAAUUUACUUAACCACUUGAUAAAUGUUAUAUUUGUUGGGACUAAAUUGGGACUUAGAUGUUGGAAUAUCAAGUAUUGCAUAAAAAUAAAAAAUAAAAACUUAACAAUUUAUCUUCACAUGACUAAUUGUUUUUACAUCACAACUAACCUUAGUUAUUUUUUAAAGUUAUAGUAUUAUUAAAUUGCCCUAACUGGUUAUCAAAAGAUGAAAGCAUGUUAAAAUAAGAAAUUACUAAGAAACAUGUGCUUAAACAGAGGUUAAGGCUACGAACAAUUAAGAAGAAACAACUUACAAUCAAAGGUUAAGAUUAUGAACAAAUUAAGGAAGGUAUUGAGCAGAUAAAGGGACGAAAUCAUUGUCUGAAUUGCCGGUGACAAGAAUGCUUGUGUUGUGAAAAGAAACCUGAUGGUUUGUAAAUGGGUUGAAUUUUUUAUUCGGUCGCUCCAACUGACUUACUAAUGCCAAAUUUAUUACUUUGCACAGUAGUGUUUAGGAUCCUCAAGAUCAACUCUUAAUUUGGUCCCAAUUAGUGUAGAAAUCAUCUAUUGAGCAAUAGAAUAAGAAUUUUUCUAGUCAUGAAAUUCAAUAUAUAAUAUAUCCUUGACACACAUCGAUUAUAACUUAACUGUUAGAAUUCAUAACAUUACUCUACUCUCAAGGGGAGUUCUCUUAACAUAUUAUGUUAGGUUGCCUACAUUCAAAAUAUGUUAGGCUGCUCUUUGAAAACAAUAUUCCUUUUUCCGUAACUUUGAAUUGAUCCAAUAGCUCUUGAAAAGCACAUAAUAAUCAUUAUAAAUUUAAUCAAAGACUAAGCAAGUCUUCUUUGCAUUUGAUCACUGGCAUUUCAGUUAAGUUUGUCAUUUACUUAAAUUUUUCUUGCUUUCAAUUUCCACUGUUGUUUUUUUUAAUAAAAUAAUUUAUUUAAACUAGUAAUAGAAAUAAGAGAGAAAGGGGUUUUCUUGACUCAAAGUCAAUUAUAAUCAUCAAAACUUGAGCGGACAUUGCAUGCCUAAAUUCCACGCACCCUAAAACGGUUUGAUUUGCUUUCACGCGUUCAUGAUUUUCCAUGAAAGAUAGUGCCUGUCGUCUCUUUCCGGACAGUGACUACAGUCAUGGAAAAAUUAUGUUAAAGUGACGAAUACAAAACGUUAUUACAUGCAAGAAUAAGUUUUUGGAGCCGAGACUUGAGGGAGGUUCUAUCUAAUUCUAAAGAUUGUAACCAAAUCAUUAUCCCCAAUUUUUUUCAGUUAAAUAAAAUAAAAUUUAUGCUUAAGUAUAAAUAAUUUUUUUAAGUUAAAUAUAAAAUAAAAUUCAUGAACUUCCUAGAAAGAAAGAAGACCCUUCACCUUCUUCACGACAACAAAUGAUGUUGAUAUGACAAAUACAAGCGCUAUUACAGGGAACAGCAUGAGACCGAGACUUGAUAAAUAUUAAAUAUAUAAAAUAAGUGGAGCAAACAAACAGAAUAAUAGAUUUUUAUAAUAUUCUUCAUAAAAAUCCAAGUUUUGAGCUGGCCCAUAAGCUUAUCUAGUGAAGUCUGGGUAUCCGCAUUGCCCAAGGUUCCGCUUGAAUCCAGGCUGUGCUGAUAUUUAUGACAUCCCAUAUGGACGGAGAGGAAAUAUAUUCAGUUGACUGAAUUAAAUAAAAAUAUAUUACAAUCAUAUUAUAUAUUAGCAGCAAAAAUAAAAAGAAAUGAAGAAAAACGCUGUGUGGUUCAAAAAGAGUGUGGGUGAGUGAGUUAAUUUUCAUAUUAUUAGUAGUAAAAGGGUGGUGGAGUGAGGGAUGUUUGGAGCAAGAGAGGUCUGCUCUCCUCCAACUCAAACAUUUCUUCGAUGAUGAUCACCGUCUUCAAAACUGGGUAGACGAUGAGAAUUAUUCAGAUUGUUGUCAGUGGGAAGGGGUUGAGUGCAAUAACACCACUGGCAGAGUGAUUGAAUUAUAUCUAGGAGCCACUAGGAAUCGGGAAUCAGCAGAGUGGCAUAUGAAUGCUUCUCUGUUUACUCCCUUUCAACAAUUAGAGUCUCUUGAUUUAAGUUUGAACAAUAUAGCCGGUUGUGUUGAAAAUGAAGGUCCUUAAUUUACUUUAUUUUAAUUCUUCCUAUAAAUUUCUUACAUUUAUCUGAUCCCUUUUGGCUUUUGUUUAAUUUGUACGUGAUACAAUAAAAUUAUUUUUUAUUUUUUGGCAGGUCUAGAUAGGUUAUCAAGGUUGAACAACUUGAAGUUUCUUUUUUUAGACUUUAACUGCUUCAACAACAACAUCUUUUCAUCUCUAGGUGGUCUUUCAUCACUCAGGAUCUUAUCAUUGUUUCUUAAUAGAUUGAAUGGAAGUGUUGACAUUAAAGGUAAAGUAAGCUUCAUCCCUUCUCCCGUGUCCCAUCUUUUGUGGAUCUUAUUUCAUCGACCAGCUGGAAGUAUUGAUACGAGAUCUUGCUAGUGCAAGCUUCAAGGCUUUGAGUGCUACAAAAAUAGGUCUAAGAAAUUAUCAAUACAUAACGUUAUUACAUACAAUAAUAGUUCUAAAGAUUGUAACAAAAUCAUUAUCCCCAAUUUUUUUAAGUUAAAUAAAAUAAAAUUCAUGCUUAAGUAUAAAUAAUACUUUGGACAUUCUUGAUAUUUGUCCUUUUAAGAUAAACAGCAACCCAAUUAUCUAUUUGUUUGUCUGUUUUUUUUUUUUCAAUAACAGUUUGUUAGCAUAAAUAUUUACCUGUGAAGUCGAGGAGGAGAAAAUGUUAGAAAAAAUAAAAAGAAAAAAAAUUAAGGGGGAUAGAAUUAGAUUUUCUUUUUUGAGCAAAGAACAUACGUAAAAAGAUAUUAAAUCUAUUAAGUCUAAUUGUCUAUAACGGUAAAUUGCAUAACGAAUAAUUUAUUAGCGUAAAAUAAAUUUUAUUAGAUUCUGAUUAUUUGUUUGAUUUCUUUUCUCUCUGGACUCAACUUAUUUUGUUUAUUUGAUUUGAUUUUAUUUUUUUUUUAAAGAAACUUAUUGUUUAUCAAUACUGAAUGGCUUAAGAUUGAUGUCUUGAUAAUAGAUGGGGCAAUAUUGCAUUUUUAAUGCAGUAGACUUUGAAGUUAUCAUUGACAAGCUUAGAUGAAUUACUAGGACCAUAAUACAAAUGUCACAGGCAUCGAAGGCACUUACCAAGUUUUGAGUACAUUCCUGUUCCUAUCUAAUAGUUUUUAAUUUCUUUAAUUUAAGACCCCAUUCAUUAAUAUUUUCUUUAUUGUGAAGUUAAUUUUUUUAUCUGAAAUUAAAUUUUUUUUUUAAAUUGUUGACUUAUAGUUUACCUUUGUGUUAAAUGUUGGCAAAAUUAUUUUGUCCAAACCAUUUUUUUUGUCCUGAACGUCCAACUAAAAACUGAAUCAAGGGUUAAGUUGUAAGGUUUCAGUUCGUCCGUUAUAUUAAUUUAUUGUUUUAAUAUUAUGCAGUACAAAUAGGUGUAUAAGUCCAGAGGCGGAUGCAGCACAUGACCAGUGGGGGCUUGAGCCCCCACUGGCCAAAAAAAAAAAUUAAAAAUAAAAGAAUUUUUAAAAUUUUUUAAUUAGCCUCAUUAAAUUUAUUAAAAUAGUCACUAUAAAAUAUAAAUCCCAUAAAAUUUAAACUUUGAUUUUUAAAAAAUAUAAAAAUAUAUAUUUUAAUUAAAAAUAAUGAUAGCCCACUACUCAAAAAUUUUCUAUUCUAAAAAAUAUGGUUAAUUCUUCCAGUUUAUAUAAUAAUAGUAGAACGAACAGUUUCAGUAAUAAAACUCAUGAAGAAUCAUCUUUGGAAUCGGAUGGGAUACGUGAUAGUUUGAUUGUUUAUAUAGGAAAUAAUAAAUUUAAUAAUAUUGAUAAUGAGCCUAUUGCAUAACAUUUUAAAAAUAUAAAAAUGCGUAGAGACUAAUUAUAAAUAUUUUAUAUAUUCAAAAUUUUAAUUUUUUAUAUUUUACUAUUAUCUAAUUUAGCCCCCGGUAAAUUAUUUUUUUAGAUCCGCCACUGUAUAAGUCCAUCAUUUAAAUGCAAAAUGAAACCACAUCAAUAUAGAAAUUAAAAGAAAAUGAAUUCUCACAACCAUACGGUGAGAUUCAAACUCUCUAUCUCCGAGGAUUUCUUAAAGUUAUUCUUAAAUUACACUUAAAUGGUUAAAUUUAAUAAAUAAAGGUUUAAUUCUUUUCUCGCACAUUGUAGAAGCAAAUUUUCUCCUCUGUUGAAAAUUCUAAAUAUUUUUUUAAAUUAGGUUUCAACUAUGACAUGUCAGGACAGAUUUGAUACAUUUCUAAUGCAACCGAUAUAACAACACAACUUUGUGAUUUUUACUAUUCAGGAGAAGAAGAACACAACCUGUAUAACCCAACCGUUUAUAUACAAACAUCGAAUCGCUUUUUAAAAUUAAAUUGGGAAAAUUGGGGAUAUAAUCGUUUUUCAUAUAUAUACAUUUUUUCCUUACAAAUUAAAUUCAUGGUUGUUAGCUAAAUAUACCCGCUUAAAGCCACUCAGUCGAACCCUUUGAGAGCUGCUUUAAAUUUUUCGGAUUAGCCAUAUUCUUUUCACUGAGAUUUAACAUAAAAAAAAGGAGAAAAUAAGUUAUUUAAUUAACUCUAUUUUUAAGUGUUGGCAUAAAUACAGGACUCGAUUCCUUGAGUAACUUGGAGAUGCUGGACAUGAGCGACAAUGCAAUCGACAAUCUAGUGGUUCCUAAAGGUAUACAAAAUGUUCAAAUAUUUAUAAUUUGGAGGACAAUUUAAUUGAUUUGAUAAGGGAAUGCCCAAUGACACUUAUCCAAAAUAAUUUAAUCCGAAAUUGUAUCCCAAAUAGAUUACAGAGGCUUGAGGAAGUUGAAUACCCUUGGCUUAGGGGGAACGGAAACUGCAAUUAUAGAUGGAAGUAAGGUGUUGCAAUCAAUAGGAUCACUACCGUCCCUCAAAACACUUUACCUUUCGUGUACUAAUUUUACGGGAACAGUAGUUAAUCAAGGUAAGUAAAUCUUUUAUGUCGAAAAUAAUUGAAUUAAUAUAUAUAGCUAAAAUUUAUUGUUUUUACUUCUUUCUAAAUAGAAUUGCACAAUUUCACCAACUUGGAAGAAUUGAUAUUGUACAAGUCUGAUCUCCAUGUAAGCCAACUUCUGCAAGCAUCAUUCACUUCGUUAAAGAAUCUGUCAAUGCAUUAUUGUGUACUCAAGGGUGCCCUACAUGGUCAAGGUAAAUUACGGGUAUCCGAAGCUUUUAUGAUAUUAAUUUGAUAAUAAUUCUUUCUUUUCAAGUUAAUUUUUUCCCCUAAAAUAAGAUUUUUUUUCUUUUAAAUUUUAUAUAUUUUCAUUGUCCAAUAGUUCUAGCUUCUCUUAAUUGCAGGAUUCUUGAUUAAGGUUAAUGAAAUUUUAGUUCUAUUAUGUUAAGAAUAUUUCGAUCGCUUAGAAGAGUAAAGAAAAAUUAGUAAAUUAACCAAAACAAAAGGAUCAGAUUAUCCUUAUUCCCUUGCAUUAUGUGAUCAAUAUCAAAAUUAUAACCAUUUCUUGUUUAUUGCUUGUAGAUUUUCGUAAAUUCAAGAAUUUGGAACAUCUGCACAUGGGUGGGGCGCAGGUUGACGUCAACACCAGUUUUCUUCAAAUUGUCGGUGAAUCGAUGCCUUCACUUAAGUUUUUAUCACUGAUAAACUCUAGUAAAAAUAUUUGAACUAAUAAUAUCAGACAGCUGGCCUUUCUUUUCCUUGAGAUACUGAUUCGGAGUACUAAUAAUUUUUUACAAGUAAAGUUCCAUUAAAAUAGCAUAAGCCAUGACAAACACGUAUUGUUUAAUGGGCAUCCGUGAGACAAAGGAAUUGAUUAACCCAAAAGAUCAUAUGUACGGACACAACGUUUUAAUUAUUAACUUGUUUAAGUUUCUAAUCAACCUCUCUAAUCAAUCACAGCAAUUUUUCUUUUCCUCUAUCUCAAUCACUAAUUUCUUAAAGUGUAUACAAUUUUAGGAUGUUUGUAUUCUGAGAAGUUACACCAGCAGCAACCAAUUAUUUCGAAUGGAUCAGACUCAUCACGUAGAAAUAUUUAUUGUGGAUAUGAGGGAUAUUUUAAUAUAAUCUUAUUCCCACUCUCAUAUGACCGUGUAUAUUUAUAUGAAGAUUUAUUUCUUUGUUUUUUCAAUAAUAACGUGUAACAAUUGGAGUUUAAUUGAGUGGUUUUCAACUAAAUUUUAUUUAAUUGGCCACUCAAUUUUAAAUUUCAGGAGAGUUGAAAAUUUAAAAAUUAGAUUAAACUUUACUCAUUCUUUACCUUUCUAAAAGAAGAAAAAAGUACUGAUUUUUAAACAAUUGGCCGUUACAGUCUAUAAAGUUUUGAUUUGCUUUUUUAUAUAAUCGCUUUUAUUAAAAGAAGAAAAAAAUAUCGAUUUUUAAACAAUUGGCCAUUAUGAUAUAUAAACUUUUGAUUGCUUAUAUAUAAUCUCUUUUAUUAUUCCCCUAAAAUAUUGUCGAUAAUAAAAAAAAAAAAAAAAGCAGUCGGCCUAUGUAGCAAUGCAUAUGUGGUAGUAUAUGCAAAAUAAUAAUUUAUAUAAAAUUAACCCACAAAAAAAAUGAUUGAUGUGAAUAUAGAGUAUAAUUUCAUAUUCAUACACUUUUGAUUUUGUUAGGGCAUAUACUAUAUUGAUAUGAGCAUAGGACAUUGUUUACUAAAUAAAAUUAUUAAUAGUUUUAGUCUUCUAGAAUCCCCUGAUAGUGCUCUUAAUCAAAUUAUAAUAUAAGUCAUUGCUUUUUCUUUUUUAUUUUACCAUUUUAUUCUAUUCACCAGAUGCAUUUUUAGUAAUUAUUUUCUAUGUACAUGGUAGUGUUUGAUUUAUUAAUAUUAAAGAAGUUAUCAAUCACUUUUAAGUUUUUAAGUGUUUUUAUUAGGUGUCAAUUUGUAUUGGCAUGUCAAGUAGAUUUUUUAUUUAUGUUUUGUUAAAUUUAUAUAGACAAGAAUCUGGAUUGUUUUGACACUUUUUAAUUGCUUUUUUUUAAAUCACUUGUUAACAUAUUUUAAAAAUAUUUGUACUAUUAGUUACUCAAAUUCUAAUCGAUUUCGGUCUAAAUUAGGAAAUAAUUUUAAAAUAUAUAAAACAUAAUAUAGAUUUAUAGAAUAAUCUGAGAAUAAAGAAGUCGAAAAUUGUCAUUUAUACAAUUAAACUACUCUUUUAUUAUUCACCAUUUUUAUAAAUAUUAUCAAACUAAAAGAUCUCAUUUAAUAGUCAUAUGGUCUUGUCUGAGCGAGAUUCGAUUCCUAAAUAAUAAUAAUAAUAAUAACAAUAUUUUAAGCAAUGUCUUUUUAACAGCAGUUCAAUCAUCUAAAUACAUCACUAACGAAGAAUAUAAUACAUAUUAUAUACAUAUUUAGAUCACACAAAACACGUUAUCAUCUAAAUCUCACUUUUUCUCCAAUAUGUAAUAAAUUCAUGGAAAAUUUUUGAGUGUUCAUAGUGUAUGCUCCCACUCUAACGCAACUCUCUCUCUCUCUCUCUCUUCUUUUUCACCUGAAAGCUUGUCUAAUUUGGUUACAUUCAUGCAUGCUUACAUAAUUAGGCUCUAAUGGAUCAUAGUGUUGCAAAUUAUUAUUUUAAUGAUACGAUCGAUAUAAGCCGUGACUUUAUUUAAGAAAAAUGCUUGUUUGAGUGCUAAGGAAAGAUAGCAGUUAAUGGUGGGCUGAGAAUAUUAAUAAACAGAAAUCAGCAACAAGAAAAGAGAAAAGAAUCACGUCUGCUGACCCAAAAAAGGGAAAUAAAAUGAUAAAAUCACUGUGCGCAACAAUGAUUGACACAAGAACUUUACUCUUCCAAGCAUUGGUCCUUUUCAUGUCUUUGCCUGCCAAUUUUAGCAAAAUGUUUAAAAGGAAAGAAGUGUUUGUGAAGAGAUUCUCUCUUUAUUAUUCUCCUCUGUGACACUGACACACAACACAAGUGAGCAAAUUAAAACCGAGAAUGUUUCUUUUCGCAGUGCUUAAAGCAAAUUAAAAGCGUGGUGACAUCUGCUCCUCAGCCUCUGUGCUGAAAGAGUUUAAAAAAUAAAGCUGAUCAAAGUGUGUAUGUGUGAGUGUAGGUGGAGUGCAUGGGAUCAGCAUAUAUGUGAUUUUGUGUUCAUCUGCAGUAUAGAAUGUGAUUCUUUUUUCCUAUCACUUUCUUCUAUGCAAGGAUCGUAAAAUGCUGUUCGGUAUGAUCAGCUGCUGGUACUUUUGAGCUUGCAGCAGCUUCCAAUGAUUUUAUUUCCAUCAAAUGACAGCAUAAUUUGCAUCAGCAAAUCCGAGAUGACAUGCCAGUUUUUGGGCUGUUCCAUUUCUAGAUAUAACAUCCAAACUUGAAUAUGUAUCUCAUUUGAACAUGUGUGAUACUGGAAUGGACACACGAGGAGUUGGAAUUUAAAUGAGGUAUCAUAUGCUUUUCUUGAAAGAAAUAACCAAUUCAGUAACGGCCUAGACAACUCUAGCCACUUCAAAUUGUCGGUUAAUUAAUGAUUCUCUUUCUCCCUCUCUCUCGCAUCUUAACUAAAUUUAAUUGAGAAUAUCUACAAUGCUAGCUAUUUAUAAACUUAAUGAAAGAUGAUAAGGAGCCAUUAUAAUGACAAACACAACUGUAAAAUAGUGCGUUGUUGUAGUGUUGAUUGAAAAAUAAUGCUAAUGUUUUACCUAACAACACUAUAACGCCGUAUAAUUUUUAAUAUGUACUUUAAACUAUCAGUACUCAAACUUAAUUUUUAAUAUGUACUUUAAAGAUUUUAUGCAAUUAUUUAAGUUUUAUGCAAUUAUAUUUUUCAGGACUUUGUCGGUUAGUGCAUCUGCAAGAGUUAUACAUCAGCAGUAAUGAUUUGAGAGGUAGCUUGCCAUGGUGCUUGGUAAACAUGACAUCCCUCCAAGUGUUAGAUGCCUCUUCCAAUCAACUUAUUGGAAACAUCUCCCCAGGCCUUUGUGAGUUGGUGCUUCUGAGAGAGUUAUACAUUCAUAACAAUGAUUUAAGAGGUAGCUUGCCUUUGUGCUUGGCAAAUUUGACUUCCCUUCGAGUAUUAGAUGUCUCUUACAAUCAACUUACUGAAAACAUCUCCUCAUCUCCCAUCAUGCAUCUAAUAUCUAUUGAAAAGCUCAUACUUUCAAAUAAUCACUUCUUCCAAAUCCCUAUUUCACUUGAACCACUUUUCAAUCUCUCAAAACUCAAGACUUUCGAUGGUGAAAUAUGCGCAGAAACUGAGUCACAUUAUAAUUCUUUGACCCCAAAAUUCCAACUGACUUCUAUCUCACUGUCUGGUUACAUAGAUGGUGGCACAUUUCCCAAAUUCUUGUUCCAUCAACAUGACUUGAAGAAUGCUGAUCUCUCACACCUUAACUUGAGUGGACAAUUUCCAAAUUGGUUGCUAGAAAACAAUACAAACUUGGAGACGCUUCUUCUUGCCAAUAACUCUCUUUUUGGAUCAUUUCGAAUGCCAAUUCAUUCCCACCAGAAUUUAGCAAUAUUGGAUGUCUCCAACAAUUUCUUUCAAGGCCAUAUCCCGGUAGAAAUCGGAACAUAUCUGCCAGUCUUAAUGGGUUUAAACUUAUCUAGAAAUGCUUUCAACGGUAGCAUUCCCUCUUCAUUUGCUGAUAUGAAAAUGUUGGGAAGGUUGGACAUAUCGCACAAUCAGUUGACUGGUGAAAUCCCAGAGCGCAUGGCCACGGGUUGCUUCUCAUUAGAAAUUCUUGCAUUGUCAAACAACAGUUUGCAAGGUCAUAUAUUCUCUAAAAAAUUUAGCUUGACAAAUUUGAUGACGUUGCAGUUGGAUGGUAAUAAAUUCGCUGGAGAGAUCCCAGAAAGCUUAUCUAAGUGCUAUUUGUUAGAAGGAUUAUAUCUGAGUGAUAAUCAUCUCACUGGUGAGAUUCCAAGAUGGUUGGGUAAUUUGUCAGCUUUGGAAGAUAUUAUAAUGCCCAAUAACAAUCUUGGAGGGCCAAUUCCAAUCGAGUUUUGUCAGCUUGAUUCUCUGAAGAUUUUAGACCUUUCAAACAAUAGUAUUUUCGGAACCUUACCAUCUUGUCUUAGUCCAGGAUCUAUUGAACAACUUCAUUUGUCAAAAAACAAGAUAGAAGGACGAUUGGAAAGUAUAAUCCAUGACAGCCCUUAUUUGGUGACAUUAGAUCUUAGUUAUAACAGCUUACACGGAAGUAUUCCAAAUCGGAUUGACAGACUACCUAAGUUAAACUACCUUCUUUUGGCUAAUAAUUAUAUUGAAGGCGAAAUACCAGUUCAAUUAUGCCAUUUGAAGGAAGUGCGGUUGAUUGAUCUUUCUCAUAAUAAUCUAUCUGGUCAUAUUCCUCCUUGCUUGGUUAACACUUCACUCAGUGAAGGUCAUCAUGAGGCAGUAGCUCCAACUCCAAGUGGAUCUCCGAUGGGAAAGGAAGAAACUGUUCAGUUCACAACAAAGAAUAUGUCCUACUAUUAUCAAGGAAGAAUUUUGACGAGUAUGUCUGGGAUUGAUCUUUCUUGUAACAAACUGACAGGUGAGAUUCCUACUCAAAUUGGAUAUCUUACUAGGAUUCAUGCACUAAAUCUAUCUCAUAACAAUUUGACGGGCACAAUCCCGACAACAUUUUCAAACCUGAAGCAAAUCGAAAGCUUGGACCUCUCCUACAACCUACUGCAUGGGAAAAUCCCUUCUCAGCUCACUGUGCUAAAUACAUUGGCGGUCUUCACGGUAGCAUACAAUAACUUAUCAGGAAAAAUUCCAGAUAGAGUUGCACAAUUUUCAACUUUUGAGGAAGAUAGCUAUGCGGGGAAUCCUUUUCUUUGUGGAUGGCCACUGUCUAAAAGUUGCAAUGAUAGUGGAUUAUCAGCAGUGACACGAGAAGCUUACACUGAUAAUGAAGAAGGUGAUAGUUUAAUUGACAUGGACAGUUUCCUAAUCACUUUUACAGUAUCUUAUGGAAUUGUGAUAUUAGGAAUUAUUGGAGUUUUAUACAUAAACCCCUAUUGGCGACGAAGAUGGUUUUACCUUGUUGAAGUAUGUAUGAUCUCUUGCUACUAUUUUGUAGUAGAUAAUCUUAUUCCUAGAAGAUUCUAUGGUGGAUGGAUGUAAUUUCAUUUACUUUACAACUUAUAUGUAAUUUUUAAAGAAUUUUCUUUUGCAUGCAUGGAAUAGCAACUCAAUAAAAGUAUUUGAUGCAAAUUGUCCAAGAACAACUUAGUAAUUUCAUUGCUACUAUUCGGUUGUAUAUAUACAGUUAAUGAAAUUUUUAAUCAUUCGCAGUAGGAAUUUCUUUAAAUGGCGGCCAAAACUAACAGAUUUGGGGCUCUACCUCUACACAUCAUAACAGGCAAAAGGUCUCUCUUUUACACUAUCUGAAUGAAGAUUAGCUUACGCCCCCUGGAGUUCUCUAUUAAACUUGACGGUUGAGAUUUCAGGUCCAGAUGAAAGUGAAAUGCAGGCGACGAGACUACACUUUAAGUAAACUGGGACAAACUUAAAAUAAAAAAAAUUGUAGUCCAGGGUGAGAGUGAUGGGUAGCUCAACUUAUGGAGGAUAAUUAGGACUUGGAAUAACUAUCAGAUUUGCAACUCUUGUUAUAUGCUAGUGGGGAUUUAGGUAGCAAUUUUUUUUUUUUUCCUUUUUGCCCUCUUCCUCACAAUAAACACACCUAACACACCAAGCCGUGCCCAAAAUAAUCCUAUUUUAUUCAUGUCAUGAAUCCAAAAACUAUCCCAGCUCACUUUGUUUAACCAGCAUAACUAAAUUGUGGGUAUAAAUGAACACACUUUCGAAGCCUGUAACUUAUAAUAAGCUCAAACCCAAAAAUGACAUUUAAAUCCUGCAAGUGUUUUUCAUCAUCCCUAACAAAAAGAAACAAGAAUAAUUAUAUACCAAUAGUUUUUCCAUAAAAAAUACUGAUACCAAUAGUUUUUCCAUAAAAAAUACUGAUUUGAGUUGAAACACUCUACAAACUGGAUUUUAUACACUUGCAGAAAGCUACGCGAUAGACAAAAUCUAGCAGCUACAUAAUGGUAUCACUUUCAGCUGGUCAUGAAUGGUGUGCAUUCAGCAGUGCUCGAUAGACCAUGUCUAUGAAUUGAUUGUCCUAUUACAUAUAAAAGCUGGUCAGAUAUACAAGGAAAAAAAUAAUAAUUGAAAAUGCAUCACAAAAAAUAAGUGUCUCGCAUUAGUGUUUGCACUCUAAGCAUGGCAAAGUGGUGCGGGUUCAUGAUUUUGAAGACUGGGAUAAGUGAAAAAUAGUUCAAUCCACUGAUGAACAUAAAUUUAUUUACAUGUCAAUUUAGAUAUCAUAAAAAAGUAAACUGUAAUUCACAGUCACUUAAAAGAGUUGAUAAAAUGCAUGCCAUGAAUGCAUUUUUGUACAUAAGAAAUCCAAAGAGUAUUUCUGACAAUACAAAUAUGCUAGCUUUAAAUCUGCUGUCAAUAUGCAAUUAAGAAGAUUAUAUCAGCUGCAUGAUAAAGUUCCCCUAAUCUUAAUAACAGUAAACAUGAACAUGUCAGAUGCAAUUAUAGCUUCGAGCAUUUGCAUAACCAGAAAUCCUAACCUGAACAAGCACCAGAAGUGUCUCUCGGACUUUCUCCUUGUUGAUAAAUGGUCCGCUGUUUGAAGUAAGAGCAGGAGUAAGAGAUGGUGGAGGGGUUGGUAGUGGAAAAGGUUGAAGCAUUGGGGCACCAUAUGGGCGUUGCAGACUCAGGGGAGGAUUAAGUGGCGGAGCUGUUGGUGUAGAUGAAGAGACAAGCUGCAUCAUCUGUGCAUAGGAGGAUGGAGGAGGAACAAAGAAUAAGGAAGGCUUUACAAGAUUAGGGGUAGGUGCUGACAGAGGUGGAGAUGGUAUUUGCAAGGUUGGCACGAUAAGAGAAGCAACACUGGCGGGAUGAGAAGGUAAAGAAAUAGUUGUAUUGGACUGGUAAGGUUGUGCAGAGAUUGCUGCAUUAGAAGUAUUCCCCACAGUCAAAGCUGUCUGCAAUGAUAAGGACAGAUGUCAUAUACAAGGACAUGAUAGAAGAUGAACCUCACACAAAAAUGAAGUGAUAACAUAUGAAAAUAGUAUGACUUGCUGCAGUUUUGUGGUAAUGUUGCAUACUUAUGCAGAAACAUAUUAUUUCAAAGAAAACAUACACUGAAGUAGUUCACAAAAGCAGGAUCUUCAGGAACAUCAGCAGCAUUUGAGGGAGUUGACUCUAGAGGGACCAUCCAUAACUGCCAUAGUUGGAACAGCUUCCAGUUCCUCAAACUCACUGCAGUUUAACAUAAAAGGAACUUGAUGACCAAUUUAAGUAAUAAUUAGAUGAUAUAAGAGGUUAGGGAAAAUGAUGAGUGGACCCUUAUGGAAGGUGAUUUCACCUUAACUAAACACGAAAAUAAAAAGAAAUCAAAGCUGAAUCCUCGAGUGCAAUGCAAAGAAUUUUUUCUCGCUCUUCUCUAACUCCUCUUAUUCGAAAUUGCUCAUCAUUGUGCUGUUCUUAGAGUUUUCACUAGAGUAGAGAAAGCUAUUCUCCCGUUAAGUACAGAGGAAAGAGAAGGGCAAGGGCCUGGUAUGAUGCUAUUCUAUAGGAAGUGAGAAGGUGAAGGGUUAAAAUAUUUUGUAAUUUGGAGGUGGUGUUUGUUAGUGUGUGUGUACUUCUGAAUUUAUUACCUCUUUAGGAUCCAUAGAAAUUGCCUCUUGUUCAGCAUACACUGUGCCUACGAGUAAGACGAGCUUGCAUGGUAUCUAUUGUCUAUUUACUUGGAUAUUCAAACAUGACUACCAGCAACCAAACACAAAUCCCCAAACAAAACACUCUUUCAAGUGCAAGGAAAGAGUAACUUGGGCAUAUUUAUAGUUCAAGCACUACAAUAACUAAGAAUGUGAUGACUGUCCACAAACACUAUAUUAGUGCCUUUUGAACUACAUUACAUGCUCGAAGACUUUUUUUUUAGUCAUACAUAAAUUAGCUAUAAAAUUAAGACCGUUAUACAACUAAAAAGAAAGAAAAAUUGUUUGCUACUACAUAUCAAAACUGGUAAUAGCAAUGUAAGAUGGCAGACUUCUUACUUAAACAGAUGAGAGGCUACAAAUAAAAAAUUUGUGCAAAUAAAAUAUAUGAUAAAGAGCAUAAUACUUUCUUGGGGGCUAAAAAUAAUAUACAACUUGUGAAAUAUAAAUUGAGCUACCAUUACCUUUUAGAUGUGGCAACUUUCGACUUUUGAGGCACCUUGGAAUAUGCAUUCAGAAUCCUGCAUUUGGAAGCCAAAUAAAUAAUGUUAAUAACAAUUUUACAAUAGAAAAAUUAAAAAUUGAUAAAUGGCAGUUGUAAUUUAUGUAUGCGUAAAGAUAGCUUCACAUCCAGGGUCCUCCCAUAAACAUGCUUGUAACAAGAAUUAGUUUGUCCAACUGUUAGCAACUGCUAACAAUGUACAAUAGUAAAAAUCACUCUCAUGAACUCAACAAUACUAGGCACCAAUAAGAGUAUGAUACAGCCAUUCUAAAAUGGAAGAGAAUACAACUGUUUUACAACUAUGUUGCAUCAGGAAUUAUGUUAGGAGGAUUAAUCCAGAUACCUUCCAACCCAAUUAGGAAAACUCGAGUCAGAAACCAGGAGCCACAACCGAACCUUACAAUCUUGAAGGAAGAAGGAGACUUGGGGCAUUUUUCCAGAUAGGUGACUUACUAGAUCUCCUGCCAAGAGAAUAUCUAUUGCUUUGAACCUCCAUUGAAAUUUCUUUUCCCUUUUUCUUGUUUUGGCUUGGAACUUUCCAGCAUCAUCUAUUUGAUCUUUUUUAAAGCUAAAAAAGCAAUCUAUGGGUUGUGAACAUCUUAUCACCACCCCCCCCCCCCGGGCCCCCCAAAAAAAAAUCAAUGAGUUGUCAAUAAAUAGCGCCUACUCAAAUGUUUUCCAAUGGAUGACAAUGUGCAAAUCGACCUAGCAGCCACAUUUUUCCCCCCUUUCAACCACCAUUAGGCAACUUUUUUAACCUUUCUUCAUUGCCCACGUCUACAGAACUAUCAUAUAAAGACUACAUUAUUAUUGGGAUAGAGAAAAAUAUACAGACUGUAUUAUUAUAUCUCAUUUUAUUAAUUAACUAGUGCAAGACUUAUUUAGUGUCAAAUCAAGAACUAAUUGGAAAAGACAACUCAUGAUAAUACAGACCUUAAAAAGCAAUAGCUAGCAACACCCCAUAUACUCCUAUUUUAGCCUUUAAUAUCCUGGUAAAAACACAAUUAAGUCUUGCAAAAGAACAUUCACAAGUAAAUUCAACAUUAAUUAAGAUUAAGUAUCUACUGCACCUUCAAUCAAUGACUGGGUGAAUAGCAUGGUCAACCAUCUAGUUCCUGUAGCCCUCCUUGUACCUAUGUUGGUUACAUUUUACAUAUUAAGCCACGAAAAUGAAGGAUCACAGCCUGGUAAAGAAAGCCAUUAAUUAAUAGUGUUUGUUUAAAAAGUUCUCGUUUAGAUCUUUCCUAUUCAAUGAAUCAAUGUCAUCCAUGGAGAACUCUUCCAUUUCAAGCAGUGUUAGAAGAUAAUUGGAAAGCCUAAAGAUAGUAUACAAGGACCAAGAUAUCGAUUAGGUCAAAUAGUGAAUGUCAAAUAUAAAAAAUAAAUAAAAGAAGUUGUACAUGAUCAUUUACUAUCAAGUUCUGUAAAAUUGAAAAUACCAUUAUCUCUGUAGAGAUUCUCAAACAACUCUUUAGCAAAUUAUAAAAUAGUUAAAAAAAGAACAAAAGUUUUUUUUUAAAAAAAGAACAUCCAUAUCAGGAGAUGUUUUUCUUCUCAAUCUCAAUAUUUUCUAGCCGUGAAGCAAUUGAAAAGCUUAACACCAAGUGAAUUAUUAAGAAUUCAUCAUUUAAAUUCCCAAAUCGCAAAAUGUUGGUGCAACUAGGAAAGUGCAAAUGCAAUCACUUAACUAACACAAGAAACACCAAUAGUGAGAGCCCACUUUGUAUCAAAUUUGAAACAGAUAGAGGUCAAAAAAAUUAUACACUCAAUUAAAAGCCUUUCAAACAGCUUUUGCAUGGAACAAGAACAAAUCAAAGGCGAUGUGAAUGUAUUCAAAGACUAAUUUACAAUGAUCUACAGGACAUAAAUAUCUUGGAUACCUACUCUCUAUACCUUACUGUCCCACUAGAAAUCAUCAAAUCCCUCCAAACAAAAAUGACAAAAUGGAUAAGAAUUGUGUCGUUAAACUUCAAUAACUUAGCAGCCACAGCAAAAACUUAUGUAGGCACGCAAGCCAUUCAAAAUAGUCAUAUUGUUUGCUUUCCAAACAAAAGCCACUUUGUAAUGAAUAUUCAUAAAUUGCUACUAUCAUGUUUGUUAAAACACGUGAAAACCACCAUAACUAACUAAAUGUAACUGAUGAUCAUCAUCAAGUUCAUGGAAUCACAUAUCUGACAGUAUUAAUUAGUGCAAAUGGCAUGCUUCUUAAAACUCCGUAUUUAUCACAUGGGCGCCAUUCCAAUCAACCAAUGAUUCUGAUCUAGUCGGCAUAUUCAACCCACGAGCGAGUAAUACCUCCUAUUGCUUCUUUACAUUUCUCAACGAAAUUCCACAUUCUAACCAUACUUCUGAACUUGUUGCUCCCAUAGACUAAUACAAUAUAAAGAUUUCUUCCCACACCACCUCAGCCCACACUCCUGAAAAACCAAUUUAAAUUCUCAUUGGCUGUACAACCUAUAGUCCAUACCAAAUUGAAAAAUUUACAAAUAUAGAACCUCAAAGAAUCUUCUUGCAUUCCAUUUUUUACGGCAAGAAAUUUGACUUUUACCACAUGCAAGUCAACAAAUAAAAAAAUCAUGUCUUUGUGAGAUGCACAUUUUCAGACGAAUCUAAAGAGCAAUGAAACCGUAAAAACCGAAUAUGAGAACACCGAGGACUCCAGAUAUCACCUAUAGAAUCUUUGGUCCACACUUGCACGAUGAAAAUGAUGAAAAACAAUUGAAGGCUUCAUCACCAGCUCCCCAGGUUGUUUUGUUCUCCUAUCUCCUAAAUAUAAAGGAAACGCAACCCGUUCUUUUUUCCAAUCUUAAGGGGCACAAAACGACUCUGGUAUAAAAUAGUCAGUUUCUAUACAAAAAUAACUCCUUUGCACUUGGCAUUGCACAUCUCGAAAUAAAAAGCAUGCUAGAAAGAGAAUAUAAUAGCAUUAAACAAGUUUUAUUAACCAAACUUCAAAGAUGCCACACAAGGCAAAAAUGGAAUCUGUACAAGCCAGAUUCCAAGAAUAAUAAUUCCAAUAUACAAUUCAGGAAAACAAUAACUAAAACUAGGUUCACGAGGCCUCGGCAGAAGCAACAUGUAAUAACCAUACUCUAUUAUUUGAAACACAUUUCUAAGUUUGGUUAAGAUUCUAAACUAUUCUCUGUGUCAAUUAUUAACAUGUAAAACAUAAUAAUAUACACUUAAACUACUACACAAACUACUACACUAGUAAAACCAGUAAAACAACAAUACCUGCUGAAAAGAUUUGCUACCUCUUCACAUUCACGAGCAUUGUAGAACCAAAUCCCAUUUACUUCUUGGGAUGCAUUUCGAUAUAACAAAUACGGAACCUGAACUUCAAACUCAAAAUCUCCCAAAAGAUUUUCCACUAAAUUAUCUGCACAUAUACAAGAUAUUGAAGCUUAUGAGUGCAAAAACAUAUACAAAAAGACAUGAAGGUUAGAAGACAUAACUAAAACUUAGCAACAACUGAUAAGCACAACAAGACAUGAAAUAUAACACUAGUUGUAAACAAGAUAGACACAUGGUAUCUAAAAAAUUGUACCAACCCCCUCUCCUGAUUGUCAUAAAACGGCCAAUAUUUAACCCUAGACAACAAAAUUGCAAAUACUCUAGCCUCUAUAUUAUUGGCAUAUAAAUAUUUUAGGUUAGGUACGUUAUAUUCUUCGUUCUAAAACCUCAAUUAUUAGCUAGUACUGUGAUAAAAUGAUUCAUCACUGAAAUUAAAACUAGUUCACGUACAAAUAAUCAAAACUGAAAUAGAAACAACGACAAACCAACCUGUAUUACGUCGAUUCAUUACAACAAACUGAAAUCGAGGCUGUGUGUUCCUGAAAAUUGAAAAAAUAAUAAUUUCACCAACUUCAUAUGUGAUACAAUCUCCAAAACACCGAAUAUCAAAUGAAAAAAUGGAAAGCAUAAGAGAGAAAAGAAUCUAAUUUUAUUGACCUUUUGACGACGAAGAGAGAUCCUUCAACAUCCCUACGACUCCAUUGGCUGAGGUCGAUGUUGAACUCGUAGAAGGUGACAUGAGCGGCCGUGAUGAGGAUCUCCUCAAUGAAUGGAUCGAAUCGCUGAAGAACUGUCAGGUUUAGGAGUUUUGUGCUCUGCUGGUCCAGAUUAGGCAUCAAUUUUCCGUUCUGCGACAUUUUUUAUAGUCGUUUUGGGCUCUGCCCCGAUCACUAGCCCUCAUGUUUUUCUGUGAGCUCUCUCUCUUUUGUAAAUAAAGUGUUUGAUGAGAGCGCCGAGAGAGAGUGAAAGAGUUGAACAGCCAAACAAGGUGAGGUGAACAGUUUCGGACUGAGACUCGAGAUUGGUCAAGCUUUAACUUCUUUCAAACAUUUGGGAAAUAGCAUUUAUUUCUUUCAAUUUCUCUACUGUUUUUUUCCUUUAUGUCAUUUAGACCCCAAAAUUAGAUUUAUUAUAAUCAUAUUUUACCCAUUCACUAUUAACCCCUUUUAUUUUUUAAAUUGUCAAUAUAUAAUGUAUUAGAAUAAUGUUAGAAAUCCCAAUAAUUAUCUCAAUGUUUCAAUCAUAACUAAUGUGAUAACUCAUCGGUAAGUGCAACAUUAACUUAAUUAUUAAUGUUUAUCAUGAAAUGAUGAGAUUAUUAUUCAAGAAAAACUUAGUAAACAACAAUGACUAAUAUAAUGUGACAAUUACAGCUGAAUAUUAGUACAAUAAUUAGAAUCCCUAAAGUUAGUGAAUGUAUUAUAAUAUAUGUGUGUUACACCACUUUAUGUCUCUCAAAUUCAAUUAAGUACUUUUAAAAACCUGACCUUUUAUUACUUUAAUUAGGAAUGCAUACAUGAACGAAAGAUGUGCAAUUUUUGUUCUAUUUUUCACUAUUAUUUACCAUACAUCUACGUACGUCACUUGAUUUUUUGCGAUUAAUAUGCUUAAAUGGAGGUAUAAAUAAAAUAAACGAAAAGUCUAAGAGAAAAAAAAAUAUCUUGAUGUUAUUGUUUGCUAAAAGAUGUUAUGAACAACUAAAUAACCAACAACCCUGCUUCGGUGAGUGUGCAACAUGAGGUGCUUGACGGGAUAUUUACUUUCGAUGAUACAACUAAAGCUAGCCGCAACAUAUAUCAGGUGCCUGCUUGUUUUUACCUUCUAGAUACUAAUAUUGUUUUACAGGUUGCCAGUGUAACAUUCGACUUGCUGUUGCUUCUAGUGUUGGGAUCGUGUUUAAUUGUGCUUUUCAGCUUUCUUGUCAUAACAACUUGGGUAUUAAUCUUUCUCCAUAUCAAGCUUGAAGUUCUAAAUUUCAGUUUUAUCUUGUAUUUGAUGUUUUAUAAUUUCAUUGCAAACAGAUUAGAAUAGAAACUUCAAAAGUUCCAACUGACUAGUCCCGUGUAACUUUUUCAGGGAAUAUUUUUGAACGUGAAGAACUAGCUUAAUUUUUUUUAUGUUACUUUCUUACCCUAUCUUUGUAUAACUCCGAGCGAGAUUCACGAAGAUUGAAUCCUGCCUACGAUUACGGCGAGCAAUUUAGCAGUGAGGCAACCGAGGUCGUUUACAUAUUCAUUUUCAUCUAGGUUAACAUGAGCUCCAUUUGCGUUGAUUUAAUAUGUUAUUUGAUAAAAGAAAUUGAAUUCAUGACUUACUCUGAAUGUAACAUAAGCUCCAUUUGCGCUGAUUUAAUAUGUUAUUUGAUAAAAGAAAAUUGAAUUCAUGACUUACUCUGAAUGUGACCAUCAUUGGAGAUUAUAGAAUUCAAGUCACAGAAAUCUAUGCUUAUCAAAGUAAUUUGGAUAAUUAAGAAAACCACAAAGGUCCAGAAAACUUCUAGAGAGAUGAAGAAAAAUGUUUUCACGUGGUGAUUCAUUUUAACUAAUUAUAUACCCAAACGCGUAGCAGGAGGCUGACUGGCCAUUCCCCAGAUUCAUUUGACCAAACAGCGUAUCAUUCAUAUGUUUGCCACCGACCUACUUCGUGACACGCCAUCACCUCGCUUGUGGAUAAGCUCUAUCUUUUAAAAUAAUUUUAUUGUGAAUAAUUUUAAUUAUGAAAUUGUAAUUAAACAUAGUUAGUUACUCGAAGAUUGUGCAUGAAUUACGAUGUAUCAGAAAACAGGAACACAUAGUUUUCAACAAUUGAUCCUAGGAAGAUGCCCAUAGCUUGUUGUGCCAAAAAUAGAAAAUCUAAGAUGUGAAAAAAUUUUGUUGAGAUUCAUUUUUCAUCCUGAUGUUACAGCUGGCCUUUUUUUUUUUUUUUUUUUGGCAGAGAAUAAUGCUUAUGUGAUUUCUGAACUUGGUUACUGUUGAAAUGAGCUGAAAAUGAGCUGGAAAUGUGUUUGGUUAAUGAGAAAGAGAGCGAGAAAAUGAAAGAAAUCUAUUUCACUUUUUGUUUAUCAGAAUGAUUACAUUCACAAUGAAUCUAAGCUGAUAUUUAUACUUAAAUGAAUACACACGAGAUUCUUCUUGCUAGAUACUUCUAGAAACUCUACACGCACACUCACACUGAGCUAGUGGUUACUAAAACCGUUACAACAAUAUUGCCAGCUCAGCAUAACCAACUUAUAACUAACACACUCAGCUGCAGGGGAAACCAUCAAGCAUACGGUGCAUCCUCUGUAAUCAAGCUUCUUUAAGCAUGCUCUGCAGAUCAUACGUCUGAAUUAUCGAAACAAGAUGAAUUAUUUUUUGUUUAUUUUAGCAGGCGAUCUAUGAUCGGAAUUUCUUGCAACAAAAGAUGUGUGUCCACCAGCUUGUAUUCAAUUCGCGAACACAGUUUGAGAAGAAUCAGACCAUUAAUUUUCUUUUGAGCCAAUCAACAGAAUGUACAUUUCUUCUAAGAACCUGUAACCGAAACCGCAGUUUUUCAGGUUUGCUCCUUCCUCAUAGCAGUUAAUCAAACGAUAAACAGAGAUAUCCCAUGUCAACAAGAAGGUAAUCAUAAAAGAACAACAGAAUUGUUGCAACAUAUUCAUAUGAAAUGUAAAACAAUUUUGAGAAAAAAUAUUGGGAAGAUAUUUUUUUUUUCAUAGAAGUUGCAAUCUUUACGUUAUUUACUAGUUUGACUAGACUAUAUAAGGAAGCUAUAUGAAAUUAGAAAAAUAAGCUAUACUAGGAAAGAAUAAAUAUAUGUACAGAAAAUUAGGCUAUAAUCUCUGACUUUCAACAAAUUUAACAUCAAUUUUCUUCAGGAAGUUGUCUCGCAAGGGGCGCAUCAGUAUUGUAACAUCUGCUGGGUCUUACAUUAUCCACAAAAAUAACUCGUCCAUCUAGUACCUGCAAGUACAUACUCUGAGAUGCUUAAACUCAACAAUAUAAGCAUGGUAAAUUAGAGAAAAAUGAUGCAAUUUUACCUUCCCAUUCAUGUCUGCCGAGGCUUUUUGGGCUUCCUCUUCUGUACUGAAAGUCACAUAUCCGUAACCUUUUGAUCUAUUCUUACCUUUAUCCAUUAUUAUUGUAGCUGCAAAAAGAAAAGAAUCGGAUAUUACAAAAUAGUGAAGAGGGAAGAGGGGUUGAGACUUAAAACAGAAAUAGACCAAACCCUCAGUGACGUGGCCAAAUUGUGAAAAAGCAUCAGCUAACAUUCCUUUAGUGGUUGAGAAAGAUACGCCUGCAAAUGAUGCCAGUUAAUUUUAUCUUUUUUAGAUGGUAAGAUUGCAAAUUCUGCAGCCAAAGGUAGUACGGAGCUGAAUAAAGGAAAUCAAAUAUGAACACGUCUUCAAUCUCAAAAUAUUAAGAGUAGCCUAAGUAACUUGUGAAACAGUUAUAAGUUCAAGGGAAUUAGAUGAUGGCAUGGUUGAAUUUUAUAAAUAUUUGAUAUUUUGGACCGAACAGGGCAAACAGAUGGAUCCAGAUAAUCAAGAAAAACAUCAAUUCCAUGCAACCAAAUUAUUCGAUUGAUUAAUUGAGCAACACUAUAAAAUUAUUCAAAUAUGUGGCUCCGUCCGUUCCACCACCACAACCAAAAAAAUCAGAUCCCCCCAUUUGGAUUCGAUUGAUUAAUUUGAGCAUAUAAAAUCGGGUUUUAAACUUCCCUAAUCAAAAUUUAUAGUCCACAGAAUCAGUUCCUUUAACAUGAUGCAUUACAUAAUAUUUUGUUUGCAAAAUAAAGAAGAAAGAUGACAUAAUAGAAACACGCUAUUGCAUCUUUUGAAAAAGAAAAACGGAAUAGUUUUCCAAAAUUAAUUCCGAGAAGAAGAUUAACUAAUAAUGAUGUUAGAAAUUUUAAUAUUUGAGUCUUAAUAUUAUGUAUCACUCAUUUAUUAAAUAAUAGAUUUCAUAAUUUGUAAAAUUACUUAACCACUUGAUAAAUGUUAUAUUUGUUGGGACUUAAAUGUUGGAAUAUCUAGUAUUGCAUUAAAAAAUAAAUAAAAACUUAACAAUUUAUCUUCACUUGACUAAUUAUUUUUACAUUACAACUAACCUUAAUUAUUUUGAAAAUUACAGUAUUAUUAAAUUGCCCUAACUGGUUAUCAAAAGUUGAAAGCAUGUUAAAAUAAAAAAAAUUACUAAGAAACAUGUGCUUAAACAGAGGUUAAGGCUAUGAACAAUUAAGAAGAAAAUCAAUGUUGUUUUUUUUUUUCAAUUGAUUUCAAUUCCCACUGUUGUUUUUUUUAUAAAAUAAUUUAUUUAACUAGUCAUAGAAAUAAGAUAGAAAAGGGGGCAUUUGUUGACUCAAAGUCAAUUACAAAUAUUAAACUUGAGCGGACAUCGCAUGCCUAACUUCCACGCCCCCUAAAACGGUUUGAUUUGCUUUCACGCGAUCAUGAAUUUCCAUGAAAGAGCCUGCCUUUCGUCUCUUUCGGGACAGUGACUUCAAUUAUGGAAAAAUUUAUAAUUCUCGUUAGAUUGUAACUAAAUUAUUAUCCCUAAUUUUUUUAAGUUAAACAAAAUAAAAUUUAUGGUUAAGUAUAAAUAAUACUUUGGCCAUUCUUGUUAUUUGUCCUUCUAAGAUCGACAGCAACCUAAUUAUUUAUUUGUUUGCCUUUUUUUUUUAAAUAACAAUUUGUUAGCAUAAAUAUUUACCUGUGAAGUCGAGAAGGAGAAAAUGUUAGAAAAAUAAAAAGAAAAAAAAUUAAGGGAGAUAGAAUCAGAUUUUCUUUUUUAAGCAAAGAACAUACGCAAAAAGAUAUUAAGUCUAAUUGUCUAUAACGGUAAAUUGCAUAACGAAUAAUUUAUCAGCGUAAAAUAAAUUUUAUUAGAUUAUGAGUGUUCUGAUUAUUUUCUAGAGUACGAAUUGCCCCAUCGUAAAAAAAAGGCCGAGAAAUAUAGCCUUUGCGAUGGCCUUUUACCGUGUCGUUGUAAAAAGGUUAGUAGUUGAGUACUAUUAGUAAUUUAAUGCACCAAUAUUGUGUAUUCCAUCUUAUCAAUGCCUGAUUUUAUAAAUAGAUUGCAAUGUAAUUUUGAAAAAUAAAACAAUAAUUUACGAAAUGCUUAUAACAUAAUUUUAAUUUUUUUCAAAAAGGAAAAACAGCAAAAGUAAAAAAUAGAGAAUGAGGGCUACAAACUUUGCAUCUUAAGCGGCCGUUAGAUUAUUCGUAAAUGAAAGCAACGGUCAGAUAUUGGUGGAUUAUGGAAACAUGUAAUCAUAAGGAUUACCAGUUUUUUUUUAUUUUACAUUAAUAUAUUACAAUCAAAAUUCUAUUGGUAUUUACAACCAGAAUUUCAUUUGACUAUCUUUGAUAAUUCUAAACUAGUACAACCCAAAUUCUUAUUCUCAUAUAAUAUCAAAGAGAGAUAUAUAUUCUUCUCCUCUAUUAAUAAAGAGACAUUUUUACUUCUAUCCAAUUUAAAUAGAACAAGAAUUAAGUCAUUUUAAUAGUUAGGACUCAGAACUCAUACACGCUAGUUUGAGAGUGUGGAGUGUGACAAUGGGCCAAGAGACCAUUGACAAGUACAAAAAGUGAUAGAAAUUAAUUCAAACCGCUACACACGCUAUUGCAACCAAAUUGAGGGCACAUUUUUGUUUAUUUCGUUGAAAAGUAGUCUGUAAAAUUAACUCAAACCGCUACAUACGCUAUUGCAACCCAAUUGAGGGCCCAUUUUUGUUUAUUUUGUUGAAAAGUAGUUUGCGCAAUUAAUUCAAACCGCUACACACGCUAUUGCAUCUUUUGAAAAAGAAAAAUGGAAUAGUUUUUCAAAAUUAAUUUAUAAAAUAAGAUUUACUAAUAAUGAUGUUAGAAAUCUUAAUAUUUGAAUCUUAAUAUUAUUUAUCACUCAUUUAUUAAAUAAUAGAUUUCAUAGUUUGUAAAAUUACUUAACCACUUGAUAAAUGUUAUAUUUGUUGGGACUAGAUUGGGACUUAAAUAGUGGAAUAUCUAGUAUUGCAUAAAAAAAACUUAUUAAUUUAUCUUCACACGACUAAUUGUUUUUACAUCACAACUAACCUUAAUUAUUUUAAAAGUUAUAGUAUUAUUAAAUUGCCCUAACUAGUUAUCAAAAGGUGAAAGCAUGUUUAAAAAAGAAAUUACUAAGAAACAUUUGUUUAAACGAAGGUUAAGGUUAUGAUCAAUUAAUUAAGAAGAAACUUACUAUCAAAGGUUAAGAUUAUGAACAAUUUAAGGAAGUUAUUGAGUAGAGAAAGGGACAGAAUGGUUGUCUGAAUUGCCGGUGACAAGAAUGCUUGUGUUGUGAAAAGAAAUCCGAUGGUUUGUAUUUUUGUUGAAUUUUUCGCUCGCUUCAAUGACUUGCUUAUGCCCAAUAUAUUACUUUGCACAGUAGUAUUUGGGAUCCUAACAAUCAACUCUUAAUUUGGUCCCAAUUAGUAUAGUAAUCAUCUAUUGAGCGGUAAAAUAUUAAUUUAAAUAGUCAUAAAAUCUAAUAUAUAAUAGAUUACUAACACACAUAAAUUAAAACUUAAUUUUCUGAAAUCAUAACAUUACUCUACUCUUCAGUGGAGUUCUCUUAAACAGAUUAUGUGAGAUUGCCUAUAUUAAAAAUAUGUUAAGACCUCUUGUUGAAAGCAAUAUUCGCUUUUUGAUUAUAUCCAUAACUUUGAAUUGAUGAAGUUGUAUUCAACAGCUCUUGAAAAGACUAAGCAUGUCUUCUUUGCAUUUGAUCACUGGUAUUUCAGUUAAGUUUGUCGUUUACUUAAAUUUUUCUUGCUUUCAAUUUCCACUGUUAUUUUUUUUUAAUAAAAUAAUUUAUUUAAACUAGUCAUAGAAAUAAGAGAGAAAAUGGGCCAUUUCUUGACUCAAAGUCAAUUAUAAUUAUCAAAACCUGAGGGGACAUCGCAUGCCUAAAUUCCACGCACCCUAAAACGGUUUGAUUUGCUUUCACACGUUCAUGAUUUUCCAUGAAAGAGAGUGCCUCUCGUCUCUUUGCGGACAGUGACUACAAUUAUGUUAACGUAACAAAUACAUAACGUUAUUACAUACAAGAAUAAGUUUUUGGAGCCGAGACUUGAGGGAGGUUCUAUCUAAUUCUAAAGAUUGUAACCAAAACAUUAUCCCCAAUUUUUUUUAAGUUAAAUAAAAUAAAAUUUAUGCUUAAAUAUAAAUAAUUUUUUAAAGUUAAAUAUAAAAUAAAAAAAUUCAUGAACUUCCAAGAAAGAAAGAAGACCCUUCACCUUCUUCGUGACAACAAAUGAUGUUGAUAUGACAAAUACAAGCGCUAUUACAGGGAACAGCAUAAGACCGAGACUUGAUAAAUAUUAAAUAUAUAAAAUAAGUGGGGCAAACGAACAGAAUAAUAGAUAUUUUAUAAUAUUCUUCAUAAACGUCCAAGUUUUGAGCUGGCCAAUAAGCUUAUCUAGUGAAGUAUGGGUAUCCACGUUGCCCAAGGUUCCGUUUGAAUCCAGGCUGUGUAGAUGUUUAUGACAAUCCCACAUGGACGGAGUGGAAAUAUUUUCAGUUGACUGAAUUAAAUAAAAAUAUAGUACAAUCAUAUUAUAUAUUAGCAGAAAAAAUAAAAAGAAAUGAAGAAAAACGCAUGCAGACUUAGACAAGUCAAUUAAAAGCUGGGAGUAUCAUCAGUUCAAUUGGUUAUAAAUAGCGUAGAGCCAUCCUCUCGUUGUUGCAGAACUGAAGGAAAGAGAGACAGAAAGAGUGCGUCUAGGUGAUUAUAAUUAAGAAGAUAUAAUGUGUGGUUCAAAAAGAGUGUGGGUGAGUGAGUUAAUUUUCAUAUUAUUAUUAGUAAAAGGGUGGUGGAGUGAGGGAUGUUUGGAGCAAGAGAGGUCUGCUCUCCUCCAACUCAAACAUUUCUUCAAUGAUGACCAACUUCUUCAAAACUGGGUAGACGAUGAGAAUUAUUCAGAUUGUUGUCAGUGGGAAGGGGUUGAGUGCAACAACACCACUGGCAGAGUGAUUAAAUUAGAUCUAGCAGUAACUCGGAAUUGGGAAUCAGCAGAGUGGUAUAUGAAUGCCUCUCUGUUUACUCCUUUUGAACAAUUAGAGUCUCUUGAUCUAAUAGGGAACAAUAUAGCUGGUUGUGUUGAAAAUGAAGGUCCUUAAUUUACUCUAUUUUAAUUCUUCCUCCUCGUAAUUAAGAAAACUUUAAAGUUACCUAUCCUAUUGGCUAAGUCAUUGUAUGUUUCCACUAGGAAUUAAGAACACUUUAUAGUCAAUUAGUCCCUUUUGGCUUUUGUUUAAUUUGUACGUGAUAUAAUAAAAUUAUUUUUUAUUUUUUGUCAGGUCUGGAUAGGUUAUCAAGGUUGAACAACUUGAAGUUUCUUUAUUUAAGCUCUAACUACUUCAACAACAGCAUCUUUUCAUCUCUAGGUGGUCUUUCAUCACUCAGACAAUUAUCAUUGGCUGCUAAUCAAUUGAAUGGAAGUAUUGAUAUUAAAGGUAAGCAAGCUUCAUCCCUUCUCCCAUGUCCCAUCUUUGUGGAUCUUAUUUCAUCGACCAGCUGGAAGUAUUGAUACGAGAUCUAGCUAGACUCUUGCUAGUGUAAGCUUCAAGGCUUUGAGUGCUACAAAAAUAGGUCUAAGAAAUUAUCAAUACAUAACGUUAUUACAUACAAUAAUAGUUCUAAAGAUUGUAACAAAAUCAUUAUCCCCAAUUUUUUUAAGUUAAAUAAAAUAAAAUUCACGCUUAAGUAUAAAUAAUACUUUGGACAUUCUUGAUAUUUGUCCUUUUAAGAUAAACAGCAACCCAAUUAUCUAUUUGUUUGUCUUUUUUUUUUUUUAAAUAACAGUUUGUUAGCAUAAAUAUUUACCUGUUAAGUCGAGGAGGAGAAAAUGUUAGAAAAAAUAAAAAGAAAAAAUUAAGGGGGAUAGAAUCAGAUUUUCUUUUUUGAGCAAAGAACAUACGUAAAAAGAUAUUAAAUCUAUUAAGUCUAAUUGUCUAUAACGGUAAAUUGCAUAACGAAUAAUUUAUCAGCGUAAAAUAAAUUUUAUUAGAUUCUGAUUAUUUGUUUGAUUUCUUUUCUCUCUGGACUCAACUUAUAUUGUUUAUUUGAUUUGAUUUUAUUAUUUUUUAAAGAAACUUAUUGUUUAUCAAUACUGAAUGGCUUAAGAUUGAUGUCUUGAUAAUAGAUGGGGCAAUAUUGCCUUUUUAAUGCAGUAGACUUUGAAGUUAUCAUUGACAAGCUUAGAUGAAUUACUAGGACCAUAAUACAAAUGUCACAGGCAUCGAAGACACUUACCAAGUUUUUAGUACAUUCCUGUUCCUAUCUAAUAGUUUUUAAUUUCUUUAAUUUAAGACCCCAUUCAUUAAUAUUUUCUUUAUUGUGAAGUUAAUUUUUUUUAUGUGAAAUUAAUUUUUUUUUUAAACAUUUUGUUGACUUAUAGUUUACCUUUGUGUUAAAUGUUGGCAAAAUUAUUUUGUCCAAACCAUUUUUUUUGUCCUGAACGUCCAACUAAAAACUGAAUCAAGGGUUAAGUUGUAAGGUUUCAGUUCGUCCGUUAUAUUAAUUUAUUGUUUUAAUAUUAUGCAGUACAAAUAGGUGUAUAAGUCCAUCAUUUAAAUACAAAAUGAAACCACAUCAAUAGAGAAAUUAAAAGAAAAUGAAUUCUCACAACCAUACGGUGAGAUUCAAACUCUCUAUCUCCGAGGAUUUCUUAAAGUCAUUCUUAAAUUAUACUUAAAUGGUUAAAUUUAAUAAAUAAAGGUUUAAUUCUUUUCUCGUACAUUGUAGAAGCAAAUUUUCUCCUCUGUUGAAAAUUCUAAAUACUUUUUUAAAUUAGGUUUCAACUAUGACAUAUCAGGAGAGAUUUGAUACAUUUCUAAUGCAACCGAUAUAACAACACAACUUUGUGAUUUUUACUAUUCAGGAGAAGAAGAACACAACCUGUAUAACCCAACCGUUUAUAUACAAACAUCGAAUCGCUUUUUAAAAUUAAAUUGGGAAAAUUGGGGAUAUAAUCGUUUUUCAUAUAUAUACAUUUUUUCCUUACAAAUUUAAAUUCAUGGUUGGUAGCUAAAUAUACCUGCUUAAAGCCACUCAGUCGAACCCUUUGAGAGCUGCUUUAAAUUUUUCGGAUUAGCCAUAUUCUUUUCACUGAGAUUUAACAUAAAAAAAGGAGAAAAUAAGUUAUUUAAUUAACUCUAUUUUAAGUGUUGGCAUAAAUACAGGACUCGAUUCCUUGAGUAACUUGGAGAUGCUGGACAUGAGCGACAAUGCAAUCGACAAUCUAGUGGUUCCUAAAGGUAUACAAAAUGUUCAAAUAUUUAUAAUUUGGAGGACAAUUUAAUUGAUUUGAUAAGGGAAUGCCCAAUGACACUUGUCCAAAAUAAUUUAAUCCGAAAUUGUAUCCCAAAUAGAUUACAGAGGCUUGAGGAAGUUGAAUACCCUUGGCUUAGGGGGAACGGAAACUGCAAUUAUAGAUGGAAGUAAGGUGUUGCAAUCAAUAGGAUCACUACCGUCCCUCAAAACACUUUGCCUUUCAUAUACUAAUUUUACGGGAACAGUAGUUAAUCAAGGUAAGUAAAUCUUUUAUGUCGAAAAUAAUUGAAUUAAUAUAUAUAGCUAAAAUUUAUUGUUUCUACUUCUUUCUAAAUAGAAUUGCACAAUUUCACCAACUUGGAAGAAUUGAUAUUGCUCGAGUCUGAUCUCCAUGUAAGCCAGCUUCUACAAAGCAUCGCAUCAUUCACUUCGUUAAAGUAUUUGUCAAUGGGAGGUUGUAUACUCACAGGUGCCGUACAUGGUCAAGGUAAAUUAUGGGUAUCUGAAGCUUUUAAAUUUUUUCUUUUAAAUUUUUUAUAUUUUCACUGUCCAAUGGUUCUACCUUCUCUAAAUUGUAGGAUUCUUGAUUAAGGUUAAUGAAAUUUUUGUUCUGUUAUGUUAAGAAUAUUUCGAUCGCUUAGAAGAGUAAAGAAAAAUAAGUAAAUUAACCCAAAAAAAAAAGAAAAGAACAGGACCGGAUUAUCCUUAUUCCCUUGCAUUAUGUGAUCAAUAUCAAAAUUAUAACCAUUUCUUGUUUAUUGCUUGUAGAUUUUCGUAAAUUCAAGAAUUUGGAACAUCUGCACAUGGGUGGGGCGCAGGUUGACGUCAACACCAGUUUUCUUCAAAUUGUCGGUGAAUCGAUGCCUUCUCUCAAGUUUUUAUCACUGACAGAUUCAAUUCUUAAUAAAAACACCAUUCUUGAUCAAGGUUAAUUAAUGAUUCUCCUUCUCCCUCUCUCGCAUCAUAACUAAAUUUAAUUGAGAAUAUCUAUCAUGCGAGCUAUUUAUAAACUUAAUGAAAGAUGAUAAGGAGCCAUAAUAAUGACAAAAAUAACUGUAAAAUAGUGCACUGUUGUAGUGUUGAUUGAAAAAUAAUGAUAAUUUUUUACUUAACACUAUAACGCUGUAUAAUUUUACAGUUAUUUUGUUGCCAUUACGUCAGAUUAUACUGUUCAACUAUCAGUGAUCAAACUUAAUUUUUAAUGUGUACUUGAAAGAUAUGUAAUUAUUUAUCUAUGUGUACUGAAGGAUGAAUUAUAUAUUUUUCAGGACUUUGUCAGUUAGUGCAUCUGCAAGAGUUACACAUCGGCGGUAAUGAUUUGAGAGGUAGCUUGCCAUGGUGCUUGGCAAACAUGACAUCCCUUCAAGUGUUAGAUGCCUCUUCUAAUCAACUUACUGGAAACAUCUCCCCAGGCCUUUGUGAGUUGGUGUUUCUAAGAGAGUUAUCCAUUCAUAACAAUGAUUUAAGAGGUAGCUUGCCUUUGUGCAUGGCAAAUUUGACUUCCCUUCGAGUAUUAGAUGUCUCUUACAAUCAACUUACUGAAAACAUCUCAUCUUCCCUCAUGCACCUAAUAUCUAUGGAAGAGCUCAUAAUUUCAAAUAAUCACUUCUUCCAAAUCCCUAUUUCACUUGAACCACUUUUCAAUCUCUCAAAACUCAAGACUUUCGAUGGUGAAAUAUGCGCAAAAACUGAGUCACAUUAUAAUUCUUUGACCCCAAAAUUCCAACUGACUUCUAUCUCACUGUCUGGUUACAUAGAUGGUGUCACAUUUCCCAAAUUCUUGUACCAUCAGCAUGACUUGAAGAAUGCUGAUCUCUCACACCUUAACUUGAGUGGAAAUUUUCCAAAUUGGUUGGUAGAUAACAAUACGAACUUAGAGACGCUUCUUCUUGCCAACAACUCUCUUUUUGGAUCAUUUCGGAUGCCAAUUCAUUCCCACCAAAAAUUGGCAAAAUUGGAUGUCUCCAACAAUUUCUUUCAAGGCCAUAUUCCGGUGGAAAUCGAAACAUAUCUGCCAGUCUUAAUGGGUUUAAACUUAUCUAGAAAUGCUUUCAACGGUAGUAUUCCCUCUUCAUUUGCUGAUAUGAAAAUGUUGGAAAGGUUGGACAUAUCCUACAAUCAGUUGACUGGUGAAAUCCCUGAGCGCAUGGCCACGGGUUGCUUCUCAUUGGAAAUUCUUGCAUUGUCAAACAACAGUUUGCAAGGUCAUAUAUUCUCUAAAAAAUUUAACUUGACAAAUUUAUUAAGGUUGCAGUUGGAUGGUAAUAAUUUCAUUGGAGAGAUCCCAGAAAGCUUAUCUAAGUGCCGUUUGUUAGGAGGAUUAUAUCUGAGUGAUAAUCAUCUCACUGGUGAGAUUCCAAGAUGGUUGGGUAAUUUGUCAUUUUUACAAGAUAUUAUAAUGCCCAAUAACAAUCUUGAAGGGCCAAUUCCAAUCGAGUUUUGUCAGCUUGAUUCUCUGAAGAUUUUAGACCUUUCAAACAAUAGUAUUUUUGGAACUUUACCAUCUUGUUUUAGUCCAGCAUCUAUCGAACAAGUUCAUUUGUCGAAAAACAAGAUAGAAGGACGGUUGGAAAGUAUAAUCCAUGACAGCCCCAAUUUGGUGACAUUAGAUCUCAGUUAUAACCGCUUACACGGAAGUAUUCCAAAUCGGAUUGACAGACUACCUCUGUUAAGCUACCUUCUUUUAGCUAAUAAUUAUAUUGAAGGCGAAAUACCAGUUCAAUUAUGCCAGUUGAAGGAAGUGCGGUUGAUUGAUCUUUCUCAUAAUAAUCUAUCUGGUCAUAUUCCUCCUUGCUUGGUUAACACUUCACUCAGUGAAGGUCAUCAUGAGGCAAUAGCUCCAACUUCUAGUUCGCGGGAUCAAGCGUCUGCCUCUGUACUUCCAUCUGAGGCUCCAAAUGGAUCUCCGAUGGGAAAGGAAGAAACUGUACAGUUCACAACAAAGAAUAUGUCCUACUAUUAUCAAGGAAGAAUUUUGACGAGUAUGUCUGGGAUUGAUCUUUCUUGUAACAAACUGAUAGGUGAGAUUCCUCCUCAAAUUGGAUAUCUUACAAGGAUUCAUGCGCUAAAUCUAUCUCAUAACAAUUUGACGGGCACAAUCCCGACAACAUUUUCAAACCUGAAGCAAAUCGAAAGCUUGGACCUCUCCUACAACCUAUUGCAUGGGAAAAUCCCUUCUCAGCUCACUGUGCUAACUACAUUGGCGGUCUUCAGAGUAGCAUACAAUAACUUAUCAGGCAAAAUUCCAGAUAGAGUUGCACAAUUUUCAACUUUCGAGGAAGAUAGCUAUGAGGGGAAUCCUUUUCUUUGUGGAUGGCCACUGUCUAAAAGUUGCGAUGAUAAUGGAUUAACAACAGUGACAACAGAAGCUUACACUGAAAAUGAAGAAGUUGAUAGUUUAAUUGACAUGGACAGUUUCCUGAUCACUUUUACAGUAUCUUAUGGAAUUGUGAUAUUAGGAAUUAUUGGAGUUUUGUACGUAAACCCCUAUUGGCGGCGAAGUUGGUUUUACCUUGUUGAAGUAUGUAUGACCUCUUGCUACUAUUUUGCAGCAGACAAUCUUGUUCCUAGAAAAUUCUAUGGUGGAUGGAUGUAAUUUCAUUACAUUACAACUUAUAUGUAAUUUUCAAAGAAUUUUCUUUUGCAUGCAUGGAAUAGCAACUCAAUAAAAGUAUUUGAUGCAAAUUGUCCAAGAACAACUUAGUAAUUUCAUUGCUACUAUUCGGUUGUAUGUAUACAGUUAAUGAAAUUUUUAACCAUUCGCAGAAUACCCUUAGGAAUUUCUUUAGAUGGCGGCAAAAAACUAAGAGAUUCGGGGCUCUACACGGUCUGAAUGAAGAUUAACUUAAUGCCCUCAGGAUUAUGUGUAAGUUCUCUUUUAAAUUUAAGGGGUUGAGAUUUCAGGUCCGGAUGAAAGUUGAAUGCAGGUGACGAGACUUCACUGGGACAAACUUAAAAUAAAAAAUUAUAGUCCACAGUAAGAGCAAUGGGUAGCUUAACUUAUGGAAGAUAACUAGAACUUGGAAUAACUUAAAUUAGCUAUAAAAUUAAGACCAUUAUACAACUAAAAAGAAAGAAAAAUUGUUUGCUACUACAUAUCAAAACUAGUAAUAGCAAUGAAAGAUGGCAGACUUCUUACUUAAACAGAUGAGAGGCUACAAAUAAAAAAUUUGUGCAAAUAAAAUAUAUGAUAAAGAGCAUAAUACUUUCUUGGGGGCUAAAAAUAAUAUACAACUUGUGAAAUAUAAAUUGAGCUACCGUUACCUUUUAGAUGUGGCAACUUUCGACUUUUGAGGCACUUUGGAAUAUGCAUUCAGAAUCCUGCAUUUGGAAGCCAAAUAAAUAAUGUUAAUAACAAUUUUACAAUAGAAAAAUUAAAAAUUGAUAAAUGGCAGUUGUAAUUUAUGUAUGUGUAAAGAUAGCAUCACAUCCAGGGUCCUCCCAUAAACAUGCUUGUAACAAGAAUUAGUUUGCCUCAACUGCUAGCAACUAUACAAUAGUAAAAAUCACUCUUAUGAACUCAACAAUACUAGGCACCAAUAAGAGUAUGAUACAGCCAUUCUAAAUGGAAGAGAAUACAACUGUUUUACAACUAUGUUGCAUCAGGAGAUAUGUUAGGAGUUUUAAUCCAGAUACCUUCCAACCCAAUUAGGAAAACUCGAGUCAGAAACCAGGAGCUGCAACCGAACCUUACAAUCUUGAAGGAAGAAGGAGACUUGGGGCAUUUUUCUAGAUAGGUGACUUACUAGAUCUACUGCCAAGAAAAUAUCUAUUGCUUUGAACCUCCAUUGAAAUUUCUUUUCCCUUUUUCUUAUUUUGACUUGGAACUUUCCAGCAUCAUCUAUUUGAUCUUUUUUAAAGCUAAAAUAGCAAUCUACGGGUUGUCAACAUCUUAUCCCCCCCCCCCCGGGGGGCCCCCAAAAAAAAAACAUCAAUGAGUUGUCAAUAAAUAGCGCCUACUCAACUUAUGUUCUCCAAUGGAUGACAAUGUGCAAAUCGACCUAGCAGCCACAUUUUUCCCCCCUUUCAACCACCAUUAGGCAACUUUUCUAACCUUUCUUCAUUGCCCACGUCUACAGAACUAUCAUAUAAAGACUACAAGAUAGACGCACGGUAUCUAAAUAAUUGUACCAACCCCCUCUCCUGAUUGUCAUAAAACGGCCAAUAUUUAACGCUCGACAACAAAAUUGCAAAUACUCUAGCCUCUAUAUUAUUGGCAUAUAAAUAUUUUCGGUUAGGUACAUUAUAUUCUUCGUUCUAAAACCUCAAUUAUUAGCUAGUACUGUGAUAAAAUGAUUCAUCACUGAAAUUAAAACUAGUUCACGUACAAAUAAUCAAAACUGAAAUAGAAGCAACGAUAAACCAACCUGUAUUACGUCGAUUCAUCACAACAAACUGAAAUCGAGGCUGUGUGUUCCUGAAAAUUGAAAAAAUAAUAAUUUCACCAACUUCAUAUGUAAUACAAUCUCCAAAACACUGAAUAUCAAAUGAAAAAAUGGAAAGCAUAAGAUAGAAAAGAAUCUAAUUUUAUUGACCUUUUGACGACGACGAGAGAGCCUUCAACAUCCUUACGACUCCAUUGGCUGAGGUCGAUGUUGAACUCGUAGAAGGUGACAUGAGCGGCCGUGAUGAGGAUCUCCUCAAUGAAUGGAUCGAUUCACUGAAGAACUGUCAGGUUUAGGAGUUUUGUGCUCUGCUGGUCCAGAUUAGGCAUCAAUUUUCCGUUAUGCGACAUUUUUCAUAGUCGUUUUGGGCUCUGCCCCGAGCACAAGCCCCAGGGUUUUUCUGUGAGCUCUCUCUUUUGUAAAUAAAGUGUUUGAUGAGAUAGCCGAGAGAGAGUGAAAGUGUUGAACAGCCAAACACGGUCUCGAGAUUGAUCUUGCUUUAACUUCUUUUAAACAUUUGGGAAAUAGCAUUUAUUUCUUUUAGUUUCUCUACUUUUUUUUUUCCUUUAUGUCAUUUAGACCCCAAAAUUAGAUUUAUUAUAAUCCUAUUUUACCCAUACACUAUUAACCCCUUUUAUUUACCCCUUUUAUUUUUAAAAUUUGUCAAUAUUAAUGUGUUAGAAUAAUGUUAAAAAUCCCAAUUAUUAUCUCAAUGUUUCAAUCAUAACUAAUGUGAUGACUCAUUGGUAACUGCAACAUUAACUUAAUUAUUAAUGUAACACAAUAAAAGUUUGCCACUUCGGCAUUGGUCGGAGUGGUGGGAUGCUUGUGAGGGCAGCGGUUCAAGCCCCCACAAAAGUAUUUGUGGGGGCUAACGUUGUGGGGGCUAACGUGCUUAUUUGUUUAAUAUUUCAAAAAUUUCCUCUCCCUCGUGCAAUACGAGUGGAGUAUGGACAUCCCUCUUCUGUAAGGGAUUAUUUGUCUGGGCAUGUACUUCACAGAAUUCAAUGUAAUAAUAUAAGUCCCAAUCAUGUAUUUCUGAUUGUAAAUAUCAGUGUAAUAUAUCUGCUGUUGAUGCGAGAUUCUGGUUCUCCUCGUUCUACGACCAGGAUCUCUGCUCGAUCAACUUUACCACGACCAGGAGGUCUCCUAGUAAUGCUUCUUCUCCAGAUGUCCCUGCACACACAGACAAGUCAGAGUACGCCGGUUGUUCUCCCGGCGCAAACCCUCCGACGCUCAAGUCAGAUAUGAAGGUUCGGGGAACGCUUGCCACAGGUCUUAUGGCUUUUUCGUGGUUUUCUCUUUUAUCUUAAAAAUGCUAACCCUUUUACCUUCGUUGGCUACCUUUUUAUAGGCUUCUCCGAAUCCCCGUUUUCCGCUUUUUGCCAGACGGUAUGGGACUCUGACUGCUGCGUCAUGGGCGAAGGUGGGAUCUUGCGUGUUACGCCACGGUUCUGGGGAAAGCGUGGCUGUCGUGCCUAGAUUCUCGGGCUGGAGAGCAUGUCUUGCCAACUGCCGUCGACCGGGUCUCCUCGCUUCUCGACCUCUAGCCGGAAUGAUCUUAUGCCUCUUACAGGAAAUUGACCUCGCGGAUGACGUGCUCGUGGACGAGCAGGAUAUUUCUGCUCCUGUUCCCCCGCGCAUCAGGCUUUUACGGAACACACCGGCUCGAGGAACUCUGCCCCCAGAUAUCUGCUCACCAUGCCUGGUCUCAUCGACGUAUUUCUCCUAAACACCGGUCCCCCAGUUUCUGGUGUUGGGUAAUGUAGUGGACCAGCAGUAGAAACUCGAUAGUACUCGCUCACGUGGGACUGGAAAAGGCUGCCAAGAGUCGUGUCGCAUUUAAUUGCGGACGGGGUGACGUGGCGGAAAUCCCCCCUCCAUUUGAAUUUCAAACCGACGGUUAUGAGGCCCUCGGGAUUCGGCGCUGUUAAAUGCUGGCAACCCAAGAGUCCGUCCCCAUUAGAAAAACCAAAUCCUCUCGAACGGCAUAUUCAUCAUCCACUACGUCUCCGUCUCUGUCUCUCCGGCAAAGAAGUUCCGGCAUAAAAGUCCUCCAUCUCUGAUUUUCACCGACUGAACCAUUACUUCAGGUAUUUCUUCUAUCUCCUUGGCCUCGGAUAGUUGUAGAUAAUUUCUCUUUUCUUCUGUUUGGGUAGUAGUUGGUGGUGUUGUGGUUAGAGCUUAGGGAAUGUCGAAAGGCAAAGAGAAGGUCAUUGAGGUUGACGACGACGAGUUGGACUUCCUGCCUAGUCUGCUCACCGACCCUGCUUUUGACCCCGGGAUUCCCUUAGAGCCCACUAGGUCUAGUGUCGGGACUAGUGCUAGCAGGAUGUCUCCCCAAACAACCUCUACGAGCGGAAGUAGUGGUGAGGAGAGAUCUUCUGACUCUGAGGAUACGUUGAGUGAGAAUGGCGAAGGUGAUUCUGGUGAGGUGUCUCCAUCUAGAACAUCACGACCAGGAGAACGGGGUACAGUAGGAGGCAGAGCCUUGUCGCGCGAUUAUGCCAUUGAUUACAUGACGUGCAUGACCUCGUUUGACGAGCUCAAGGACCUCCGGCUUAGGUAUAGCAUUCCUGGUGAGAUACCUCUCAAGGUCCCAGGAAAGAAGGAUGCUCCCAGCCGGCCUCCUAGGGGAUACGUUACCCUGUUUUUAGAGAGCUUUAAGUACGGGCUGAGGUGUCCCUUGCAACCCUACUUUGCCCGGAUACUUAACGGGCUAAACCUAGCUCCUGGUCAGCUGAAUCCCAAUGGGUGGAGAGUGCUCUCUGGUCUGUUCAUAUUGUGGGACAGAUGUUGCCAGAGCGAGCCCACGGUUGAUGAGGUGAGACACCUGUACCAGCUAAAGAGCAGCCCCAAAGAUGCCGGCUGGUACUACUUCCAAUCUAGCACCAAGAGCAGGAAACCUAUAACCGACCUCCCCACUGGUGGUGGUGGGAAUUGGAAGAGAAAGUUCUUUUUUGCUGGGGGUCCUUGGGGUCAGGUUGCACAAAUGAACGGGAAGGAUUAUCGGGUCCCACCCCGUUUCACGGUCCCAGGUUGCCUGCUUGCUUUUAGAUGUCUUGUAUCCAUAAGUGUUCUUGCUUUAUUGGCUUGUCUCUAACCAAAUGUCUGUUUGUGUUGUAGUUUCUUGGGGUGUUCACUUCCCGCUCCCACCCGACCAGCUCAAACGGGUCGAGGCUGUGCUCGUCAAUUCCUGCUCGAGCCGGGAACUGUUAACUACGUACAACUUGCUCGAGUCUCGCUUGAUACUUCCUGGCCAUAGGAUGGAGGACGCUGUGAUUGGGGCUCUGACCCGAAAACGUUCUCGACCCCCAACCACGAAGAGGGACCAGAGUAAGGAUGCCCCUGUGGCAAAGCGGGCCAACAUCGUGCAGCAGGUCCCACCCUUGAAGAUUUUACCUCCUGCUCCCGUAAAAAUUAGGGAAGCUGGUGGAGCUGCCACAGAUCCUGCUUCCUCUCCUCCUCCUGUCGGGCCCCGAUCUCACUUACCUGACAGCCGAGCAGAACAUCUGGUCCCCUACUUCAAUGAGUUAACUAAACUCGUGAGCAGGAAGGAUCUGGAGGACUUUGACGGCCGCACCUUGGGUGAGUUGGUGGGGGCCAUGCAACAUAGCGCUUUCCACCUCAGCUGCAUGACCACCUAUUACAAGGCUAAGGCUGGCCGCUAUGACCGGAAGAUGAAGGAGGAUAUUCAAUCGGCGACGACCAGAGCUGACGUUGCCGAGAAGAAAGCAGGGGAGCUGAAUCUCGAGAAUCUGAAGCUGAUGGAGCAAGAAUCACUUGCUCAAGCAAAAGCCAUCGCCCUCGAGGAGGAGCUUAUCAAGGUCAGGGAGGAUCUGCAAAGGCAGAAGGCAAUGUAUGAGGCUCAGCUCGAAUCUCUUCGCGACUCCCACCGAGCUCAGGCCGAGAACUUGGAGAGGGAGGCCGACAACCAGUACGACCAGGGACUUCGGUAUUCCUAUCGUUGCAUCAUGGCCGUCCUCGGGAAGCAACACCCUGAUCUGAAGAUGGGUGACCUUGCGGCUGGUGUUGCUCAACAUAUGGACGAGGAGGCGGCCAAGGAGGAUGCCAAAGGGGUAGAGCCGAUCGUGAUAGAGGAGGAAAACUCUCCUCCUCAUGUAGUCCCUGCUGAUGUUGGCGAGGCGAGCACCCACCCCGAUGCCUCUAGUGAUACCCCUCCUGCACCUGAGGAGGUCCAGCCAACCGAUGCCGCUGGGCUCACUGAUCCACCAUCUUCUUGAUAUAUUUCUUGUAUUGUAAUGACAAUGUUUAUGAAGAUUAUUCCCUCUGUUAAUUAUUAACAAAUUAAUAAAAAUGUUUUUGAUCACCUUCUUGUGUCGUAAUUACGAAUUAAUUUUCGUUUGAGAAUCUGCUUGUCUUUGUCUAAACGAGCAGGUUCCGGCUUGGCUCAUGGUUUUGCCACAUGCCUUUGAAGAUUUUUCAAUGCUUGGGAUUCGGUUUGCCUUCGCGCAGUUGAGCAGAUCCUGGCACGCUUGGCUUCUGUCUCGCCAUAAGAUAGGCUUUGAGACUUGACGAGCCUUUGCAUGCCUUGGAUUCUUCAAAGCUCAGGAUUCUGCUGCCUUCUCAUGGCCGAGCAGAUCCUGGCAUGCUUGGCUUCUUUCUCGCCAUAAGACAGGCUUUGAGACUUGACGAGCCUUUGCAUGCCUUGGAUUCUUCAAGGGUUGGGAUUCUGCUGCCUUCUCGUGGCCGAGCAGAUCCUGGCAUGCUUGGCUUCGGUCUCGCCAUAAGACAGGCUUUGAGACUUGACGAGCCUUUGCAUGCCUUGGAUUCUUCAAGGGUUGGGAUUCUGCUGCCUUCUCGUGGCCGAGCAGAUCCUGGCAUGCUUGGCUUCUGUCUCGCCAUAAGACAGGCUUUGAGACUUGACGAGCCUUUGCAUGCCUUGGAUUCUUCAAGGGUUGGGAUUCUGCUGCCUUCUCGUGGCCGAGCAGAUCCUGGCAUGCUUGGCUUCGGUCUCGCCAUAAGACAGGCUUUGAGACUUGACGAGCCUUUGCAUGCCUUGGAUUCUUCAAGGGUUGGGAUUCUGCUGCCUUCUCGUGGCCGAGCAGAUCCUGGCACGCUUGGCUUCUGUCUCGCCAUAAGACAGGCUUUGAGACUUGAUGAGCCUUUGCAUGCCUUGGAUUCUUCAAGGGUUGGGAUUCUGCUGCCUUCUCGUGGCCGAGCAGAUCCUGGCAUGCUUGGCUUCUGUCUCGCCAUAAGACAGGCUUUGAGACUUGACGAGCCUUUGCAUGCCUUGGAUAAUUUCUUGGUUUCAAGCGUAAAAUUGCUUCAUUAAUGGCAGGAUUCGACUUACAUAAAAUUGUUUGGGACAUAAAGCGUAAAAGAUAAACGAUAAUGAGCAUGAGCAGAAAUAGCUCUCAAAUGUGAACAAAUCUUACUGGAAGUAUUUUCGGAGGUGUGCUGCGUUCCAUGGGCGUUUCACCUCGUGGCCGUCCGCGCGAACCAGCCUGUAAGCUCCGGGUCCCGCUAUCUGCUUGACUCUAUAUGGCCCUUCCCAAUUCGGUCCCAGCACUCCUUGAGUCGAAUCUUUGGUGCUCUGAUUCACUCUUCUCAGUACCCAGUCUCCGACCCUGAAUUGCCGUAUGUUCACCUUCUGGUUAUAAUACCGAGCAACCCUCUGUUGGUAAGUGACUGAUCGCUCGGCUGCUUGCUCCCUCCUUUCCGUCAGCAGAUCAAGAUUCAAACAUAUCUGCUCGUCGUUCUCCUGCUCAUUGAAAUGAUCUGUCCGGUGUGUGGUCGUUCCUAUCUCAGCCGGCACGACCGCUUCGUGUCCGAAAGCCAAAGCGAACGGUGUCUCCCCCGUUGCGGUUUUGUGGGUUGUUCUGUAUGCCCAUAGCACACCUGACAGCUCGUCAACCCACGCACCCUUUUUUGCACCAAGCCUGGUUUUCAGAAGCCUCUUGAUGGUCUUGUUGGCUGCUUCUACUUGUCCAUUCGAUUGAGGGUGAGCAGGCGAGCAAUACUUCAGCUCUAUCCCGAGGUUCUGGCAGAAAUCCCUGAAGCUGUGAUUAUCGAACUGCCUGCCAUUAUCCGUUACCAAGGCAUAAGGGAUCCCGUAUCGACAGACCAGGUUUCUCCACACGAAGUCUGUUGUUUUCUUCUCCGUGAUCCUGCUAAGGGCUUCCACCUCUAUCCACUUCGUGAAGUAAUCUAUAGCAACUAUUGCAUGUGUUGCUGCUCCUCGUCCUUUUGGCAAUGGGCCGAUCAGAUCAAUUCCCCAUUGAGCAAACGGCCAAGGGGAGGCCAUAGAGGUGAGCUUCUCUGGUGGUUGGUUGGAGAAAUUUGCAAAACUCUGGCAGCUUGCACAACCCCUGGUCUUCUUUUGCGCAUCCUGGUGCAUUGUCGGCCAGAAAUAUCCCUGUCUUAGGACCUUGUGGGCCAGGGACCUCCCGCCAGAAUGAUUUCCGCAAAUUCCUUCAUGUACUUCUCUCAGCACGUAAUCCGCGUCGUCGUCAUCCAAACACCGAAGGAACGGUAAUGUGUAUCCUCGCCGAUACAGUACCCCAUCGAUCAUCGUGUAUCUCGAGGCCUGAGCUCUAAUCUUCCGAGCUCGCAGCUUAUCUGGUGGUAAUACCCCGUCUCUAAGGUAUGAAACUAUCGGGUCCCUCCACGAGCAUUUUUGUUCUAUCCGCAACACCCCCAAAUUCUGCUCGAUACUUGGGCUGGACUUCACUUCUAGAGGGACGGACUUUGGCAUUUUUGGGUCGGCUACUGCUGCCAUCCUAGCCAAAAUGUCUGCUCGACUAUUAUGCUCCCUGGGGAUUUGUAUCACCUCCACUACUUCGAACUUCCCCAUCAUCUGCCUGACUAUCUUCAGGUACUGUUCCAUCUUCUCCUCUCUUGGUUGGAAUCUUUCACUGACAUGAUUCGCAACCAGCUGGGAAUCAGUUCUGAUCUUAACUCUGUCUGCUUUCACGGCCCUAGCCAAUUCCAGGCCUGCUAUCAAGGCUUCGUACUCUGCCUGGUUAUUUGUGGCUGCAAAUUCCAACUUUACAGCAUAAGAGAUCUCCUCCCCCUCUGGGCCUUCCAGGACAAUCCCUGCUCCUGAACCCCGCUCCCCUGAUGACCCAUCUACAGACAUCUGCCAUACUUGAGUUUCGUCAUUGCCUAUAACUGCAUCUUGUUGACCUAAGCAUGUUUCGGGCUCUGUGAAUUCAGCUACGAAAUCGGCCAUUGCCUGGGCCUUUAUCGCUGCGCGGGGUUUAUAGUCUAUGUCGAACUCGCUCAGCUCCACAGCCCACUUGACGAGCCGCCCAGAGGCAUCUGGCUUGUGCAGAGUCUGACGCAAUGGCUGGUAUGUUAUUACCGAGAUCGGGAAGGCUUGAAAAUAUGGCCUCAACUUCCGAGCAGCAACCACAAGGGCAAGUGCCCAUUUCUCCAACGAUGGGUACCUGGUCUCAGCGUCGAACAGGGCCUUGCUGGUGUAGUAUAUCGGAUACUGAACUCCUUCUUCCUCUCUCACCAGAACAGAACUGGCGGCCCGAUCCGAUACCGCCAAAUACAGAUACAACUUGUCCCCAUUCCUCGGUGUGGACAGCAGCGGAGCUUGCUGCAAGUAUUGCUUCAAGUUCCGGAAGGCUUCCUCGCAUUCUGGGGUCCAUUCUGUUUUCCUUCCCCUCCUUAUCACUUGAAAGAAUGGCUGACACUUAUCUGUAGCUUUGGAUAUGAAUCUGCUCAACGCCGCCAACCUCCCCGUGAGGCCCUGCGUCUCCUUCAGGUUACGAGGAGACGUCAUUUGCACAAUCGCCUGGAUUUUCUCGGGAUUUGCUUCAAUCCCCCUAUGGCUCACCAUGAAUCCCAGGAAUUUCCCUGACUCGACCCCAAAAGCACACUUCUCCGGAUUGAGCUUCAUCUUAUACUUCCUCAAAAGCUCGAAUGUCUCCUCGAGGUGUCUGACAUGUUCCUUCGGGAUCUUGGACUUGGUGAUCAUGUCAUCCACGUACACCUCCAUGGUUUUCCCGAUCAACGGCUUAAAGACUUUGUUCACCAGCCUUUGAUAGGUGGCCCCAGCAUUCUUGAGACCGAAUGACAUCACCCUGUAACAGAACAAACCUUGGUUAGUGAUGAAAGCCGUGCUCUCCUCAUCCUGCUCGUACAUGGGGAUCUGGUUGUAUCCCGAGAAUGCGUCCAUGAAGCUAAGCAGACCAUGUCCAGCUGUUGAAUCUACUAGCUGAUCGAUCCUUGGUAAAGGGAAGCUGUCUUUUGGGCACGCCUUGUUGAGGUCUGUGAAAUCCACACACAUCCUCCACUUGCCGUUUGCCUUCUUUACCAACACCACAUUUGAUAUCCACUCUGGGUAACUGACUUCCCGAAUGAACCCUGCUCUCAGGAGCUUCUCCACCUCGUCAUUUACAGCCUCAUACCUCUCCUGGUUGAAACACCUCCUCUUCUGCCUUACUGCCCGAGCACCUUUCUUUAUUGCCAACUUAUGACACGCUACCUCAGGGUCAAUCCCUGGCAUGUCUUCAUGUGUCCAGGCAAACACAUCAGCAUGAGCCUGUAAGCAUUUCACAAACUCCUGCUUUUGCUCUCCCUUCAGUCUCGACCCGAUUCUGAUCGUCUUUCCCGGGUUCUCUGGUCCCAUGCUUACCGUUUCCAGAUCCUCUACAGGUUCUUGUCUGCCAGUCUUGUUUUCUACUCGGGUAUCGAGGGAUGUUAUCUGCAUUGCCUCCCUUGCUGCCGAGGAGUAGCAGCUUCUUGCGAUCCUCUGGUCUCCUCGUACCACUCCUACUACCCCAUUCACCCGGUACUUCAGAGCCAGAUAAUGGUUGGACAACACCGCUUUGCUCAUCCUUAAAAACGGCCGACCUAGGAUCAUCUGGUAAGGACCUUCCUCAUCCACUACGACAAAGUCCAGUAUCAUUGUUCUUUCUGUCGGGGGGCUCCCAAUUGUGAUAGGUAGUUCGACCACGCCCAGGGGAACCAGCUUCCCUCCUCCGAACCCCUUCAAGGAGGUGUUGGUGUAUUCCAACUUCCGGUCGGCUAUUCCCAUCUCUUCCAGGGUUGACUUAAAUAACACAUCAACUGAGCUCCCUAUAUCAACCAGUAUCCGGUCAAACUUCUUGCUAGCGACCGUAGCCUUGAUGACUAAGGCAUCCUCGUGGGGGUAUAGGAUCCCUUCCUCAUCCUCAUCCGUCCACAUGAUUGGCACUUGCCUGACCCUUGCCCGUUUGGCUGCUGGGGUGUUGAGGAGUACCUCUUUACUGGUCAUGGCGUACCUAGCAUAAUUUUUUCUCGAUCUGUUUGAAUCUCCGGCCAACGUUGGGCCCCCCGCUAUCACCCUUACUGCGGGCUGCUCGUGCCUCAAGAUUCUAUCACUCUGCUCCCCUUCAUCUGUUGUGGCCACCAUCGGGAAAGUCCCAUCCAUAAACUCGUCCAGGUACCGAUUUCUCACCAAAUCUUCGACUUGGGUCUUGAGAUCUCUACACUCUGCUGUGGUAUGGCCAUGGGUGCCAUGGAACUUACAAUAACGUCCUCUAUCCCUCCUGUUGGGUAGCUUUGUUAUUGGUGUAGGGAGGUGCAGCAGCCCUCGAUCCUUUAUGGCUUCGUACACCUCAUCCAGGGACAUCUUCAAGGGAGUGUACCGCCCAUAGUCCUGGUGCUGGUCGAUCCGAUGUACUGCUCUUUCUCUGUUUGCCCCGCUCUGAGUUGGGGGCGGUGGAAGUACUUCUGGUCUGCUCGUCCUGCUACCGUGGGAAUGUUGAUGAAGACCACCAGAUGCCGGAUCAUUUCUUGUCCAAGGUUCCCUAGCUGGGGAACGAGGAGGUUGCGCCCUGCUGCGCUGAUACUGUGGUGGCCUCUGAUGAGGCUGGUAAGCAGUGACCCUGCCUCCUGCUCCACUACCGGAGGCCUGGUGGUCCCUCCUCCUGAUCGGCCCGUUCCCUGGUAAUGCUUUCAUCUCUCUCCUCCCCAACCCUUCUAACUGGUCUGUCUUGAUCCGUGCAGCCUUCUCCUCUUCAAUCUCGAUGUCUCUUUUAGCCUGUUCGUAUGCGGCCGCAUACGUUUGAAUAGCUGGGCUUCUCAAAUUGUACCACAGCCUUCCUAUCUUCACCCCUUCUUUCAAUCCCCUUAACGCCUGAGGGUGGUUGAAGGCUCCCAAGUCGAGGACAGCCCGAUGAAACCUCUUGAUGAAUUCCCGAAGGGUUUCUUGCUCCCCCUGUUUCAUGCUUUUCAGCUCCAUCAUGUCAUCUUCCGGUGACAUUGCCCCACUGAACUGCUCCGCGAAUUCCUGGCACAUCUGCUCGAAGGUUUUAAUGCUGCCCCGAAGAAGUUUCCUGUACCAUUCUCGUGCACGUCCCUCAAGGGAUAGUGGGAACACCCUGCACCUUUGGGAUUGAGAUAAUCCUUGUACCCUAGUUAUGUCGUUGAAGCGCUCUAUGUGCAUCAGCGGGUCAGUUCUUCCCGCGUAUCUGAGGUCGGGGAGGCGGAAAUCUCUCGGAAUAACUGCCCUCAUGAUCUCUGCUGCGAGCGGUGAUUCUCCGUCCAGCAUUAUCCUCCAACCAGGGGCUCUGUUCCUCCCUUGCAUAUCGUCAAUUAUCUGCGCUAGUCUGCGCACUUCCUCCUCCAGCUGCCCUGCACGACCAGGGUCACGUGCUGCAACUUGAUCCCGCUCUUGCUCUACAUCUUGCAAGUGUUGCCUCAACUCGGUUUCCUCUGCAUUCACCACCCCGUCGUCCGCGUCACAAGUCUGUCUUGCCGGGGACCGCUCUCUUUCUCUAUGAAAUUCUCCCCGUAGAGGUGCGUUACCUCUCUCACCAUCAAAUCUCCCUGUGGUUUGACUUCUCCCCGCACUAUCGGGACCUGGUGCCACUCCACCGCCUCUCACCCUUCCCUCUUGAGUUACCCUUCGCUUGCUCCGUAGCUCAUGCAGGAUGGUGUUGUGCAAAUUUUAAUGUACUCGCAAGCGCACGAAUCUAUUGUAGUAUAGACUAAUGGUGACGAGUGUCGAUCCCACGAGGAGGUGGAUUUUUAAUUAUAUAUAGAAUUAAUUUUGUAAAUGGGUGGUUGGAAUUGUGGUGGAAGUGAUUUAAAAUAUGCUAAAAUUGGAAUUGCAAUGGCGAGAAUAAAUUGUAGAGAAAAUCGAUUAAAUUGACGUACUUGGGUAUCUGGAUCCGUAUCAACAUGCAUCAUGGGCUAAAUAAUCCGUAUUAAUGCCAAUUAAAUCAUGAGGGGGGAAUCCACACCUCAUGAACCACGCUCUAAUCAAUAUGGUGCUAAGGGCUUAUCGUGCCAAAUAAUAAUAACCUUAUACUAGAGAGCCGGUGUAACCAAGGCGGUAUCUAGACAAGAUCAGUAUUAUUUGUCGACGAAAAGUCAAAUCAUCCACAAAAACUAGAGGGGAAAAGAAAAUAAAUUUACCAAAUAAAGCCCAUGACUCAUGUUGAGACUUCACCUUCAACCCAAGCUUGAAAGGAAAUUAGCCACUCAUAAUUGAACUAAGGGCAAAAUGGGAAUUUAUUAAAAUACAAAGAAAAUACAAGAUGGAGAAGGAAUUACAGAAAAUGGAUCCCAAAAAUGGAUUCAGAGAUAUCAAAUUAGGGGGGAGAGGCCCCCUUUUUAUAGAUACAUGGAGUAAAUCAUGGCCAUCGGAUUAAAAACAGUUUGGACGCUCAGGAUUGCGCCACGUCAUCAGUCAACAGUCCACGGUUUGACCACGCGGAUGAACAGUAACACGGUUUGACCACGCGGAUGAACAGUAACGCGGUUUGGUUGAAAAUAAUCCUGUGUGAUGCAUGCACCGUACGCGAGAUUUUUCGUCCACUGAUAUGCUGCCACGUCACCAUCAACAGUACAUAAGAAUUUUAGUCCAACAGGAUCGUGACACCUCAUCAGUCAAUGCCACAUCAUCGGUCAAUGCCACGUCAUCGAUCCGUCUAUGUGAACAGUGUCGUGAACAGUAACGUAGACAGUACCGUAUACGUUAAUAGUACCGUACAUGUGAAUAGUGCCAUUUUUCCUUUUAUGCUCCUCCUAAGGUUUUCGACCGUCCUGAGUUCAAAAGUGAUGUCCGUUUUGCCGUCUGAUCUCUCCUUUAUUGUGAAAUGACUAUAAUACCCCUAAAAUACAUAAAAUACUUAAUUAAAAUAACACACACGUAAUUACAUCACAAGAAGGUUAAAUACAUAAAAGUAAGAGUUGUUAGUAAGACUUGAAAUAUAAAAUGAUGGUUUUCUCCUUUAUAAAUAUGCAUUUUCUAAUACUCAACAGAUGGUUGUCAAGGUCUCCAUCUGCUUUUCCAUCCGGUCGAACAUGACUUUUUCCCGUGCUUCACUGACUAUCUCCCUCAGCGUCACGGAAUCGUUAAGCCUCAUAUCACCCCCUUGUGCACUACUUCCUCCUGUCUCCAUUGCUUUUCGCUUACUCCACCCCUCUUCUUGCUAUCAACAGAAGCUUUUUGCUCUGGGUCCCCACAGACGGCGCCAAAAUGUUGAUGCGAGAUUCCGGUUCUCCUCGUUCUACGACCAGGAUCUCUGCUCGAUCAACUUUACCACGACCAGGAGGUCUCCUAGUAAUGCUUCUUCUCCAGAUGUCCCUGCACACACAGACAAGUCAGAGUACGCCGGUUGUUCUCCCGGCGCAAACCCUCCGACGCUCAAGUCAGAUAUGAAGGUUCGGGGAACGCUUGCCACAGGUCUUAUGGCUUUUUCGUGGUUUUCUCUUUUAUCUUAAAAAUGCUAACCCUUUUACCUUCGUUGGCUACCUUUUUAUAGGCUUCUCCGAAUCCCCGUUUUCCGCUUUUUGCCAGACGGUAUGGGACUCUGACUGCUGCGUCAUGGGCGAAGGUGGGAUCUUGCGUGUUACGCCACGGUUCUGGGGAAAGCGUGGCUGUCGUGCCUAGAUUCUCGGGCUGGAGAGCAUGUCUUGCCAACUGCCGUCGACCGGGUCUCCUCGCUUCUCGACCUCUAGCCGGAAUGAUCUUAUGCCUCUUACAGGAAAUUGACCUCGCGGAUGACGUGCUCGUGGACGAGCAGGAUAUUUCUGCUCCUGUUCCCCCGCGCAUCAGGCUUUUACGGAACACACCGGCUCGAGGAACUCUGCCCCCAGAUAUCUGCUCACCAUGCCUGGUCUCGUCGACGUAUUUCUCCUAAACAUCUGCUAUAAUAGCAGUUGUAAAUAUAUGUGUAAUGCAGUAAUAUGAUGAUUAAUCAGUAUUCAAAACACAAUAAAAGUUUCGUACAGAUUUUGAUAUUGAGAGUAACACAAUAAAAGUUUCAUACAGAUUUUGCAAACGAAAAGCACAUAAUACACUUAACUAGGAGGAAAAAUUAAGGUGUAUUUAUUACAAACUGCUAACAAUAUACAAUUGUAAAAAUCACUCUUAUGAACUCACAAAUACUAGGCAGCAAUAAGAGUAUGAUACAGCCAUUCUAAAUGAAAGAGAAUACAACUGUUUUACAACUAUGUCACAUCAAGAGAUAUGUUAGCAGGAUUAAUCCAGAUACCUUCGAACCCAAUUAACGAACUCGAGUCAGAAACCAGGGGCCCCCAACUAAACCUUACAAUCUUGAAGGAAGAAGGAGACUCGUGGUCCAGAUAGGUGACUUACUAGAUCUCCUGCAAAAGAGAAUAUCUAUUGCUUUGAACCUCCAUUGAAAUUUUUUUUUCCCUUUUUCUUGUUUUGACUUGGAACUUUCCAACAUCAUCUAUUUGAUCUUUUUUGAAGGUAAAAUAGCAAUCUAUAGGUUGCCAACAUGUUAUUCUGCCAAACCCUACCCCACCCCCCCGGGGGACAACAAAUCGACCUAGCACACACCUUUCUUCAUUGCCCACACCUACAGAACUAUAAUAAAAAGACUACGUUACUAUUGGGGUAGAGAAAAUAUACAGACUGUAUUAUUAUUACAUCGCAUUUUACUAAUUAACUAGUGCAAGACUUCUUUAGUGUCAAAUCAAGAACUAAUUAGAAAAGACAACUCAUGAUAAUACAGACCUUAAUAAGCAAUUGCUAACAACAUCCCAUAUACUCCUAUUUUAGCCUUCAUUAUCCUGGUAAAAACACAAAUAAGUCUUGCAAACGAACAUUUAUAAGUAAAUUCAACAUUAAUUAAGAUUAGGUAUCUACUGCACCUAAUAGCAUGGUCAACCAUCCAGUUCCUGUAGCCUUCCAUGUACCUAUGUUAGUUACAUUUUACAUAUUAAGCCACGAAAACGAAGAAUCACAGCCUGGUAAAGAAAGACAUUAAUUAAUAGUUUUUGUUUAAAAAUUUCUCCUUUAGAUCUUUCCUAUUCAAUGAAUCAAUGUAAUCUAAAGAGAACUCUUCCAUUUCAAACAGUGUUAGAAGGUAUUUGCAAAGCCUAAAGAUAAUAUACAAGGACCAAGAUAUACACAGAUGGUUUCUUUAUGGAAUUAAAGAGCUUUAUAGAUGUUAAAACUGUUUCAAACAAUUUUUCUUGUUUGGUUUAACUAAGGAAAAGCUUGUGGAAGAUUAAAAAUGAUGUUUCCUAUUCUCUGUAGGAAACUUUUAGGAGAUUUUUUGGGCUUUUUUGAAAGGUUGAAUUGUCAAAAAUACCUUGAUGUUAUUGUUUGCUAAAAGAUGUUACGGACAUCUAAACAACCAACAACAUUUUGUUAAAAGCUCUACUAAUGUAGGAUCUACUUAAAGAAGCUAUACCAAACAGACUCUUAGACUGAAUAACUCGAUCUUAAGUUUGUAAAAUUGGGCUCAGAAUCUCCACUAACAACCCCGCUUCGGUGAGAAAGCCCAAGCCUGUUACUUUGUAUAACCUUAUUCUGUAUGUUUGAUUGCAGGAACUGGCCGAUCAUACCGACGAGGUGAGUGUGCAACAUGAGGUGCUUGACGGGAUGUUUACUUUCUAUGAUUCAACUAAAGCUAGCCUCAACAUAUAUCAGGUGCCUGCUUGUUUUUACCUUCUAGAUACUAAUAUUGUUUAGACGUGUAAUCUCUCUCUCCAUUGAACGCUAGACGGCUCGUCUCAAGCCUUCUACGUACUUCAGAGUCCUUCACUAGCUUUUUAUGUAUAAAGUUUUGAUCUUUUUCCUUCAUUUGCUUGAAGCUCAUUACUGCAGAUUUUUUUUACAGGUUGGUAGUGUAACAUUCGACUUGCUGUUGCUUCUAGUCUUGGGAUCGUAUUUAAUUGUGCUUUUCAGCUUUCUUGUCAUCACAACUAGGGUAUUACUCUUUCUCCAUAUCAAGCUUGAAGUUCUAAAUUUCAGUUUUAUCUUGUAUUUGAUGUUUUAUAAUUUCAUUGCAAACAGAUUAGAAUAGAAACUUCAAAAGUUCCAACUGACUAGUCCCGUGUAACUUUUCCAGGGAAGAUGUUCUCUCAUAACAACUACGAACGUGUUAUGGUUUAGCUCAGUGUCACAAAGGACAGUUUCCAACAAUUGAUCCUAGGAAGAUGCCCAUAGCUUGUUGUGCCAAAAAUAUAAAAUCUAAGAUGCGAAAAGAUUUUGUUGAGAUUCAUUUUUCAUCCUGAUGUUACCGCUGGCCUUUUUUUUUUUUUGGCAGAGAAUAAUGCUUAUGUGAUUUCUGAACUUGGUGAUUGUUGAAAUGAGCUGAAAAUGAGCUGGAAAUGUGUUUGGUUACUGAGAAAGAGAGCAAGAAAAUGAAAGAAAUCUAUUUCACUUUUUAUUUAUCAGAAUGAUUACAUUCACAAUGAAUCUAAGCUGCUAUUUAUACUUAAAUGAAUACACACGAGAAUCUUCUUGCUAGAUACUUCUAGAAACUCUACACGCACACUCGCACUGAGCUAGUGGUUACCAAAACCGUGACAACAAUAUUGCCAGCUCAGCAUAACCAACUUAUAAGUUAUAACUAACACACUCAGCUGCAGGGGAAACCAUCAAGCUUACUGUGCAUCCUCUGUAAUCAAGCUUCUUUAAGCAUGCUCUGCAGAUCAUAUGUCUGAAUUAUCGAAACAAGAUGAAUUAUUUUUUGUUUAGCAGCAGGCGAUCUAUGAGCAGAAUUUCUUGCAACAAAAGAUGUGUGUCCCCCGGCUUGUAUUUAGUCUCGUAAUGCAUUAUAUAUAUGCACGCGAACACACUUUUGAGAAGAAUCAGACCAUUAAUUUUCUUUUGAGCCAAUCAACAGAAUGUACAUUUCUUCUAAGAGCUUGUAACCGAAACUGCAGUUUUUCAGGUUUGAUGCAUCUGGGAAAAUUGUCAGAUGGAAUAAAACCAUCAUGCGCCAAGGUACCAAUGAUGUUUCUUCCAGCUUAUGAGCACUUCAAAUAAACUUAGGUCAUACUUACACAAGGGCGCACAUGAUAUCAAUCUAAUGGCAAAUAUAUCAUCUAAAAUCCAAAACCAAGAGUCUCCCAUUUUCCCGUCCUCUACUCUGUUCAUAUUAUCAUAACUAGAAGAUUGCAAGGCAGCCGCAAUCUCCCAGAUCUUUGCUCCUUCCUCAUAGCAGUUAAUCAAACGAUAAAUAGAGAUAUCCCAUGUCAACAAGAAGGUAAUCAUAAAAGAACAACAGAAUUGUUGCAACAUAUUCAUAUGAAAUGUAAAACAAUUUUGAGAAAAAAUAUUGGGAAGAUAUUUUUUUUUCAUAGAAGUUGCAAUCUUUACGUUAUUUACUAGUUUGACUAGACUAUAUAAGGAAGCUAUAUGAAAUUAGAAAAAUAAGCUAUACUAGGAAAGAAUAAAUAUGUGUACAGAAAAUUAGGCUAUAAUUUUCAAAUUAGAUGCCAGUUAAUUUUAUCAUAAUUAGAUGGUAAGAUUGCAAAUUCUGCAGCCAAAGGUGGUACGGAACUGAAUGAAGGAAAUCAAAUAUGAACAUGUUUUCAAUCUUAAAAUAUGAAGAGUAGCAGAAGUAACUUGUGAAACAGUUAUAAGUUCAAGGGAAUUAGAUGAUGGCAUGGUUGAAUUUUAUAAAUAUUUGAUAUUUUGGACCGAACAGGGCAAACAGAUGGAUCCAGAUAAUCAAGAAAAACAUCAAUUCCAUGCAACCAAAUUAGUGUGGGCAAUGCAAUUGAGCAACACUAAAAAAUUAUUCAAAGAAAUCAGUAUCCAAAUAUAUGGCUCCGUCCGUUCCACCACCACAACCAAAAAAAUCAGAUCCCCCCAUUUGGAUUCGAUUGAUUAAUUUGAGCAUAUAAAAUCGGGUUUUAAACUUCCCUAAGCAAAAUUUAUAUUCCACAGAAUCAGUUCCUUUAACAUGAUGCAUUACAUAAUAUUUUGUUUGCAAAAUAAAGAAGAAAGAUGACAUAAUAGAAACACGCUAUUGCAUCUUUUGAAAAAGAAAAACGGAAUAGUUUUCCAAAAUUAAUUCCGAGAAGAAGAUUAACUAAUAAUGAUGUUAGAAAUUUUAAUAUUUGAGUCUUAAUAUUAUGUAUCACUCAUUUAUUAAAUAAUAGAUUUCAUAAUUUGUAAAAUUACUUAACCACUUGAUAAAUGUUAUAUUUGUUGGGACUAAAUUGGAACUUAAAUGUUGGAAUAUCUAGUAUUGCAUUAAAAAAUAAAUAAAAACUUAACAAUUUAUCUUCACUUGACUAAUUGUUUUUACAUCACAACUAACCUUAAUUAUUUUGAAGUUACAGUAUUAUUAAAUUGUCCUAACUGGUUAUCAAAAGUUGAAAGCAUGUUAAAAUAAAAAAAAUUACCAAGAAACAUGUGCUUAAACAGAGGUUGAGGCUAUGAACAAUUAAGAAGAAACUCUUAAUUUGGUCCCAAUUAGUAUAGUAAUCAUCUAUUGAGCGGUAAAAUAUUAAUUUUAAUAGUGAUGAAAUCCAAUAUAUAAUAGAUUACUAACACACAUAAAUUAAAACUAAACUGUCAGAAAUCAUAACAUUACUCUACUCUUCAGUGGAGUUCUCUUAAACAGAUUAUGUGAGAUUGCCUACAUAAAAAAUAUGUUAAGACUGCUUGUUGAAAGCAAUAUUCGCUUUUCCAUUAUAUCCAUAACUUUGAAUUGAUAAAGUUGUAUUCAACAGCUCUUGAAAAGACUAAUUUAUUUAAACUAGUCACAGAAAUAAGAGAGAAAGGGGGCUAUUUCUUGACUCAAAGUCAAUUAUAAUUAUCAAAACUUGAGCGGACAUCGCAUGCCUAACUUCCACGCACCCUAAAACGGUUUGAUUUGCUUUCACGCGUUCAUGAAUUUCCAUGAAAGAGCCUGCCUUUCGUCUCUUUCGGGACAGUGACUACAAUUAUGGAAAAAAUUAUAAUUCUCGUUAGAUUGUAACCAAAUUAUUAUCCCUAAUUUUUUUAAGUUAAAUAAAAUAAAAUUUAUGCUUAAGUAUAAACAAUAAUUUGGACAUUCUUGUUAUUUGUCCUUCUAAGAUAGACAGCAACCUAAUUAUUUAUUUGUUUGCCUGUUUUUGUUUUUUUAAAUAACAGUUUAUUAGCAUAAAUAUUUACCUGUGAAGUCGAGGAGGAGAAAAUGUUAGAAAAAAUAAAAAGAAAAAAAAUUAAGGGAGAUAGAAUCAGAUUUUCUUUUUUGAGCAAAGAACAUACGUAAAAAGAUAUUAAAUCUAUUAAGUCUAAUUGUCUAUAACCGUAAAUUGCAUAACGAAUAAAUUAUCAGCGUAAAAUAAAUUUUAUUAGAUUCUGGUUAUUUUCUAGAGUACGAAUUGUCUCAUCGUAGAACAAACACCGGAAAAUAUAACCUUUGCGGAGGUCUUUUGCUGUGUCGUUAUAAAAAGGUUAUUAGUAAUUUAAUGCACCAAUAUUGUAUAUUCCACCUUAUCAAUGUCUCUGGUUGCGAAAGAUUGUUAAAAGCAACGUGUUCUUUCUUUGUCUUAUGUAAUUUUUUCGUUGUCCAUGAGUUUUAAUUGAAAUACUUGGCUUCCAGUUAUUUUGUAAACCUGUCGAAAACUACCACAGUGGAUAAAGAUUAACCAGCUCAUUCUUUACAAUUGACUAUCGAUUUUUUAUUUUUUUAUUUUUAUUUAAAAUUGCUGGUUUGUUGCUUAAAAUUUUCAAUAAUAAUUUCACUUAUUUAGUAAUUAGAGAGAGAUAGAGAGGAUUGGCGGCCAAUGUUUCGCGAUUUGGGGUCAAUUCAAAGUCAACUAACGUGUAAAACACGUGUAUGCAUAGAAAACGCUUAGAUUAUUUGUGUUCCAAGUGCAAGAAAUUAAGAAAAGAAAAAUUGAUUUCCUUUCAUGAACUUCCAAGAAAGAAAGAAGACCCUUUACCUUCUUCGUGACAACAAAUGAAUGAAUGAUGUUGAUAUGACAAAUACAAGCGCUAUUGCAGGGAACAGCAUAAGACCGAGACUUGAUAAAGGGUUUGUUAAAUUACAUGUUAUUUUCUUUUGACUUGAAUGAUGUUGAAAUAAAAUAAAAUUGUAAUCAGGAUGAUGUGUAGAAUAGUGAAAUAAAUAAAAAGAGAAGAGAAAUUCUUUGACCAAUAUUCAAGAACUCAUCCAAGGUGAUCGUCCAAGUCUAGAGGUUCGGUGUGAUUAGCAUUUAUUUUUAAUUUUUUGGCUAACAUCAUAUAUAGUCACUUGUCGUGUGAUGUAGGGCAAGUUUAGAAAUCCUUUUAUUUUAACUUCCGUAUUCUUAUUAUUUAAUUAGUUAUAGGGUUUUUAAGUAUUUGAGUAUUGAUCACAUGUCUGCUAAUCUAAAAAUAUUUUUUUACGAUCGAGUACAAAUAACAAACUAGAAUUUUAACAGCCUUUUAUACUAAACCCUAAAAAUACAUGAAUUUAUCAAAAUAAGUAAAUUAAUUUAAAUUGGUAUGGCAUAAUAGAAGUUUUACCUGCCGAAACAAAUUAAAAAAAUAUUACACUUAAAUCAAAUAUUGACAAAAAUAGAUAACAAUCUAAUGAGAAUCUUAACUAGACAUUUUUACUUCUAUCCAAUUUAACUGGAACGAGAAUUAAGUCCUUUCAAUAGUUAAGACUCAUAACUCAUACAUGCUAGUUUGAGAGUGUGGGGUGUGACAAUGGGUCAAAAGACCAUUGACAAGUACAAAAGAGUGAUUGCAAUUAAUUCAAACCGCUACACACGCUAUAUUGAGGGCCCAUUUUUGUUUAUUUCGUUGAAAAGUAGUUUUCACAAUUAAUUCAAACCGCUACACACGCUAUUGCGUCUUUUAAAAAAGAAAAAUGGAGUAGUUUUCCAAAAUUAAUUCAGAGAAGAAGAUUUACUAAUAAUGAUGUUAGAAAUCUUAAUAUUUGAAUCUUAAUAUUAUGUAUCACUCAUUUAUUAAAUAAUAGAUUUCAUAGUUUGUAAAUUUACUUAACCACUUGAUAAAUGUUAUAUUUGUUGGGACUAAAUUGGGACUUCAAUGUUGGAAUAUCUAGUAUUGCAUAAAAAAUAAAAAAAAACUUAAAAAUUUAUCUUCGCAUGACUAAUUGUUUUUACAUCACAACUAACCUUAGUUAUUUUUUAAAGUUAUAGUAUUAUUAAAUUGCCCUAACUGGUUAUCAAAAGAUGAAAGCAUGUUAAAAUAAGAAAUUACUAAGAAACAUGUGCUUAAACAGAGGUUAAGGCUACGAACAAUUAAGAAGAAACAACUUACAAUCAAAGGUUAAGAUUAUGAACAAAUUAAGGAAGGUAGAUAAAGGGACGGAAUCAUUGUCUGAAUUGCCGGUGACAAGAAUGCUUGUGUUGUGAAAAGAAACCUGAUGGUUUGUAAAUGGGUUGAAUUUUUUAUUCGCUCACUCCAACUGACUUACUAAUGCCAAAUUUAUUACGUUGCACAGUAGUGUUUAGGAUCCUCAAGAUCAACUCUUAAUUUGGUCCCAAUUAUUGUAGAAAUCAUCUAUUGAGCAAUAGAAUAAGAAUUUUUCUAGUCAUGAAAUUUAAUAUAUAAUAUAUCCUUGACACACAUCGAUUAGAACUUAAUUGUUAGAAUUCAUAACAUUACUCUACUCUCAAGGGGAGUUCUCUUAACAUAUUAUGUUAGGUUGCCUACAUUCAAAAUAUGUUAGACUGCUCUUUGAAAGCAAUAUUCCCUUUUCCGUAACUUUGAAUUGAUCCAAUAGCUCUUGAAAAGCACAUAAUAAUCAUUAUAAAUUUAAUCAAAGACUAAGCAGGUCUUCUUUCCAUUUGAUCACUGGCAUUUCAGUUAAGUUUGUCGUUUACUUAAAUUUUUCUUGCUUUCAAUUUCCACUGUUGUUUUUUUUAUAUAAAAUAAUUUAUUUAAACUAGUCAUAGAAAUAAGAGAGAAAGGGCGCCAUUUCUUGACUCAAAGUCAAUUAUAAUUAUCAAAACUUGAGCGGACAUUGCAUGCCUAAAUUCCACGCACCCUAAAACGGUUUGAUUUGCUUUCACGCGUUCAUGAUUUUCCAUGAAAGAGAGUGCCUCUCGUCUCUUUCCGGACAGUGACUGCAAUUAUGUUAACGUGACGAAUACAUAACGUUAUUACAUACAAGAAUAAGUUUUUGGAGCCGAGACUUGAGGGAGGUUCUAUCUAAUUCUAAAGAUUGUAACCAAAUCAUUAUCCCAAAUUUUUUUCAGUUAAAUAAAAUAAAAUUUAUGCUUAAGUAUAAAUAAUUUUUUUUCAGUUAAAUAUAAAAUAAAAUUCAUGAACUUUCCUAGAAAGAAAGAAGACCCUUCACCUUCUUCGUGACAACAAAUGAUGUUGACAUGACAAAUACAAGCUCUAUUACAGGGAAUAGCAUAAGACCGAAACUUGAUAAAUAUUAAAUAUAUAUUAUAAGUGGACCAAAUGAACAAAAUAAUAGAUAUUUUAUAAUAUUCUUGAUAAAAAUCCAAGUUUUGAGCUGGCCCAUAAGCUUGUCUAGCGAAGUCUGGGUACCCGCGUUGCCCAAGGUUUCGUCUGAAUCCAGGCUGUGUAGAUGUUUAUGACAUCCCAUAUGGACGGAGAGGAAAUAUUUUCAGUUGACUGAAUUAAAUAAAAAUAUAUUACAAUCAUAUUAUAUAUUAACAGCAAAAAUAAAAAGAAAUGAAGAAAAACGCAUGCAAGACUUAGAGAAGUCAAUUAAAAGCUGGGAGUAUCAUCAGUUCAAUUAGUUAUAAAUAGCGUAGAGCCAUCCUCUCGUUGUUGCAGAAGAGAGACAGAAAGAGUGUGUGUAGGUGAUUAUAAUUAAGAAGAUAUAAAGUGUGGUUCAAAAAGAGUGUGGGUGAGUGAGUUAAUUUUCAUAUUAUUAGUAGUAAAAGGGUGGUGGAGUGAGGGAUGUUUGGAGCAAGAGAGGUCUGCUCUCCUCCAACUUAAACGUUUCUUCAAUAAUAAUGAACGUCUUCAAAACUGGGCAGACGCGGCAGAUGAUGAGAAUUAUUCAGAUUGUUGUCAGUGGGAAGGGGUUGAGUGCAAUAACACCACUGGCAGAGUGAUUGAAUUAUAUCUAGGAGCCACUAGGAAUCGGGAAUCAGCAGAGUGGCAUAUGAAUGCUUCUCUAUUUACUCCCUUUCAACAAUUAGAGUCUCUUUAUCUAAUUGGGAACAAUAUAGCCGGUUGUGUUGAAAAUGAAGGUCCUUAAUUUACUUUAUUUUAGUUCUUCCUAUAAAUUUCUUACAUUUAUCUGAUCCCUUUUGGCUUUUAUUUAAUUUGUAUGUGAUACAAUAAAAUUAUUUUUUAUUUUUUGGCAGGUCUAGAUAGGUUAUCAAGGUUGAACAACUUGAAGUUUCUUUUUUUAGAUUUUAACUGCUUCAACAACAACAUCUUUUCAUCUCUAGGUGGUCUUUCAUCACUCAGGAUCUUAUCAUUGUUUCAUAAUAGAUUGAAUGGAAGUGUUGACAUUAAAGGUAAAGUAAGCUUCAUCCCUUCUCCCGUGUCCCAUCUUUUGUGGAUCUUAUUUCAUCGACCAGCUGGAAGUAUUGAUACGAGAUCUAGCUAGACUCUUGCUAGUGCAAGCUUCAAGGCUUUGAGUGCUACAAAAAUAGGUCUAAGAAAUUAUCAAUACAUAACGUUAUUACAUACAAUAAUAGUUCUAAAGAUUGUAACAAAAUCAUUAUCCCCAAUUUUUUUAAGUUAAAUAAAAUAAAAUUCAUGCUUAAGUAUAAAUAAUACUUUGGACAUUCUUGAUAUUUGUCCUUUUAAGAUAAACAGCAACCCAAUUAUCUAUUUGUUUGUCUGUUUUGUUUUUUUUAAAUAACAGUUUGUUAGCAUAAAUAUUUACCUGUGAAGUCGAGGAGGAGAAAAUGUUAGAAAAAAUAAAAAGAAAAAAAAUUAAGGGGGAUAAAAUCAGAUUUUCUUUUUUGAGCAAAGACCAUACGUAAAAAGAUAUUAAAUCUAUUAAGUCUAAUUGUCUAUAACGGUAAAUUGCAUAACGAAUAAUUUAUCAGCGUAAAAUAAAUUUUAUUAGAUUCUGAUUAUUUGUUUGAUUUCUUUUCUCUCUGGACUCAACUUAUAUUGUUUAUUUGAUUUGAUUUUAUUAUUUUUUAAAGAAACUUAUUGUUUAUCAAUACUGAAUGGCUUAAGAUUGAUGUCUUGAUAAUAGAUGGGGCAAUAUUGCAUUUUUAAUGCAGUAGACUUUGAAGUUAUCAUUGACAAGCUUAGAUGAAUUACUAGGACCAUAAUACAAAUGUCACAGGCAUCUAAGGCACUUACCAAGUUUUGAGUACAUUCCUGUUCCUAUCUAAUAGUUUUUAAUUUCUUUAAUUUAAGACCCCAUUCAUUAAUAUUUUCUUUAUUGUGAAGUUAAUUUUUUUUAUGUGAAAUUAAUUUUUUUUUAAAAAAAAUUUGUUGACUUAUAGUUUACCUUUGUGUUAAAUGUUGGCAAAAUUAUUUUGUCCAAACCAUUUUUUUGUCCUGAACGUCCAACUAAAAACUGAAUCAAGGGUUAAGUUGUAAGGUUUCAGUUCGUCCGUUAUAUUAAUUUAUUGUUUUAAUAUUAUGCAGUACAAAUAGGUGUAUAAGUCCAUCAUUUAAAUACAAAAUGAAACCACAUCAAUAUAGAAAUUAAAAGAAAAUGAAUUCUCACAACCAUAAGGUGAGAUUCAAACUCUCUAUCUCCGAGGAUUUCUUAAAGUUAUUCUUAAAUUAUACUUAAAUGGUUAAAUUUAAUAAAUAAAGGUUUAAUUCUUUUCUCGCACAUUGUAGAAGCAAAUUUUCUCCUCUGUUGAAAAUUCUAAAUAUUUUUUUAAAUUAGGUUUCAACUAUGACAUAUCAGGAGAGAUUUGAUACAUUUCUAAUGCAACCGAUAUAACAACACAACUUUGUGAUUUUUACUAUUCAGGAGAAGAAGAACACAACCUGUAUAACCCAACCGUUUAUAUACAAACAUCGAAUCGCUUUUUAAAAUUAAAUUGGGAAAAUUGGGGAUAUAAUCGUUUUUCAUAUAUAUACAUUUUUUCCUUACAAAUUUAAAUUCAUGGUUGGUAGCUAAAUAUACCUGCUUAAAGCCACUCAGUCGAACCCUUUGAGAGCUGCUUUAAAUUUUUCGGAUUAGCCAUAUUCUUUUCACUGAGAUUUAACAUAAAAAAAAAAGAGAAAAUAAGUUAUUUAAUUAACUCUAUUUUAAGUGUUGGCAUAAAUACAGGACUCGAUUCCUUAAGCAACUUGAAGGCGCUGUACAUGAGCUUCAAUGCAAUCGACAAUCUAGUGGUUCCUAAAGGUAUACAAAAUCUUCAAAUAUUAAUAAUUUGGAAGACAAUUUAAUUGAUUUGAUUAGGGAAUGCCCAAUGUCACUUAUCCAAAAUAAUUUAAUCUGAAAUUGUAUCCCAAAUAGAUUACAGAGGCUUGAGGAAGUUGAAUACCCUUUAUUUUGGGGGGGGGGGGGGGGGGGGGGGGGGGAGGGAAAUUGCAGUGAUAUAUGGAAGCAAGGUGUUGCAAUCAAUAAAGAAGUUCAUUGGUCAAUAUUCAAGGACUCAUCCAAAGUAAUCCACCAACUCAAACAUUUCUUCAAUGAUGAUCAACGUCUUCAAAACUAGGUAGACGCGGGAGAAAUGAGAAUAAUUUAGAUUGUUGUCAGUGGGAAGGGGUUGAGUGCAACAACACCACUGGCAGAGUGAUUAAAUUAGAUCUAGCAUUUCGAAAAUGGGAAUCAGCAAAGUGGUAUAUGAAUGCCUCUUUGUUUACUCCCUUUCAACAAUUAGAGUCUCUUGAUCUAAGUUGGAACAAUAUAGCCGGUUGUGUUCAAAAUGAAGGUCCUUAAUUUACUCUAUUUUAGUUCUUCCUCGUAAUUUCUUACAUUUAUCUGAUCCCUUUUGGCUUUUGUUUAAUUUGUAUGUGAUACAAUAACAUUUUUUUAGUUUUUAUUUUUUAUUUUUUGGCAGGUCUAGAGAGGCUAUCAAGGUUGAACAACUUGAAGUUUCUUUAUUUAGACGACAACCACUUCAACAACAGCAUCUUUUCAUCUCUAGGUGGUCUUUCAUCACUCAGACACUUAUCAUUGGCUGAUAAUAGAUUGAAUGGAAGUAUUGAUAUUAAAGGUAAGCAAGCUUCAUCCCUUCUCCCGUGUCCCAUCUUUGUGGAUUUUAUUUCAUCGACCAGUUGGAAGUAUUGAUACUAGAUCUAGCUAGACUCUUGCUAGUUUAAGCUUCAAGGCUUUGAAUAUUAUAAAAAUAGGUUUAAGGAAUUAUCAAUAUAUGCAAUUUUCAAUGCUUCUCAUAAUCAGACACAAUUCAAUCUAAUUAUUUCGUAUGUCUUGUCUUCAAAAGUAAAGAAUUGUACACUAAACGGAAAUCGACAUUGUAGCUUUUUAAUUUUUCUAAUGCUCUUUCUUUGUUAACGAGUUAAAUCCUGAGAGUGGAUUGGAUUCAAAAAAAAAAAAAAAAACAAGUUUUGAUGUUCAAGGUAAGCCAUAAUAACAUGCAUCUUAUUUAUCUGCCUAUAUCUAAAUUUGUGCAUUGAAUUUAGUAUUUUGGUUAGUGUGAAGGGAUCAGAUAUUGGCUUCCAUAAACCAACUUGUAUUUACUUAAUUAAUUAAUUAACGCCAUUUAGUAUUUAAAAAAUUAAAAUUUCGUGUUUUAUUUAUUUUAUUUUUUAUUUUUUGAAACAAGAAUAAGGUAUAGCAGUAGGUAAAGUUGAAAUAAAUUUUUAUUCCUUACAAAUUUAAAUUCGCCGUUGUCAGCCAAAUAUACCUACUUAAAACCACUCGGUCAGGCCCUUGGCAGCUGGUUUUUAGGUUUUUCUAGUUAGCCGUGUACUUUUUUGCUUAUUAAUAAAAUUCUUUUGCGCCGAGAUUUAAAACAAAGAAGGAGAAAAUAAGUUAUUUAAUUAACCCUGUUUUAAGUGUUGGCAUAAAUGCAGGACUGAAUUCCUUGAGUAACUUGGAGGAGCUGGACAUAAGCGACAAUGCAAUCGACAAUCUUGUGGUUCCUAAAGGUAUACAAAAUGUUCAAAUAUUUGGAGGACAGUUUAAUAGAUUUGAUUAGGGAAUGCCCAAUGACACUUACCCAAAAUAAUUUAAUCUGAAAUUGUAUCCCAAACAGAUUUCAGAGGUUUGAGGAAGUUGAAUACCCUUUAUUUCGGGGGAAGGGCAACUGCAAUGAUAGAUGGAAGCAAGGUGUUGCAAUCAAUAGGAUCACUACCGUCCCUCAAAACACUUUACCUUUUGUAUACUAAUUUUAAGGGAACAGUAGUUAAUCAAGGUAAGUAAAUCUUUUAUGUCGAAAAUAAUUGAAUUAAUAUAUAUAUCUAAAAUUUAUUGUUUCUACUUCUUUCUAAAAAGAAUUGCACAAUUUCACCAACUUGGAAGAAUUGAUAUUGGACGAGUCUGAUCUCCACAUAAGCCAGCUUCUGCAAAGCAUCGCAUCAUUCACUUCGUUAAAGUAUUUGUCAAUGCAACAUAGUGUACUCAAGGGUGCCCUGCAUGGUCAAGGUAAAUUACGGGUAUCUGAAGCUUUUGUGAUAUUAAUUCGAUAAUGAUUCUUUCUUUUCAAGUUAAUUUUCUCCCGUAAAAUAAUAUUUUUUUCUUUUAAAUUUUAUAUAUUUUCACUAUCCAAUAGUUCUACCUUCUCUAAAUUGUAGGAUUCUUGAUUAAGGUUAAUGAAAUUUUAGUUAUGUUAUGUUAAGAAUAUUUCGAUCGCUUAGAAGAGUAAAGAAAAAUAAGUAAAUUAACCCAAAAAUAAGGACCGGAUUAUCCUUAUUCCCUUGCAUUAUGUGAUCAAUAUCAAAAUUAUGACCAUUUCUUGUUUAUUGCUUGCAGAUUUUCGUAAAUUCAAGAAUUUGGAAAAUCUGGACAUGGGUGAGGUGCAGGUUGACGUCAACACCAGUUUUCUUCAAAUUGUCGGCGAAUCGAUGCCUUCUCUGAAGUUUUUAUCACUGAUAAACUCUAGUAAAAACACCAUUCUUGAUCAAGGUUAAUUAAUGAUUCUCUUUCUCCCUCUCGCGCAUCUUAACUAAAUUUAAUUGAGAAUAUCUAUGAUGUGAGAUAUUUAUAAACUUAAUGAAAUAUGAUAAGGAGCCAUAAUAAUGACAAAAAUAACUAUAAAACAGUGCAUUGUUGUAGUGUUGAUUGAAAAAUAAUGCUAAUUUUUUACUUAACACUAUAACGCUAUAUAAUUUUACAGUUAUUUUGUUGCCAUUACGUCAGAUUCUACUGUUCAACUAUCAGUGAUCAAACUUAAUUUUUAAUAUGUACUUUAAAGAUUUUAUGCAAUUAUUUAAGUUUUAUGCAAUUAUAUUUUUCAGGACUUUGUCGGUUAGUGCAUCUGCAAGAGUUAUACAUCAGCAGUAAUGAUUUGAGAGGUAGCUUGCCAUGGUGCUUGGCAAAUUUGACUUCCCUUCGAGUAUUAGAUGUCUCUUACAAUCAACUUACUGAAAACAUCUCCUCAUCUCCCAUCAUGCAUCUAAUAUCUAUUGAAAAGCUCAUACUUUCAAAUAAUCACUUCUUCCAAAUCCCUAUUUCACUUGAACCACUUUUCAAUCUCUCAAAACUCAAGACUUUCGAUGGUGAAAUAUGCGCAGAAACUGAGUCACAUUAUAAUUCUUUGACCCCAAAAUUCCAACUGACUUCUAUCUCACUGUCUGGUUACAUAGAUGGUGGCACAUUUCCCAAAUUCUUGUACCAUCAGCAUGACUUGAAGAAUGCUGAUCUCUCACACCUUAACUUGAGUGGACAAUUUCCAAAUUGGUUGCUAGAAAACAAUACAAACUUAGUGAUGCUUCUUCUUGCCAAUAACUCUCUUUUUGGAUCAUUUCGAAUGCCAAUUCAUUCCCACCAGAAUUUAGCAACAUUGGAUGUCUCCAAACAAUUUCUUUCAAGGCCAUAUUCCGGUAGAAAUCGGAACAUAUCUGCCAGGUUUAAUGGAUUUAAACUUAUCUAGAAAUGCUUUCAACGGUAGCAUUCCCUCUUCAUUUGCUGAUAUGAAAAUGUUGGAAAGGUUGGACAUAUCUGACAAUCAGUUGACUGGUGAAAUCCCUGAGCGCAUGGCCACGGGUUGCUUCUCAUUAGAAAUUCUUGCAUUGUCAAACAAUAGUUUGCAAGGUCAUAUAUUCUCGAAAAAAUUUAACUUGACAAAUUUGAUGACGUUGCAGUUGGAUGGUAAUAAAUUCAUUGGAGAGAUCCCAGAAAGCUUAUCUAAGUGUUAUUUGUUGGGAGGAUUGUAUCUGAGUGAUAAUCAUCUCUCUGGUGAGAUUCCAAGAUGGUUGGGUAAUUUGUCAGCUUUAGAAGGUAUUAGAAUGCCCAAUAACAAUCUUGAAGGACCAAUUCCAAUCGAGUUUUGUCAGCUUAGUGCUCUGAAGAUUUUAGACCUUUCAAACAAUUCUAUUUUCGGAACGUUACCAUCUUGUUUUAGUCCAGCACAUAUCGAACAAGUUCAUUUGUCAAAAAACAAGAUAGAAGGACGGUUGGAAAGUAUAAUCCAUGACAGCCCUUAUUUGGUGACAUUAGAUCUUAGUCAUAACCGCUUACACGGAAGUAUUCCAAAUCGGAUUGACAGACUACCUCAGUUAAACUACCUUCUUUUAGCUCAUAAUUAUAUUAAAGGCGAAAUACCAGUUCAAUUAUGCCAGUUGAAGGAAGUGCGAUUGAUUGAUCUUUCUCAUAAUAAUCUAUCUGGUCAUAUUCCUCCUUGCUUGGUUAACACUGCACUCAGUGGAGGUCAUCAUGAGGCAGUAGCUCCAACUUCGAUUUGGUGUGGUCGAGCGUCUGUCUAUAUAUCUGCAUGUCUGCCUAGUCGAAGUGCACCUCCGAUGGGAAAGGAAGAAACUGUACAGUUCACAACAAAGAAUAUGUCCUACUAUUAUCAAGGAAGAAUUUUGACGAGUAUGUCUGGGAUUGAUCUUUCUUGUAACAAACUGACAGGUGAGAUUCCUACUCAAAUUGGAUAUCUUUCUGGGAUUCAUGCGCUAAAUCUAUCUCAUAACAAUUUGACGGGCACAAUCCCGACAACAUUUUCAAACCUGAAGCAAAUUGAAAGCUUGGACCUCUCCUACAACCUACUGCAUGGGAAAAUCCCUCCUCAACUCAUUGUGCUAAAUACAUUGGAGGUUUUCAAAGUAGCAUACAAUAACUUAUCAGGCAAAAUUCCAGAUAGAGCACAAUUUUCAACUUUCGAGGAAGAUAGCUAUGAGGGGAAUCCUUUUCUUUGUGGAAAGCCACUGUCCAAAAGUUGCAAUGAUAAUGGAUUGACAACAGUGACACCAGAAGCUUCCACCGAAAAUCAAGGUGAUAGUUUAAUUGACACGGACAGUUUCCUGAUCACUUUUACAGUAUCUUAUGGAAUUGUGAUAAUAGGAAUUAUUGGAGUUUUGUACAUAAACCCUUACUGGCGGCGAAGAUGGUUUUACCUUGUUGAAGUGUGUAUGACCUCUUGUUAUUAUUUUGUAGCAGACAAUCUUGUUCCUCGAAGAUUCUAUCGUGGAUGGAUGUAAUUUCCUUACAUUACAACUUAUAUGUAAUUUUUAAAGAAUUUUCUUUUGCAUGCAUGGAAUAGCAACUCAAUAAAAGUAUUUGAUUCAAAUUGUCCAAGAACAACUUAGUAAUUUCAUUGCUACUAUUCGGUUGUAUAUAUACAGUAAAUGAAAUUUUUAACCAUUCGCAGUAGGAAUUUCUUUAGAUGGCGGCCAAAACUAACAGAUUUGGGGCUCUACUUCUACACAUCAUAACAGACAAAAGGUCUCUCUUUUACACGAUCUGAAUGAAGAUUAACUUACGCCCUCUGGAGUGUGUGUAAGUUCUCUAUUAAACUUGACGGUUGAGAUUUCAGGUCCAGAUGAAAGUAAAAUGCAGGCGACGAGACUUCACUUUAAGUAAACUGGGACAAACUUAAAAUAAAAAAAAUUAUAGUCCAGGGUGAGAGUAAUGGGUAGCUCAACUUAUGGAGGAUAACUAGGACUUGGAAUAACUAUCAGAUUUGCAACUCUUGUUAUAUGCUAGUGGGGAUUUAGGUAGCAAUUAUCACCUUGGGAGUUACAGUAAUCGAUUCAUUUCCUCCUUCAUUUCUGAUGGUAACCCAGCUCUAUACAAGAACAAUCAGAGAAGGUUCAUUUAAGAAAUUUCACAACCCACAAAUUUUUUUUUCCUUUUUGCCCUCUUCCUCACAAUAAACACACCUAACACACCAAGCCGUGCCCAAAAUAAUCCUAUUUUAUUCAUGUCAUGAAUCCAAAAACUAUCCCAGCUCACUUUGGUUAACCAGCAUAACUAAAUUGUGGGUAUAAAUGAACACACUUUCGAAGCCUGUAACUUAUAAUAAGCUCCAACCCAAAAAUGACAUUUAAAUCCUGCAAGUGUUUUUCAUCAUCUUUAACAAAAAGAAACAAGAAUAAUUAUAUACCAAUAAUUUUUCCAUAAAAAAUACUGACUUGAGUUGAAACACUAUACAAACUGGGUUUUAUUACACUUGCAGAAAGCUACAGGGUAGAAAAAAUCUAGCAGCUACAUAUUGGUAUCACUUUCAGCUGGUCAUGAAUGGUGAGCAUUCAGCAAUGCUCGAUAGACCAUGUCUAAGAAUUGAUUGUCCUAUUACAUAUAAAAGCUGGUCAGAUAUACAAGGAAAAAAAUAAUAAUUGAAAAUGCAUCACAAAAAAUAAGUGUUUCGCAUUAGUGAACAUAAAUUUAUUUACAUGUCAAUUUAGAUAUCAUCAAAAAGUAAACAGUAAUUCAGUCACUUAAAAUAGCUUUAAGUCUGCUGUCAAUAUGCAAUUAAGAAGAUUAUACCAGCUGCAUGAUAAAGUUCCCCUAAUCUUAACAACAGUAAACAUGAACAUGUCAGAUGCAAUUAUAGCUUCGAGCAUUUGCAUAACCAGAAAUCCUAACCUGAACAAGCACCAGAAGUGUCUCUCGAACUUUCUCCUUGCUGAUAAAUGGUCGGCUGUUUGAAGUAAGAGCAGGAGUAAGAGAUGGUGGAGGGGUUGGUGGUGGAAAAGGUUGAAGCACUGGGGCACCAUAUGGGCGUUGCAGACUCACGGGAGGAUUAAGUGGCGGAGCUGUUGGUGUAGAUGAAGAGACAAGCUGCAUCAUCCGUGCAUAGGAGGAUGGAGGAGGAACAAAGAAUAAGGAAGGCUUUACAAGAUUAGGCGUCCAGUUGCCAGAUUCAGAGGUGUCAACGGGUGAUAUUAAAGGUGUAGGUGCUGAUAGAGGUGGAGAUGGUAUUUGCAAGGUUGGGAGAAGCAACACUGGCGGGAUGAGAAGGUAAAGAAAUAGUUGUAUUGUACUGGUAAGGUUGUGCAGAGAUUGCUGCAUUAGAAGUAUUCCCCACAGUCAAAGCUGUCUGCAAUGAUAAGGACAGAUUGUUGGAGAAUUAACAAAAUAAAACACAAAAAACACUAUUUUAUUUCUUCAACAACACUUCUCACCAAUUACAACUCUUAUUUUUCACUUUCUACACCUUAGAGAUUUUGCUACUUCACUUGAUGAUUAAACCAAAGGGGAGAGGGGGUAUUUAUACAUGAAACAAACUAAUCACAACCAUUCAUUUAUUCAAUUAAUACACAAAUCCUCACCAUCCAUUAAAACCUACCACUCACCUACUUCACCAACCACACCUAACACACCUAACACAAAUAAUUCAAAGCUCACCAACCAUACCUACUCAUGGAACCUUCCAUGAGUUGGGCUUGAUUUACUCAUCUUGGAUCAAGUUUAUGAUCCAACACCUCCCCUUAAACUUGAUCCUGUGACACCAAGCAAACUUCUGAAUCUUGCAAAGUCUUCUUCCUUGAGUGGUUUAGUGAAGAUAUCAGCUGCUUGAUCUUGUGAUUUUACAUACUUGACUUGCACUUCUUUUCUUGCAAUACACUCUCUUAUGAAAUGAUAGCGAGUGUCUAUGUGUUUACUUCGAUCAUGAAAGACUGGAUUCUUGGAUAGGGCAAUUGCUGAUUUGUUAUCAACACAAAUCUCGGUUGGCUCUUCUUGUGCCAAACUCAACUCCUUCAGCAAAUUUCUGAGCCAAAUUGCAUGACAAACACUUGAUGUGGCAGCUACAUAUUCAGCUUCACAAGUGGAUAGAGUGACAAUUGGUUGCUUCUUUGACAUCCAUGUGAAAGCAGUAUCUCCCAUGAAGAACACAAAUCCUGUUGUGCUCUUUCGAUCAUCUACAUCUCCACCCCAAUCGCUAUCGCUAUAUCCAAUAAGCUUGUAGUGAUUAGAAAAUGAGUAUAACAAGCCGAAAUUAAUUGUACCUUUGAUAUAGCGAAGGAUUCUUUUUGCAGCUUUAAAAUGAGUGGUCUUUGGAUUCUCCAUGUAUCGGCUCACAAGUCCAACAGCAUAAAGAAUAUCUGGUCUUGUGCAUGUCAAAUAACGGAGGCUUCCAACCAAACUUUUAAAGAAUGUUGGAUCUAUAUCUUCGCCUUCAUCAUAUUUGGAUAACUUGACUCCGCAUUCCACUGGCGUGCUUAUAGGCUUGCAAUCAUUCAUCUUGAACCUUUUGAGAAUCUCCUUUGCAUAACUUUCUUGGGAGAUAAAUAUGUCUUCUUCCUUUUGCUUGACUUCAAUGCCGAGGUAAUAUGUCAUCAGUCCGAUGUCAGUCAUCUCGAACUCUUUGAUCAUCACUCUUUUGAACUCUUCAAACAAGCUUGGAUUACUUCCAGUGAAGAUGAGAUCAUCCACAUACAGGCACACAAUCAAAAUAUCUCCAUCUUUUUCUUUGACGUAGAGAGCAUGUUCAUAUGGGCAUUUGGUGAAGCCUUUCUCUUGAAAAUACUUGUCAAUUCUGCUAUUCCAUGCCCUUGGUGCUUGCUUUAACCCGUAAAGAGCUUUCUUUAAUCUCAAAACUUUGUCUUCAUGUCCUUUCACCAUAUAGCCUAAUGGUUGUUCGAUGUAAACUUCUUCUUCAAGGAAUCCAUUCAAGAAAGCAGACUUCACAUCCAUUUGAAAAAUCUUCCAUUUGUUCUGAGCAGCCAAAGAAAUAAUAAGUCUAAUAGUUUCAAGUCGAGCUACAGGAGCAAAUACCUCGUCAUAGUCUAUGCCAGCCUUUUGACUAUAGCCUUUUGCAACUAGCCUCGCCUUGUGCCUUUCAAUUUCUCCAUUCGCAUUUCUUUUUGUUUUAUACACCCAUUUGACACCGAUCGCCUUAUGACCUUUUGGAAGAGUAGUAAGCUCCCAAGUAUCAUUCUUCACAAUGGCUUUGAUUUCUUCAUCCAUUGCAAUUCUCCACUUCUCAUCUAGUGCAGCUUCUUGGAAGUUGACUGGCUCACAAUCAGCAAAGAGGCAAAAGAGAGUGAGAUUAUCAUGUCUCUCAGUUACCUCAUAGAGAUCUUGAAGACUCCUUGUACGUUCUUCAGUUCUUUCAUUUAAGAAAUGCGGCGGUGAAUCUCCGCAUGUGGUUGGUACCGGUGAGAUAGGUAGAGUGGCAGGCUCUUGUUGUUCGUCUACUUGUUUUAUCUGUGUAUGAUCAUCUUCUUCAAUGGGAAAGAAGUUGAAGUCAUCCACACCAGAGCCAAAAUCUCAUUCUCCUUCUUCAUCAAAAACUACAUCUCGACUGAUCACGAUCUUCCCGUUGUUUGGAUUGUAAAGCUUGUAUCCUUUGGAGUUGUUGUCGUAGCCGAUGAAGAUGAACUUUUCACUUUUGUCAUCCAGCUUGGCUCUACUUUCAUCUGGUACAUGUACAUGGGCAAUGCUUCCGAAAACUCUUAGAUGGGUUAUGCCGGGUUUUCUUCCACUCCAAGCUUCUUGUGGCGUCUUGCCCCACACGCUUCUUGUUGGAGAUCGAUUGGAUAAGUAGACUGCACAUGCAACAGCUUCAGCCCAAAAUUCUUUAGGUAGCCUCUUACUCUUAAGCAUGCUUCUUGCCAUGUCGAGGAUGGUUCUGUUCUUCCUUUCUGCAACACCAUUUUGUUGAGGGGAUCUUGGAACUGUCAAAGGGCGUCGAAUUCCAUUUGCUUCACAAAACUCUAAAAAUUCUUUGGAAGUGAACUCUCCACCUCGAUCAGAUCUCAUGGCUUUAAUCUGGUAUCCACUUUCUUUUUCCACUGCAGCUUUAAACUUCUUGAAAGCUUCAAAAACUUCUGAUUUUUGCUUCAAAAAAUACACCCAAGUUUUUCUUGAAAAAUCAUCUAUGAAGAGAAGGAAGUAGUUACUUUUACCAAGGGAGUUUGGUUUGAAUGGACCGCACACAUCAGUAUGAAUGAGCUCGAGUGGCUUCUGAGCUCUUGAGUUUGACUCCUUUGGAAAGCUCUUUCUGAAUUGCUUGCCAAGUAAACAUCCUUCACAAAGCUGAUCAGGGUGAUUGAUGUAUGAUAAGCCUUUCACCAUGUUCUUCUUGAAUAGUAGCUCCAAUCCUCCAAAGUUGAGAUGCCCAUAUCGAAGAUGCCAAGUCCAGGAUUGAUCUUUGUGACAGGCUUUGAGACAUUUUGCAACAUCAUUUUGAAUAUUUAAUGGAAACAUUCUAUUCUUCGACAUUUUCACCUUUGUAAUUAGAUUUCCUUUGUCAUCUUUUAGGAAAAGACUAUAAUCUUUUAAGUGAAUAUCAUAGCCUUUUUCUAAAAGUUGACCCAAACUAAGAAUGUUGCUUUUCAUAUUGGGCACAUAGUAAACAUUCGAAAUUAUUUGGUGACUACCAUCUUUUGCACGAAAAAGAAUGUUACCUUUACCCUUCACUGGUACUUUUGAAUCAUCUCCAAAAGCGACACUGCCAUUCACAGAUUCACUUAGUUGCACGAACAUGUUUAUGUUUCCACUCAUAUGAUUGCUAGCACCUGUGUCAAGAUACCAUGUAUUUUCUUGACCUCCACUUGUGUCAUUGCGUGCUAGUAAAAGUGUGCCAUCUUCACUAUUUUUCUCUUCAGCAUAGUUCACUCUCUCUUCAAUUCUGGUGCUUGGAGCUCUGCAUUCUGAAGCAUAAUGCCCAAACUUUUGACAAUUAUAGCACUGUACUUGGGAUUUGUCAUACCUCGAUCUUGGAUUGCCUCUGCCUCGUCCUCUGGUUGAGCUUUCUCCUUUGGCAUAAUUGGAGUUGUUGUUGUUGAAAUUCCAACCUCGUCCAUGACCACGACCUCUACCUCGUCCAUGACCACGACCCCUACCUCGGACAUAGUGCCUUCUCUCAUUGUCGGAGCUUUCUUCUCUUUUCUUUGGAUUGACUUCCAUCUUGAGAAGUUGUUCUUCGAUUCCUUGCCUCUUUUUUUGUUUUUCUUCAUAGGCUUGCAACCUUCCUUGAAGUUGCUCGAUCGUCAUAUCCUCCAGAUCUCUUGUUUCUUCAAUUGUCACAACAAUAUGGUCAAACUUCGACUCUACUGAUCGAAGUAUCUUUUCAAUGAUCCUUACCUCUUUUAACUCCUCGCCAUUUCUUUUUAAUUCAUUGGAAACAGUCACAACCCGAGUAAAGUAGUCAGAAAUUGACUCUGACGCCUUCAUAUGUAAGGACUCAAAUUCUCCUCGUAAUGUUUGGAGACGAACCUUCUUAACUUGUUCCGCUCCUUUGUAAGAGGUCUCUAGUUUCUCCCAUGCUUCUUUUGAGGAGGUUGUACCAGCAAUUUUUUCAAAAUCAUCUUCAUCUAAUGAUUGAAAGAUGAGAUACUUUGCUUUAUUCUCUUUCUUCUUCAAGUCUUUUAAAUUCUCCUUCUGCGCCGCAGUUAAAGUGGCUUCAUUUUCUGGCACAAUAAAGCCUUUUUCCACGACAUCCCAUACGUCAUGUGCGCCCAAUAGAGCCUUCAUUUUAAUACUCCAAUUGUCAAACUUACUUCCCUUUAAUUGUGGAACUUGAAAUGACAUCAUACCACCCUUUGCCAUAACUCACAAAUUGAGUGAGAAUUUGGAGAUUCUGAAAGCACAAAUGGAUCCGGCACGUCGAAAAACCUUGGGAAUGACUCGAGUCAACUUUCGGUCAACGGUCAACGCUGGUCAACGGUCAACGCUGGUCAACGGUCAACGUCGGUCAACGGUCAACACCGGCUUGGUAGUCUUGGUUCGGUCCGGAUUGGUUCAGCUCGAGUUGGCUCGGUUCGACUUGAUUCGGUUCAGCUCGGUUCGGCUUGGUUCAACUCGGUGAGUCGACUCAGCUUUAGGGCAGAAAACUUCCGGCGGCAAGUGUGGGCGCGUCCGGUCUCCGAUUGGGAUAAUUUUUGCGGCGUCACUUUCCUCUCGUCGAGAUCUUCGAUUUGAUAUGCUAUAUGACCAUAUAUAGCAUCAUGUACUAGCUCUGAUACCACUUUGUUGGAGAAUUAACAAAAUAAAACACAAAAAACACUAUUUUAUUUCUUCAACAACACUUCUCACCAAUUACAACUCUUAUUUUUCACUCUCUACACCUUAGAGAUUUUGCUACUUCACUUGAUGAUUAAACCAAAGGGGAGAGGGGGUAUUUAUACAUGAAACAAACUAAUCACAACCAUUCAUUUAUUCAAUUAAUACACAAAUCCUCACCAUCCAUUAAAACCUACCACUCACCUACUUCACCAACCACACCUAACACAAAUAAUUCAAAGUUCACCAACCAUACCUACUCAUGAAACUUUCCAUGAGUUGGGCUUGAUUUACUCAUCUUGGAUCAAGUUUAUGAUCCAACACAGAUGUCAUAUACAAGGACUUCAUCGAAGUUGAACCUCACAAAAAAAUGAAGUGAUAACAUAUGAAAAUAGUAUAUGACUUGCGCGGCAUUUUUGUGGUAAUGUUGCAUACUUAUGUAGAAACAUAUUAUUUCAAAGAAAACAUACACUGAAGAAGUUCACAAAAGCAGGAUCUUCAGGAACAUCAGCAGCAUUUGACGGAGUUGACUCUAGAGGACCAUCCAUAACUGCCAUAGUUGGAACAGCUUCCAGUUCCUCAAACUCACUGCAGUUUAACAUAAAAGGAACUUGAUGACCAAUUUAAGUAAUAAUUAGAUGAUAUAAGAGGUUAGGGAAAAUGAUGAGUGGACCCUUAUGGAAGGUGAUUUCACCUUAGCUAAACACGAAAAUAAAAAGAAAUCAAAGCUGAAUCCUCGAGUGCAAUGCAAAGAAUUUUUUCUCUCUCUUCACUAACUCCUCUUAUUCGAAAUUGCUCAUCAUUGUGCUGCUCUUCGAGAUUUCGCUUGAGUAGAGAAAGUUAUUCUCCCGUUAAGUGCAGAGGAAAAAGAAGGGCAAGGGCCUGGUAUGAUGUUAUUCUAUAGGAAGUGAGAAGGUGAAGGGUUAAAAUAUUUUGCAAUUUGGAGGUGGUGUUUGUUAGUGUGUGUACUUCUGAAUUUAUUACCUCUUUAGGAUCCAUAGAAAUUGCCUCUUGUUCAGCAUGCACUGUGCCUACGAGUAAGGCGAGCUUGCAUGGUAUCUAUUGUCUAUUUACUUGGAUAUUCAAACAGGACUACCAGCAACCAAACACAAAUCCCCAAAACAAAACACUCUUUCAAGUGCAAGGAAAGAGUAACUUGGGCAUAUUUAUGGUUCAAGCACUACCAUAACUAAGAAUGUGAUGCUGUCCACAAACACUAUAUCAGUGCCUUUUGAACUACAUGACAUGCUUGAAGACUUUUUUUUUAGUCAUACAUAAAUUAGCUAUAAAAUUAAGACCAUUAUACAACUAAAAAGAAAGAAAAAUUGUUUGCCACUACAUAUCAAAACUGGUAAUAGCAAUGUAAGAUGGCAGACUUCUUACUUAAACAGAUGAGAGGCUACAAAUAAAAAAUUUGUGCAAAUAAAAUAUAUGAUAAAGAGCAUAAUACUUUCUUGGGGGCUAAAAAUAAUAUACAACUUGUGAAAUAUAAAUUGAGCUACCAUUACCUUUUAGAUGUGGCAACUUUCAACUUUUGAGGCACCUUGGAAUAUGCAUUCAGAAUCCUGCAUUUGGAAGCCAAAUAAAUAAUGUUAAUAACAGUUUUACAAUAGAAAAAUUAAAAAUUGAUAAAUGGCAGUUUUAAUUUAUGUAUGUGUAAAGAUAGCAUCACAUCCAGGGUCCUCCCACAAACAUGCUUGUAACAAGAAUUAGUUUGCCUCAACUGUUAGCAACUGGUAACAAUAUACAAUAGUAAAAAUCACUCCUAUGAACUCAACAAUACUAGGCACCAAUAAGAGUAUGAUAUAGCCAUUCUAAAAUGGAAGAGAAUACAACUGUUUUACAACUAUGUUGCAUCAGGAGAUAUGUUAGGAGGAUUAAUCCAGAUACCUUCCAACCCAAUUAGGAAAACUCGAGUCAAAAACCAGGAGCCGCAACCGAACCUUACAAUCUUGAAGGAAGAAGGAGACUUGGGGCAUUUUUCCAGAUAGGUGACUUACUAGAUCUCCUGCCAAGAGAAUAUCUAUUGCUUUGAACCUCCAUUGAAUUUUCUUUUCCCUUUUUCUUGUUUUGACUUGGAACUUUCCAGCAUCAUCUAUUUGAUCUUUUUUAAAGCUAAAAUAGCAAUCUAUGGGUUGUCAACAUCUUAUCAUAAAUUGACGAUUGCAAGGCAGCCGCAGAUCCAGAGCAAUCUCCCAGCUCUUUGCUCCUUCAUCAUUGCAGUUAGUCAAAAGAUAAGCAGAGAUAUCCCAUGUCAACAAGAAGGUAAUCAUAAAAGAACAACAGAAUUGGAAAACAUAUUUUGUUAUAGAUGAAAUGAUAUGAGCAUCCAUGUAUCUAUCCAGCAUUUAGGACACCGCAAUAUAUUCAUAUGAAACGUAAAACGAUUUAAUAUCAAUUUUCUUCAGGAGACUGACAAUGCGUUUGGGAUUGAGGUUGGGCAGCUGUAGCUUAAAAGCUACAACACUAAAGUGUUUGGUAAACACUAGCUGCUGUAACUUUUAAGCUAUGUUGAUAUGAUUUUUCACUUGUAUAAUAUAAAAUUUAUUAUAUCUUUAAUAAUUUUAUCAAAAUUAUUAUUUAAAAUUUAUAUUUACUAUAUAUUAUUAACUUUUGUUUCAUAAUUACAGCUUUUUUUUCACAGCAGCUGUAGCUUAAAAGCUAUAGCACCUCAAUCCCAAACGCACCCUGAGCAGGUUGUCUCGCAAGUGGCGCAUCAGUAUUGUAACGUCUGCUGGGUCUUACAUUAUCCACAAAAAUAACUCGUCCAUCUAGUAACUGCAAUUACAUAAUGUGAGAUGCGUAAACUCAACAAUAUAAGCAUGGAAAAUUAGAGAAAAAUGAUGCAAUUUUACCCUCCCAUUCAUGUCUUCCAAGGCUUUUUGGGCUUCCUCUUCUGUACUGAAAGCCACAUACCCGUAACCUUUUGAUCUAUUGUUACCUUUAUCCAUUAUUAUUACAGCUGCAAAGAGAAAAGAAUUGGAUAUUAGAAAAUAGUGAAGAGGGAACAGGGGUUGAGACUUAAAACAGAAAUAGACCAAACCCUCAUUGAGUUGGCCAAAUUGUGAAAAGGCAUCAGCUAACAUCUCUUUAGUGGUUGAGAAAGAUACACCUGCAAAGAAUGCCAGUUAAUUUUAUCAUAAUUAGAUAGUAAGAUGGAAAAUUCUGCAGCCAAAGGUAGAAUGCAACUAAGGAAAUCAAAUAUGAACAUGUCUUCAAUCUUAAAAUAUUAAGAGUAGCAUAAGUAACUUGUGAAACAGUUAUAAGUUCAAAUGGUUGAAUUUAUAAAUAUUUGAUACUUUGGACCGAACAGGGCAAACAGAUGGUGAGCAGAAGCAGCCCAGUUUAGCUAUAUGCCAUGUAUGUGAUCAAAAUUGAAUGGUUAAAUGGCAGCCACUGUGUUACAUCUUGUGUAAGUAACAAACCGCCUGCAUGGAUCGUUGGAUUUGGGAAUAUGAAAUCCAAUGGAUAAUAUUGAAUUUAACGAAAAAUAGAUUACAGGUUGCAUUAUUCCAAGUUUAUUUCAAACAAACCAGCUGAUGAAAUAGCCGCUAAUCAAAUUUAAAAGGGAAAAAAAUUCAAAUUAUAGGUUAUAGAUCUUAUUUCCAUCUUAAAUCUAUUUGUCUUUCAUGGUGUCUCAAUGUGUAUACUAAUUUAUAAUUUGGAUCUAUAUUAGAGCUAAUGCUUCUCCAAAUAACUAAGAAAUUUUUAUUUUCAUUGAUUAAAUAUUUAUUUCCAAUAUUUUGUAUAUGUAGGAUUUGAAAAGAGGGAAAAUAGUAGGGAUGAUAAUGAGAGAAGAUAGAGAUGUCGAUUCUCAAAUCUAAUAUUAAUGCUAUACUUAUAUUCCUAUACUAAAUAAAUUAUCCAAGUUUUGUGGUUAACGAUACGUUGCAAAAUUUUAAUUUCUAUUUAAAGCUCUGUCUAAUAUGGCUUUUCAUAAAGCUUAGAGAAAAGUAGAGCUUUUACAAAAAAAAAAAAAUUAAUUAGAAUUGUCAAUGAUAAAUUUUAUUAAAAAAUUUUAAAAAGUACUUUAAUAAAUAAGCUUUUAAAGUUAUAUACAUUAUGAAAGAAAUUAAAUAAGAUUAUAUAAUAAAUUAAGAGUAUCUUAGAUAAUUGAACUUUAAAAAAAAAAAACUCGCUAAGAGGUUUAAAAUUUGAGUUUUUAAUAGUGGAUACAGAAUAGUUUAUUUAAUUCUCAAAAGCUCUACUCAAAAUACAACCAUGUAACACAAAAAUUUUUCAUAAGUUUUUUGGACUAGUUAAGUAUUUUUUUUGAAAAAAAAUAUUUUUUUCAUUGAGUAAAUAAUACUAAACAUGCACUAAAGUGUUAGGACCAGAAAUUGUACAAAUAAAACCAUGAAAUUAUAUGUUGUUGGGUGGAUAUUUUUCAAAUUUGCUGUAGUUUUUUUUUCUUUUCUGCUGGGAAAUUGAAAUGAUGGCUACAACUUAAAUUAUGAAUGGAGUAAUCGGAGAAUAUUGAAACCCGUUUAAUUUGGAUCGGGCAUUGAGGGACGAAAGGAUAAAAAAUUUAAUUUUGAAAUUGCUGUUGGGUACGGUACAAUGACUUACCGUUGACAGCCUGUGCAACCGGAUUACAAUCGGUUAGUUCAAUAAUUUUAUGGAUGUCCCUAAGUUACGUUAAGUGUAUCUUAAGUUUUUUGUCUUUUUCUUCUCGUAAUUUUUUAUACAAGUCUUCUUAUUUAUUACUUUUUAUUUUUAAAGAUGCAUUUGUCUUCUUCUGUCAAUUAUACACCUAUUUUUCAUUCUUUCUAAUAUUUUCUUUAUCUCUUUAAACAAUAAUAUAUGAUUAUCGAAUUCAUAUAAAUCUGUAAAUUCUGAAUAAAUUUCGAGUCCUAAAUUUAUUAUUCCCAUUCUUUCUUGUUCUAAUAACUCUAUUUUUUAGGUUAUUUGAUUUAUAUAACUUGUUAUAAUAUUUUCCCAGCCUAGAUUCAUAUGAUCUAUUGUUUCUGCUAAAUUAUGUAUUAUAUUAAAAGCAUGUUGGUUCAUGGUAAUGCUUCUUUUUUAUACCAGUAUACUAAAAAUUUUAUAAAUUCAUCUAUGAAUUUCAUUUUCUUUUCUAUUAAAAUCUCACCUCCUAGAGUUUCUAUAUUUCUUUCUUGUAAUUCUUGUGUUAUAUUAAGCUCAAUAUUUCGGAUGUUAUUCUUUUCGGAUUUUAUAGACAUUAUUAAAUUUUUUAUUUCUUCUUUGUCAAACACUUUUAAAGUAUAUAAGCUAUCUGUUAUAUCUUUUAUAGGAUCCAUGGCUCUGAUACCAUUUUUAUUACAAAAAACAAAACAAAACAAAAACAAAACCAAAACAAAACAAAACAAAUAAAACAAAAUCUAUAAAACAAAACAAAAUAUACACUAACAAGCAAACAACAAAACCAAAGUUUUGGAUGAAAGAUAAUUGAUAAGAAGAUAUAUUACUAUUAUUAUUCUUCUAAAAAUGUAUAUCUAUCAUAUCUCCCACUGUUAUUAUUCCUUAAAUAUAAUCCUAUAACUUCUUCUCCAUUAAUGAUACUAGGUAUAUUUCCUGGAAAAUUAGGAACAUAAAAAUCAUAAUAAUUAUUAUUGGUUUCUAUAAUAUAUGUAGGAUGCAUAAUUUGAUUUAAGAUUUCUAAAUUAUGGGUUAUGUUUACAGGAUAAAGGAGUAUUUCUACUUUUAAAAUAUAUAAGUUAUUAUUUAUUAUACUAGUGUAAUAUCUUAUGUCCCUAUAAUUAUUCAUGAUAUUAAAAUUCUAAUUCUUCGUUAUCUGAAUUAUUUAUAUAUUCGACGUAAGAAGGUUCUAUUUUUAAGCUUUCAUUUUCUAUUUUAGCUUUAACUAUAUCAAUAGCUUCAUCUACAGUUAAUAGUGUAAUUAAGUGUUUUAGAUUAUCCGUUUCUAAAAUGUUUAAGAUUCUUCUUUUUAUUUCAGGUGGUAAUUCUAGGCUAUAAAUAGCUUGUAUUUCAUUUUUACUAAUAACUUCUUCUUUACUAAAUAUGUAUGAACUUUGUUUAAAAGAUCCAAGAUUAUAAUCUAUUAUCAUCAUGUAAUUAUUAUAUGUAAUCCUAGUUGUAGGAUUUAUCAUUUUUUCUUUAGGAUUUCCACGUCCUAAUCUUACACUCAUAUUUUGAUAAACACUCAUUUUCUUAUUUCUUUAACAAUUUUUGAUUAAUAAUUUGAAUAAAAUUCACUUCUAAGAGAUGCUCAUCCACCAUUAAUCUCCUCAUCUACAAUCAUCACCAAACUUCCACCAACAGAUAAGGUUAGAGAAUUAUUACCUAAGUUAUCCUUUUUUCUUCGUCUUAAGAUCUGUCUCCAGUGACCUGCAGCCUACGCGUCCUUCACUCCCUCAACGGCCUCCUGCCUAAACGGGAUCAAGUGGACUCUGAUGGCCUUUCUGUAUGGAUCUGGAUCUUCUUUCUUAGAAUCAGGGAUAAUUUUAGGUUUCUCUUUCCUUUCUAUGGGGUUGUUUGUUUAUGAUUGAAAGAUGUAUUGAUUUAUGGUUUCGAGCUUAAGAGAAUUUAGCUAUGCAUGUUUCAGAGAGUUUUGAAAAAGUGAAGUAUGGUUUUUCAAUCUGAGUUUUCAAUCUGAGGUAUCCCUCGUUCUUCUUUUCUUUUUAUUUCAAAACUUUCUAUUCGAGAUUACAUUCUUGCCCUUUUGGCUUUUUCUAAUUAUUACAAGUGCUUUACAUUAUUGCUAAGACAAAGCUUUUCUGCUUUUUAUCUUGUCGGCUUCUUUUUAUCUUCUUUUUGUCUGGCAUCUUCUUUAUGCUGUCUGCCACUAUAUGAUCACAUCAGUCUGGCAUCUUCUUUAUGCUGUCUGCCACUAUAUGAUCACAUCUUUUUAUUUUGUCUGAUUGCUUGCUUCCAUAAGCUGAUAAGCAUGCUGCAUAGUUUCACUGCUGCUGGGAAAUCGCAUAGUGCUUAUUUCAUUAAUAAGCUCUAACAAGAUAUUUGAGGAUGUAUGGCUGUCUUCUGCUGUUACUAAGAUAUAAUUUUGAAAUCUGAUGAUGGUUCUGAAAUUCCUUUUGUAGAGGUCUUUUGCUAUGCUCCAGAUUGCUUUUAUGCCUCGAGCUCUUCGGGUUCGGAUCCAAUUUUUUGUAAUCUGAGGAACAUUAGUAUAUUCGGUUCCUAUUUCUAAUUGGAAAUUUUUGGUUAUAUGACCCACUGAAAUCAUAUAAAAUGCUUGGUAUUCUACAUUUUGAUGAUAUUCUGGACUUAUGGUGUAGAAUUUGAGGUAUAUGGGUCUUUUCUGGGCGAAUUUAGAUAUUUCUUUGACUAGUAAUUCAUCUAAACUGGCUAUUUCUCGGAGGUCUAUAUCAGGAUAUAUUAAAUCUAGAUAACCAUAACGGGCUAUUUUUCCUACAAGAAGUGGGUCUGCUCCUUUGGUGGCUAUCAUUCUGGGAUACAUAUUUUUACCUGGUGCUUUAUGGAUAUUAUUAUUGUGGGAACAGAUAGAAUAAAUCCAUGUAGAAAAUUGUUUAUACUCUUCUUCUUUUGGAUUCAAAGGUUCCUUCUCUUCUUCUUUUAUUUGGAGAUUGUUUAUUUGGAUGAACUUUUUUGAAGGACUUGAUUUUUGUGGCUCAACUUCGAUGGAUAUUAUAUUUGGUGGGUUUUUGAUUGGGUCAGAGAUUGGUUUAUUUUCUCUGAAGGGUCCACUACUGCUUCCUUCACCAAUUGGGCUGGUGUUUAUUGGCGCAAUAUUCUUUGGGCCUUGUUUUAUUGAGAGUGCUUUUGUCAGGUCAUUUAUUUGCGACACUAACAAAUGUACUCCUUUUUCAUGGGCUUCUGAAGCCUCUUUCAAAUAAUUUACAGCAUCGAUUAUAUCUGAAGCUUCUGUUGCCAGUCUAUGUAGUUCAUCAUCUAUUUUGGCAAGGAUCAAAUCUAUUUCAGGAUCCAUUCCCAAAUUCUAUGUUCCUGCUUAAAAAAUCUGCAAGAAAGUUGUUAGAUCCUUUUAUAUGUAUAAUUUUAAAAUUAUAAUAUGAUAAAUAAGCUUGCCAUCUAUGUAACCUUCUGUACUGGGGUUCAUUUGGUAAAAUUCUAUUUAUUAAUGAGCUUACCUGGGAAUUGUCAGUUUCUAUAAUAAAAUGUUUUUGUAAUAAGAACAAAGAAAACUUUUUUAUUCCUUUAUAUAUUGCAAGUAGCUCUUUCUCAUGGACAGGAUAAUUGACUUGUGCUUGGUUGAAAGUACCACUGGUGUAUCUACAUAUCUCAUUUAUAUCAGUCUUAAGUAUUGCUCCCCAAUAUAGGUCAGAUGCAUCAGUCUGCAUUAUUAACUUAUCAGUUUUAUCUGGUAAUCUCAAAGAAGGAAGAUCUUUACAUUCAUUUUUUAAGUUUUUUACAGUUUCUGUAUGUUCUAUGCUCCAUCCUCUAGUAUUAUUUUUCCUAAGUAACUUUUGAAGUAUAUUUUUCUUUUUAGCUAGAUUUUCUAUAAAUCCUUCUGCAUAAUUUAAGCAGCCUAAGAAUUUUUGUAUUUGUUGUUUAUUUUCUAAUUUAUCUGGAAAAUCAAUAAUUUUUCUUCCUAUAUGGCUUUGGAGUCUGAUUCCUUGUUUAUCUAUAAUCAUUCCUAAAAAUUCAAUUUUCUUAUGUUCUAUUUUUGCUUUUCUUUCUGAUAAUACUAUCCCUUCUUUAAUACAUAAAUUUACAAAUUCUUUUAAAUGUUUUCUGUGAUCUUCUAAGGUUUCAGAGGCUAAUAAUAUGUCAUCAACAUAUACUAUUAUGUAUUUAUAAUCUCUAAAUAUUUUAUCCAUUCUUUUUUGGAAUAUUUGUGGAGCAUUUUUUAAUCCAAAGGGCAUUACUAACCAUUCAUAAUGUCCUUGUGGAGUACUAAAUGCUGUAUAAGGAAUACUAUUUUCUUCCAUUUUUAUUUGCCAGAAACCUGAUUUACAAUCAAACUUUGAAUAAUAAGUUUUAUUUUUUACUAAAUUAAUUAGAACUUCUUUAUUUGGCAAAAAAUAUCCAUCAAAUUUGGUAUAUUUAUUUAGUUCUUUAUAGUUUAUUACCAUUCUAGCUUUCCCUCUAACUUGUUCUGCUCUUUUUCUAACCAUGAAAGCUGGGCUGUUGUGUGGACUAUUACUAUUGCGUAUUAAAUUUAAUUCUAAUAAUUCUUUUAUCUGGAUUCUAAAUUCUUCUCGGUCUUCUUCUGUGUACAUCAUAGGUUUAAGUCUUAUGAUUCUAUUUUCUGUUAAUUCUAUUUUUGCUCUGGGGUGAUCUGGUUUCCAUAAGGCUAAUGGAUUUUCUUCAUAGACUUGCUUUAGUUGGGAUUUUAUUGUUUCUAAUUUUAUAUUUAUGUUAUAACUCUGUCCUUUUGAAAUUAAAUAAUGUUUUUCAUAAAUUGUCUUAUCACCACGCGAGGCUGGCUGAACUCUAUAAGGGCGAAAUUCUCGAGGAAUUCGUAAAAUAUGAUUGCAUGGGGUUUUAAGAGUAACCAUAUAGGUCGUCUGUUGGUAAUAUUGAAAUUGUUGUAAGAAAUCAUUUCCUAAAAGUAUAUCACAGUCCAUUUGGUCAUAUUGGAAGAUAUGAUUAAUACGAACAAUUUUACUUCCUAAAAUAGUUUCAAAGCUUUCUAAAGAUUGAGUAAUAUGUUGUUUGUCUCCUGUGAUACCUACGAGUUUUAUCUUGCUAUUUGAUUUCCAUUGGUUUGAUAAAAAGGUUUUCAUGAUUGUAAUUUCACUUCCUGUGUCUAUUAAGGCACAAGUGUUUAUAUCUUUUUCUACUAUAUUUAUUUGUAUAUAAACAGACAUAGGAUAUUUUAUAUAUGCUUGUCUUAACAUGUUUCACAAAUUAUCUUUUGUCCUUCUAUUUGUAAGGUAAUUUGGUCUUUUUCUAUUUUAUAAUAUUCUAGACUAUUUAAGAAACUAUUUCCUAAGACUAUAUGUUUUUCUGGAUCUGUAGUCAUAAAAGAAUCUAUGUAGCAAGAUACUAUUAUUCGUAUUCCUUCAAUUAUUAAUGGAACUUUUACUUCUUGUCUACAUAUGUGCUUAUUACCAUUAAAGUCAGUAUAUUCAUAUGGAAUUUCUUUUUCUUUUAUUAAGAGUCCUUUAUUUUUUGUAUGAUUCAUAUAAUUAUGACUUGUUCCUGUAUCUACUAGGAUAGGUAACCUUAUUGUAUAUUCUAUUCCAUUGAAGUAUUGUCCAAGGAUUUUUACUACACUACUAGUAAGAGUAGGUUUUAAGACUUGUUUAUUUAUAUUGAUUAUUUGUCUAUUAGUACUUAAUCUUCUAGAAGAUUCUCCUCUCAAAAGAGUUCUUCCGGCAAAACUGAUAGGGAUUAUAGAAUUCUCAUUAUUAUUAUUUAAAAAUUGUUUUUUAUCAUCUACAUCUAAUUCGUAUGUUAUAGGAAUUUUAUAAUCCUGUAUUAUAGGUUCUAUCAAAGUUGCUAUUUCCUCACAUUCUUUAUUUAUUUCUAUAUAUGGUUUAUUCCCAUAGAUUUCUCCAUAAUUUGAGUUACAAAAACUAUAUAAUGCUGAAUAGUGUAUAGUCAUUAAUCUAUUUCCUUCCUUCAUUAAGUUCUUUUUUAGGAGUUUAAAAUGUAGACUUAAAGUUUCAUCUAUAUUUUUAUCCCUUAUGUGUACACAGUAUCUAGGAUGACAUGUAAAUAGUAAUUUGGUAUAACAUAAGUUUCCUUCUACUGUUCCUAGAUGCCCUAUACUAGGAUCAUGGAAUCUUUGAUCAUGAAUUGAUAAAAUUAUUGGACUAUCUACUCCUUCUUUAAAGAGGGAUUUUAUUAAGAUUUGGAUUUCAGCUAAAUAUACAUAUUGAAUUUUUUCUUUUGUUGAUUCAUUUUUUAUUUUUCUUAAGGCUAGAUCUAUUGUUCUUUUAUUUAUUAAGCUAAAUCGUAUGUUUCCUUCAGCUUGUGUUAUAGUUACAGCUUUUUCUUCUUCAUAGUAUUCAUGUAAAAUUAUCCUUUUUCUUUUAAAUAAAUCUCUUAGUUUUUGUAAGAUACUAUACUCCGGUUUUUCCACAUUUAAUCUUAGAAGUUUAUUGUAUUUUUCUUUAUUAAAAGUGGCUACUAAACUAUACCCACUUUUGUUUUCUUCUCUUUCUAUUUCUUCAAUGUCGUCUAUUUCUUCUUUUUCCAAUAUGUCUUUUUCUUUAUUCUGAUUCAUUUUCCUCUGUAUUUUCCAUAUAUACUAUCAUUCCUUCGUAUUCUGAUAUGUUUUUUAUUUCUUCUAAUUCAUCUCUUAUUUGUUCAAAAUCUUCUUGUAAAAUUCUAACUUUUUUCUUUUUACAAUCUGUACUGAUAUGUCCUAUUUCACCACAAUUCCAGCAUUUACAUUUUGAUUUAUCUACUAACUUUCUUUGGUUUUUAUAUUUUCUUUUAUAGUAUUUUCUUCCAGGUUUCUUGUAUUUCUUUUUAAAUUUGUUGUAUUUUUUAUAUCUUUUUUCUUUUUUAUAUUUUCUUUUUCUAUUAUAAUAUGGGAUAGAACAUCCCCAUUGAGUUGGCAUCUCUGUUUUUUCACAACAUAUUUCUGUUAUGUUUCUACUCUUUUUGAUUAAAUUCCUCUGGAUACAUAUAUCACUAAGUCGAGUAUUUAUAAAUCUUAUUCUAGAUCCUAGGUUAUCUGGGAGUUUAUUUGAAGUACUAAUUUUUUCAUAUUCAUUUAUAAAGUAACUAUUCCAAGGGUAUGGCAACUUGGAGUAAUAUAAGUUUUUAUAAACUUCUUGAUCUUCUAAACUUACAUAUUGUUCAUAAUAAUAUUUACUAAAUUCGCAAGUAUAUUCUUUGAUAAAACACAUAUUGCAUAUUGUUAAAUUUAAUAGAUUUAACCGUGCUCUUUGUUUUUCAUUAUUUGCUUCUCUCUCUGAAUUUUCUAACCAAUCUUCUCCUAAAAAUUCUCUAGCAAUGUAUUCCAGUAUUCUUUCUAUUCCUAGAGCAGUGCUCCUCCUAAAAGCUAUUUUGGUUGAGUCUUUUAUUAACAUUUGUGUAUCAUCACUUAAUCCUCUCCACCAAUUAAAUACAUUCCCUGUAAAACUAGUUAUUAGGAUAUCUGUGAAUAUGUCUAUCUUUUCUUCAUUAGUGGUUACAUUCCAGUCAUCAUUAGCUCCAUUAUAUGUGAAGAAUAGCUUCAUCUGCAUUCCCCAUUCUGCUAAUGUUUUUCGAGGGUUCUCUUUACAGUCUAUAUUUAAAAAUGAUCCACUAUUGCUUAUAGGUACUAAUGUAUCUUGAUUAGGUUUGUAUUCUUUUUUCCAUGGAGUAGAUUUUGUUUUAGGUGUGUAUUCAUAAAAAGGUUUAUUCUUUUUCUUAGGUAUAUUGCUUGGUUCUGCAACAUUUGGUUUCAUUUCUGGUCCUCCUGCUGUAUUCAUUUUUAUAUGGUAUUCUUUUUCAAAUUCUUCUAAAUCACUAAGAUUUAUGUCACUAAAUUUUUCAGUUAAACUUUCUAUUGUGUCUUCCAUUAUUCAGAAUUAGACUCAGUUUGUUCUUUUAUUUCUAAUUUCUCUUUUCCUUUUUCUUUCUUUCUUAUUUCUGCCUUUAGUUCUUCAGCUUCCUCUAAUAUUUUUGGAUAUUGUGUCUCCAUAAACCAGUAGUCAUAACUGCCUUUUUGGGGUUUUUGUGUAGAUUUCUUUAAGUUUGUCCCAAUAAUAUUUGAUUUUAUCAUCUCAAGUCUUUCUAUUUUCUUAUUUUUCUUUUUACAUUUUUGUAACAGUGACAUCUCUAUUUUUAAUUUUCCUAUAUCUUGUCUUAUUUCUUUUAUUUCUUCUUUUAGAUUUAAAAGUAUUUCUUUUAACUCUAUUAUCGUGGUUUCCAUAAACUAUAAGGGGGUCUAUCAAUAUUUUGUUUAUUUGAAUGUAUGUUACGUUGCAUGUAACAUAGGCUUGGCCUAAUUUUAUAUCCCUAUUUAACCGCCACGUGCUGCUGUUACAUGGGUCAAUUAGUCAUGUCAUUACUGUUACUUACAGCUGCUGUAACAUAACCGGACCCUGGUUAAAUUCUGUUGUUUCCAAUAAUUUUAUGCUGUAUCUUUUUUAAUAAUAAAGAAAACUUGCAUUAAAAUUAAAAUUAGGGUAAUACCUGAUUUUAUAAAUAGAUUGCAAUGUAAUUUUGAAAAAUAAAACAAUAAUUUACGAAAUGGUUAUAACAUAAUUUUAAUUUUUUUUAUUGCUUGUAGAUUUUCGUAAAUUCAAGAAUUUGGAACAUCUGGACAUGGGUGAGGUGCAGGUUGAUGUCAACACCAUUUUUCUUCAAAUUGUCGGCGAAUCGAUGCCUUCUCUUAAGUUUUUAUCACUGAUAAACUCUAGUAAAAACACCAUUCUUGAUCAAGGUUAAUUAAUGAUUCUCUUUCUCCCUCUCUCGCAUCUUAACUAAAUUUAAUUGAGAAUACCUAUAAUGCUAGCUAUUUAUAAACUUAAUGAAAGAUGAUAGGGAGCCAUAAUAAUGACAAAAACUACUGUAAAAUAGUGUGCUGUUGUAGUGUUGAUUGAAAAAUAAUGCUAAUUUUUUACUUGACACUAUAACGUCGUAUAAUUUUACAGUUGUUUUGUUGCCAUUACGUCAGAUUCUACCGUUCAAUUAUCAGUACUCAAACUUAAUUUUUAAUAUGUACUUUAAAGAUUUUAUGCAAUUAUUUAUCUAUGUGUACUGAAGGAUGAAUUAUAUAUUUUUCAGGACUUUGUCAGUUAGUGCAUCUGCAAGAGUUAUACAUCGGCGGUUAUGACAUCCCUUCAAGUGUUGUAUGCCUCUUCUAAUCAACUUACUGGAAACAUCUCCCCAGGCCUUUGUGAGUUGGUGCUUAUGAGAGAGUUACACAUUGAUAACAAUGAUUUAAGAGGUAGCUUGCCUUUGUGCUUGGCAAAUUUGACUUCCCUUCGAGUAUUAGAUGUCUCUGACAAUCAACUAACUGAAAAUAUCUCCUCAUCUCCCCUCAUGCAUCUAACAUCUAUCAAAGAGCUCAUACUUUCAAAUAAUCACUUCUUCCAAAUCCCUAUUUCACUUGAACCACUUUUCAAGCUCUCAAAACUCAAGACUUUCGAUGGUGAAAUAUGUGCAGAAACUGAGUCACAUUAUAAUUCUUUGACCCUAAAAUUCCAACUGACUUUUAUCUCACUGUCUGGUUACAUAGAUGGUGGCACAUUUCCCAAAUUCUUGUACCAUCAGCAUGACUUGAAGAAUGCUGAUCUCUCACACCUUAACUUGAGUGGAAAAUUUCCAAAUUGGCUGGUAGAAAACAAUGCGAACUUAGAGAGGCUUCUUCUUGCCAAUAACUCUCUUUUUGGAUCAUUUUGGAUGCCAAUUCAUUCCCACCAGAAAUUGGCAACAUUGGAUGUCUCCAACAAUUUCUUUCGAGGCCAUAUUCCGGUGGAAAUCGGAACAUAUCUUCCAGGCUUAAUGCAUUUAAACUUAUCUAGAAAUGCUUUCAACGGUAGCAUUCCCUCUUCAUUUGCUGAUAUGAAAAUGUUGGAAAGGUUGGACAUAUCCUACAAUCAGUUGACUGGUGAAAUCCCUGAGCGCAUGGCCACGGGUUGCUUCUCAUUGGAAAUUCUUGCAUUGUCAAACAACAGUUUGCAAGGUCAUAUAUUCUCUGAAAAAUUUAACUUGACAAAUUUGAUGACGUUGCAGUUGGAUGGUAAUAAAUUCACUGGAGAGAUCCCAGAAAGCUUAUCUAAGUGCUAUUUGUUAGAAGGAUUAUAUCUGAGUGAUAAUCAUCUCACUGGUGAGAUUCCAAGAUGGUUGGGUAAUUUGUCAGCUUUGGAAGAUAUUAUAAUGCCCAAUAACAAUCUUGAAGGGCCAAUUCCAAUCGAGUUUUGUCAGCUUGAUUCUCUGAAGAUUUUAGACCUUUCAAACAAUAGUAUUUUUGGAACUUUACCAUCUUGUUUUAGUCCAGCAUCUAUCGAGCAACUUCAUUUGUCGAAAAACAAGAUAGAAGGACGACUGGAGAGUAUAAUCCAUGACAGCCCUCAUUUGGUGACAUUAGAUCUUAGUUGUAACAGCUUACACGGAAGUAUUCCAAAUCGGAUUGACAGACUACCUCAGUUAAACUACCUUCUUUUAGCUCAUAAUUAUAUUAAAGGCGAAAUACCAGUUCAAUUAUGCCAGUUGAAGGAAGUGCGGUUGAUUGAUCUUUCUCAUAAUAAUCUAUCUGGUCAUAUUCCUUCUUGCUUGGUUAAAACUGCACUCAGUGGAGGUCAUCAUGAGGCAGUAGCUCCAACUCCUGGUCGGUGUGUUGAAGCGUCUGUCUAUCGACGUACAUGUGUGAUUCCAAGUGGACCUCCGAUGGGAAAGGAAGAAACUGUACAGUUCACAACAAAGAAUAUGUCCUAUUAUUAUCAAGGAAGAAUUUUGACGAGUAUGUCUGGGAUUGAUCUUUCUUGUAACAAACGGACAGGUGAGAUUCCUACUCAAAUUGGAUAUCUUACAAGGAUUCAUGCGCUAAAUCUAUCUCAUAACAAUUUGACGGGCACAAUUCCGACAACAUUUUCAAACCUGAAGCAAAUCGAAAGCUUGGACCUCUCCUACAACCUACUGCAUGGGAAAAUCCCUUCUCAGCUCACUGUGCUAAAUACAUUGGCGGUCUUCAGAGUAGCAUACAAUAACUUAUCAGGCAAAAUUCCAGAUAGAGUUGCACAAUUUUCAACUUUUGAGGAAGAUAGCUAUGAGGGGAAUCCUUUUCUUUGUGGAUGGCCACUGUCCAAAAGUUGCAAUGAUAAUGGAUUAUCAGCAGUGACACCAGAAGCUUACACUGAUAAUGAAGAAGGUGAUAGUUUAAUUGACAUGGACAGUUUCCUGAUUACUUUUACAGUAUCUUAUGGAAUUGUGAUAAUAGGAAUUAUUGGAGUGUUGUACGUAAACCCCUAUUGGCGGCGAAGAUGGUUUUACCUUGGUGAAGUGUGUACGACCUCUUGCUACUAUUUUGUAGCAGACAAUCUUGUUCCUAGAAGAUUCUAUGGUGGAUGGAUGUAAUUUCAUUACAUUACAACUUAUAUGUAAUUUUCAAAGAAUUUUCUUUUGCAUGCAUGGAAUAGCAACUCAAUAAAAGUAUUUGAUGCAAAUUGUCCAAGAACAACUUAGUAAUUUCAUUGCUACUAUUCGGUUGUAUAUAUACAGUUAAUGAAAGUUUUAACCAUUCGCAGUAGGAAUUUCUUUAGAUGGCGGCCAAAACUAACAGAUUUGGGGCUCUACUUCUACACAUCAUAACUGGCAAAAGGUCUCUCUUUUACACGAUCUGAAUGAAGAUUAACUUACGCCCUCUGGAGUGUGUGAAAGUUCUCUAUUAAACUUGACGGUUGAGAUUUCAGGUCCAGAUGAAAGUUAAAUGCAGGCGACGAGACUACACUUUAAGUAAACAGGGACAAACUUAAAAUUAAAAAAAUUAUAGUCCAGGGUGAGAGUAAUGGAGGAUAACUAGGACUUGGAAUAACUAUCAGAUUUGCAACUCUUGUUAUAUGCUAGUAAUCGAUUCAUUUCCUCCUCCAUUUCUGAUGGUAACCCAGCUCUAUACAAGAACAAUAAGAGAAGGUUCAUUUAAGAAAUUUCACAACCCACAUUUUUUUUUUUUUCCUUUUUGCCCUCUUCCUCACAAUAAACACACCUAACACACCAAGCCGUGCCCAAAAUAAUCCAAUUUUAUUCAUGUCAUGGAUCCAAAAACUAUCCCAGCUCACUUUGUUUAACCAGCAUAACUAAAUUGUGGGUAUAAAUGAACACUUUCGAAGCCUGUAACUUAUAAUAAGCUCAAACCCAAAAAUGACAUUUAAAUCCUGCAAGUGUUUUUCAUCAUAAAAAAUACUGAUUUGAGUUGAAACACUAUACAAACUGGGUUUUAUACACUUGCAGAAAGCUACACGGUAGACAAAAUCUAGCAGCUACAUAAUGGUAGCACUUUCAGCUGGUUAUGAAUGGUGUGCAUUCAGCAGUGCUCGAUAGACCAUGUCUAUGAAUUGAUUGUCCUAUUACAUAUAAAAGCUGGUCAGAUAUACAAGGAAAAAAAUAAUAAUUGAAAAUGCAUCACCAAAAAUAAGUGUCUCGCAUUAGUGUUUGCACUCUAAGCAUGGCAAAGUGGUGCGGGUUCAUGAUUUUGAAGACUGGGAUAAGUGAAAAAUAGUUCAAUCCACUGAUGAAUAUAAAUUUAUUUACAUGUCAAUUUAGAUAUCAUAAAAAAGUAAACAGUAAUUCACAGUCACUUAAAAGAGUUGAUAAAAUGUGUGCCAUGAAUGCAUUUUAGUACAUAAGAAAUCCAAAGAGUAUUUCUGACAAUACAAAUAUGCUAGCUUUAAAUCUGCUGUCAAUAUGCAAUUAAGAAGAUUAUACCAGCUGCAUGAUAAAGUUCCCCUAAUCUUAAUAGCAGUAAACAUGAACAUGUCAGAUGCAAUUAUAGCUUCGAGCAUUUGCAUAACCAGAAAUCCUAACCUGAACAAGCACCAGAAGUGUCUCUCGAACUUUCUCCUUGCUGAUAAAUGGUCUGCUGUUUGAAGUAAGAGCAGGAGUAAGAGAUGGUGGAGGGGUUGGUGGUGGAAAAGGUUGAAGCACUGGGCCACCAUAUGGGCGUUGCAGACUCAGGGGAGGAUUAAGUGGCGGAGCUGUUGGUGUAGAUGAAGAGACAAGCUGCAUCAUCCGUGCAUAGGAGGAUGGAGGAGGAACAAAGAAUAAGGAAGGCUUUACAAGAUUAGGCGUCCAGUUGCCAGAUUCAGAGGUGUCAACGGGUGAUAUUAAAGGGGUAGGUGCUGAUAGAGGUGGAGAUGGUAUUUGCAAGGUUGGGAGAAGCAACACUGGCGGGAUGAGAAGGUAAAGAAAUAGUUGUAUUGGACUGGUAAGGUUGUGCAGAGAUUGCUGCAUUAGAAGUAUUCCCCACAGUCAAAGCUGUCUGCAAUGAUAAGGACAGAUGUCAUAUACAAGGACUUCAUAGAAGUUGAACCUCACACAAAAAUGAAGUGAUAACAUAUGAAAAUAGUAUAUGACUUGCUGCAUUUUUGUGGUAAUGUUGCAUACUUAUGUAGAAACAUAUUAUUUCAAAGAAAACAUACACUGAAGAAGUUCACAAAAGCAGGAUCUUCAGGAACAUCAGCAGCAUUUGAGGGAAUUGGCUCUAGAGGACCAUCCAUAACUUCCAUAGUUGGAACAGCUUCCAGUUCCUCAAGUUCUAGAUUUCAGUUUUAUCUUCUAUUUGAUGUUUUAUAAUUUCGUUGCAAAUGGAUUAGAAUAGAAAACUCCAAAAGUUCCAAGUAGCUACCAAUGUUUUCCAACAGGGUCUUGAUGGUCUAAUCAGUUUGUUUCGAAGACCCCCAUCUCGUAAGGUAAAAACAGCUUGAUGGGGUGGCACGAUGGUGCACCAGUCCUGUGUAACUUUUUCAGAGAAGAUUUUCACUCGUAACCUAGGUGGAAGUCUCCCAGGAGAAGUUGGCAAAUGACAACUACGAAGGUGUUAUGGUUUAGCUUGUUGUGCCAAAAAUAGAAAAUCUAGGAUGCGAAAAAAUUUUGUUGAGAUUCAUUUUUCAUCCUGAUGUUACAGCUGGCUUUUUUUUUUUUUUUUUUGGCAGAUAAUAAUGCUUAUGUGAUUUCUGAACUUGGUGAUUCUAGCGGAUAGAGGCACUAAGCCAAGAGAAAUGUCUGAAUUAUCGAAACAAGAUGGAAUUAUUUUUUGUUUUUCGCGGCAGACGAUCUAUGAGCGGACUUUCUUACAACACAAGAUGUGUCCACCGGCUUGUAUUUAGUCUCGUAAUGCAUUAUAGCACUGAUGUUUGCCCCGGGUCAAACCCUGAAACCUCACCAAAAACGACGCAUUUUGUGAAUUUUUUUUGUUUUAAUUUUUAACCAAUACGACGUUGUUUUGCUUCAAGCUUCCCCACGAAUGGCUUUUCCUUCCUCUUCAUUUCACCACUCAACGAAUGGCUUUCUCUUCCUCUUCAUUUCACCACUCAACCUCAACGAUAGAACCGACCCGCAAAACCCUUAAACUGUUAUUCUUUCCUUCAAUCCGAUAGGAUUUGGUUUCGAUUAAGCAAAAGCAAAAGCUUGAACAAGGUAAGGUACUGUCUUCCCAGAAAAUGAAUUGUAUAUCAGUACCAAAUCCUCUAAAGACCCUUUCUCACACAAAUCCUCUGGAAUUUCACCAGAAAAUUGAUUGUACGAGAGGUCUGAUGUUUGUAAAGGAGAGUACUUCCCAAGUUCGCUCGGCAGCCCACCUCUGAGUUUGUUGUUAAACAAUUUGAGUUCAUACAAGUUCUUAGACCGAGCUAUACUCUCUGGCAAAGUACCCUCGAGUCUGUUCUCAUACAAGUUGAGUGACUCGAGCUGUAGCUCACACAACUCGUUCGGAAUCAUCCCAGUCAGCUGAUUCAUCGACGCGACUUUGCCGUAAGGUAACGUACUGUCUUCUUUGGCAGCAGAUUAUUUUCAAAGCUUGAAUUUUGCUUGAAUUUUGUUGUUUUAAUUUGUGAAGCCAUUGCCGUUGCUGUUAAAUUGGGUUAAUAUAAUGGGUACUAAGUUUAUGCUGCGAUGUUUUUUGCUUGAAUCCUGAGCUGUUUCAAUUUGAUUCUUGAGUUGUGAGUUGUGGAUUACGAAUGACAAUUUCAGGUGCGGAUUGUGGAUUGCGAAUGGAAAUUUCAGGCUGUGGCUGGAGCUGGAUCGAAGAAGGAAAGGGGAAAUAUUUGGCUGUGGCUGGAGAUGGUGGCUGGAGCUCGAUCGACGAAGGAAAGGGGAAAUAUUUGGCUGUGGUUGGAGCUCGUGGCUGGAGCUCGAUCGACGAAGGAAAUGAAAGAGAAAAUAUUUGGUUGUGGCUGGAUCUCGAUCAACGAAGGAAAGGCAAGGGAAAAUACUUGGGUGGAGCUCCAUCAACAAAGAAUAAGGGAAAUAUUUGGCAAGCAAAAAUGGGAUUGUUUUUGCCUUUAAUGAAACGCCGCGUUUAAAUUUCGGGGUUUGACUCGGGAUUUGACCCGGGGUAAGUAGCAUUUUCCUUCCAUAUAUAUAUGCACGCGCACACAGUUUGAGAAGAAUCAGACCAUUAAUUAGAGAAAAAUGAUGCAAUUUUACCUUCCCAUUCAUGUAUGCCAAGGCUUUUUGGGCUUCCUCUUCUGUACUGAAAGUCACAUACCCGUAACCUUUUGAUCUAUUCUUACCUUUAUCCAUUAUUAUUGUAGCUGCAAAAAGAAAAGAACCGGAUAUUACAAAAUAGUGAAAGGGAAGAGGGGUUGAGACUUAAAACAGAAAUAGACCAAACCCUCAGUGACUUGGCCAAAUUGUGAAAAAGCAUCAGCUAACAUCUCUUUAGUGGUCGAGAAAGAUACGCCUGCAAAGAAUGCCAGUUAAUUUUAUCAUAAUUAGAUGGUAAGAUUGCAAAUUCUGCAGCCAAAGGUGGUACGGAACUGAAUGAAGGAAAUCAAAUAUGAAUAUGUUUUCAAUCUUAAAAUAUUAAGAGUAGCAUAAGUAACUUGUGAAACAGUUAUAAGUUCAAGGGAAUUAGAUGAUGGCAUGGUUGAAUUUUAUAAAUAUUUGAUAUUUUGGACCGAACAGGGCAAACAGAUGGAUCCAGAUAAUCAAGAAAAACAUCAAUUCCAUGCAGCCAAAUUAGUGUGGGCAAUGCAAUUGAGCAACACUAUAAAAUUAUUCAAAGAAAUCUCUAGGUCAGUAUCCAAAUAUAUGGCUCCGUCCGUUCCACCACCACAACCAAAAAAAUCAGAUCCCCCCAUUUGGAUUCGAUUGAUUAAUUUGAGCAUAAAAAAUCGGGUUUUAAACUUCCCUAAGCAAAAUUUAUAUUCCACAGAAUCAGUUCCUUUAACAUGAUGCAUUACAUAAUAUUUUGUUUGCAAAAUAAAGAAGAAAGAUGACAUAAUAGAAACACUCACAGAGAGAGAAUACCUUUGACGAAAAGCUUAGAAGUGAAUCCUCUGUAAAAUACGAGUUGAGCUGCUGAAUUUUUCGAGUUUGAAUGAGAGACUGCGGCAAUUCUGAAAAUGUUUUUUUCUCAUUAGCGCCGCCAUUUUUGUAAUAGAGGGUAAAGAAAUAAGUAACAAAGUAAGAGGUGAGCAGAAGCGGCCCAAUUUAGUUAUAUGCCAUGCAUGCGAUCAAAAUUGAAUGGUUAAAUGGCAGCCACUAUGUUACAUCUUGUGUAAGUAACAAACCGCCUACAUGGAUCGUUGGAUUUGGGAAUAUGAAAUCCAAUGGAUAAUAUUGAAUUUAACGAAAAAUAGAUUACAGGUUGCAUUAGUCCAAGUUUAUUUCAAACAAACCAGCUGAUGAAAUAGCCGCUAAUCGAAUUUAAAAGGGAAAAAAAAUCAAAUUAUAGGUUAUAGAUCUUAUUUCCAUCUUAAAUCUAUGUCUUUCAUGGUGACUCAAUGUGUAUACUAAUUUAUAAUUUGGAUCUAUAUUAGAGGCUUAGAGCCAAUGCUUCCCUAAAUAACUAAGAAAAUUUUCUUUUCAUUGAUUAAAUAUUUAUUUCCAAUAUCUUGUAUAUGUAGGAUUUGAAAAGAGGGAAAAUAGUAGGGAUGAUGAUGAGAGAAGAUAAAGAUGUCGAUUCUCAAAUCUAAUAUUAAUGCUAUACUUAUAUUCCUAUAGUAAAUAAAUUAUCCAAGGUUCGUGGUUAAUGAUACGUUGCGAAAUUUUAACUGUCUAAUAUGGCUUUUCAUAAAGCUUAGAGAAAAGUAGGGCUUUUACAAAAAAAAAAAUUUAAUUAGAAUUGUCAAUGAUAAAUUUUAAAAAGUACUUUAAUAAAUAAGCUUUUAAAAUUAUAUAUAUUAUGAAAGAAAUGAAAUAAGAUUAUAUAAUAAAUUAAGAGUAUCUUAGAUAAUUGAACUUUAAAAAUAAAACUUGCUAAGAGGUUUAAAAUUUGAGUUUUUAAUAGUGGAUACAAAAUAGUUUAUUUAAUUCUCAAAAGUACUAUUCAAAAUACAACCAUGUAACACAAAAAUUUUUAAUAAGUUUUUUGGACUAGUUAAGUACUUUUUUUGAAAAAAAAUAUAUUUUUUUCAUUGAGUAAAUAAUACUAAACAUGCACUAAAGUGUUAGGACCAGAAGUUGUACAAAUAAAACCAUGAAAUUAUAUGUUGUUGGAUGGAUAUUUUUCAAAUUUGCUGUAGUUUUUUUUUUCUUUUCUUCUGGGAAAUUGAAAUGAUGGCUACAACUUAAAUUAUGAAUGGAGUGAUCGGAGAAUAUUGAAACCCAUUUAAUUUGGAUCGUGCAUUGAGGGACGAAAGGAUAAAAAAUUUAAUUUUGAAAUUGUUGUUGAGUACGGUACAAUGACUUACCGUUGACAGCUUUUGCAACCGGAUUACAAUCGGUUAGUUCAAUAAUUUUAUAUCCCUAUUUAACCGCCACGUGCUGCUGUUACAUGGGUCAAUUAGUCAUGUCAUUACUAUUACUUACAGCUGCUGUAACAUAACCGGACCCAAAUGGUUAAAUUCUGUUGUUUCCAAUAAUUUUAUGCUGUAUCUUCUUUAAUAAUAAAGAAAACUUGCAUUCAAAUUAAAAUUAGGGUAAUGCCUGAUUUUAUAAAUAGAUUGCAAUGUAAUUUUGAAAAAUAAAACAAUAAUUUACGAAAUGCUUAUAACAUAAUUUUAAUUUUUUUCAAAAAGGAAAAACAACAAAAGUAAAAAAUGGAGAAUGAGGGCUACAAACUUUGUAUCUUAAACGGCCAUUAGAUUAUUUGUAAAUGAAAGCAACGGUCAGGAUUAUGGAAACAUGUAAGUAUAAGGACUACGAGUUUUUUUUUGUUACAUUAAUAUAUUACAAUUAAAAUUCUAUUGGUAUUUACAAUCAGAAUUUUAUCUGAAUAUCUUUGAUAAUUCUAAACUAGUACAGCCCAAAUUCUUAUUCUCAUAUAAUAUCAAAGAGAGAUAUAUAUUCUUCCCCUCUAUUAAUAAAGAGACAUUUUUACUUCCUUUUAAUAGUUAGGACUCAGAACUCAUACACGCUAGUUUGAGAGUGUGGGGUGUGACAAUGAGCCAAGAGACCUUGACAAGUACAAAAAAGUGGUAGAAAUUAAUUCAAACCGCUACACACGCUAUUGCAACCAAAUUGAGGGCCCAUUUUUGUUUAUUUGGUUGAAAAAUAGUUUGCAUAAUUAAUUCAAACCGCCACACACGCUAUUGCAACCAAAUUGAGGGCCAGUUUUUGUUUAUUUCGUUGAAAAGUAGUUUGCACAAUUAAUUCAAACCGCUACACACGCUAUUGCAUCUUUUGAAAAAGAAAAACGGAAUAGUUUUCCAAAAUUAAUUCCGAGAAGAAGAUUAACUAAUAAUGAUGUUAGAAAUUUUAAUAUUUGAGUCUUAAUAUUAUGUAUCACUCAUUUAUUAAAUAAUAGAUUUCAUAAUUUGUAAAAUUACUUAACCACUUGAUAAAUGUUAUAUUUGUUGGGACUAAAUUGGGACUUAAAUGUUGGAAUAUCUAGUAUUGCAUUAAAAAAUUAAUAAAAACUUAACAAUUUAUCUUCACUUGACUAAUUGUUUUUACAUCACAACUAACCUUAAUUAUUUUGAAGUUACAGUAUUAUUAAAUUGUCCUAACUGGUUAUCAAAAGUUGAAAGCAUGUUAAAAUAAAAAAAAUUACCAAGAAACAUGUGCUUAAACAGAGGUUGAGGCUAUGAACAAUUAAGAAGAAACUCUUAAUUUGGUCCCAAUUAGUAUAGUAAUCAUCUAUUGAGCGGUAAAAUAUUAAUUUUAAUAGUGAUGAAAUCCAAUAUAUAAUAGAUUACUAACACACAUAAAUUAAAACUAAACUGUCAGAAAUCAUAACAUUACUCUACUCUUCAGUGGAGUUCUCUUAAACAGAUUAUGUGAGAUUGCCUACAUAAAAAAUAUGUUAAGACUGCUUGUUGAAAGCAAUAUUCGCUUUUCCAUUAUAUCCAUAACUUUGAAUUGAUAAAGUUGUAUUCAACAGCUCUUGAAAAGACUAAUUUAUUUAAACUAGUCACAGAAAUAAGAGAGAAAGGGGGCUAUUUCUUGACUCAAAGUCAAUUAUAAUUAUCAAAACUUGAGCGGACAUCGCAUGCCUAACUUCCACGCACCCUAAAACGGUUUGAUUUGCUUUCACGCGUUCAUGAAUUUCCAUGAAAGAGCCUGCCUUUCGUCUCUUUCGGGACAGUGACUACAAUUAUGGAAAAAAUUAUAAUUCUCGUUAGAUUGUAACCAAAUUAUUAUCCCUAAUUUUUUUAAGUUAAAUAAAAUAAAAUUUAUGCUUAAGUAUAAACAAUAAUUUGGACAUUCUUGUUAUUUGUCCUUCUAAGAUAGACAGCAACCUAAUUAUUUAUUUGUUUGCCUGUUUUUGUUUUUUUAAAUAACAGUUUAUUAGCAUAAAUAUUUACCUGUGAAGUCGAGGAGGAGAAAAUGUUAGAAAAAAUAAAAAGAAAAAAAAUUAAGGGAGAUAGAAUCAGAUUUUCUUUUUUGAGCAAAGAACAUACGUAAAAAGAUAUUAAAUCUAUUAAGUCUAAUUGUCUAUAACCGUAAAUUGCAUAACGAAUAAAUUAUCAGCGUAAAAUAAAUUUUAUUAGAUUCUGGUUAUUUUCUAGAGUACGAAUUGUCUCAUCGUAGAACAAACACCGGAAAAUAUAACCUUUGCGGAGGUCUUUUGCUGUGUCGUUAUAAAAAGGUUAUUAGUAAUUUAAUGCACCAAUAUUGUAUAUUCCACCUUAUCAAUGUCUCUGGUUGCGAAAGAUUGUUAAAAGCAACGUGUUCUUUCUUUGUCUUAUGUAAUUUUUUCGUUGUCCAUGAGUUUUAAUUGAAAUACUUGGCUUCCAGUUAUUUUGUAAACCUGUCGAAAACUACCACAGUGGAUAAAGAUUAACCAGCUCAUUCUUUACAAUUGACUAUCGAUUUUUUAUUUUUUUAUUUUUAUUUAAAAUUGCUGGUUUGUUGCUUAAAAUUUUCAAUAAUAAUUUCACUUAUUUAGUAAUUAGAGAGAGAUAGAGAGGAUUGGCGGCCAAUGUUUCGCGAUUUGGGGUCAAUUCAAAGUCAACUAACGUGUAAAACACGUGUAUGCAUAGAAAACGCUUAGAUUAUUUGUGUUCCAAGUGCAAGAAAUUAAGAAAAGAAAAAUUGAUUUCCUUUCAUGAACUUCCAAGAAAGAAAGAAGACCCUUUACCUUCUUCGUGACAACAAAUGAAUGAAUGAUGUUGAUAUGACAAAUACAAGCGCUAUUGCAGGGAACAGCAUAAGACCGAGACUUGAUAAAGGGUUUGUUAAAUUACAUGUUAUUUUCUUUUGACUUGAAUGAUGUUGAAAUAAAAUAAAAUUGUAAUCAGGAUGAUGUGUAGAAUAGUGAAAUAAAUAAAAAGAGAAGAGAAAUUCUUUGACCAAUAUUCAAGAACUCAUCCAAGGUGAUCGUCCAAGUCUAGAGGUUCGGUGUGAUUAGCAUUUAUUUUUAAUUUUUUGGCUAACAUCAUAUAUAGUCACUUGUCGUGUGAUGUAGGGCAAGUUUAGAAAUCCUUUUAUUUUAACUUCCGUAUUCUUAUUAUUUAAUUAGUUAUAGGGUUUUUAAGUAUUUGAGUAUUGAUCACAUGUCUGCUAAUCUAAAAAUAUUUUUUUACGAUCGAGUACAAAUAACAAACUAGAAUUUUAACAGCCUUUUAUACUAAACCCUAAAAAUACAUGAAUUUAUCAAAAUAAGUAAAUUAAUUUAAAUUGGUAUGGCAUAAUAGAAGUUUUACCUGCCGAAACAAAUUAAAAAAAUAUUACACUUAAAUCAAAUAUUGACAAAAAUAGAUAACAAUCUAAUGAGAAUCUUAACUAGACAUUUUUACUUCUAUCCAAUUUAACUGGAACGAGAAUUAAGUCCUUUCAAUAGUUAAGACUCAUAACUCAUACAUGCUAGUUUGAGAGUGUGGGGUGUGACAAUGGGUCAAAAGACCAUUGACAAGUACAAAAGAGUGAUUGCAAUUAAUUCAAACCGCUACACACGCUAUAUUGAGGGCCCAUUUUUGUUUAUUUCGUUGAAAAGUAGUUUUCACAAUUAAUUCAAACCGCUACACACGCUAUUGCGUCUUUUAAAAAAGAAAAAUGGAGUAGUUUUCCAAAAUUAAUUCAGAGAAGAAGAUUUACUAAUAAUGAUGUUAGAAAUCUUAAUAUUUGAAUCUUAAUAUUAUGUAUCACUCAUUUAUUAAAUAAUAGAUUUCAUAGUUUGUAAAUUUACUUAACCACUUGAUAAAUGUUAUAUUUGUUGGGACUAAAUUGGGACUUCAAUGUUGGAAUAUCUAGUAUUGCAUAAAAAAUAAAAAAAACUUAAAAAUUUAUCUUCGCAUGACUAAUUGUUUUUACAUCACAACUAACCUUAGUUAUUUUUUAAAGUUAUAGUAUUAUUAAAUUGCCCUAACUGGUUAUCAAAAGAUGAAAGCAUGUUAAAAUAAGAAAUUACUAAGAAACAUGUGCUUAAACAGAGGUUAAGGCUACGAACAAUUAAGAAGAAACAACUUACAAUCAAAGGUUAAGAUUAUGAACAAAUUAAGGAAGGUAGAUAAAGGGACGGAAUCAUUGUCUGAAUUGCCGGUGACAAGAAUGCUUGUGUUGUGAAAAGAAACCUGAUGGUUUGUAAAUGGGUUGAAUUUUUUAUUCGCUCGCUCCAACUAACUUACUAAUGCCAAAUUUAUUACUUUGCACAAUAGUGUUUAGGAUCCUCAAGAUCAACUCUUAAUUUGGUCCCAAUUAGUGUAGAAAUCAUCUAUUGAGCAAUAGAAUAAGAAUUUUUCUAGUCAUGAAAUUUAAUAUAUAAUAUAUCCUUGACACACAUCGAUUAGAACUUAACUGUUAGAAUUCAUAACAUUACUCUACUCUCAAGGGGAGUUCUCUUAACAUAUUAUGUUAAGUUGCCUACAUUCAAAAUAUGUUAGACUGCUCUUUGAAAGCAAUAUUCCCUUUUCCAUAACUUUGAAUUGGUCCAAUAGCUCUUGAAAAGCACAUAAUAAUCAUUAUAAAUUUAAUCAAAGACUAAGCAGGUCUUCUUUGAAUUUGAUCACUGGCAUUUCAGUUAAGUUUGUCGUUUACUUAAAUUUUUCUUGCUUUCAAUUUCCACUGUUGUUUUUUUUCUAAAAUAAUUUAUUUAAACUAGUCAUAGAAAUAAGAGAGAAAGGGCGCCAUUUCUUGACUCAAAGUCAAUUAUAAUUAUCAAAACUUGAGCGGACAUUGCAUGCCUAAAUUCCACGCACCCUAAAACGGUUUGAUUUGCUUUCACGCGUUCAUGAUUUUCCAUGAAAGAGAGUGCCUCUCGUCUCUUUCCGGACAGUGACUGCAAUUAUGUUAACGUGACGAAUACAAAACGUUAUUACAUACAAGAAUAAGUUUUUGGACCCGAGACUUGAGGGAGGUUCUAUCUAAUUCUAAAGAUUGUAACCAAAUCAUUAUCCCCAAAUUUUUUCAGUUAAAUAAAAUAAAAUUUAUGCUUAAGUAUAAAUAAUUUUUUAAAGUUAAAUAUAAAAUAAAAAAAUUCAUGAACUUCCUAGAAAGAAAGAAGACCCUUCACCUUCUUCGUGACAACAAAUGAUGUUGAUAUGACAAAUACAUGCGCUAUUACAGGUAACAGCAUAAGACCAAGACUUGAUAAAUAUUAAAUAUAUAAAAUAAGUGGAGCAAACGAAUAGAAUAAUAGAUUUUUAUAAUAUUCUUCAUAAAAAUCCAAGUUUUGAGCUGGCCCAUAAGCUUAUCUAGUGAAGUCUGGGUAUCCGCGUUGCCCAAGGUUCCGUUUGAAUCCAGGCUGUGCAGAUGUUUAUGACAUCCCAUAUGGACGGAGAGGAAAUAUUUUCAGUUGACUUAAUUAAAUAAAAAAAAAGAAAUGAAGAAAAACGAAUACAAGACUUGAAAAAGCUGGGAGUAUCAUCAGUUCAAUUGGUUAUAAAUAGCAUAGAGCCAUCCUCUCGUUGUUGCAGAACUGAAGCAAAGAGAGACAGAAAGAGUGUGUGUAGGUGAUUAUAAUUAAGAAGAUAUAAUGUGUGGUUCAAAAAGAGUGUGGUUGAGUGAGUUAAUUUUCAUAUUAUUUGUAGUAAAAGGGUGGUGGAGUGAGGGAUGUUUGCAGCAAGAGAAGUCUGCUCUCCUCCAACUUAGACAUUUCUUCAAUGAUGAUCACCGUCUUCGAAAAGGGGCAGACGCAGGAGAUGAUGAGAAUUAUUCAGAUUGUUGUCAGUGGGAAGGGGUUGAGUGCAACAACACCACUGGCAGAGUGAUUAAAUUAGAUCUAGCAUUUCGAAAAUGGGAAUCAGCAGAGUGGUAUAUGAAUGCCUCUCUGUUUACUCCUUUUCAACAAUUAGAGUCUCUUGAUCUAAUUGGGAACAAUAUAGUCGGUUGUGUUGAAAAUGAAGGUCCUUAAUUUACUUUAUUUUAAUUCUUCCUGUAAAUUUCUUACAUUUAUCUGAUCCCUUUUGGCUUUUGUUUAAUUUGUACGUGAUACAAUAAAAUUAUUUUUUAUUUUUUGGCAGGUCUAGAUAGGUUAUCAAGGUUGAACAACUUGAAGUUUCUUUUUUUAGAUGAUAACGACUUCAACAACAGCAUCUUUUCAUCUCUAGGUGGUCUUUCAUCACUCAGAGACUUAUCAUUGGCUGGUAAUGGAUUGAAUGGAAGUAUUGAUAUUAAAGGUAAGCAAGCUUCAUCCCUUCUCCCGUGUCCCAUUUUUCAGAUUAGCCAUAUUCUUUUCACUGAGAUUUAACAUAAAAAAAAAAGGAGAAAAUAAGUUAUUUAAUUAACUCUAUUUUAAGUGUUGGCAUAAAUACAGGACUCGAUUCCUUGAGUAACUUGGAGAUACUGGACAUGAGCAACAAUGCAAUCGACAAUCUAGUGGUUCCUAAAGGUAUACAAAAUGUUCAAAUAUUAAUAAUUUGGAGGACAAUUUAAUUGAUUUGAUAAGGGAAUGUCCAAUGACACUUACCCAAAAUAAUUUAAUCCGAAAUUGUAUCUCAAAUAGAUUACAGAGGUUUUGAGGAAGUUGAAUACCCUUGAUUUGGGGGGGGGGGGGGGGAGGGAAAUUGCAGUGAUAUAUGGAAGCAAGGUGUUGCAAUCAAUAAAGAAAUUCAUUGGUCAAUGUUCAAGGACUCAUCCAAAGUAAUCGUUAAAGUCUAGAGGUCUGCUCUCCACCAACUCAAACAUUUCUUCAAUGAUGAUCAACGUCUUCAAAACUAGGUAGACGCGGGAGAUGAUGAGAAUAAUUUAGAUGUUGUCAGUGGGAAGGGGUUGAGUGCAACAACACCACUGGCAGAGUGAUUAAAUUAGAUCUAGCAUUUCGAAAAUGGGAAUCAACAGAGUGGUAUAUGAAUGCCUCUCUGUUUACUCCCUUUCAACAAUUAGAGUCUCUUGAUCUAAGUUGGAACAACAUAGCCGGUUGUGUUCAAAAUGAAGGUCCUUAAUUUACUCUAUUUUAGUUCUUCCUCGUAAUUUCUUACAUUUAUCUGAUCCCUUUUGGCUUUUGUUUAAUUUGUACGUAAUACAAUAAAAAUUUUUUUUAGUUUUUAUUUUUUAUUUUUUAUUUUUUGGCAGGUCUAGAGAGGCUAUCAAGGUUGAACAACUUGAAGUUUCUUUAUUUAGACAAUAACCACUUCAACAACAGCAUCUUUUCAUCUCUAGGUGGUCUUUCAUCACUCAUACACUUAUCAUUGGUUGGUAAUCGAUUGAAUGGAAGUAUUGAUAUUAAAGGUAAGCAAGCUUCAUCCCUUCUCCCGUGUCCCAUCUUUGUGGAUUUUAUUUCAUCGACCAGCUGGAAGAAUUGAUACGAGAUCUAGCUAGACUCUUGCUAGUUUAAGCUUCAAGGCUUUGAAUAUUAUAAAAAUAGGUUUAAGGAAUUAUCAUUAUAUGCAAUUUUCUAUGCUUCUCAUAAUCAGACACAAUUCAAUCUAAUUAUUUCGUAUGUCCUGUCUUCAAAAGUAAAGAAUUGUACACUAAACGGAAAUCGACAUUGUAGCUUUUUAAUUUUUCUAAUGCUCUUUCUUUGUUAACGAGUUUAUAUCCUGAGAGUGGAUUGGAUUCAAAAAAAAAAAAGUUUUGAUGUUCAAGGUAAGCCAUAAUAACAUGCAUCUUAUUUAUCUGCCUAUAUCUAAAUUUGUGCACUGAAUUUAGUAUUUUGGUUAGUGUGAAGGGAUCAGAUAUUGACUUCCAUAAACCAACUUGUAUUUACUUAAUUAAUUAAGUAAAUUUUUUGAAACAAGAAUAAGGUAUAGCAGGUUGGAUAUGUAUUUAUUUAGUUUAAAUAACUUUUCCAUCCAUCCAAAACCUUUAAGCAUGUAGUUGAAGAGGGGUGGCAAUUCAAGUUGGAUAUGUAUUUAUUUAGUUUAAUUGGAUCUGAUAUUAUAUAUUCUAAACCUUUUGAAUAUGGAUAUGGAUGUUUUUAAAAUAGUCAAUUGGAUACUGGAUGAAUAUGGAUAUUAGAUAUUUAAUUCAUUUAUGUUAAAAAAUAAAGUAAGAAGUUAUAUAUAUUUACCAUGAUAUCCAUUUAUUGAAUGCCUUUUUUUUUUAUAUUUUCAAAUUAGCAAACCAUAGUUUAUCUCUUUUAGUUUCACACACUAGCCGUUCGUUCCUCGUUGGCCACUGAUAUCGUCGACCGUCGCUUGUUUGAUAUAUAUUAGUUAUUCAUGAUUUUGCUCUCUUCUUUUGUGAUACAGUUGCUUCUUCUUCUUUUAAUUUAGGAUAUCUGUGUCUCUAUAUUUCUCUAUAUGUAUCAAUUACACGCCGUUGUCAGCCAAAUAUACCUACUUAAAACCACUCAAUCAGGCCCUUGACAACUGUUUUUUACGUUUUCCUGGUUAGCCGUAUACUUUUUUGCUUAUUAAUAAAAUUAUUUUGCACCGAGAUUUAAAAUAAAAAAACGGAGAAAAUAAGUUAUUUAAUUAACCCUGCUUUAAGUGUUGGCAUAAAUGCAGGACUGAAUUCCUUGAGUAACUUGGAGGAGCUGGACAUGAGCGCCAAUGCAAUCGACAAUCUAGUGGUCCUAAAGGUAUACAAAAUGUUCAAAUAUUAAUAAUUUGGAGGAUAGUUUAAUUGAUUUGAUUAGGGAAUGCCCAAUGACACUUACCCAAAAUAAUUUAAUCCGAAAUUGUAUCCCAAACAGAUUUCAGAGGUUUGAGGAAGUUGAAUACCCUUCUUUUACGGGGAAGCAGAAUUCGAAUGAUAGAUGGAAGCAAGGUGUUGCAAUCAAUAGGAUCACUACCAUCCCUCAAAACGCUUUACCUUUUCUUUAUUAAUUUUAAGGGAACAGUAGUUAAUCAGGGUGAGUAAAUUUUUUUAUGUCGAAAAUAAUUGAAUUAAUAUAUAUAGCUAAAAUUUAUUGUUUCUACUUCUUUCUAAAUAGAAUUGCACAAUUUCACCAACUUGGAAGAAUUGAUAUUGGUCGAGUGUGAUCUCCAUGUAAGCCAGCUUCUGCGAAGCAUCGCAUCAUUCACUUCGUUAAAGUAUUUGUCAAUGCAAGAUAGUGUACUCAAGGGUGCCCUGCAUGGUCAAGGUAAAUUACGGGUAUCUGAAGCUUUUAUGAUAUUAAUUCGAUAAUAAUUCUUUCUUUUCAAGUUAAUUUUCUCCCGUAAAAUAAUAUUUUUUUCUUUUAAAUUUUAUACAUUUUCACUGUCCAAUAGUUCUACCUUCUCUAAAUUGUAGGAUUCUUGAUUAAGGUUAAUGAAAUUUUAGUUCUGUUAUGUUAAGAAUAUUUCGAUCGCUUAGAAGAGUAAAGAAAAAUAAGUAAAUUAACCCAAAAAAAGAAAAGAACAGGACCGGAUUAUCCUUAUUCCCUUGCAUUAUGUGAUCAAUAUCAAAAUUAUAACCAUUUCUUGUUUAUUGCUUGUAGAUUUUCGUAAAUUCAACAAUUUGGAACAUCUGUACAUGGGUGAGGUGCAGGUUGACGUCAACACCAGUUUUCUUCAAAUUGUCGGCGAAUCGAUGCCUUCCCUUAAGUUUUUAUCACUGAAUGAUUCAAGUCUUAAUAAAAACACCAUUCUUGAUCAAGGUUAAUUAAUGAUUCUCUUUCUCCCUCUCGCGCAUCUUAACUAAAUUUAAUUGAGAAUAUCUAUAAUGCUAGCUAUUUAUAAACUUAAUGAAAGUUGAUGAGGAGCCAUUAUAAUGACUAAAACAACUGUAAAAUAGUGCGCUGUUGUAGUGUUGAUUGAACUAUUGGACUGUAAAACAACUGUAACAACACUAUAACGCUGCAUAAUUUUACAGUUAUUUUGUUGCCAUUACGUCAGAUUCCACUGUUAAACUAUCAGUACUCAAACUUAAUUUUUAAUAUGUACUUUAAAGAUUUUAUGCAAUUAUUUAAGUUUUAUGCAAUUAUAUUUUUCAGGACUUUGUCGGUUAGUGCAUCUGCAAGAGUUAUACAUCGGCCAUAACGAUUUGAGAGGUAGCUUGCCAUGGUGCUUGGCAAACAUGACAUCCCUUCAAGUGUUAGAUGCCUCAUCUAAUAAACUUACUGGAGACAUCUCCCCAGGCCUUUGUGAGUUGGUGCUUCUGAGAGAGUUAUACAUACAUAACAAUGAUUUAAGAGGUAGCUUGCCAUGGUGCUUGGCAAACAUGACAUCCCUUCAAGUGUUAAAUGCCUCUUCUAAUCAACUUACUAGAAACAUCUCCCUAGGCCUUUGUGAGUUGGUGCUUCUGAGAGAGUUAUCCAUUGAUAACAAUGAUUUAAGAGGUAUCUUGCCUCUGUGCUUGGCAAAUUUGACUUCCCUUCGAGUAUUAGAUGUCUCUUACAAUCAACUUACUGAAAACAUCUCCCCAGGCCUUUGUGAGUUGGUGCUUCUGAGAGAGUUAUCCAUUCAUAACAAUGAUUUAAGAGGUAGCUUGCCUUUGUGCUUGGCAAAUUUGACUUCCCUUCAAGUAUUAGAUGUCUCUUACAAUCAACUUACUGAAAAUAUCUCAUCUUCCCUCAUGCAUCUAAUAUCUAUGGAAAAGCUCAUACUUUCAAAUAAUCACUUCUUCCAAAUUCCUAUUUCACUCGAACCACUUUUCAAUCUCUCAAAACUCAAGACUUUUGAUGGUGAAAUAUGCGCAGAAACUGAGUCACAUUAUAAUUCUUUGACCCCAAAAUUCCAACUGACUUCUAUCUCACUGUCUGGUUACAUAGAUGGUGGCACAUUUCCCAAAUUCUUGUACCAUCAGCAUGACUUGAAGAAUGCUAAUCUCUCACACCUUAACUUGAGUGGAGAAUUUCCAAAUUGGUUGGUAGAAAACAAUACAAACUUAGAGACGCUUCUUCUUGCCAAUAACUCUCUUUUUGGAUCAUUUCGGAUGCCAAUUCAUUCCCACCAGAAAUUAGCAACAUUGCAUGUCUCCAACAAUUUCUUUCAAGGCCAUAUCCCAGUAGAAAUCGGAACAUAUCUGCCAGGCUUAAUGGAAUUAAACUUAUCUACAAAUGCUUUCAACGGUAGCAUUCCCUCUUCAUUUGCUGAUAUGAAAAUGUUGCAAAGCUUGGACAUAUCCCACAAUCAGUUGACGGGUGAAAUCCCUGAGCUCAUGGCCACGGGUUGCUUCUCAUUAGAAAUUCUUGCAUUGUCAAACAAUAGUUUGCAAGGCCAUAUAUUCUCUAAAAAAUUUAGCUUGACAAAUUUGAUGACGUUGCAGUUGGAUGGUAAUAAUUUCAGUGGAGAGAUCCCAGAAAGCUUAUCUAAGUGCCGUUGGUUAGGAGGAUUAUAUCUGAGUGAUAAUCAUCUCUCUGGUAAGAUUCCAAGAUGGUUGGGUAAUUUGUCAGCUUUAGAAGAUAUUAUAAUGCCUAAUAACAAUCUUGAAGGACCAAUUCCAAUCGAGUUUUGUCAGCUUGAUUCUCUGAAGAUUUUAGACCUUUCAAACAAUAGUAUUUUCGGAACCUUACCAUCUUGUUUUAGUCCAGCAUAUAUCGAACAAGUUCAUUUGUCAAAAAACAAGAUAGAAGGACGGUUGGAAAGUAUAAUCCAUUACAGCCCUUUUUUGGUGACAUUAGAUCUUAGUUAUAACCGCUUACACGGAAGUAUUCCAAAUCGGAUUAACAGACUACGUCAGUUAAACUACCUUCUUUUAGGUCAUAAUUAUAUUAAAGGCGAAAUACCAGUUCAAUUAUGCCAGUUGAAGGAAGUUCGGUUGAUUGAUCUUUCUCAUAAUAAUCUAUCUGGGCAUGUUCCUCCUUGCUUUGUUAACACUUCACUCAGUGAAGGUCAUCAUGAGGCAGUAGUCCCUGAACAUUUAGAUCUGCAAUCAAAUGAAUCUUCGAUGGGAAAGGAAGAAACUGUACAGUUCACAACAAAGAAAAUUUCCUACUAUUAUCAAGGAAGCAUUUUGAGGAGUAUGUGUGGGAUUGAUCUUUCUUGUAACAAACUGACAGGUGAGAUUCCUACUCAAAUUGGAUAUCUUACAAGGAUUCGUGCGCUAAAUCUAUCUCAUAACAAUUUGACGGGCACAAUCCCGACAACAUUUUCAAACCUGAAGCAAAUCGAAAGCUUGGACCUCUCCUACAACCUACUGCAUGGGAAAAUCCCUUCUCAGCUCACUGUGCUAACUACAUUGGCGGUCUUCAGAGUAGCAUACAAUAACUUAUCAGGAAAAACCCCAGAUAGAGUUGCACAAUUUUCAACAUUUGAGGAAGAUAGUUAUGAGGGGAAUCCUUUUCUUUGUGGAUGGCCACUGUCUAAAAGUUGCAAUGAUAGUGGAUUAUCAGCAGUGACACCAGAAGCUUACACUGAUAAUGAAGAAGGUGAUAGUUUAAUUGACAUGGACAGUUUCUUGAUCACUUUUACAGCAUCUUAUGGAAUUGUGAUAUUAGGAAUUAUUGGAGUUUUGUACAUAAACCCCUAUUGGCGACAAAGAUGGUUUUACCUUGUUGAAGUAUGUAUGAUCUCUUGCUACUAUUUUGUAGUAGAUAAUCUUAUUCCUAGAAGAUUCUGUCGUGGAUGGAUGUAAUUUCAUUUACUUUACAACUUAUAUGUAAUUUUUAAAGAAUUUUCUUUUGCUUGCAUGGAAUAGCAACUCAAUAAAAGUAUUUGAUGCAAAUUGUCCAAGAACAACUUAGUAAUUUCAUUGCUACUAUUCGGUUAUAUAUGUACAGUUAAUGAAAUUUUUAACCAUUCGCAGUAGGAAUUUCUUUAGAUGGCGGCCAAAACUAACAGAUUUGGGGCUCUACUUCUACACAUCAUAACAGGCAAAAGGUCUCUCUUUUACACGAUCUGAAUGAAGAUUAGCUUACGCCCUCUGGAGUGUGUGCAAGUUCUCUAUUAAACUUGACGGUUGAGAUUUCAGGUCCAGAUGAAAGUAAAAUGCAGGCGACGAGACUUCACUUUAAGUAAACUGGUACAAACUUAAAUUAAAAAAAAUUAUAGUCCAGUGUGAGAGUAAUGGGUAGCUCAACCUAUGGAGGAUAACUAGGACUUGGAAUAACUAUCAGAUUUGCAACUCUUGUUAUACGCUAGUGGGGAUUAUCACUUUCAGCAGCUACAUAAUGGUAUCACUUUCAGCUCGUCAUGAAUGGUGUGCAUUCAGCAGUGCUCGAUAGACCAUGUCUAUGAAUUGAUUGUCCUAUUACAUAUAAAAGCUGGUCAGAUAUACAAGGAAAAAAAUAAUAAUUGAAAAUGCAUCACAAAAAAUAAGUGUCUCGCAUUAGUGUUUGCACUCUAAGCAUGGCAAAGUGGUGUGGGGUUCAUGAUUUUGAAGACUGAUAAGUGAAAAAUAGUUCAAUCCACUGAUGACCAUAAAUUUAUUUACAUGUCAAUUUAGAUAUCAUCAAAAAGUAAACAGUAAUUCACAGUCACGUAAAAUAGUUGAUAAAAUGCGUGCCAUGAAUGCAUUUUUGUACAUAAGAAAUCCAAAGAGUAUUUCUGACAAUACAAAUAUGCUAGCUUUAAGUCUGCUGUCAAUAUGCAAUUAAGAAGAUUAUACCAGCUGCAUGAUAAAGUUCCCCUAAUCUUAAUAACAGUAAACAUGAACAUGUCAGAUGCAAUUAUAGCUUCGAGCAUUUGCAUAACCAGAAAUCCUAACCUGAACAAGCACCAGAAGUGUCUCUCGAACUUUCUCCUUGCUGAUAAAUGGUCUGCUGUUUGAAGAGCAGGAGUAAGAGAUGGUGGAGGGGUUGGUGGUGGAAAAGGUUGAAGCACUGGAGCACCAUAUGGGCGUUGCAGACUCAGGGGAGGAUUAAGUGGCGGAGCUGUUGGUGUAGAUGAAGAGACAAGCUGCAUCAUCCGUGCAUAGGACGAUGGAGGAGGAACAAAGAAUAAGGAAGGCUUUACAAGAUUAGGCGUCCAGUUGCCAGAUUCAGAGGUGUCAACGGGUGGUAUUAAAGGGGUAGGUGCUGAUAGAGGUGGAGAUGGUAUUUGCAAGGUCGGCACGAUAGGCGAAGCAACACUGGCGGGAUGAGAAGGUAAAGAAAUAGUUGUAUUGGACUGGUAAGGUUGUGCAGAGAUUGCUGCAUUAGAAGUAUUCCCCACAGUCAAAGCUGUCUGCAAUGAUAAGGACAGAUGUCAUAUACAAGGACUUCAUAGAAGUUGAACCUCACACAAAAAUGAAGUGAUAACAUAUGAAAAUAGUAUAUGACUUGCUGCAUUUUUGUGGUAAUGUUGCAUACUCAUGUAGAAACAUAUUAUUUCAAAGAAAACAUACACUGAAGAAGUUCACAAAAGCAGGAUCUUCAGGAACAUCAGCAGCAUUUGAGGGAGUUGACUCUAGAGGACCAUCCAUAACUGCCAUAGUUGGAACAGCUUCCAGUUCCUCAAACUCACUGCAGUUUAACAUAAAAGGAACUUGAUGACCAAUUUAAGUAAUAAUUAGAUGAUAUAAGAGGUUAGGGAAAAUGAUGAGUGGACCCUUAUGGAAGGUGAUUUCACCUUAGCUAAACACGAAAAUAAAAAGAAAUCAAAGCUGAAUCCUCGAGUGCAAUGCAAAGAAUUUUUUCUCUCUCUUCUCUAACUCCUCUUAUUCGAAAUUGCUCAUCAUUGUGCUGUUCUUCGAGAUAUCGCUAGAGUAGAGAAAGCUAUUCUACCGUUAAGUGCAGAGGAAAGAGAAGGGCAAGGGCCUGGUAUGAUGCUAUUCUAUAGGAAGUGAGAAGGUGAAGGGUUAAAAUAUUUUGCAAUUUGGAGGUGGUGUUUGUUAGUGUGUGUACUUCUGAAUUUAUUACCUCUUUAGGAUCCAUAGAAAUUGCCUCUUGUUCAGCAUGCACUGUGCCUACGAGUAAGGCGAGCUUGCAUGAUAUCUAUUGUCUAUUUACUUGGAUAUUCAAACAGGACUACCAGCAACCAAACACAAAUCCCCAAACAAAACACUCUUUCAAGUGCAAGGAAAGAGUAACUUGGGCAUAUUUAUGGUUCAAGCACUACCAUAACUAAGAAUGUGAUGCUGUCCACAAACACUAUAUCAGUGCCUUUUGAACUACAUCACAUGCUCGAAGACUUUUUUUUUAGUCAUACAUAAAUUAGCUAUAAAAUAAAGACCAUUAUACAACUAAAAAGAAAGAAAAAUUGUUUGCUACUACGUAUCAAAACUGGUAAUAGCAAUGUAAGAUGGCAGACUUCUUACUUAAACAGAUGAGAGGCUACAAAUAAAAAAUUUGUGCAAAUAAAAUAUAUGAUAAAGAGCGUAAUACUAUAUUGGGGGCUAAAAAUAAUAUACAACUUGUGAAAUAUAAAUUGAGCUACCAUUACCUUUUCGAUGUGGCAACUUUCGACUUUUGAGGCACCUUGGAAUAUGCAUUCAGAAUCCUGCAUUUGGAAGCCAAAUAAAUAAUGUUAAUAACAAUUUUACAAUAGAAAAAUUAAAAAUUGAUAAAUGGCAGUUGUAAUUUAUGUGUGUAAAGAUAGCAUCGCAUCCAGGUUCCUCCCAUAAACAUGCUUGUAACAAGAAUUAGUUUGCCUCAACUGCUAGCAACUAUACAAUAGUAAAAAUCACUCUUAUGAACUCAACAAUACUAGGCACCAAUAAGAGUAUGACACAGCCAUUCUAAAUGGAAGAGAAUACAACUGUUUUACAACUAUGUUGCAUCAGGAGAUAUGUUAGGAGGAUUAAUCCAGAUACCUUCCAACCCAAUUAGGAAAACUCGAGUCAGAAACCAGGAGCUGCAACCAAACCUUACAAUCUUGAAGGAAGAAGGAGACUUGGGGCAUUUUUCCAGAUAGGUGACUUACAAGAUCUCCUGCCAAGAAAAUAUCUAUUGCUUUGAACCUCCAUUGAAAUUUCUUUUCCCUUUUUCUUGUUUUGACUUGGAACUUUCCAGCAUCAUCUAUUUGAUCUUUUUUAAAGCUAAAAUAGCAAUCUAUGGGUUGUCAACAUCUUAUCCCCCCCCCCCCCCCCCGGGGGGCCACCAAAAAACAAAACCAAUGAGUUGUCAAUAAAUAGCGCCUACUCAACUUAUGUUCUCCAAUGAUGACAAUGUGCAAAUCGACCUAGCAGCCACAUUUUUCCCCCCUUUCAACCACCUUUAGGCAACUUUUCUAACCUUUCUUCAUUGCCCACGUCUACAGAACUAUCAUAUAAAGACUACAUUAUUAUUGGGAUAGAGAAAAAAAUACGGACUAUAUUAUUAUUAUUAUAUCUCAUUUUAUUAAUGAACUAGUGCAAGACUUAUUUAGUGUCAAAUCAAGAACUAAUUAGAAAAGACAACUCAUGAUAAUACAGACCUUAAAAAGCAAUAGCUAGCAACACCCCAUAUACUCCUAUUUUAGCCUUCAAUAUCCUGGUAAAAACACAAUUAAGUCUUGCCAAAGAACAUUCACAAGUAAAUUCAACAUUAAUUAAGAUUAAGUAUCUACUGCACCUUCAAUCAAUGACUGGGUGAAUAGCAUGGUCAACCAUCCAGUUCCUGUAGCCCUCCUUGUACCUAUGUUAGUUACAUUUUACAUAUUAAGCCACGAAAAUGAAGGAUCACAGCCUGGUAAAGAAAGCCAUUAAUUAAUAGUUUUUGUUUAAAAAGUUCUCGUUUAGAUCUUUCCUAUUCAAUGAAUCAAUGUAAUCCAUGGAGAACUCUUCCAUUUCAAGCAGUGUUAGAAGAUAAUUGGAAAGCCUAAAGAUAAUAUACAAGGACCAAGAUAUCAAUUAGGUCAAAUAGUGAAUGUCAAAUAUAAAAAAUAAAUAAAAGAAGUUGUACAUGAUCAUUUACUAUCAAGUUCUGUAAAACUGAAAAUACCAUUAUCCCUGUAUAGAUUCUCAAACAACUCUUUAGCAAAUUAUAAAAUAGUUAAAAAAAGAACGAAAGUUUUAAAAAAAAAAAUGUACAACAGCCAUAUCAGGAGAUGUUUUUCUUCUCAAUCUCAAUAUUUUCUUGCCGUAAAAAAUUGAAAAGCUUAACACCAAGUGAAUUAUUAAGAAUUCAUCAUUUAAAUUCCCAAAUCGCAAAAUGUUGGUGCAACUAGGAAAGUGCAAAUGCAAUCACUUUACUAACACAAGAAACAUCAAUAGUGAGAAGCCAACUUUGUAUCAAAUUUGAAACAGAUAGAUAGAGGUCAAAAAAAUUAUAAAGACACUCAAUUAAAAGCCUUUCAAACAGCUUUUGCAUGCAACAAGAACAAAUCAAAGGCGAUGUGAAUGUAUUGAAAGACUAAUUUACAAUCAUCUACAGGACAUAAAUAUCUUGGAUAACUACUCUCUACACCUUACUGUCCCACUGAAAAUCAUCAAAUCCCUCCAAACAAAAAUGACAAAAUGGAUAAGAAUUGUGUGGUCAAACUUCAAUAACUUAGCAGCCACAGCAAAAACUUAUGUAGACACGCAAGCCACUCAAAAUAGUCAUAUUGUUUGCUUUCUAAACACAAGCCACAUUGUAAUGAAUAUUCAUAAAUUGCUACUACCAUGUUUGUUAAAACACGUGAAAACCACCAUAACUAACUAAAUGUAACUGAUGAUCAUCAUCACAUUCAUGGAAUCACAUAUCCGACAGUAUUAAUUAGUGCAAAUGGCAUGCUUCUUAAAACUCCUUAUUUAUCACAUGGGCGCCAUUCCAAUCAACCAAUGAUUCUGAUCUAGUCAGCAUAUUCAACCCACGAGCGAGUAAUACCUCCAUUGCUUCUUUAGAUUUCUCAACGAAAUUCCACAUUCUAACCAUACUUCUGAACUUGUUGCUCCCAUAGACUAAUACAAUAUAAAGAUUUCUUCCCACACCACCUCAGCCCCCACUCCUAAAAAACCAAUUUAAAUUCUCAUUGACUGUACAACCUAUAGUCCAUACCAAAUUGAAAAAUUUACAAAUAUAGAACCUCAAAGAAUCUUCUUGCGUUCCAUUUUUUACGGCAAGAAAAUUGACUUUUACCACAUGCAAGUCAACAAAUAAAACAAUCAUGUCUUUGUGAGAUGCACAUUUUCAGACGAAUCUGAAGAGCAAUGAAACCAUAAAAACCUAAUGUGAGAACACCGAGGACUCCAGAUAUCAUCCAUAGAAUCUUUGGUCCACCCUUGCAUGAUGAAAAAAAAUUGAAGGCUUCGUCACCAACUCCCCAGGUUGUUUUGUUCUCCUAUCUCCUAAAUGUAAAGGAAAGACAACCCGUUCUUUUUCCAAUCUUAAGGGACACAGAACGACUCUAGUAUAAAAUAGUCAGUUUCUAUACAAAAAUAACUCCUUUGCACUUGGCACUGCACAUCUCAAAAUAAAAAGCAUGCAAGGAGGAGAAUAUAAUAGCAGUAAACAAGUUUUAUUAACCAAACUUCAAAGAUGCCACACAAGGCAAAAAAGAAAUCUGUACAAGCCAGAUCCCAAGAAUAAUAAUUCCAAUAUACAAUUCAGGAAAACAAUAACUAAAAACAGGUUCAUGAGGCCUCAGCAGAAGCAACAUGUAAUAACCAUACUCUAUUAUUUGAAACACAUUUCCAAGUUUGGUUAAGAUUCUAAACUAUUCUCUAUCUGUCAAUUAUUAACAUGUAAAACAUAAUAAUAUACACUUAAACUACUACAGUAGUAAAACCAGUAAAACAACAAUACCUGCUAAAAAGAUUGGCUACCUCUUCACAUUCACGAGCAUUGUAGAACCAAAUCCCAUUUACUUCUUGGGAUGCAUUUCGAUAUAACAAAUACGGAAUCUGAACUUCAAACUCAAAAUCUCCCAAAAGAUUUUCCACUAAAUUAUCUGCACAUAUACAAGAUAUUGAAGCUUAUCAGUGCAAAAACAUAUACAAAAAGACAUGAAGGUUAGGAGACAUAACUAAAACUUAGCAACAACUGAUAAGCACAACAAGAAAUGAAAUAUAACACGAGUUGUAAACAAGAUAGACACACGGUAUCUAAAAAAUUGUACCAACUCCCUCUCCUGGUUGUCAUAAAACGGCCAAUAUUUAACCCUAGACAACAAAAUUGCAAAUACUCUAGCCUCUGUAAUAUUGGCAUAUAAAUAUUUUCGGUUAGGUACAUUAUAUUCUUCGUUCUAAAACCUCAAUUAUUAGCUAGUACUGUGAUAAAAUGAUUCAUCACUGAAAUUAAAACUUCACGUACAAAUAAUCAAAACUGAAAUAGAAGCAACGAUAAACCAACCUGUAUUACGUCGAUUAAUCACAACAAACUGAAAUCGAGGCUGUGUGUUCCUGAAAAUUGAAAAAAUAAUAAUUUCACCAACUUCAUAUGUAAUACAAUCUCCAAAACAACGAAUAUCAAAUGAAAAAAAGGGAAAGCAUAAGAGAGAAAAGAAUCUAAUUUUAUUGACCUUUUGACGACGAAGAGAGAGCCUUCAACAUCGUUACGACUCCAUAUGCUGAGAUCGAUGUUGAACUCGUAGAAGGUGACAUGAGCGGCCGUGAUGAGGAUCUCCUCAAUGAAUGGAUCGAUUCGCUGAAGAACUGUCAGGUUUAGGAGUUUUGUGCUCUGCUGGUCCAGAUUAGGCAUCAAUUUUCCGUUCUGCGACAUUUUUCAUAGUCCUUUUGGGCUUCUGCCCCGAUCACUAGCCCUCAGGUUUUUCUGUGAGCUCUCGCUCUUUUGUAAAUAAAGUGUUUGAUGAGAUAGCCGAAAGAGAGUGAAAGAGUUGAACAGCCAAACAAGGUGAGGUGAACAGUUUCGGACUGAGACUCGAGAUUGAUCUUUGCUUUAACGUCUUUCAAACAUUUGGGAAAUAGCAUUUAUUUCUUUCAAUUUCUCUACUUUUUUUUUCCUUUAUGUUAUUUAGACCCCAAAAUUAGAUUUAUUAUAAUCAUAUUUUACCCAUACACUAUUAAUCCCUUUUAUUUUUUAAAUUGUCAAUAUUAAUGUAUUAGAAUAAUGUUAGAAAUCCCAAUUAUUAUCGCAAUGUUUCAAUCAUAACUAAUGUGAUAACUCAUCGGUAACUACAACAUUAACUUAAUUAUUAAUGUUUAUCAUGAAAUGAUGAGAUUAUUAUUCAAGAAAAACUUAGUAAACAUCAAUGACUAAUAUAAUAUGACAAUUACAACUGAAUAUUAGUACAAUAAUUAGGAUCCCUAAAGUUAGUGAAUGUAUUAUAAUAUAUGUGUGUUACACCACUUUAUGUCUCUCAAAUUCAAUUAAGUAAUUUCAGAAACCUGAUCUUUUAUUACAUUAAUUAGGAAUGCAUACAUGAACGAAAGAUGUGCAAUUUUUGUUCUAUUUUUCACUAUUAUUUACCAUUCAUCUACUUACAUCACUUGAUUUUUUGUGAUUAAUAUGCUUAAAUGGAUCUCUUAGAUAUAAAUAAAAUAAACGAAAAGUCUAAGAGAAAAAAAAAUGAGGACCGAAAUUAUUACACCUACAACAAAUUUGCCCAGAGAGCAAUAAAUCAAACUUGCUUAGGAAGUACAAUGAUUAGUUAAUAACUAAAAGAGCCUUCACCUGACAUGUUAAAGCUUCUGUCAAGCAAAACACCCAUUGAAAGCUGUUUAGGUCCGUCUUAGAUCAUCGGAAAUUUGACAAAAUCAUAAAAACCCUCAUCUUAUGAUAAUCUUUUCCAGAUAGGUGACUUACUAGAUCUCCUGCCAAGAGAAUAUCUAUGGUUUUGAACCUCCAUUGAAAUUUCUUUUUCCCUUUUUCUUGUUUUGACUUGGAACAAUUUAUUUGAUCUUUUUUAAAGGUAAAAUAACAAUUUAUAGGUUGCCAACAUCGUAUUCUGCCAAAUCCCACCCCAAAACAAAAAAAAAAAAUCAAUGGGUUGACAACAAAUAGCGCCUACUCAACUUAUGUUCUCCAACGGACGACAAUAUGCAAAUCGACCUAGUAGCCACAUUUUUCCCCCUUUCAACCACCGUUAGGCACCUUUUCUAACCUUCCUUCAUUGCCCACACCUGCAGAACUAUAAUAAAAAGACUACAUUAUUAUUGAGGUAGAGAAAAUAUACAGACUGUAUUAUUAUUACAUCCCAUUUUACUAAUUAACUAGUGCAAGACUUCUUUAGUGUCAAAUCAAGAACUGAUUAGAAAAGACAACUCAUGAUAAUACAGACCUUAAUAAGCAAUAGCUAACAACAUCCCAUAUACUCCUAUUUUAGCCUUCACUAUCCUGGUAAAAACACAAUUAAGUCUUGCAAAAGAACAUUCAUAAGUAAAUUCAACAUUAAUUAAGAUUAGGUAUCUACUGCACCUAAUAGCAUGGUCAACCAUCUAGUUCCUGUAGCCUUCCAUGUACCUAUGUUAGUUACAUUUUACAUAUUAAGCCACGAAAACGAAGAAUCACAGCCUGGUAAAGAAAGCCAUUAAUUAAUAGUUUUUGUUUAAAAAGUUCUCCCUUAGAUCUUUCCUACUCAAUGAAUCAAUGUAAUCUAAAGAGAACUCUUCCAUUUCAAACAGUGUUAGAAGAUAUUUGCAAAGCCUAAAGAUAACAUACAAGGACCAAGAUAUACACGGAUGGUUUCUUUAUGAGACUAAAGAGCUUUUUUAGAUGUUAAAACUGUUUCAAACUGUUUUUCUGGUUUGGUUUAACUAAGGAAGAGCUUGUGGAAGAUUAAAAAUGAUGUUUCCUGUUCUCUGUAGGAAGCUUUUAGGAGAUUUUUUGGGCUUUUUUGAAAGGUUGAAUUGUCAAAAAUACCUUGAUGUUAUUGUUUGCUAAAAGAUGUUAUGGACAACUAAACAACCAACAACAUUUUGCACAAUUUUCAACUUUCAAGGAAGAUAGCUAUGAGGGGAAUCCUUUUCUUUGUGGAUGGCCACUGUCCAAAAGUUGCGAUGAUAAUGGAUUAACAACAGUGACAACAGAAGCUGACACUGAAAAUGAAGAAGUUGAUAGUUUAAUUGACAUGGACAGUUUCCUGAUCACUUUUACAGUAUCUUAUGGAAUUGUGAUAUUCGGAAUUAUUGGAGUUUUGUACGUAAACCCCUAUUGGCGGCGAAGUUGGUUUUACCUUGUUGAAGUAUGUAUGACCUCUUGCUACUAUUUUGCAGCAGACAAUCUUGUUCCUAGAAAAUUCUAUGGUGGAUGGAUGUAAUUUCAUUACAUUACAACUUAUAUGUAAUUUUCAAAGAAUUUUCUUUUGCAUGCAUGGAAUAGCAACUCAAUAAAAGUAUUUGAUGCAAAUUGUCCAAGAACAACUUAGUAAUUUCAUUGCUACUAUUCGGUUGUAUGUAUACAGUUAAUGAAAUUUUUAACCAUUCGCAGAAUACCCUUAGGAAUUUCUUUAGAUGGCGGCCAAAAACUAAGAGAUUCGGGGCUCUACACAGUCUGAAUGAAGAUUAACUUAAUGCCCUCAGGAUUAUGUGUAAGUUCUCUUUUAAAUUUAAGGGGUUGAGAUUUCAGGUCCGGAUGAAAGUUGAAUGCAGGUCACGAGACUUCACUGGGACAAACUUAAAAUAAAAAAUUAUAGUCCACAGUAAGAGCAAUGGGUAGCUUAACUUAUGGAAGAUAACUAGAACUUGGAAUAACUUAAAUUAGCUAUAAAAUUAAGACCAUUAUACAACUAAAAAGAAAGAAAAAUUGUUUGCUACUACAUAUCAAAACUGGUAAUAGCAAUGUAAGAUGGCAGACUUCUUACUUAAACAGAUGAGAGGCUACAAAUAAAAAAAUUGUGCAAAUAAAAGAUAUGAUAAAGAGCAUAAUACUUUCUUGGGGGCUAAAAAUAAUAUACAACUUGUGAAAUAUAAAUUGAGCUACCAUUACCUUUUAGAUGUGGCAACUUUCGACUUUUGAGGCACUUUGGAAUAUGCAUUCAGAAUCCUGCAUUUGGAAGCCAAAUAAAUAAUGUUAAUAACAAUUUUACAAUAGAAAAAUUAAAAAUUGAUAAAUGGCAGUUGUAAUUUAUGUAUGUGUAAAGAUAGCAUCACAUCCAGGGUCCUCCCAUAAACAUGCUUGUAACAAGAAUUAGUUUGCCUCAACUGCUAGCAACUGCUAACAAUAUACAAUAGUAAAAAUCACUCUUAUGAACUCAACAAUACUAGGCACCAAUAAGAGUAUGAUACAGCCAUUCUAAAUGGAAGAGAAUAUAACUGUUUUACAACUAUGUUGCAUCAGGAGAUAUGUUAGGAGGAUUAAUCCAGAUACCUUCCAACCCAAUUAGGAAAACUCAAGUCAGAAACCAGGAGCUGCAACCGAACCUUACAAUCUUGAAGGAAGAAGGAGACUUGGGGCAUUUUUCCAGAUAGGUGACUUACUAGAUCUCCUGCCAAGAGAAUAUCUAUUGCUUUGAACCUCCAUUGAAUUUUCUUUUCCCUUUUUCUUGUUUUGACUUGGAACUUUCCAGCAUCAUCUAUUUGAGCUUUUUUAAAGCUAAAAAAGCAAUCUAUGGGUUGUCAACAUCUUAUCACCCCCCCCCCCCGCGGGCCCCCCAAAAAAAAAUCAAUGAGUUGUCAAUAAAUAGCGCCUACUCAAAUGUUUUCCAAUGGAUGACAAUGUGCAAAUCGACCUAGCAGCCACAUUUUUCCCCCCUUUCAACCACCAUUAGGCAACUUUUCUAACCUUUCUUCAUUGCCCACAUCUAGAGAACUAUCAUAUAAAGACUACAUUAUUAUUGGGAUAGAGAAAAAUAUACAGACUAUAUUAUUAUAACUCAUUUUAUUAAUUAACUAGUGCAAGACUUAUUUAGUGUCAAAUCAAGAACUAAUUAGAAAAGACAACUCCUGAUAAUACAGACCUUAAAAAGCAAUAGCUAGCAACACCCCAUAUACUCCUAUUUUAGCCUUCAAUAUCCUGGUAAAAACACAAUUAAGUCUUGCAAAAGAACAUUCACAAGUAAAUUCAACAUUAAUUAAGAUUAAGUAUCUACUGCACCUUCAAUCAAUGACUGGGUGAAUAGCAUGGUCAACCAUCUAGUUCGUGUAGCCCUCCUUGUACCUAUGUUAGUUACAUUUUACAUAUUAAGCCAUGAAAAUGAAGGAUCACAGCCUGGUAAAGAAAGCCAUUAAUUAAUAGUGUUUGUUUAAAAAGUUCUCGUUUAGAUCUUUCCUAUUCAAUGAAUCAAUGUAAUCUAAGGAGAACUCUUCCAUUUCAAGCGGUGUUAGAAGAUAAUUGGAAAGCCUAAAGAUAAUAUACAAGGACCAAGAUAUCGAUUAGGUCAAAUAGUGAAUGUCAAAUAUAAAAAAUAAAUAAAAGAAGUUGUACAUGAUCAUUUACUAUCAAGUUAUGUAAAAUUGAAAAUACCAUUAUUCCUGUAGAGAUUCUCAAACAACUCUUUGGCAAAUUAUAAAAUAGUUAAAAAAAGAACGAAAGUUUAAAAAAAAAAAGAAAAUGUACAACAUCCAUAUCAGGAGAUGUUUUUCUUCUCAAUCUCAAUAUUUUCUAGCCGUGAAGCAAUUGAAAAGCUUAACACUAAGUGAAUUAUUAAGAAUUCAUCAUUUAAAUUCCCAAAUCGCAAAAUGUUGGUGCAACUAGGAAAGUGCAAAUGCAAUCACUUAACUAACACAAGAAACACCAAUAGUGAGAGCCCACUUUGUAUCAAAUUUGAAACAGAUAGAGGUCAAAAAAAUUAUAGACACUCAAUUAAAAGCCUUUCAAACAGCUUUUGCAUGCAAUAAGAACAAAUCAAAGGCGAUGUGAAUGUAUUCAAAGACUAAUUUACAAUCAUCUACAGGACAUAAAUAUCUUGGAUACCUACUCUCUAUACCUUCCUGUCCAACUGAAAAUCACCAAAUCCCUCCAAACAAAAAUGACAAAAUGGAUAAGAAUUGUGUGGUCAAACUUCAAUAACUUAGCAGCCACAGCAAAAACUUAUGUAGACAUGCAAGCCACUCAAAAUAGUCAUAUUUUUUGCUUUCCAAACACAAGCCACUGUGUAAUGAAUGCUCAUAAAUUGCUACUACCAUGUUUGUUAAAACACGUGAAAACCACCAUAACUAACUCAAUGUAACUGAUGAUCAUCAUCACAUUCAUGGAAUCACAUAUCUGACAGUAUUAAUUAGUGCAAAUUGCAUGCUUCUUGAAACUCCUUGUUUAUCACAUGGGCGCCAUUCCAAUCAACCAAUGAUUCUGAUCUAGUCGGCAUAUUCAACCCACGAGCGAGUAAUACCUCUUAUUGCUUCUUUACAUUUCUCAACGAAAUUCCACAUUCAAACCAUACUUCUGAACUUGUUGCUCCCAUAGACUAAUACAAUAUAAAUAUUUCUUCCCACACCACCUCAAUCCCCACUCCUGAAAAACCAAUUUAAAUUCUCAUUGGCUGUACAACCUAUAGUCCAUACCAAAUUGAAAAAUUUACAAAUAUAGAACCUCAAAGAAUCUUCUUGCGUUCCAUUUUUUACGGCAAGAAAUUUGACUUUUACCACAUGCAAGUCAACAAAUAAAAAAAUCAUGUCUUUGUGAGAUGCACAUUUUCAGACGAAUUUGAAGAGCAAUGAAACUGUAAAAACCGAAUAUGAGAACACCGAGGACUGCAGAUAUCACCUAUAGAAUCUUCGGUCCACACUUGCAUGAUGAAAAUGAUGAAAAAAAAUUGAAGGCUUCGUCACCAGCUCCCCAGGUUGUUUUGUUCUCCUAUCUCCUAAACAUAAAGGAAAUGCAACCUGUUCUUUUUUCCAAUCUUAAGGGGCACAGAACGACCCUGGUAUAAAAUAGUCAGUUUCUAUACAAAAAUAACUCCUUUGCACUUGGCAUUCCACAUCUCAAAAUAAAAAGCAUGCAAGGAGGAGAACAUAAUAGCAUUAAACAAGUUUUAUUAACCAAACUUCAAAGAUGCCACACAAGGCAAAAAAGGAAUCUGUACAAGCCAGAUCCCAAGAAUAAUAAUUCCAAUAUACAAUUCACAAAAACAAUAACUAAAACCAUGUUCAUGAGGCCUCAGCAGAAGCAACAUGUAAUAACCAUACUCUAUUAUUUGAAACACAUUUCCAAGUUUGGUUAAGAUUCUAAACCAUUCUCUAUGUGUCAAUUAUUAACAUGUAAAACAUAAUAAUAUACACUUAAACUACUACAGUAGUAAAACCAGUAAAACAACAAUACCUGCUAAAAAGAUUUGCUACCUCUUCACAUUCACGAGCAUUGCAGAACCAAAUCCCAUUUACUUCUUGGGAUGCAUUCCGAUAUAAAAAAUACGGAACCUGAACUUCAAACUCAAAAUCUCCCAAAAGAUUUUCCACUAAAUUAUCUGCACAUAUCCAAGAAAUUGAAGCUUAUCAGUGCAAAAACAUAUGCAAAAAGACAUGAAGGUUAGGAGAUACAACUAAAACUUAGCAACAACUGAUAAGCACAACAAGAAAUGAAAUAUAACACGAGUUGUAAACAAGAUAGACACAUGGUAUCUAAAUAAUUGUACCAACCCCCUCUCCUGAUUGUCAUAAAAAGGCCAAUAUUUAACCCUAGACAACAAAAUUGCAAAUACUCUAGCCUCUAUAUUAUUGGCAUAUAAAUAUUUUCGGUUAGGUACAUUAUAUUCUUCCUUCUAAAACCUCAAUUAUUAGCUAGUACUGUGAUAAAAUGAUUCAAAACUGAAAUAGAAACAACGACAAACCAACCUGUAUUACGUCGAUUCAUUACAACAAACUGAAAUCGAGGCUGUGUGUUCCUGAAAAUUGAAAAAAUAAUAAUUUCACCAACUUCAUAUGUAAUACAAUCUCCAAAACACUGAAUAUCAAAUGAAAAAAAUGGAAAGCAUAAGAGAGAAAAGAAUCUAAUUUUAUUGACCUUUUGACGACGAAGAGAGAGCCUUCAACAUCCUUACGACUCCAUUGGCUGAGAUCGAUGUUGAACUCGUAGAAGGUGACAUGAGCGGCCGUGAUGAGGAUCUCCUCAAUGAAUGGAUCGAUUCGCUGAAGAACUGUCAGGUUUAGGAGUUUUGUGCUCUGCUGGUCCAGAUUAGGCAUCAAUUUUCCGUUCUGCGACAUUUUUCAUAGUCCUUUUGGGCUCUGCCCCGAGCACAAGCCCCAUGGUUUUUCUGUGAGCUCUCUCUUUUGUAAAUAAAGUGUUUCAUGAGAUAGUCGAGAGAGAGUGAAAGAGUUGAACAGCUAAACAAGGUGAGGUGAACACUUUCGGACUGAGACUCGAGAUUGAUCUUUGCUUUAACGUCUUUCAAACAUUUGGGAAAUAGCAUUUAUUUCUUUCACAGGGAUUUGUCUGUGGUAUACCCCAAAAAAAGGGUAUUUAUCUAAAAAUACCUCCAUACUCAAAAAUUUCUCGUAUAUGCCUUUUCUAAUAUGCAGUUACGAAAUUACCCUAAUGAAAAACCUAAAUCAACUAAACUACCACAAUCAAUCGUGUAACAAAAUCCCUAAUUUUUUCUCAUGAGCAGCUUCUUCUUCAGCCCGUUCUUCUGGGUUUCUCCUCCUCCAUUUUACAAAUCCCUAUUAUUUUACAACAAUUCUUCUACACACUCUCGCCUCUCUGCAAAUCAGUAGCUGCAAUUCCCCCACUCUGCUUCAGCAUCUCCUCUUCCAGGUACUUUUAGAAAGUCAAAUUUUUUGUUUUAAUGUAAAAUAAAAUUUGAAAGUUUCAAAGCUCAAGUUAUUGAUUUUUCUGAAAAAAAUCAUUUGCAGCUGGUAUUGAAAUGUGUGCAAAGUCUUGUGCCAAAAGCUUAAUUUUCAUUUCUCGCAAAAGUCAGAUGACAAGACUUCACUUGAUUAGGCUUAUGCUUGUCUUUUACCUUGCAUUAAUUUUCAUCUCUUGUAAAAGUCAGAUAAUAAGGCUUCACUCGAUUAGACUAAUAAUUGAUUUAACAUAUUCAUUUUCUGAUUAAUUGUCAUCCAAUUUGCACGCACAUCGGAUAGAAUUCAUCCAAAAAAAUGGCUCGUAAGGUACGGGAGUCCAAAUACUUAUAAACCUACACACCAAGCCUUAGCUUAGCAAUAUGACACUCAAUUAUAGUUCAUAACCGAUAUGCAUGGUGGCCAUAUAUGGGGCUGAGUGACUUCACAGAUUUCAUACAAGGUGAAUAGCAGGUCUUCUUCUCAACUUACUUCGUCUGUGAAGAGAGAUUUCAUCAAAAAAUUGGUAAAACUCAUUCAAAAGACCGACUUAUGAUGUUAGAAAGACCAAAUACCCUAUAAAAUGCUUAAUAAAGUGGUCGCACAAUUAUUCUUGUGUACACAGUACCAAUGCAAUAGAAAAUAGGGUAAACAUUAAUGUCUCUAGCUACUCAGUCCAAUAGACAGUAUAAUCUAAAGAUGUCGUGUUGUUGUAUUGUUACACUGGUGAGACAAUUGCUGCAUGUUGCAGACAUGAUACCUCUAGUACUUCAAAAGAUAGCAUAUCACGAAACACAUCCAGACUGUAGUGAGGUUAUUUCGAAAAUUCCUUGGCCCAUUGUGUGAGUGCGUGACAUCCCGCAACAAAAAUCAGGGUAUGUACUAUAUAUAUAAUGUGUUUUGAACAUAAUAAUAAAAAUGAUGAUUUUUAACAAUUGAUUUAUAUGAAUAUUUUUAGUGGUGACUGUGGAGCAUUUUUGUUGCGGUACUUGGAGGUCCUAGCCCAUGGACUUGAUGUCAAUUCAUACUGCCAACAAGAUCAUGUUACACAAUUUCGACAAGCCUUGGCUGUAAAAUUAUUUGGGCAUAGGUCAUGGAAAAAAACUCCGUAGUGUCAUUUUUUGGAUUAUGAGAUGUAAUAGUUGUAAUGAGGAUGUUGUUGAUAUUUGAUGUCAUUAAAGACAAUUGACAGCAUUAAUAUAUUUUAUUUCUUUGUUAUUUAUAUUAAUGAUAGAUAAGAUAGUUUGCACAAUAUAUGCACAGGGAAUACACUGUAAGAGAAUACACGACUGCAGUCGGGUAUUUGCACAGAUACACGACUGCGGUCGGGUAUUUGGAAAUAAACAUAAUACGCUCUGUGUAAAAUACUCGACUGCAGUCGGGUAUUUGGAAAUAAACAUAAUACGCUCUGUGUAAAAUACUCGACUGCAGUCGGGUAUUUGCACAGAUACACGACUGCGGUCGGGUAUUUGGAAAUAAACAUAAUACGCUCUGUGUAAAAUACUCGACUGCAGUCGGGUAUUUGCACAGAUACACGACUGCGGUCGGGUAUUUGAAAAUAAACAUAAUAAGCUGUAACAAAAUACUCGACUGCGGUCGGGUAUUUGCAAAUAAACAUAAUAAGCUCUGUGACAAAAUACUCGACUGCAGUUGUGUAUUUGCACAAAUACACGACUGUAGUCGGGUAUUUACAAAUAAAAAUGACAAGCUCUCUGUGAAAAAAUACUCGACUGCAGUCGAGUAUUUGCACAGAUACGCGACUAUAGUUGAGUAUUUAGAAAUAAAUAUGACAAGCUCUCUGUGACAGUCGGGUAUUUACACAGAUACACGACUGUAGUCGAGUAUUUAGAAAUAAACAUGACCAGUUUUGUAACAGUCAAAAUACACUAUUGUACUGGGGUAUGUGCACAGAAUAAAAACUCUUUUCAAUCAUUCAUUAUAUUGAUGACACAAUCAAUAUAGAUUUUAAACAUAUCAAACUUCAAAUAAAUGAAACUAACUAUAGUCUGGUUGCCUAUCAAAUAACACAAAUCCAAUAGUUAUUGAAAUCGUAAAUAAGUCGUAAUACAAUAGAAGUUGUUUAACAUUCAUCAUAAAUUUUUGGCAUAUUCAACCCAAACACUCGGUCCAUAUUUUAUAAGCCUCUGGUCGCCUCCCUUCAAUACUUGUUCUUAGAAAGUCACACAAACAUGUUUAUUCAUCUGCGAAACAAAAAGGUAGAAAUUUAUCACUAAAUAUGAAAGAUAUUAAAAAAAUUAAAACAACAAAAAAUAACAAGUAUAUAAGGUUCAUAGUAGUCGUGUAACUUAUUAACAAUUAUAGUAUGUAAGUUUAUACGUACACGCUAGUAGUCGUGUAACUUAUUAACACACAUGACUAUAGUCUAGUAAUAGUAAAAGGAUAUAUAUAGUGAAAAAUAUAUAUUUUUUGAACCAAUAGAAUAAUAAGGUGUCAUAAUAAUUGAAUUUUUUUGCACAUUUUCACGACUACAGUCGUGUAAAUACAUACAUACACGACUGAUGUCGUGUAUGUCGGGUGCAGAAAAAAAAUUUGACAACAACUUCAGAUUUUAACGAAUGUAGUUAUAAAAUCCAUCAAAUAACAGUCAUAUGAUGCAAAUGUAAUAAAAAUAUGAGUUGCUUUAGUGUUUAUCACAAACCAAACAAAACCCUAAAAAUAAUAUAAUGUCAACAAAUUGAAUAGAUAGCCCAAAAUAAAAUAAAAAAAGUUUCAAAUACCUUAUUCAUGGGAUGAAUAAUACACCCAGCUGCAAACAAACUCAGUGCAUUAGCUGUUUGUGAGUGAUUUUGAGUGUGGUGUGAGUUUUUGUAUAGGUGAUAAAUACGUGAGAAGCAAAGAGUGUUGUGAGUUGUGUGUGUGUUUUAUAUUUUUCUUUAGGGAUAUUUUAGACAAUGUACCACAUAAAAAGGCAUACUUAAAUAAUUUUCAAACAUGAGGUAUAUUUAACUAAAUACACUACUUUUAAGGCAUAUUUAAUUAAAAACCCCUUUCUUUCAAUUUCUCUACUUUUUUUUGUUUUCCUUUAUGUCAUUUAGACCCCAAAAUUAGAUUUAUUAUAAUCAUAUUUUACCCAUUCACUAUUAACCCCUUUUAUUUUUAAAAUUGUCAAUAUUAAUGUAUUAGAAUAAUGUUAGAAAUCCCAAUUAUUAUCUCAAUGUUUAAAUCAUAACUAAUAUGAUAACUCAUCGGUUACUGCAACAUUAACUUAAUUAUUAAUGUUUAUCAUGAAAUGAUGAGAUUAUUAGUCAAGAAAGAAUUAGAAAAUAUCAAUGACUAAUACAAUGUGGCAAUUACAGUUGAAUAUUAAUACAAUAAUUAGGAUCCCAAAAGCUAGUGAAUGUAUUAUAAUAUAUGUGUGUUACACCACUUUAUGUCUCUCAAAUUCAAAUAAGUAAUUUCAUAAACCUGAUCUUUUAUUACAUUAAUUAGGAAUGCAUACAUGAACGAAAGAUGUGCAAUUUUUGUUCUAUUUUUCACUAUUAUUUACCAUUCAUCUGCUUACGUCACUUGAUUUUUUGCGAUUAAUAUGCUUAAAUGGAUCUCUUAGAUAUAAAUAAAAUAAACGAAAAGUCUUAAGAGAAAAAAAAAUGAGGACCGAAAUUAUUACACCUACGACAAAUUUGCCCGGAGAGCAAUAAACCAAACUUGCUUAGGAAAUACAAUGAUUAGUUAACAACUAAAAGAGCCUUCACCUUACAACUUAAAGCUUCUGUCAAGCAAACACCCAUUGAAAGCUGUUUAGGUCCGUUUUUAGAUCAUCGGAAAUUUGACAAAAUCAUAAAAACCCUCAUCUUAGAAAUUCCAAGCAUCAGGCAGUAGAUCAGGCAGUAGUCCGACUUUAUUGAUAUUGAGAGUAACACAAUAAAAGUUUCGUACAGAUUUUGCAAACGAAAAGCACAUAAUACACUUAACUAGGAGGAAAAAUUAAAGUGUACAUAUUACAAUCUGCUAACAAUAUACAAUAGUAUAUUGUAUAUACAAUAGUAUAUAUACAAAUUAACUAGGCACCAAUAAGAGUAUGAUACAACCAUUCUAAAUGAAAGAGAAUACAAUUGUUUUACAACUAUGUCACAUCAGGAGAUAUGUUAGCAGGAUUAAUCCAGAUACCUUCGAACCCAAUUAACGAACUCGAGUCAGAAACCAGGGGCCCCUAACUGAACCUUACAAUCUUGAAGGAAGAAGGAGACUUGUGGUCCAGAUAGGAGACUUACUAGAUCUCCUGCAAAAGAGAAUAUCUAUUGCUUUGAACCUCCAUUGAAAUUUCUUUUUCCCUUUUUCUUGUUUUGACUUGGAACUUUCCAGCAUCAUCUAUUUGAUCUUUUUUGAAGGUAAAAUAGCAAUCUAUAGGUUGCCAACAUGUUAUUCUGCCAAACCCCACCCCACCCCCCCGGGGGACAACAAAUCGACCUAGCACACACCUUUCUUCAUUGCCCACACCUACAGAACUAUAAUAAAAAGACUACGUUACUAUUGGGGUAGAGAAAAUAUACAGACUGUAUUAUUAUUACAUCGCAUUUUACUAAUUAACUAGUGCAAGACUUCUUUAGUGUCAAAUCAAGAACUAAUUAGAAAAGACAACUCAUGAUAAUACAGACCUUAAUAAGCAAUUGCUAACAACAUCCCAUAUACUCCUAUUUUAGCCUUCAUUAUCCUGGUAAAAACACAAAUAAGUCUUGCAAACGAACAUUAUAAGUAAAUUCAACAUUAAUUAAGAUUAGGUAUCUACUGCACCUAAUAGCAUGGUCAACCAUCUAGUUCCUGUAGCCUUCCAUGUACCUAUGUUAGUUACAUUUUACAUAUUAAGCCACGAAAACGAAGAAUCACAGCCUGGUAAAGAAAGACAUUAAUUAAUAGUUUUUGUUUAAAAAGUUCUCGUUUAGAUCUUUCCUAGUCAAUGAAUCAAUGUAAUUUAAAGAGAACUCUUCUAUUUCAAACAGUGUUAGAAGAUAUUUGCAAAGCCUAAAGAUAAUAUACAAGGACCAAGAUAUACACAGAUUGUUUCUUUAUGGGACUAAAGAGCUUUUUUAGAUGUUAAAACUGUUUCAAACUGUUUUUCUGGUUUGGUUUAACUAAGGAAGAGCUUGUGGAAGAUUAAAAAUGAUGUUUCCUGUUCUCUGUAGGAAGCUUUUAGGAGAUUUUUUGGGCUUUUUUGAAAGGUUGAAUUGUCAAAAAUACCUUCAUGUUAUUGUUUGCUAAAAGAUGUUAUGGACAACUAAACAACCAACAAUAUUUUGUUAAAAGCUCUACUAGUGUAGGAUCUACUUAAAGAAGCUAUACCAAACAGACUCUUAGACUGAAUAACUCGAUCUUAAGUUUGUAAAAUUGGGCUCAGAAUCUCCACUAACAACCCCGCUUCGGUGAGAAAGCCCAAGCCUGUUACUUUGUAUAACCUUAUUCUGUAUGUUUGAUUGCAGGAACUGGCCAAUCAUACCGACGAGGUGAGUGUGCAGCAUGACGUGCUUGACGGGAUGGUUACUUUCUAUGAUACAACUAAAGCUAGCCUCAACAUAUAUCAGGUGCCUGCUUGUUUUUACCUUAUAGAUACUAAUAUUGUUUAGACGUGUAAUCUCUCUCUCCAUUGAACGCUAGACGGCUCGUCUCAAGCCUUCUACGUACUUCAGAGUCCUUCAUUAGCUUUUUAUGUAUAAAGUUUUGAUCUUUUUCCUUCAUUUGCUUGAAGCUCAUUACUGCAGAUUUGUUUUACAGGUUGGUAGUGUAACAUUCGACUUGCUGUUGCUUCUAGUGUUGGGAUCGUAUUUAAUUGUGCUUUUCAGCUUUCUUGUCAUAACAACUUGGGUAUUACUCUUUCUCCAUAUCAAGCUUGAAGUUCUAAAUUUCAGUUUUAUCUUGUAUUUGAUUUUUUAUAAUUUCAUUGCAAACAGAUUAGAAUAGAAACUUCAAAAGUUCCAAGGUUUCCAACAGGGUCUUGAUGAUCUAAUCAGUUUGUUUCGAAGACCCCAUCCCGUAAGGUAAAAAAAGCUUGAUGCGGAAGCACGAUGCUGCACCUGUCCUGUGUAACUUUUUCAGGGAAGAUUUUCUCUGAUAACCGAGGUGGAAGUCUCCCAGGAGAAGUUGGCAAAUGAUAACUACGAAUGUGUUAUGGUUUAGCUCAGUGACACAAAGGACAUUUUUCAACAAUUGAUCCUAGGAAGAUGCCUAUAGCUUGUUGUGCCAAACAUAGAAAAUCAAAGAUGCGAAAAAAUUUUGUUGAGAUUCAUUUUAGUUAAAAUUGUUUUAUUGAGUGUUUAGCAAACGAGAAAAUGGAAGAAAGUUGAGAGAAUAAAACUGAAGCUAAGAGGAUUCUAGAACAUCUUUCAAUUUGUUCCGAAUACUCAAAAUGUGAAUACAUUGUUGUUUAUGUACACAGCUGAAGAUAACAGCUCAAUUGUAUAACUAACUACUACUUAGCAAUUUACUAACUGUAACUAAUCAAACUAAAUCUUCACGUGCACUGGUAAUCACAUAACCACUAGGUGCCAGCUGGACAGCCAAGUCAUCAACCUUUAACCGUGUGCCAUAGCUGCUGCAAUCCUCUGCUUUAUCUUCUGUUUUGCAUACUGUACAGCAAGCAUGAUGAGCUUCCUUAACAAUUUUUUUUGGGGCAGAGAAUAAUGCUUAUGUGAUUUCUGAACUUGGGGAUUAUGGCGGAUAGAGGCACUAAGGCAAGAGAAAUGUCUGAAUUAUCGAAACAAGAUGAAUUAUUUUUUGUUUAUCGCAGCAGACGAUCUAUGAGCGGAAUUUCUUACAACAAAAGAUGUGUGUCCACCGGCUUGUAUUUAGUCUCGUAAUGCAUUAUAUAUAUGCACGCACACACAGUUUGAGAAGAAUCAGACCAUUGAUUUUCUUUUGAGCCAAUCAACAGAAUGUACAUUUCUUCUAAGAUCUUGUAACCGAAACCGCAGUUUUUCAAGUUUGAUGCAUCUGGGAAAAUUGUCAGAUGGAAUAAAACCACCAUGCGCCAAGGUACCAAUGAUGUUUCUUCCAGCUUAUGAGCACUUCAAAUCAACUUAGGUCAUAUUUACACAAGGGCGCACAUGAUAUCAAUCUAAUGGCAAUUAUAUCAUCUAAAAUCCAAAACCAAGAGUCUCCCAUUUUCCCGUUCUCUACUCUGUUCAUAUUAUCAUAACUUCGAAGAUUGCAAGGCAGCCGCAGAUCCAGCGCAAUCUCUCAGAUCUUUGCUCCUUCCUCAUUGCAGUUAGUCAAAAGAUAAACAGAGGUGUCCCAUGUCAACAAGAAGGUAAUCAUAAAAGAACAACAGAAUUGUAAAACAUAUUUUGUUAUAGAUGAAAUGAUAUGAGCAUCCAUGUAUCUAUCCAGCAUUUAGGACACCGCAAUAUAUUCAUAUGAAACGUAAAACGAUUUAAUAUCAAUUUUCUUAAGGAGACUGAGCAGGUUGUCUCGCAAGUGGCGCAUUAGUAUUGUAACGUCUGUGGGGUCUUACAUUAUCCACAAAAAUAACUCGUCCAUCUAGUAAAUUAGAGAAAAAUGAUGCAAUUUCACCUUCCCACUCAUGUCUGCCAAGGCUUUUUGGGCUUCCUCUUCUGUACGGAAAGUCACAUACCCGUAACCUUUUGAUCUGUUCUUACCUUUAUCCAUUAUUAUGGUAGCUGCAAAAAGAAAAGAAUCGGAUAUUAGAAAACAGUGAAGAGGGAACAGGGGUUGAGACUUAAAAUAGAAAUAGACCAAACCCUCAGUGACUUGGCCAAAUUGUGAAAAAGCAUCAGCUAACAUUCCUUUAGUGGUUGAGAAAGAUACGCCUGCAAAGGAUGCCAGUUAAUUUUAUCAUAAUUAGAUGGUAAGAUUGCAAAUUCUGCAGCCAAAGGCAGUACGCAACUGAAUGAAGGAAAUCAAAUAUGAACAUGUUUUCAAUCUCAAAAUAUGAAGAGUAGCAGAAGUAACUUGUGAAACAGUUAUAAGUUCAAGGGAAUUAGAUGAUGGCAUGGUUGAAUUUUAUAAAUAUUUGAUAUUUUGGACCGAACAGGGCAAACAGAUGGAUCCAGAUAAUUAAGAAAAACAUCAAUUCCAUGCAACCAAAUUAGUGUGGACAAUGCAAUUGCCUUUCCCUAUGAGAGUAGAGGGCCUAAAUACAAGCAAAAACCUACUGAUGCAUCUACAGAAGCUCACAUUCACUAGCUGCAUGAUUAAAUCACUGGAUGGUCUCACUAUGCAGUAAAGAAUGAAAUAAUUAACGACCUGAUAAGCUGCAAGGUGAAGAAAAUAUUCACCAGAAAAGUUCAAAAUCAAAUCAACGUGGCUUUGAUUAUGGAAAAAAUGAAACAAUAUGUAGUGAAUGAAUCUUCUCGUAACUAUGCAAGACACAAUCACUUCCCAGGAUCUCAGAUAUAGAUUUACCAAGUUGCACAGAUUGAAGAACGAAUCCAGAAAGAAUCAAUUUAAGACAAGAAUUAAGAGAACUGAAAACAAUAGAAACAAACACAGACAACACAAGAAUCAAUUACGUGGUUCGGUUGCACCAAGGAGGCACAACCUACAUCCACGGGAGAUGCUUUCUGGAGAGCUUUUAUUGAAUAACAAUGGAGGAUCUUUUACGGGGCUUUUACUUAAGAUUACAGAGAACUCAUCUUUCACAUUCUCUGAUAUCUCUCUCUCUCUUAACACGGUUACACACCCGCUCAGCUCACAAACUGAACUACAAGAGCAACGAAUCAGCUAAAUCCAGAUUGCACAGCUUGUUGACACGUUGAGUAACAAACUUAACGAACUGAAUCAAGUUGCCUCGCACGGCUAUCACGUGCAUCACUUAAAGCUUUCCCUUAAACGACAAAGAUGAACUGCCGUUUCAAGCUUAAGAAACAAGUGAUUACACACGUGCUUCAGCCCGUGACUUUUAAGUGCUCUUAUCUUAUAUUGCCAAAACGCUGCCGUUUAGAGCUGAUGAGUUUGAUUCACCAGCAAGCCUCACACAAUAUCAGUUGAGCAACACUAUAAAAUUAUUCAAAGAAAUCUCUAGGUCAGUAUCCAAAUAUGUGGCUCCGUCAGAAGCAGAAAAGUUCAAAACCAAAGUAAGAGGUGAGCAGAAGCGGCCCAGUUUAGUUAUAUGCCAUGCAUGCGAUCAAAAUUGAAUGGUUAAAUUCAGUUGUUUCCAAUAAUUUUAUGUUGUAUCUUUUUUAAGAAUAAAGAAAACUUGCAUUAAAACUAAAAGUAGGGUAAUACCUGAUUUUCUAAAUAGAUUGCAAUGUAAUUUUGAAAAAUAAAACAAUAAUUUACGAAAUGGUUAUAACAUUAUUUUAAUUUUUUUUUCAAAAAGGAAAAACAACAAAAAUAAGAAAUAAAGAAUGAGGGCUACAAACUUUUUAUCUUAAACGGCCGUUAGAUUAUUUGUAAAUGAAAGCAACGGUCAGAUAUUGGUGGCUUAUGGAAACAGGUAAUCAUAAGGACUACGAGUUUUUUUUUUUUUUUUUUGUUCCAUUGAUAUAUAACAAUCGGGAUUCUAUUAAUAUUUACAAUUAGAAUUUUAUCUAACUAUCUUUGAUAAUUCUAAACUAGUACAACCCAAAUUCCUAUUCUCAUAUAAUAUGAAAGAGAGAUAUAUAUUCUUUUCCUCUAUUAACGAAGAGACAUUUUUACUUCUAUCCAAUUUAACUGGAACGAGAAUUAAAUCCUUUCAAUAGUCAGGACUCAGACCUCAUACACGCUAAUUUGAGAGUGUGAGGUGUGACAAUGGGCCAAGAGACCAUUGACAAGUACAAAAGAGUGAUUGCAAUUAAUUCAAACCGCUACACACGCUAAAUUAAGGGUCCAUUUUUGUUUAUUUCAUUGCAAAGUAGUUUGCACAAUUAAUUCAAACCGCUACACACACUAUUGCAUCUUUUGAAAAAGAAAAAUGGAAUAGUUUGAAUUGCCCAUGACAAGAAUGCUUGUGUUGUGAAAAGAAAUCCAAUGGUUUGUAAAUGGGUUGAAUUUUUCGCUUACUUCAAUGACUUGCUUAUGCCCAAUAUAUUACUUUGCACAGUAGUAUUUGGGAUCCUAACAAUCAACUCUUAAUUUGGUCCCAAUAUAUUACUUUAUGAAUGCUUGUGCUGUUUUUUUAAUAUAAAAUAAUUUAUUUAACUAAUCAUAGAAAUAAGAGAGAAAAGGGGGCAUUUGUUGACUCAAAGUCAAUUACAAAUAUUCCAUGCCUAACUUCCACGCACCCUAAAACGGUUUGAUUUGCUUUCAUGCGUUCAUGAAUUUCCAUGAAAGAGAGUGCCUCCCGUCUCUUUACGGACAGUGACUCCAAUUAUGUUAGCGUGACAAAUACAUAACGUUAUUACAUACAAGAAUAAGUUUUUGGAGCCGAGACUUGAGGGAGGUUCUAUCUAAUUCUAAAGAUUGUAACCAAAUCAUUAUCCCCAAUUUUUUUCAGUUAAAUAAAAUAAAAUUUAUGCUUAAAUAUAAAUAAUACUUUGGACAUUCUUGAUAUUUGUCCUUUUAAGAUAAACAGCAACCCAAUUAUCUAUUUGUUUGUCUUUUUUUUUUAGUAACAGUUUGUUAGCAUAAAUAUUUACCUGUGAAGUCGAGGAGGAGAAAAUAUUAGAAAAAUAAAAAGAAAAAAAAAUUAAGGGAGAUAGAAUCAGAUUUUCUUUUUUGAGCAAAGAACAUACGUAAAAAGAUAUUAAAUCUAUUAAGUCUAAUUGUCUAUAACAGUAAAUUGCAUAACGAAUAAUUUAUCAGCGUAAAAUAAAUUUUAUUAUGUUAUGAGUGUUCUGAUUAUUUUCUAGAGUACGAAUUGUCCCAUCGUAAAACAAACGACGAGAAAUAUAACCUUUGCGGUGGUCUUUUACCGUGUCGUUGUAAAAAGGUUAGUAGUUGAGUACUAUUAGUAAUUUAAUGCACCAAUAUUCUUUCUUUGUCUUAUGAAAUUUUUUCGUUAUCCAAGAGUUUUAAUUGAAAUACUUGGCUUCCAGUUAUUUUGUAAAGCUGUUGAAAACUACCACAGUAAUUUUUAUUUGAGGGCCAAUGUUUAGCGAUUUGGGGUCAAUUCAAAGUCAACUAACGUGUAAAACAUGAUUUCCUUUCAUGAACUUCCAAGAAAGAAAGGAGACCAUUCACCUUCUUCGUGACAACAAAUGAUGUUGAUAUGACAAAUACAAACGCUAUUACAGUAUAAGACCGAGACUUGAUAAAUUGUUAAAUUACAUGUCAUUUUCUUGUUGACUAAAUUGGAAGAAAAAAAUUAAAAUAAAAUAAAAUUGUAAUCAGGGUGAUGUGUGGAAUAUAUUGAAAUAAAUAAAUGGAGAAGAGAAAUUCGUUGAUCAAUAUUCAAGAACUCAUCCAAAGUGACCGUUAAAGUCUGGAGGUUCCGUAUGAUUAGCAUUUAUUUUUAAUUUUUUGGCUUAACAUCAUAUGUAGUCAUUGGUCGUGUGAUCUAGGACAGGUUUAGAAAUCUUUUUUUUUAACUUCCGUAUUCUUAUUAUUUAAUUAGUUAUAGGAUUUUUUAGUAUUUGAGUAGUGAUCGCAUGUCUCCUAAUCUAAAAAUAUGUUUCUACGAGUACAAAUAAAAACUAAGAUUUUAACAACCUUUUAUACUAAACCCUAAAAAUACAUGAAUUUAUCAAAAUAAAUAAAUUUGAAUUGGUAUGCCAUAAUAAAAAUUUUACUUGCCAAAACAAAUUAAAAAAAUGUGACGCUUAAAUCAAAUGUUGACAAAAAUAGACAAAAAUCCAACAAGAAUCUCAAAAAUAAGAAAGAUAUCUUCAAACAAAAAUAAAAGCGCUCAAGAGAAAUUUGGCGACGAUCUGCUAAUCCAUAUUAAAAAUGUCACUUUGACUCACACUCUUUUCCUCGAGAACUUCAGAAUGAUAUAUUAUGAGCCUAAGACAAAUAGCUAUUGCUCAAGUUAUGGCCUUAUGAAUACAUCUUACUCAAUGGCCAUCCUAAAUCAAUAGAGCAACUUGGACGUGUCGAACAUGUUUGCAUUCAAAUUUAGGUAAAAAUCUAUUCUUAUUGAAGGUAUAUAUAGGUGCCUGUGAAGUCUCAUACCGGAUAUAAUGUGAAAGCAAAUCAUGAAUUUAAUCAUUCAGCCAAUUAUUAGUGUGUACGUAUGGUAGGGAUGGCAAAAACCCCGACCGUAGGUAUAGUAUUACCCAGAUUUGGCCUAAUCAUUUUUUUUUAACACCUAGACUUUUUCAAUCAGAGCUUAAAAACCUAUAAUAUUAUAUAUAUUUUUAAUUUAUUUUAUAAUUUUAUAUUUUCAAAUUUUAUUUUAAUAAAAUUAGACUUGAAAAUAUGAAUUUUAAAUAUUUAAAACUUUAAAUAUAGAUAAUAAGUGGACCAAAUGAACAAAAUAAUAGAUAUUUUAUAAUAUUCUUCAUAAAAAUCCAAGUUUUGAGCUGGCCCAUAAGCUUGUGUGGUGAAGUCUGGGAACCCGCGUUGCCCAAGGUUCCGUCAGAAUCCAGGCUGUGCAGAUAUUUAUGACAUCCCAUAUGGACGGAGAGGAAAUAUUUUCAGUUGACUGAAUUAAAUAAAAAUAUAUUACAAUCAUAUUAUAUAUUAACAGAAAAAAUAAAAAGAAAUGAAGAAAAACGUAUGCAAGACUUAGAGAAGUCAAUUAAAAGCUGGGAGUAUCAUCAGUUCAAUUGGUUAUAAAUAGCGUAGAGCCAUCCUCUCGUUGUUGCAGAACUGAAGGAAAGAGAGACAUAAAGAGUGUGUGUAGGUGAUUAUAAUUAAGAAGAUAUAAUGUGUGGUUCAAAAAGAGUGUGGGUGAGUGAGUUGAUUUUCAUAUUAUUAGUAGUAAAAGGGUGGUGGAGUGAAGGAUGUUUGGAGCAAGAGAGGUCUGCUCUCCUCCAACUCAAACAUUUCUUCAAUGGUGAUCAACGUCUUCAAAACUGGGUAGACGCAGGAGAUGAUGAGAAUUAUUCAGAUUGUUGUCAGUGGGAAGGGGUUGAGUGUAAUAACACCACUGGCAGAGUGAUUGAAUUACAUCUAGGAUAUACUCGGAAUUGGGAAUCAGCAGAGUGGUAUAUGAAUGCCUCUCUCUUUACUUCCUUUCAACAAUUAGAGUCUCUUGAUCUAAGUUGGAACAAUAUAGCUGGUUGUGUUGAAAAUGAAGGUCCUUAAUUUACUCUAUUUUAGUUCUUCCUCGUAAUUUCUUACAUUUAUCUGAUCCCUUUGGGCUUUUGUUUAAUUUGUACAUGAUACAAUAACAUUUUUUUUAGUUUUUAUUUUUUAUUUUUUGGCAGGUCUAGAGAGGCUAUCAAGGUUGAACAACUUGAAGUUUCUUUAUUUAGACGAUAACCACUUCAACAACAGCAUCUUUUCAUCUCUAGGUGGUCUUUCAUCACUCAGACGCUUAUCAUUGGUUGAUAAUAGAUUGAAUGGAAGUAUUGAUAUUAAAGGUAAGCAAGCUUCAUCCCUUCUCCCGUGUCCCAUCUUUUGUGGAUCUUAUUUCAUUGACCGGCUGGAAGUAUUGAUAUAAGAUCUGGCUAAACUCUUGCUAGUUUAAGCUUCAAGGAUUUAAAUAUUAUAAAAAUAGGUUUAAGAAAUUAUCAAUAUAUGCAAUUUUCAAUGCUUCUCAUAAUCAGACACAAUUCAAUCUAAUUAUUUUGUAUGUCCUGUCUUCAAAAGUAAAGAAUUGUACACUAAAUGGAAAUCGACAUCGUAGCUUUUUAUUUUUUCUAAUGCUCUUUUUUCGUUAACAAGUUUAUAUCCUAAGAGGGAUUGGAUUAAAAAAAAAAAAAAGUUUUGAUGUUCAAGGUAGGCCAUAAUAACCUGCAUGUUAUUUGUCUGCCUGUAUCUAAAUUUGUGCACUGAAUUUAGUAUUUUGGUUAUUGUGAAGGGAUCAGAUAUUGGCUUCCAUAGACCAACUUGUAUUUAGUUAAUUAAUUAAUUAACUACAUUUAGUAUUUAACAAAUUAAAAUUUAGUGUUUAAUCUAUUUUAAUUUUUUUAAGAAAAAAGAAAAAGAUAUAGCAGUAGGUAAAGCUAAAAUAAAUUUUAAUUCCUUACAAAUUUAAAUUCAUGGUUGUCAGCUAAAUAUACUUGCUUAAAGCCACUUAGUCGAGCCCUUUGAGAGCUGCUUUAAAUUUUUCGGAUUAGCCAUAUUCUUUUCUUAUUAAUAAAAAUCUUUUCGUUGAGAUUUAACAUAAAAAAGGAGAAAAUAAGUUAUUUAAUUAACUCUGUUUUAAGUGUUGGAAUAAAUACAGGACUGGAUUCCUUGAGUAACUUGGAGGAGAUGGACAUGAGCGACAAUGCAAUCGAAAAUCUAGUGGUUCCUAAAGGUAUACAAAAUGUUCAAAUAUUAAUAAUUUGGAGGACAAUUUAAUUGAUUUGAUUAGGGAAUGCCCAAUGACACUUACCCAAAAUAAUUUAAUCCGAAAUUGUAUCUCAAAUAGAUUACAGAGGUUUGAGGAAGUUGAAUACCUUUUAUUUGGAAGCAAGGUGUUGCAAUCAAUAAAGAAAUUCGUUGGUAAAUAUUCAAGGACUCAUCCAAAGUGAUCAUUAAAGUCUAGAGGUUUGCUCUCCUCCAAUUCAAACAUUUCUUCAAUGAUGAUCAACGUCUUCAAAACUGGGUAGACGCGGGAGAUGAUGAGAAUUAUUCAGAUUGUUUUCAGUGGGAAGGGGUUGAGUGCAACAACACCACUGGCAGAGUGAUUAAAUUAUAUCUAGGAUAUGCUCGGAAUUGGGAAUCAGCAGAGUGGCAUAUGAAUGCUUCUCUGUUUACUCCCUUUCAACAAUUAGAGUCUCUUCAUCUAAUUGGGAACAAUAUAGCCGAUUGUGUUGAAAAUGAAGGUCCUUAAUUUACUCUAUUUUAAUUCUUCCUCAUAAUUUCUUACAUUAAUCUGAUCCCUUUUGGCUUUUGUUUAAUUUGUAGGUGAUACAAUAAAAUUAUUUUUUAUUUUUUGUCAGGUCUAGAGAGGUUAUCAAAGUUGAACAACUUGAAGUUUCUUCGUUUAGAAUCUAACUACUUCAACAACAACAUCUUCUCAUCUCUAGGCGGUCUUUCAUCACUCAGAAACUUAUCAUUGGCUAGUAAUAAAUUGAAUGGAAGUAUUGAUAUUAAAGGUAAGCAAGCUUCAUCCCUUCUCCCAUGUCCCAUCUUUGUGGAUCUUAUUUCAUCGACCAGCUGGAAGUAUUGAUACGAGAUCUAGCUAGACUCUUGCUAGUUUAGGCUUCAAGGCUUUGAAUAUUAUAAAAAUAGGAUUAAGAAAUCAUCAAUAUAUGCAAUUUUCAAUGCUUCUCAUAAUCAGACAGAAUUCAAUCUAAUUAUUUUGUAUGUCCUGUCUUCAAAGGUAAAGAAUUGUACACUAAAUGGAAAUCGACAUUGUAGCUUUUUAUUUUUUUCUAAUGCUCUUUCUUCGUUAACGAGUUUAUAUCCUACGAGGGAUUGGAUUAAAAAAAAAAAAAGUUUUGAUGUUCAAGGUAAGCCAAAAUAACAUGCAUCUUAUUUAUCUGCCAAUAUCUAAAUUUGUGCAUUGAAUUUAGUAUUUUGUUUAGUGUGAAGAGAUCAUUUAUUGGCUUCCAAAAACCAACUUGUAUUUACUUAAUUAAUUAAUUAAUUAACACCAUUUAGUAUUUAACAAAUUAAAAUUUCGUGUUUAAUUUGUUUAAUUUUUUAUUUUUUGAAACAAGAAUAAGGUAUAGAAGUAGGUAAAGUUGAAAUAAAUUUUUAUUCCUUACAAAUUUAAAUUCGCCAUUGUCAGCCAAAUAUACCUACUUAAAACCACUCAAUCAGGCCCUUGGCAUCUGUUUUUUAGGUUUUUCUAAUUAGCCGUAUACUUUUUUGCUUAUUAAUAAAAUUCUUUUGCACCAAGAUUUAAAAAUAAAGGAGGAGAAAAUAAGUUAUUUAAUUAACCUUGUUUUAAGUGUUGGCAUAAAUACAGGACUGGAUUCCUUGAGCAACUUGGAGGAGCUGGACAUGAGCUUCAAUGCAAUCGACAAUCUAGUUGUUCCUAAAGGUAUACAAAACGUUCAAAUAUUGAUAAUUUGGAGGGCGGUUUAAGAGAUUUGAUUAGGGAAUGCCCAAUGACUUACCCAAAAUAAUUUAAUCCGAAAUUAUAUCCCAAACAGAUUACAAAGGUUUAAGGAAGUUGAAUACCCUUCAUUUAGGGGGAAGGGAAAAUGCAAUGAUAGAUGGAAGACAGGUGUUGCACUCAAUAGGAUCACUGUCGUCCCUCAAAACACUUUACCUUUUGUAUACCAAUUUUAUGGGAACAGUAGUUAAUCAAGGUAAGUAAAUCUUUUAUCUCGAAAAUAAUUGAAUUAAUAUAUAUAGCUAAAAUUUAUUGUUUCUACUUCUUUCUAAAUAGAAUUGCACAAUUUCACCAACUUGGAAGAAUUGAUAUUGCUCGAGUCUUAUCUCCAUGUAAGCCAGCUUCUACAAAGUAUCGCAUCAUUCACUUCGUUAAAGUAUUUGUCAAUGCAACAUAGUGUACUCAAGGGUGCCCUGCAUGGUCAAGGUAAAUUACGGGUAUAUGAAGCGUUUGUGAUAUUAAUUCGAUGAUAAUUCUUUCUUUUCAAGUUAAGUUUUUCUUGUAAAAUAAUUUUUUUCUUUUUAAUUUUAUAUAUUUUCACUGUCCAAUAGUUCUAUCUUCUCUAAUUUGCUGGAUUCUUGAUUAAGGUUAAUGAAAUUUUAGUUCUGUUAUGUUAAGAAUAUUUCGAUCGCUUAAAAGAGUAAAGAAAAAUAAGUAAAUUAACCCAAAAAAAAAAGAAAAGAAUAGGACCGGAUUAUCCUUAUUCCCUUGCAUUAUGUGAUCAAUAUCAAAAUUAUAACCAUUUCUUGUUUAUUGCUUGUAGAUUUUCGUAAAUUCAAGAAUUUGGAACGUCUGGACAUGGGUGGGGCGCAGGUUGACGUCAACACCAAUUUUCUUCAAAUUGUCGGCGAAUCGAUGCCUUCUCUUAAGUUUUUAUCACUGACAUAUUCAAGUCUUAAUAAAAACACCAUUCUUGAUCAAGGUUAAUUAAUGAUUCUCCGUCUCCCUCUCUCGCAUCAUAACUAAAUUUAAUUGAAAAUAUCUAUAAUGUGAGCUAUUUAUAAACUUAAUGAAAGAUGAUAAGGAGCCAUAAUAAUGACAAAAACAACUGUAAAAUUUUACAGUUAUUUUGUUGCCAUUACGUCAGAUUCUACUGUUCAACUAUCAGUGAUCAAACUUAAUUUUUAAUAUGUACUUUAAAGAUUUUAUGCAAUUAUUUAUCUAUGUGUACUGAAGGAUGAAUUAUAUAUUUUUCAGGACUUUGUCAGUUAGUGCAUCUGUACGAGUUAGACAUCGGCCGUAACGAUUUGAGAGGUAGCUUGCCAUGGUGCUUGGCAAACAUGACAUCCCUUCAAGUGUUAGAUGCCUCUUCUAAUCAACUUACUGGAAACAUCUCCCCAGGCCUUUGUGAGUUGGUGCUUCUGAGAGAGUUAUACAUUGAUAACAAUGAUUUAAGAGGUAGCUUGCCUUUGUGCUUGGCAAAUUUGACUUCCCUUCGAGUAUUAGAUGUCUCUUACAAUCAACUUACUGAAAACAUCUCAUCUUCCCUCAUGCAUCUAAUAUCUAUAGAAAAGCUCAUACUUUCAAAUAAUCACUUCUUCCAAAUCCCUAUUUCACUUGAACCACUUUUCAAUCUCUCAAAACUCAAGACUUUCGAUGGUGAAAUAUGCACAGAAACUGAGUCACAUUAUAAUUCUUUGACCCCAAAAUUCCAACUGACUUCUAUCUCACUGUCUGGUUACAUAGAUGGUGGCACAUUUCCUAAAUUCUUGUACCAUCAGCAUGACUUGAAGAAUGCUGAUCUCUCACACCUUAACUUGAGUGGAAAAUUUCCAAAUUGGUUGGUAGAAAACAAUACGAACUUAGAGACGCUUCUUCUUGCCAACAACUCUCUUUUUGGGUCAUUUCGGAUGCCAAUUCAUUCCCACCAGAAAUUGACAAUAGUGGAUGUCUCCAACAAUUUCUUUCAAGGCCAUAUUCCGGUGGAAAUCGGAACAUAUCUGCCAGGUUUAAUGGAUUUAAACUUAUCUAGAAAUGCUUUCAACAGUAGCAUUCCCUCUUCAUUUGCUGAUAUGAAAAUGUUGAAAAGGUUGGACAUAUCCUACAAUCAGUUGACUGGUGAAAUCCCUGAGCGCAUGGCCACGGGUUGCUUCUCUUUGGAAAUUCUUGCAUUGUCAAACAACAGUUUGCAAGGUCAUAUAUUCUCUAAAAAAUUUAACUUGACAAAUUUAAUGAGGUUGCAGUUGGAUGGUAAUAAUUUCACUGGAGAGAUCCCAGAAAGCUUAUCUAAGUGCCGUUUGUUAGGAGGACUAUAUCUGAGUGAUAAUCAUCUCUUUGGUAAGAUUCCAAGAUGGUUGGGUAAUUUUUCAGCUUUAGAAGAUAUUAUAAUGCCCAAUAACAAUCUUGAAGGACCAAUACCAAUCGAGUUUUGUCAGCUUGAUUCUCUGACGAUUUUAGACCUUUCAAACAAUGCUAUUUUCGGAACCUUACCAUCUUGUUUUAGUCCAUCAUUUAUCGAACAAGUUCAUUUGUCAAAAAACAAGAUAGAAGGACGGCUGGAAAGUAUAAUCCAUGACAGCCCUUAUUUGGUGACAUUAGAUCUUAGUUAUAACCGCUUCCACGGAAGUAUUCCAAAUUGGAUUGACAUACUUUUUCAGUUAAGCUACCUUCUUCUAGGUAAUAAUUAUAUUGAAGGAGAAAUACCAGUUGAAUUAUGCCAGUUGAAGGAAGUGCAGUUGAUUGAUCUUUCUCAUAAUAAUCUAUCUGGUCAUAUUCCUCCUUGCUUGGUUAACACUGCACUCAGUGAGGCAGUAGCUCCAACUUCUAGUUCGUGUGGUCGAGCGUCUGGCUAUGCACGUCCAUGUGAGAAAAAUACAAGUGGACCUCCGAUGGGAAAGGAAGAAACUGUACAGUUCACAACAAAGAAGAUGUCCUACUAUUAUCAAGGAAGAAUUUUGACGAGUAUGUCUGGGAUUGAUCUUUCUUGUAACAAACUGAUAGGUGAAAUUCCUACUCAAAUUGGAUAUCUUACUAGGAUUCAUGCACUAAAUCUAUCUCAUAACAAUUUGACGGGCACAAUCCCGACAACAUUUUCAAACCUGAAGCAAAUUGAAAGCUUGGACCUCUCCUACAACCUAUUGCAUGGGAAAAUCCCUCCUCAACUAGUUGCGCUAAAUACAUUGGCAGUCUUCAGAGUAGCAUACAAUAACUUAUCAGGUAAAAUUCCAGAUAGAAUUGCACAAUUUUCAACUUUUGAGGAAGAUAACUAUGAGGGGAAUCCUUUUCUUUGUGGAUUGCCACUGUCUAAAAGUUGCAAUGAUAGUGGAUUAUCAGCAGUGACACCGGAAGCUUACAUUGAAGAUGAAGAAGGUGAUUGUUUCAUUGACACGAGCAGUUUCCUGAUCACUUUUACAGUAUCUUAUGGAAUUGUUAUAAUAGGAAUUAUUGGAGUUUUGUACAUAAACCCCUAUUGGCGACGAAGAUGGUUUUACCUUGUUGAAGUAUGUAUGAUCUCUUGCUACUAUUUUGUAGUAGAUAAUCUUAUUCCUAGAAGAUUCUAUCGUGGAUGGAUGUAAUUUCCUUACAUUACAACUUAUAUGUAAUUUUUAAAGAAUUUUCUUUUGCAUGCAUGGAAUAGCAACUCAAUAAAAGUAUUUGAUGCAAAUUGUCCAAGAACAACUUAGUAAUUUCAUUGCAACUAUUCGGUUGUAUAUAUACAGUUAAUGAAAUUUUUAACCAUUCGCAGAAUACCCUUAGGAAUUUCUUUAGAUGGCGGCCAAAAAGAGAUUCGGGGCUCUACACGGUCUGGAUGAAGAUUAACUUAAUGCCCUCUGGAUUAUGUGUAAGUUCUCUUUUAAAUUUAAGGGUUGAGAUUUCAGGUCCGGAUGAAAGUUGAAUGCAGGUGACGAGACUUCACUGGGACAAACUUAAAAUAAAAAAUUAUAGUCCACAAUAAGUGUAAUACCCUACCCCUGGUUUUUGACCAUGCUGACCACCCAUAUAUAUAUAUAUAUAUAUAUAUAUAGAGAGAGAGAGAGAAGUAAAGAGAGAAGAGACGAGAGAGAGAGUGAAAGGAGUUGACCCGAGUUUGACCCGAAUCCGACCCGGAACCCGCGACUUUGACCCAGCGAUUUCUCCCAUUUCCGGCCACCGUUCCGGGCAAGCUUGGUACCGAUUCGAAGCUUGAGAGACGAGCUACGUGUCCAUGCCAUCCUUGCCGCCGGAAAACGAUCGGAAAGCCACCGAUCGAAGCUUUGAAGUUCCGCGGAAUCACCGGCUCGAUUCGCCGGUUUCCGGUGAAGCCAUCACUUGGGUUUGGUCCUUACCUUGCCCUCUGCCAUUUCCGACUAACCACUGACGCCGGGGACAUCGUUUUAUCGGUGAUCAGCCGUUAGAGGAUUCACGACUUCGGGAGCUCGAUUCGGAGCCAUCGCCGCGCGUGGGAGGUCACCACCGCCAUCAUUGGACUCAGCGUGGCUUGAACUUUCAGUUCUGAGCUUCCCGUCGCCGUCGGAUGAAUUCCGGUGACCGUUGACCGGCAAGGGUAUUUCGGUGAUUUCACAGUCUAAGGGCAAUUUUGUAAUUUCAGAUUUUGUGGGUAUUUUCGUAAUUGCAUUGAUUGAGGAUAAAGUUGGUAAUUUAUGAUUUUGAGGUUAAUUUGGUAAUUUUGAUAUGGGGGUAUUUUGGUAAUAUUGAAUUCAAGGGUAUUUUGGUAAAUUUUGUAAUUUGAGGGUAAAUAUGUAAUUUGUGGAAUCAAUGGAUAAUUGGUAAUUUUAAGUGAGGGCAGUGAGGUAAUUUGAGAUUACGAUGGUAACUCGGUAAUUUAAGUCGUAAAGGAUAUUUUGGUAAUUUUACGUUCCGAGGGUAAUUUCGUAAUUUCUGACAUUGUGGUUAUUUUUGUGAUCUGAAUUGAGGACUAUUUAGUAAUUGAAGAUUAUGAGGAUAAGUUGGUAAAAUAAUGAUGUUGGGGGCAUUUUGGUAAUUUUGGCAUGUAGGGGUAUUUCGGUAAUUUUGUGCAUGCGGGAAUAGUUUAUUGUUAAUAGAUAUUCGUUUCGAGAUUUAUUAUAUAAAAUUGGUUGUAUUUCAAUUUACGGAAAAUGAUUAUGGCGUUUCCUUGAUUAGGAGGAUUCGCGAACGAGAAUCAACCCGCGGACGUUGUUGGCACCAAAUCUGGAUAUUGUCACUCUGAGUGGAAUAUACGAAACUUAUUUUUAGAGUUAAUUAUGAUAGUAAAGCAUGUUUGCGGAAUAAGUAUUUUAAAUGUUCUGAUUUAAUGAUUUCUUGAAAUGGAUUUAAUGUGAUUUCCUCGAAAUGGAUUUAAUGUGAUUUCCUCGAAAUAGAUUUUAUUCAUGUGUUGAUAUUUUAUUAAAGUGUUUGGUCAAUGAUUUUGCGUAUCCAUUUUGAAUAACGCAUGAUAUUAUUUGAAAAAUAAGAAAAGUGGAUUCAAAUGUGGUAUGAUUUAAAAUAUGGUUAAGAGGAUUGUUUUUGAAAUCAUUAGACAGUACCCUUCCCCUCCAGAUACAGUGAUAUAAAUGAUAUGAGAUGAGAGGCCUUUGGGGUUCGUCUGAACACACAUAGAGGCUUUGGGCCGUGUGUUUGAGCGUUUUUGCCUUUAUAUGCAUGCAGUACAGAUAUUGAGUUACAGUGAUACAGAUAUGGGCUACAGACAUAUAUUGAGUACAGUGAUACGGAUAUGGGAUACAGAUCAGUUAUUGAGAUUCAGAGAUACAGUGAUACAGAUAUGAGAUACAGACAGUUGAGAUACAGAUGAGAUACAGGCCUUUGGGGCCCGUCUGAGUACACACAGAGGCUUUGGGCCGUGUGCUUGGGCGCUAUUGUCCUUUGGGGACUAGAUUAUGCAUGCACAGAUAUGAUGAGAUAUGAAAUAGUAUUUCCCUAUUUAUCCGUGUAGCUCUGGGGUGUGACGUUACCCAGAUAGUACGUCAUUGCCCGUCCGUUGAGGUCCGUAUAUGACGAGAUUAUUUCCCUGGGUACUUGUUUGAUGAUAGUUUUGGUAUUUAGUAUUUGAUAUGAUAAGUAUGGGUAAUUUUUAAAAACCUCCCCUGAGGUUUGAGGCUGUUGCAAGUAGAUGGUGAAAAUCAUUUUAUUUGUAAAAGACCCCCUACCGUCAGUUAAAAUUUUUAUUGACUAACUGUUGACUUUAAAAAGACAAUAUUACCGCCAAUAAUAGUUUACGUCAGUUAAAAUUUCCUUAAAAUCUUAAAAAAAUAAAAUUACAAACUUAAAAAAAUUAUAUUUUUAUAUCAAAUAAUUAAGAUUUGUAAUUUUAUUACAAACUUUAAAAAAUUACAUUUUUAUAUCAAAUAAUUAAGAUUUGUAAUUUUAUUACAAACUUAAAAAAAAUUAUUUUAAGAUUUGUAAUUUUAUUUUUUUAAGAUUUUAAGGAAAUAUCAAUAACUUAAUCAUGGUGAAAAUAAUUGUUUUAAUUACUUAUGAAAUUGUAAAUAUUUGGAAUUGUAAAUAUUGGGGGUAAUAUUGUCUUUUCAAAGUCAACAGUUAGUCAAUGGAAAUUUUAACUAACGGUAGGGGGCCUUUUACAAAUAAAAUAAUUUUCACCAUCUACUUGCAACAGCCUCAAACCUCAGGGGAGGUUUUUAAAAAUUAUCCUGAUAAGUAUUAUGUUUCCAUCGAUUUUAUGCAGAUUUAUGUAAUAUAGUAUUUCAGUGACUGAUUUGAAUUAAAUAAGUUUAUAUAAGUUCUUAUGAUAUUCUGAUGAAAUUGAUUUGAGAAAUUGAUUUGAGAAAGAUUAAAUCAUUUUAAAAGAAUUGAUUUUUUAAAAUUACUAUCCACUCACUGAGUUCACUGAGUUUUAUACUCAUUCCGCUUUUAUUAUAUUUUCUUCCCCCCACAGGAGAUUUGCAGGUACAUCAGUCGACCUAGUAUCGAAUGUUAGUUUUGAAAUUGUUGCCACGUGAUGGUGUUAGGAUGUCAUAGAGUUAAUACUGUGAUAUUUAGGAUAUUGCGAAUUGUAUUUAUUUAUUAUAUUUUGUAAUUAAGGAUAACCAUUGUAUUUUUUAAUAUUAGAAUGACUUGGGUGGUACUUGGUAUGUUGACUUGAGAAGUUGGUUAUGGAAGAUGGUUGGAUAUUGAAUUAUUUUAGGAGUAUUGUUUUGUAAUUUGCAGGUUUGAGAAUGUUAUAUUUAUAAGGGAGAUUCUGCCGAAAUUUUUAUAGAAUUCGUACUUAAUAUCGAUUCAAUUUUACGAGUUUAGAUGGACUUGCCCUGGGGGUGCGGGGCGGGUCGUUUCAGUAAGAGCAAUGGGUAGUUUAACUUAUGGAAGAUAACUAGAACUUGGAAUAACUAUCCGAUCUGCACCUCUUUAUUUGUUAUAUGCUAGUGGGGAUUUUAGGUAGCGUUUAUCGCCAGGGGAGUUACAGUAAUCGAUUCAUAUAUCCUCCUUUACUUCCGAGGGUAACCCAGCUCUAUACAAGAACAACAAGAGGGUUCAAUUAAGAACUCUCUCUCUUCCUCACAACAAAUACACCUAACAGACCAAACCGUGCGCAAAAUAAUUCUAUUCCGUUCUAUUCAUGUCAUGAAUCCCACAAGUCAAAAACUAUCGCAACUCAUUUUGUUUAAUCAGCAUAACUAAAUUGUGGGUAUAAAUGAGCAAACUUUUGAAGCCUGUAACUUAUAAUAAACGCAAACCCAAAAAUGACAUUUAAAUCCUCAUCAUCCCUAACAAAAAGAAACAGGAAUAAUUAUAUACCAAUAAUUUUUCCACAACAAAUACUGAUUUGAGUUGAAACACUAUACAAACUGGGUCCUAUACACUUGCAGAAAGCUACACAGUAGAGAAAAUCUAGCAGCUACAUAAUGGUAUCACUUUCAGCUGGUCACGAAUGGUGUGCAUUCAGCAGUGCUCGACAGACCAUGUCUACGAAUUGAUUGUCCUAUUACAUAUAAAAGCUGGUUAGAUAUACAAGGAAAAAAUUAAUAAUUGAAAAUGCAUCACAAAAAUUAAGAGUAUCGCAUUAGUGUUUGCACUCUAAGCAUGGCAAAGUGGUGGGGGGUUCAUUAUUUUGAAGACUGGGAUAAGUGAAAAAUAGUUCAAUCCACUGAUGAGCAUAAAUUUAUUUACAUGUCAAUUUAGAUAUCAUCAAAAAGUAAACAGUAAUUCACAGUCACUUAAAAGAGUGGACAAAAUGCAUACCAUGAAUGCAUUUUUGUACGUAAGAAAUCCAAAGAAUAUUUCUGAUAAUACAAAUAUGCUGGCUUUAAAUCUGCUGUCAAUAAGCAAUUAAGAAGAUUAUACCAGCUGCAUGGUAAAGUUCCCCUACUCUUAAUAACAGUAAACAUGAACAUGUCAGAUGCAAUUCUAGCAUCGACCAUUUGCAUAACCAGAAAUCCUAACCUGAACAAGCACCAGAAGUGCCUCCCGGACUUUCUCCUUGCUGAUAAAUGGUCCACAGUUUGAAGUAAGAGCAGGAGUAAGAGAUGGUGGAGGGAUUGGUGGUGGAAAAGGUUGAAGCACUGGGGCACCACAUGGGCGUUGUAGACUCAAGGGAGUAUUAAGUGGCGGAGCUGUUGGUGUAGAUGAAGAGACAGGCUGCAUCAUCCGCGCAGAGGAGGAUGGAGGAGGAACAAAGAAUAAGGAAGGCUUUACAAGAUUAGGUGUCCAGUUGCCAGAUUCAGAGGUGUCAAUGGGUGGCAUUAAAGGGGUAGGUGCUGAUAGAGGCGGGGAUGGUAUUUGCAAGGUUGGCACGAUAGGAUAAGCAACACUGGCGGGAUGAGAAGGUACAGAAAUAGUUGUAUCAGACUGCUAAGGUUGUGCAGAGAUUGCUGCAUUAGAAGUACUCCCCACAAUCAUAGCUGUCUGUAAUGAUAAGGACAGAUGUCAGAUACAAGGACUUCAUAGAAGUUGAACCUCACACUAAAAAGAAGUGAUAACAUAUGAAAAUAGUAUAUGACUUGCAGCAUUUUUGUGGUAAUGUUGCAUACUUAUGUAGAAACAUAUUAUUUCAAAGAAAACAUACACUGAAGAAGUUCACAAAAGCAGGAUCCUCAGGAACAUCAGCAGCAUUUGAGGGAGUUGACUCUAGAGGACCAUCCAUAACUGCCGUAGUUGGAACAGCUUCCAGUUCCUCAAACUCACUGCAGUUUAACAAUAAAAGGAACUCGAUGACCAAUUUAAGUAACAAUUAGAUGAUAUAAGAGGUUAGGGAAAAUGAUGAGCGGACCCUUAUGGAAGGUGAUUUCACCUUAGCUAAACACGAAAAUAAAAAGAAAUCAAGGCCGACUCCUCGAGUGCAAUGCAAAAAAUAUUUUCCCUCUUCUCUAACUCCUCUUAUUCAAAAUUGCUCAUCAUUGUGCUGUUCUUUGAGUUUUCACUAGAGUAGAGAACGCUAUUCUCCUGUUAAGUGCAGAGGAAAGAGAAGGGCAAGGGCCUGGUAUGACGCUAUUCUAUAGAAAGUGAGAAGGUGAAGGGUUAAAAUAUUUUGCAAUUUGGAGGUGGUGUUUGUUAGUGUUCGUACUUCUGAGUUUAUUACCUCUUUAGGAUCCAUAGAAAUUGCCUCUUGUUUAGCAUGCACUGUGCCUAAGAGUAAGGCGAGCUUGCAGAGUAUCUAUUAUUUAUUUACUUGGAUAUUCAAACAGGACUACCAGCAACCAAACCUGUCCCAGCACACUAAUCCCCAAACAAAACACUCCUUCAAGUGCAAGGAAAGAGUAACGUGGGCAUAUUUAUGGUUCAAGCACUACAAUAACUAAGAAUGUGAUGACUGUCCACAAACACUAUAUCAGAACCUUUUGAACUACAUCACAUGCUCGAAGAUUGUUUUUUCAGUCAUACAUAAAUUAGCCAUAAAAUUAAGGCCAUUAUACAACUAAAAAGAAAGAAAAAUUGUUUGCUACUACAUAUCAAAACUGGUAAUAGAAAUGUAAUAUGGCAGACUUCUUACUUAAACAGAUGAGAGGCUACAAAAAAAAAAUUGUGCAAAUAAAAUAUAUGAUAAAGAGCAUAAUACUUUCUUGGGGGCUAAAAAUAAUAUACAACAUGUAAAAUAUAAAUUGAGCUAUCAUUACCUUUUAGACGUGGCAACUUUCGACUUUUGAGGCACCUUGGAAUAUGCAUUCAGAAUCCUGCAUUUGGAAGCCAAAUAAAUAAUGUUAAAAACAAUUUUACAAUAGAAACAUUAAAAAUUGAUAAAUUACAGUUGCAAUUUAUGUAUGCGAAAAGAUAGCAUCACAUCCAGGGUCCUCCCCUAAACAUGCUUGUAACGAGAAUUAGUCUGCCUCCACUGUUAGCAACUGCUAACAAUAUACAAUAGUAAAAAUCACUCUCAUGAACUCACCAAUACCAGACACCAAUAAGAGUAUGAUACAACUAUUCUAAAUGGAAGAGAAAACCACUGUUUUAUAACUAUGUCGCAUCCAAAGAUAUGUUAGGAGGAUUAAUCCAAAUACCUUCGAACCCAAUUAACAAACUUGAGGCAAAAACCAGGGGCCCCAACUGAACCUUACAAUCUUGAAGGAAGGAGGCUUCUGGCAUUUUUCAGAUAGGUGAGUUACUAGAUCUCCUGCGAAGAGAAUAUCUUUUGCUUUGAACCUCCAUUGAAAUUUCUUUUUCCCUUUUUCUUGUUUUGACUUGGAACUUUCCAGCAUCAUCUAUUUGACCUUUUUUAAAGCUAAAAUAGCAAUCUAUGGGUUGUCAACAUCUUAUCUCCCCUUCCCCCCCCCCCCCCAAAAAAAAAAAAUCAAUGGGUUGUCAAUAAAUAGUGCCUACUCAACUUAUGUUUUCCAAGGGAUGACAAUGUGCAAAUCGACCUAGUAGCCACACUUUUCCCCCACUUUCAACCACCGUUAGGCAACUUUUCUAACCUUUCUUCAUUGCCCACAUCUACAGAACUAUCAUAUAAAGACUACAUUAUUAUUGGGGUAGAGGAAAAAAUACAGACUAUAUUAUUAUAUCUCAUUUUACUAAUUGGAAAAGACACUCAUGAUAAUACAGACCUUAAAAAGCAAUAGCUAGUAACACCCCAUGUACUCCUAUUUUAGCCUUCACUAUCCUAGUAAAAACACAAUUAAGUCUUGCAAAAGAACAUUCACAAGUAAAUUCAACAUUAAAUGAGAUUAGGUAUCCACUGCACCUUCAAUCGAUGACUGGGUGAAUAGCAUGGUCAACCAUCUAGUUCCUGCAGCCCUCCUUGUACCUAUGUUAGUUACAUUUUACAUAUUACGCCACGAAAAUGAAGGAUCACAGCCUGGUAAAGAAAGCCAUUAAUUAAUAGCUUUUGUUUAAAAAGUUCUCAUUUAGAUCUUUCCUAUUCAAUUAAUCAAUGUAAUCCAAAGAGAACUCUUCCAUUUCAAGCAGUGUUAGAAGAUAAUUGCAAAGCCUAAAGAUAAUAUACAAGGACCAAGAUAUCAAUAAAGUCAAAUAGUGAAUGUCAAAUAUAAAAAAUAAAUAAAAUAGUUGAACGUGAUCAUUUACUAUCAAGUUCUGUAAAACUGAAAAUACCAUUAUCCCUGUAGAGAUUCUCAAAAAACUCUUUAGCAAAUCAUUAAAUAGCAAAAAAAAGAACGAAAGUUCAAAAAAAAAAAUGUACAACAUCCAUAUCAGGAGAUAUUUUUCUUCUCAAUAUCAAUAUUUUCUAGCCGUGAAGCAAUUGAAAAGCUUAACACCAAGUGAAUUAUUAAGAAUUCAUCAUUUAAAUUCCCAAAUCGCAAAAUGUUGGUGCAACUAGGAAAGUGCAAAUGCAGUCACUUAACUAACACAAUAAGCACCAAUAGUGAGAAGCCCACUUUGUAUCAAAUUUGAAACAGAUAGAUAGAGGUCAAAAAAUUUAUAAAGACACUCAAUUGAAAGCCUUUCAAGCAGCUUUUGCAUGCAACAAGAGCAAAUCAAAGGCGAUGAGAAUGUAUUCAAAGACUAAUUUACAAUCAUCUAUAGACAUAAAUAUCUUGGAUACCUACUCUCUAUACCUUACUGUCCCACUGAAAAUCAUCAAAUCCCUCCAAACAAAAAUGACAAAAUGUAUAAGAAUUGUGUGGUCAAACUUCAAUAACUUAGCAGCCACAGCAAAAACUUAUGUAGACAUGCAAGCCACUCAAAAUAGUCAUAUUUUUUGCUUUCCAAACACAAGCCACUGUGUAAUGAAUGCUCAUAAAUUGCUACUACCAUGUUUGUUAAAACACGUGAAAACCACCAUAACUAACUCAAUGUAACUGAUGAUCACAUCACAUUCAUGGAAUCACAUAUCUGACAGUAUUAAUUAGUGCAAACUGCAUGCUUCUUGAAACUCCUUAUUUAUCACAUGGGUGCCAUUCCAAUCAACCAAUGAUUCUGAUCUAGUCAGCAAAUUCAACCCACGAGCGAGUAAUACCUCCUAUUGCUUCUUUACAUUUCUCAACAAAAUUCCACAUUCUACCCAUACUUCUGAACUUGAUGCUCCCAUAGACUAAUACAAUAUAAAGAUUUCUUCCCACACCACCCCAACCCCCACCCCUAAAAAACCAAUUUAAAUUCUCAUUGGAUGUACAACUUAUAGUCCAUACCAAAUUGAAAAAUUUGCAAAUAUAGAACCUCAAAGAAUCUGCUUGCGUUCCAUUUUCUACAGCAAGAAAAUUGACCUUUACCACAUGCAAGUCAACAUAUAAAACAAUCAUGUCUUUGUGAGAUGCACAUUUUCAGAUGAAUCUGGAGAGCAAUGAAACCAUAAAAACCUAAUAUGAGAACACCGAGGGCUCCAGAUAUCAUCUAUAGAAUCUUUGGUGCACCCUUGCAUGAUGAAAAAAAUUGAAGGCUUCGUCACCAACUCCCCAGGUUGUUUUGUUCUCCUAUCUCCUAAAUGCACAGGAAAGGCAACCCGUUCUUUUUUCCAAUCUUAAGGGGCACAGAAUGACUCCGGUAUAAAAUAGUCAGUUUCUAUACAAAAAUAACUCCUUUGCACUUGGCAUUGCACAUCUCAAAAUAAAAAGCAUGCAAGGAGGAGAAUAUAAUAGCAUUAAACAAGUUUUAUUAACCAAACUUCAAAGAUGCCAGACAAGGCAAAAAAGGAAUCUGUACAAGCCAGAUUCCAAGAAUAAUAAUUCCAAUAUACAAUUCAAGAAAACAAUAACUAAAACCAUGUUCAUGAGGCCUCAGUAGAAGCAACAUGUAAUAACCAUACUCUAUUAUUUGAAACACAUUUCCAAGUUUGGUUAAGAUUCUAAACUAUUCUCUAUCUGUCAAUUAUUAACAUGUAAAACAUAAUAAUAUACACUUAAACUACUACAGUAGUAAAACCAGUAAAACAACAAUACCUGCUAAAAAGAUUUGCUACCUCUUCACAUUCACGAGCAUUGUAGAACCAAAUCCCAUUUACUUCUUGGGAUGCAUUUCGAUAUAACAAAUACGGAACCUGAACUUCAAACUCAAAAUCUCCCAAAAGAUUUUCCACUAAAUUAUCUGCACAUAUACAAGAUAUUGAAGCUUAUCAGUGCAAAAACAUAUAUAAAAAGACAUGAAGGUUAGAAGACAUAACUAAAACUUAGCAACAACUGAUAAGCACAACAAGACAUGAAAUAUAACACUAGUUGUAAACAAGAUAGACACAUGGUAUCUAAAAAAUUGUACCAACCCCCUCUCCUGAUUGUCAUAAAACGGCCAAUAUUUAACCCUAGACAACAAAAUUGCAAAUACUCUAGCCUCUAUAUUAUUGGCAUAUAAAUAUUUUAGGUUAGGUACAUUAUAUUCUUCGUUCUAAAACCUCAAUUAUUAGCUAGUACUGUGAUAAAAUGAUUCAUCACUGAAAUUAAAACUAGGUCACGUACAAAUAAUCAAAACUGAAAUAGAAGCAACGAUAAACCAACCUGUAUUACGUCGAUUCAUCACAACAAACUGAAAUCGAGGCUGUGUGUUCCUGAAAAUUGAAAAAAAUAAUAAUUUCACCAACUUCAUGUGUAAUACAAUCUCCAAAACACCGAAUAUCAAAUGAAAAAAUGGAAAGCAUAAGAGAGAAAAGAAUCUAAUUUUAUUGACCUUUUGACGACGAACAGAGAUCCUUCAACAUCCUUACGACUCCAUUGGCUGAGAUCGAUGUUGAACUCGUAGAAGGUGACAUAAGCGGCCGUGAUGAGGAUCUCCUCAAUGAAUGGAUCGAUUCGCUGAAGAACUGUCAGGUUUAGGAGUUUUGUGCUCUGCUGGUCCAGAUUAGGCAUCAAUUUUCCGUUCUGCGACAUUUUUCGUAGUCCUUUCGGGCUCUGCCCCGAGCACAAGCCCCAUGGUUUUUCUGUGAGCUCUCUCUUUUGUAAAUAAAGUGUUUGAUGAGAUAGCCGAGAGAGAGUGAAAGAGUUGAACACCCAAACAAGGUGAGGUGAACAGUUUCGGAUUGAGACUCGAGAUUGAUCUUGCUUUAACGUCUUUCAAAUAUUUGGGAAAUAGCAUUUAUUUCUUUCAAUUUCUCUACUUUUUUUUUCCUUUAUGUCAUUUAGACCCAAAAAUUAGAUUUAUUAUAAAUUUAUAAUCAUAUUUUACCCAUUCACUAGUAACCCCUUUUAUUUUUGAAAUUUGUCAAUAUUAAUGUGUUAGAAUAAUGUUAGAAAUCCCAAUUAUUAUCUCAAUGUUUCAAUCAUAACUAAUGUGAUAACUCAUCGGUAACUGCAACAUUAACUUAAUUAUUAAUAUUUAUCAUGAAAUGAUGAGAUUAUUAUUCAAGAAAAAAUUAGUAAACAUCAAUGACUAAUAUAAUGUGACAAUUACAGCUGAAUAUUAGUACAAUAAUUAGGAUUCCUAAAGUUAGUGAUGUAUUAUAAUAUAUGUGUUAUACCACUUUAUGUCUCUCAAAUUCAAUUGAGUAAUUUCAUAUACCUGAGUACCUUUUAUUACAUUAAUUAAUUGGGUCCGCCUAACUUACGCUCAACGUAAGUUACGCUCAGCCCGUCCAAUUUCAUAUAGUCCCCCUAUACUCUAUACUAUUUAUAUUUUAUUCAUAAAUAUUAUAAAUUUUUUGAAAUGUAAAAUUUCAUUUAACCCCCUCUACUCAAUUUUAUUUUAUUAAAACCAUAGAGUAUGAAUUUGCCCCCAUAAUUUUAAAUUCUCAAAAUAACCCCCAUUUAAUUAAAAAUAUAAUUAUUUUUAAAUGAAUUAUAAUUAUAAUUAUAAUUUUAUUAUAAUCAUAAAUAUUUUUUUAAUAGAUUAUUGUUAUUAAAAUAAAAUUUUGUUUAGCCCCUCUACUCAAUUUUAUUUUAUUAAAACCAUAGAGUAUAAAUUCGCCCCCAUAAUUUUAAAUUCUCAAAAUAACCUCCAUUUAAUUAAAAAUAUAAUUAUUUUUAAAUGAAUUAUAAUUAUAAUUAUAAUUUUAUUAUAAUCAUAAAUAUUUUUUAAUAGAUUAUUGUUAUUAUUAAUAACGAUAAUAAAAAAUAUUAUAAUUAAUUAAUUAAUCUAUUAACAAUAAUUAAUAAUAUUUUUAUUAAAUUGUUAGUAAUAAUAAUAAUAAUUAAUGAUAAUCAACAUAUUUAUGAUUAUAAUAAAAUGGAAUAAACACUGAGUCUAUAUUUAUAUAGGAGACUCUUUUAUAUUUCUAUACAUUUUAAUUUCAAGUACUUUUAGGAUUUUUUUGUUACCUUCAUAAAUAAUGAUUUUGUAGGCAUCUCAUUAUUAAACGGUCAUUUUUAAGUGCUUCUAGUGUUGGGAUCGUAUUUAAUUGUGCUUUUCAGCUUUCUUGUCAUAACAACUAGGGUAUUACUCUUUCUCCAUAUCAAGCUUGAAGUUCUAAAUUUCAGUUUUAUCUUUUAUUUGAUGUUUUAUAAGUUCUAAAUUUCAGCUUUCUCUCAUAACAACUACGAACGUGUUAUGGUUUAGCUCAGUGACACAAAGGACAGUUUUCAACAAUUGAUCCUAGGAAGAUGCCCAUAGCUUGUUGUGCCAAAAAUAGAAAAUCUAAGAUGCGAAAAAAUUUUGUUGAGAUUCAUUUUUCAUCCUGAUGUUACAGCUGGCCUUUUUUUUUUUUUUUUUUGGCAGAGAAUAAUGCUUAUGUGAUUUCUGAACUUGGUUAUUGUUGAAAUGAGCUGAAAAUGAGCUGGAAAUGUGUUUGGUUAAUGAGAAAGAGAGCGAGAAAAUGAAAGAAAUCUAUUUCACUUUUUAUUUAUCAGAAUGAUUACAUUCACAAUGAAUCUAAGCUGAUAUUUAUACUUAAAUGAAUACACACGAGAUUCUUCUUGCUAGAUACUUCUAGAAACUCUACACGCACACUCACACUGAGCUAGUGGUUACUAAAACCGUUACAACAAUAUUGCCAGCUCAGCAUAACCAACUUAUAACUAACACACUCAGCUGCAGGGGAAACCAUCAAGCAUACGGUGCAUCCUCUGUAAUCAAGCUUCUUUAAGCAUGCUCUGCAGAUCAUACGUCUGAAUUAUCGAAACAAGAUGAAUUAUUUUUUGUUUAUUUUAGCAGGCGAUCUAUGAUCGGAAUUUCUUGCAACAAAAGAUGUGUGUCCACCAGCUUGUAUUCAAUUCGCGAACACAGUUUGAGAAGAAUCAGACCAUUAAUUUUCUUUUGAGCCAAUCAACAGAAUGUACAUUUCUUCUAAGAACCUGUAACCGAAACCGCAGUUUUUCAGGUUUGCUCCUUCCUCAUAGCAGUUAAUCAAACGAUAAACAGAGAUAUCCCAUGUCAACAAGAAGGUAAUCAUAAAAGAACAACAGAAUUGUUGCAACAUAUUCAUAUGAAAUGUAAAACAAUUUUGAGAAAAAAUAUUGGGAAGAUAUUUUUUUUUCAUAGAAGUUGCAAUCUUUACGUUAUUUACUAGUUGCAAUCAUACGCCUGCAAAGGAUGCCAGUUAAUUUUAUCACAAUUAGAUGGUAAGAUUGCAAAUUCUGCAGCCAAAGGUAGUACGGAGCUGAAUGAAGGAAAUCAAAUAUGAACAUGUUUUCAAUCUCAAAAUAUUAAGAGUAGCAUAAGUAACUUGUGAAACAGUCAUAAGUUCAAGGGAAUUAGAUGAUGGCAUGGUUGAAUUUAUAAAUAUUUGAUAUUUUGGACCGAACAGGGCAAACAGAUGGAUCCAGAUAAUUAAGAAAAACAUCAAUUCCAUGCAACCAAAUUAGUGUGUACAAUGCAAUUGCCUUUCCCUAUGAGAGUAGAGGGCCUAAGUACGCUGCCGUUUAGAGCUGAUGAGUUUGAUUCACCAGCAAGCCUCACACAAUAUCACUUGAGCAACACUAUAAAAUCAUUCAAAGAAAUCUCUAGGUCAGUAUCCAAAUAUGUGGCUCCGUCAGUUCCACCACAACCCAAAAUAUCAGAUCCCCCCAUUUGGAUUCGACUGAUCAAUUUGAGCAUAUAAAAUCGGGUUUUAAACUUCCCUAAUUAAAAUUUAUAUUCCACAGAAUCGUUUCCUUUAACAUGAUGCAUUACAUAAUAUUUUGUUUGCAAAAUAAAGAAGAAAGAUGACAUAAUAGAAACACUCACAGAGAGAGAAUACCUUUGACGAAAAGCUUAGAAGUGAAUCCUCUGUAAAAUACGAGUUGAGCUGCUGAAUUUUUCGAGUUUGAAUGAGAGACUGCGCCGUUUCUGAAAAUGUUUUUUUCUCAGUAGCGCCGCCAUUUUUGUAAUAGAGGGUAAAGAAAUAAGUAACAGAGUAAGAGGUGAGCAGAAACGGCCCAAUUUAGUUAUAUGCCAUGCAUGCGAUCAAAAUUGAAUGGUUAAAUGGCAGCCACUAUGUUACAUCUUGUGUAAGUAACAAACCGCCUACAUGGAUCGUUGGAUUUGGGAAUAUGAAAUCCAAUGGAUAAUAUUGAAUUUAACGAAAAAUAGAUUACAGGUUGCAUUAGUCCAAGUUUAUUUCAAACAAACCAGCUGACGAAAUAGCCGCUAAUCAAAUUUAAAAGGGAAAAAAAUUCAAAUUAUAGGUUAUAGAUCUUAUUUCCAUCUUAAAUCUAUUUGUCUUUCAUGGUGUCUCAAUGUGUAUACUAAUUUAUAAUUUGGAUUUAUAUUAGAGCUAAUGCUUCCCUAAAUAACUAAGAAAAUUUUCUUUUCAUUGAUUUAAUAUUUAUUUCCAAUAUCUUGUAUAUGUAGGAUUUGAAAAGAGGAAAAAUAGUAGGGAUGAUAAUGAGAGAAGAUAAAGGUGUCGAUUCUCAAAUCUAAUAUUAAUGCUAUACUUAUAUUCCUAUACUAAAUAAAUUAUCCAAGGUUCGUGGUUAACAAUACGUUGCAAAAUUUUAAUUUCUAUUUAAAGCUCUGUCUAAUAUGACUUUUCAUAAAGCUUAGAGAAAAGUAGAGCUUUUACCAAAAAAAAAUAAUUAUUAGAAUUGUCAAUGAUAAAUUUUAAAAAGUACUUUAAUAAAUAAGCUUUUAAAGUUAUAUAUAUUAUGAAAGAAAUGAAAUAAGAUUAUAUAAUAAAUUAAGAGUAUCUUAGAUAAUUGAACUUAAAAAAAAAAACUCGCUAAGAGGUUUAAAAUUUGAGUUUUAAUAGUGGAUACAAAAUAGUUUAUUUAAUUCUCAAAAGCUCUACUCAAAAUAGUUUAUUUAAUUCUCAAAAAAUAUUUUUUUCAUUGAGUAAAUAAUACUAAACAUGCACUAAAGUGUUAGGACCAGAAGUUGUACAAAAAAUGAUGGCUACAACUUAAAUUAUGAAUGGAGUAAUCGGAGAAUAUUGAAACCCGUUUAAUUUGGAUCGUGCAUUGAGGGACGAAAGGAUAAAAAAUUUAAUUUUGAAAUUGCUGUUGGGUACGGUACAAUGACUUACCGUUGACAGCUUUUGCAACCGGAUUACAAUCGGUUAGUUCAAUAAUUUUAUAUCCCCAUUUAACCGCCAUGUGCUGCUGUUACAUGGGUCAAUUAGUCAUGUCAUUACUGUUACUUACAGAUGCCGCAACAUAACCGGACCCUGGUUAAAUUCUGUUGUUUCCAAUAAUUUUAUGCUGUAUCUUCUUUAAUAAUAAAGAAAACUUGCAUUAAAAUUAAAAUUAGGGUAAUACCUGAUUUUAUAAAUAGAUUGCAAUGUAAUUUUGAAAAAUAAAACAAUAAUUUACAAAAUGUUUAUAACAUAAUUUUAAUUUUUUUCAAAAAGGAAAAACAACAAAAGUAAGAAAUAGAGAAUUAGGGCUACAAACUUUGUAUCUUAAACGGCCGUUAGAUUAUUUGUAAAUGAAAGCAACGGUCAGAUAUUGGUGGAUUAUGGAAACAUGUAAUCAUAAGGACUACGAGUUUUUUUUGUUACAUUGAUAUAUUACAAUCAAAAUUCUAUUGGUAUUUACAAUCAGAAUUUUAUUUGACUAUCUUUGAUAAUUCUAAACUAGUACAACCCAAAUUCUUAUUCUCAUAUAAUAUCAAAGAGAGAUAUAUAUUCUUCUCCUCUAUUAAUAAAGAGACAUUUUUACUUCCUUUUAAUAGUUAGGACUCAGAACUCAUACACGCUAGUUUGAGAGUGUGGGGUGUGACAAUGGGCCAAGAGACCAUUGACAAAUACAAAAGAGUGGUAGAAAUUAAUUCAAACCGCUACACACGCUAUUGCAACCAAAUUGAGGGCACAUUUUUGUUUAUUUAGUUGAAAAGUAGUCUGUAAAAUUAACUCAAACCGCUACAUACGCUAUUGCAACCCAAUUGAGGGCCCAUUUUGUUUAUUUUGUUGAAAAGUAGUUUGCGCAAUUAAUUCAAACCGCUACACACGCUAUUGCAUCUUUUGAAAAAGAAAAAUGGAAUAAUUUUUCAAAAUUAAUUUAGAGAAUAAGAUUUACUAAUAAUGAUGUUAGAAAUCUUGAUAUUUGAAUCUUAAUAUUAUCUAUCACUCAUUUAUUAAAUAAUAGAUUUCAUAGUUUGUAAAAUUACUUAACCACUUGAUAAAUGUUAUAUUUGUUGGGACUAGAUUGGGACUUAAAUAUUGGAAUAUCUAGUAUUGCAUAAAAAAAAACUUAACAAUUUAUCUUCACACGACUAAUUGUUUUUACAUCACAACUAACCUUAAUUAUUUUAAAAGUUAUAGUAUUAUUAAAUUGCCCUAACUAGUUAUCAAAAGGUGAAACCAUGUUUUAAAAAGAAAUUACUAAGAAACAUUUGUUUAAACGAAGGUUAAGGUUAUGAUCAAUUAAUUAAGAAGAAACUUACUAUCAAAGGUUAAGAUUAUGAACAAUUUAAGGAAGUUAUUGAGUAGAGAAAGGGACAGAAUGGUUGUCUGAUUUGUCGGUGACAAGAAUGCUUGUGUUGUGAAAAGAAAGCCGAUGGUUUGUAAAUUUGUUGAAUUUUUCGCUCGCUUCAAUGACUUGCUUAUGCCCAAUAUAUUACUUUGCACAGUAGUAUUUGGGAUCCUAACAAUCAACUCUUAAUUUGGUCCCAAUUAGUAUAGUAAUCAUCUAUUGAGCGGUAAAAUAUUAAUUCUAAUAGUCAUGAAAUCCAAUAUAUAAUAGAUUAAUAACACACAUAAAUUAAAACAUAACUGUCUGAAAUCAUAACAUUACUCUACUCUUCAGUGAAGUUCUCUUAAACUGAUUAUGUGAAAGCAAUAUUCGCUUUUUGAUUAUAUCCAUAACUUUGAAUUGAUAAAGUUGUAUUCAACAGCUCUUGAAAAGACUAAGCAGGUCUUCUUUGCAUUUGAUCACUGGCAUUUCAGUUAAGUUUGUCACUUACUUAAAAUUUUCUUGCUUUCAAUUUCCACUGUUAUUUUUUUUUAAUAAAAUAAUUUAUUUAAACUAGUCAUAGAAAUAAGAGAGAAAAGGGGUCAUUUCUUGACUCAAAGUCAAUUAUAAUUAUCAAAACUUGAGGGGACAUCGCAUGCCUAAAUUCCACGCACCCUAAAACGGUUUGAUUUGCUUUCACGCGUUCAUGAAUUUCCAUGAAAGAGCCUGCCUUUCGUCUCUUUCGGGACAAUGACUACAAUUAUGGAAAAAAUUAUAAUUCUCGUUAGAUUGUAACCAAAUUAUUAUCCCUAAUUUUUUUAAGUUAAAUAAAAUAAAAUUCAUGCCUAAGUAUUUAGUAAUUAGAGAGAGAUAGAGAGGAUUGAGGGCCAAUGUUUCACGAUUUGGGGUCAAUUCAAAGUCAACUAACGUGUAAAACACGUGUAUGCAUAGAAAACGCUUAGAUUAUUUGUGUUCCAAGUGCAAGAAAUUAAGAAAAGAAAAAUUGAUUUCCUUUCAUGAACUUCCAAGAAAGAAAGAAGACCCUUCACCUUCUUCGUUACAACAAAUGAAUGAAUGAUGUUGAUAUGACAAAUACAAGCGCUAUUACAGGGAACAGCAUAAGACUGAGACUUGAUAAAGUGUUUGUUAAAUUACAUGUUAUUUUCUUUUAACUUGAAUGAUGUUGAAAAUAAAAUAAAAUAAAAUUGUAAUCAGGGUGAUGUGUGGAAUAUAGUGAAAUAAAUAAAUAGAGAAGAGAAAUUUGUUGAUCAAUAUUAAAGACACAUCCAAAGUGAUCGUCAAAGUCUAGAGGUUCGGUAUGAUUAGCAUUUAUUUUAUUUUUUUUGGCUUAGCAUCAUAUAUAGUCACCUGUCGUGUGAUCUAGGACAGGUUUAGAAAUCCUUUUAUUUUAACUUCUGUAUUCUUAUUAUUUAAUUAGUUAUAGGGUUUUUAAGUAUUUGAGUAUUGAUCACAUGUCUCCUAAUCUAAAAAUAUGUUUUUACGAGUACAAAUAACAAACUAGGAUUUUAACAGCCUUUUAUACUAAACCCUAAAAAUACAUGAAUUUAUCAAAAUAAGUAAAUUAAUUUAAAUUGGUAUGGCAUAGUAGAAGUUUUACCUGCCGAAACAAAUUAAAAAAAUAUUACACUUAAAUCAAAUAUUGACAAAAAUAGAUAACAAUCUAAUGAGAAUCUUAACUAGACAUUUUUACUUCUAUCCAAUUUAACUGGAAUGAGAAUUAAGUCCUGUCAAUAGUUAGGACUCAUAACUCAUACACACUAAUUUGAGAGUGUGGGGUGUGACAAUGGGUCAAAAGACCAUUGACAAGUAUAAAAGAGUGGUCGUAAUUAAUUCAAACCGCUACACACGCUAUAUUGAGGGCCCACUUUUGUUUAUUUCGUUGAAAAGUAGUUUUCACAAUUAAUUCAAACUGCUACACAUGCUAUUGCGUUUUUUUUUUUUUUUUUUUGAAGGGAAGCAAUUUCAUUAAACCAAAACGAAUUACAGACUAUGUAAUAACCACAAAGGUGGAACGAAAUUCCACUCUUGGGGACCUGACAUAGAACCUACUGCCCUUGCAACAGAGUGAGCAGCCAGGUUCGCAGACCGACGUACAAACGAGAAUUGUACUUCUCUUAAAGACUUAGCUAAAGCUCGACAUUCAUCAACUAUUAAACCAAAACCGUUAGGCCCUGAAAACUCCUCAACUAGAGCUUGAAAUACUUGUAAACAAUCAGUUUCAACAAUGACACAAGGAAAUUGUAAGCCUUUAAGCCAACUAAGGGCCUCCCGAAUACCAAGAGCUUCAGCCUCCCUUGCUCCAAAAUUCCCAGCCAUUCCAGCACAUCUUGCUGUUAAGAAAACACCCUCUGAAUUUCGAAGCACACACCCAAAACCAAUAUUUCCCUGAGAUGAAAAGAUAGCAGCGUCAACAUUACAUUUGACCCAACCAAACUUUGGCCUCUCCCAACAUAUUGCCCCAUGGACCAGCUUAUGGACAUCAGUAUCAGCAUAGAAUUGUUGCUUCUUUGCUGCUUGCCACUGAUAGAGAAGUUGCCCAGCAGAAUUGAGCACUUGAUUCACUGAAUCAGUUUUGUUAUUCCAUACUUUGUCAUUCCGAUUAAUCCAAACUCUCCAGCAGAUCAUCAUGGCAACAUGGCAUUCUUCUUUGCUGCAGCGUGUAAAGAUGUGAUCAAGCCACUCUAAGAAAGAAUAACAAUGGCCAACAAAACCCACAGAGGAAGAAAUCCAGCAAGCCUUAGCAACAUUACACUCAACCAACGAAUGGAGAAUAGUUUCAUCAGAAGCAAGACACACAGCACAAGUAGGGGGGAUAUUCACCCUCUUAGAAAUUAAAUUAACUGCAGUAGGCAGCACAUUAGUUGCCGCUCGCCAAACAAAAUUCUUAACCUUAUUCGGCACAUUCAAGUUCCAUAGUUUUCGCCACACAUCUGUGAAAGGGUCAGGGGUAAGAGAAUGUAAAACCUUAUAACAGCUACGGACUGAAUAGCAUCCGCGAGAAUCAGCCAACCAAUACCACACAUCAUCAUUUCGGCGGGAACUAAGGGGAAUUUGAAGAAUCAACUCCUUGUCUCUUGCGUUGAAAAGAUCCGAAACAAGAUCAUAAUCCCAAGCUCGUUGAUUAGGCACCAGUAAACUACUAACAGGAGCUGCAGCAAGCUCGGCAUGGAGAUUAGAAGGAACAAAUCCAUUAUUAGUAUCAGGAAGCCACGGAUCCUUACCAAUGAAGAUCGAAUUUCCACAGCCAACUUGCAGUCUACUCCCUUGAAUUACCACAUCCUUUGCAGCCAAAAUAGAGCGCCACACAUAGCUAGGAUUAUGCCCCGCAGAAGCUUGAAGAACAGAGGUGCGCGGAUGGUAGCGAGCUUUAAUUAUCUUGGCCACAAGAGAUUCCGGACAAGUUAACAGCUUCCACAUUUGCUUUCCUAACAUCGCUAUAUUGAAUAAAUGAAGUUGUUUAAAACCAAGGCCACCAUAUCCUUUUGGUUUGCACAGAUUUUCCCAUUUGGACCAGUUUAAAAAAGAAAAAUGGAAUAGUUUUCCAAAAUUAAUUCAGAGAAGAAGAUUUACUAAUAAUGAUGUUAGAAAUCUUAAUAUUAUGUAUCACUCAUUUAUUAAAUAAUAGAUUUUAUAGUUUGUAAAUUUACUUAACCACUUGAUAAAUGUUAUAUUUGUUUGAAUUGAUCCAAUAGCUCUUGAAAAGCACAUAAUAAUCAUUAUAAAUUUAAUCAAAGACUAAGCAGGUCUUCUUUGCAUUUGAUCACUGGCAUUUCAGUUAAGUUUGUCAUUUAUUUAAAUUUUUCUUGCUUUCAAUUUCCACUGUUGUUUUUUUUAAUAAAAUAAUUUAUUUAAACUAGUCAUAGAAAUAAGAGAGAAAGGGCGCCAUUUCUUGACUCAAAGUCAAUUAUAAUUAUCAAAACUUGAGCGGACAUUGCAUGCCUAAAUUCCACGCACCCUAAAACGGUUUGAUUUGCCUUCACGCGUUCAUGAUUUUCCAUGAAAGAGAGUGCCUCUCGUCUCUUUCCGGACAGUGACUGCAAUUAUGUUAACGUGACGAAUACAAAACGUUAUUACAUACAAGAAUAAGUUUUUGGAGCCGAUACUUGAGGGAGGUUCUAUCUAAUUCUAAAGAUUGUAACCAAAUCAUUAUCCCUAAUUUUUUUAAGUUAAAUAAAAUAAAAUUCAUGCUUAAGUAUAAAUAAUUUUUUUAAGUUAAAUAUAAAAUAAAAUUCAUGAACUUCCUAGAAAGAAAGAAGACCCUUCACCUUCUUCGCGACAACAAAUGAUGUUGACAUGACAAAUACAAGCUCUAUUACAGGGAACAGCAUGAGACCGAGACUUGAUAAAUAUUAAAUAUAUAAAAUAAGUGGAGCAAACGAACAGAAUAAUAGAUAUUUUAUAAUAUUCUUCAUAAAAAUCCAUGUUUUGAGCCUGCCUAUAAGCUUAUCUAGUGAAGUCUGGGUAUCCGCGUUGCCCAAGGUUCCGUUUGAAUCCAGGCCGUGUAGAUGUUUAAGACAUCGCAUAUGGACGGAGUGGAAAUAUUUUCAGUUGACUGAAUUAAAUAAAAAUAUAUUACAAUCAUAUUAUAUAUUAGCAGCAAAAAUAAAAAGAAAUGAAGAAAAACGCAUGCAAGACUUAGACAAGUCAAUUAAAAGCUGGGAGUAUCAUCAGUUCAAUUGGUUAUAAAUAGCGUAGAGCCAUCCUCUCGUUGUUGCAGAACUGAAGCAAAGAGACUCAGAAAGAGUGUGUGUAGGUGAUUAUAAUUAAGAAGAUAUAAUGUGUGGUUCAAAAAGAGUGUGGGUGAGUGAGUUAAUUUUCAUAUUAUUAGUAGUAAAAGGGUGGUGGAGUGAGGGAUGUUUGGAGCAAGAGAGGUCUGCUCUCCUACAACUCAGACAUUUCUUCAAUGAUGAUCAACUUCUUCAAAACUGGGUAGACGAUGAGUAUUAUUCAGAUUGUUGUCAGUGGGAACGGGUUGAGUGCAACAACACCACUGGAAGAGUGAUUGAAUUACAACUACUAGAAACUCGAAAACAGGGAUCAGCAGAGUGGUAUAUGAAUGCCUCUCUGUUUACUCCAUUUCAACAAUUAGAGUCUCUUGAUUUAAUGGGGAACAAUAUAGCCGGUUGUGUUGAAAAUGAAGGUCCUUAAUUUACUCUAUUUUAAUUCUUCCUCGUAAUUUCUUACAUUUAUCUGAUCCCUUUUGAUUUUUGUUUAAUUUGUUCGUGAUACAAUAAAAUUACUUUUUAUUUUUUGUCAGGUCUAGAUAGGUUAUCAAGGUUGAACAACUUGAAGUUUCUUUACUUAAACCUUAACCACUUCAACAACAGCAUCUUUUCAUCCAUAGGUGGUCUUUCAUCACUCAGACGCUUAUCAUUGGCUAGUAAUGAAUUGAAUGGAAGUAUUGAUAUUAAAGGUAAGCAAGCUUCAUCCCUUCUCCCGUGUCCCAUCUUUUGUGGAUCUUAUUUUAUUGACCGGCUGGAAGUAUUGAUAUAAGAUCUGGCUAGACUCUUGCUAGUUUAAGCUUCAAGGAUUUAAAUAUUAUAAAAAUAGGUUUAAGAAAUUAUCAAUAUAUGCAAUUUUCAAUGCUUCUCAUAAUCAGACACAAUUCAAUCUAAUUAUUUUGUAUGUCCUGUCUUCAAAAGUAAAGAAUUGUACACUAAAUGGAAAUCGACAUCGUAGCUUUUUAUUUUUUCUAAUGCUCUUUUUUCGUUAACGAGUUUAUAUCCUAAGAGGGAUUGGAUUGAAAAAAAAAAAGUUUUGAUGUUCAAGGUAGGCCAUAAUAACCCGCAUCUUAUUUGUCUGCCUGUAUCUAAAUUUGUGCACUGAAUUUAGUAUUUUGGUUAUUGUGAAGGGAUCAGAUAUUGGCUUCCAUAGACCAACUUGUAUUUAGUUAAUUAAUUAAUUAACGACAUUUAAUAUUUAACAAAUUAAAAUUUCGUGUUUAAUCUAUUUUAAUUUUUUUAAGAAAAAAGAAAAAGAUAUAGCAAUAGGUAAAGCUAAAAUAAAUUUUAAUUCCUUACAAAUUUAAAUUCAUGGUUGUCAGCUAAAUAUACUUACUUAAAGCCACUCAGUCGAGCCCUUUGAGAGCUGCUUUAAAUUUUUAGCCAUAUUCUUUUCUUAUUAAUAAAAUUCUUUUCGCUGAGAUUUAACAUAAAAAAAGGAGAAAAUAAGUUAUUUAAUUAACUCUGUUUUAAGUGUUGGAAUAAAUACAGGACUGGAAUCCUUGAGUAACUUGGAGGAGCUGGGCAUGAGCGACAAUGCAAUCGACAAUCUAGUGGUUCCUAAAGGUAUACAAAAUGUUCAAAUAUUAAUAAUUUGGAGGACAGUUUAAUUGAUUUGAUUAGGGAAUGCCCAAUGACACUUACCCAAAAUAAUUUAAUCCGAAAUUGUAUCCCAAAUAGAUUACAGAGGUUUGAGGUAGUUGAAUACCUUUUAUUUGGGGAGGGGGGGGGGGGGGGGGGGGGGGGGGGGGAGGGAGGGAAAUUGCAGUGAUAUAUGGAAGCAAGGUGUUGCAAUAAAUAAAGAAAUUCGUUGGUCAAUAUUCAAGGACUCAUCCAAAGUAAUCGUUAAAGUCUAAAGCUCUGCUCUCCUCCAACUCAAACAUUUCUUCAAUGAUGAGAAUUAUUCAGAUUGUUGUCAGUGGGAAGGGGUUGAGUGCAACAACACCACUGGCAGAGUGAUUAAAUUAGAUCUAGGAGCCACUAGGAAUCGGGAAUCAGCAGAGUGGCAUAUGAAAGAUAACUAGAACUUGGAAUAACUUAAAUUAGCUAUAAAAUUAAGACCAUUAUACAACUAAAAAGAAAGAAAAAUUGUUUGCUACUACAUAUCAAAACUAGUAAUAGCAAUGAAAGAUGGCAGACUUCUUACUUAAACAGAUGAGAGGCUACAAAUAAAAAAUUUGUGCAAAUAAAUAUAUGAUAAAGAGCAUAAUACUUUCUUGGGGGCUAAAAAUAAUAUACAACUUGUGAAAUAUAAAUUGAGCUACCAUUACCUUUUAGAUGUGGCAACUUUCGACUUUUGAGGCACUUUGGAAUAUGCAUUCAGAAUCCUGCAUUUGGAAGCCAAAUAAAUAAUGUUAAUAACAAUUUUACAAUAGAAAAAUUAAAAAUUGAUAAAUGGCAGUUGUAAUUUAUGUAUGUGUAAAGAUAGCAUCACAUCCAGGGUCCUCCCAUAAACAUGCUUGUAACAAGAAUUAGUUUGCGUCAACUGCUAGCAACUAUACAAUAGUAAAAAUCACUCUUAUGAACUCAACAAUACUAGGCACCAAUAAGAGUAUGAUACAGCCAUUCUAAAUGGAAGAGAAUACAACUGUUUUACAACUAUGUUGCAUCAGGAGAUAUGUUAGGAGUUUUAAUCCAGAUACCUUCCAACCCAAUUAGGAAAACUCGAGUCAGAAACCAGGAGCUGCAACUGAACCUUACAAUCUUGAAGGAAGAAGGAGACUUGGGGCAUUUUUCUAGAUAGGUGACUUACUAGAUCUACUGCCAAGAAAAUAUCUAUUGCUUUGAACCUCCAUUGAAAUUUCUUUUCCCUUUUUCUUAUUUUGACUUGGAACUUUCCAGCAUCAUCUAUUUGAUCUUUUUUAAAGCUAAAAUAGCAAUCUACGGGUUGUCAACAUCUUAUCCCCCCCCCCCCCCGGGGGCCCCCAAAAAAAAAACAUCAAUGAGUUGUCAAUAAAUAGCGCCUACUCAACUUAUGUUCUCCAAUGGAUGACAAUGUGCAAAUCGACCUAGCAGCCACAUUUUCCCCCCCUUUCAACCACCAUUAGGCAACUUUUCUAACCUUUCUUCAUUGCCCACGUCUACAGAACUAUCAUAUAAAGACUACAAGAUAGACGCACGGUAUCUAAAUAAUUGUACCAACCCCCUCUCCUGAUUGUCAUAAAACGGCCAAUAUUUAACGCUCGACAACAAAAUUGCAAAUACUCUAGCCUCUAUAUUAUUGGCAUAUAAAUAUUUUCGGUUAGGUACAUUAUAUUCUUCGUUCUAAAACCUCAAUUAUUGGCUAGUACUGUGAUAAAAUGAUUCAUCACUGAAAAUAAAACUAGUUCACGUACAAAUAAUCAAAAACUGAAAUAGAAGCAACGAUAAACCAACCUGUAUUACGUCGAUUCAUCACAACAAACUGAAAUCGAGGCUGUGUGUUCCUGAAAAUUGAAAAAAUAAUAAUUUCACCAACUUCAUGUGUAAUACAAUCUCCAAAACACCAAAUAUCAAAUGAAAAAAUGGAAAGCAUAAGAUAGAAAAGAAUCUAAUUUUAUUGACCUUUUGACGACGACGAGAGAGCCUUCAACAUCCUUACGACUCCAUUGGCUGAGGUCGAUGUUGAACUCGUAGAAGGUGACAUGAGCGGCCGUGAUGAGGAUCUCCUCAAUGAAUGGAUCGAUUCGCUGAAGAACUGUCAGGUUUAGGAGUUUUGUGCUCUGCUGGUCCAGAUUAGGCAUCAAUUUUCCGUUAUGCGACAUUUUUCAUAGUCGUUUUGGGCUCUGCCCCGAGCACAAGCCCCAGGGUUUUUCUGUGAGCUCUCUCUUUUGUAAAUAAAGUGUUUGAUGAGAUAGCCGAGAGAGAGUGAAAGUGUUGAACAGCCAAACACGGUCUCGAGAUUGAUCUUGCUUUAACUUCUUUUAAACAUUUGGGAAAUAGCAUUUAUUUCUUUUAGUUUCUCUACUUUUUUUUUCCUUUAUGUCAUUUAGACCCCAAAAUUAGAUUUAUUAUAAUCCUAUUUUACCCAUACACUAUUAACCCCUUUUAUUUUUAAAAUUUGUCAAUAUUAAUGUGUUAGAAUAAUGUUAAAAAUCCCAAUUAUUAUCUCAAUGUUUCAAUCAUAACUAAUGUGAUAACUCAUUGGUAACUGCAACAUUAACUUAAUUAUUAAUGUAACACAAUAAAAGUUUCGUACAGAUUUUGAUAUUGAGAGUAACACAAUAAAAGUUUCAUACAGAUUUUGCAAACGAAAAGCACAUAAUACACUUAACUAGGAGGAAAAAUUAAGGUGUAUAUAUUACAAACUGCUAACAAUAUACAAUUGUAAAAAUCACUCACAAAUACUAGGCACCAAUAAGAGUAUGAUACAGCCAUUCUAAAUGAAAGAGAAUACAACUGUUUUACAACUAUGUCACAUCAAGAGAUAUGUUAGCAGGAUUAAUCCAGAUACCUUCGAACCCAAUUAACGAACUCGAGUCAGAAACCAGGGGCCCCCAACUAAACCUUACAAUCUUGAAGGAAGAAGGAGACUCGUGGUCCAGAUAGGUGACUUACUAGAUCUCCUGCAAAAGAGAAUAUCUAUUGCUUUGAACCUCCAUUGAAAUUUUUUUUUCCCUUUUUCUUGUUUUGACUUGGAACUUUCCAACAUCAUCUAUUUGAUCUUUUUUGAAGGUAAAAUAGCAAUCUAUAGGUUGCCAACAUGUUAUUCUGCCAAACCCCACCCCACCCCCCCGGGGGACAACAAAUCGACCUAGCACACACCUUUCUUCAUUGCCCACACCUACAGAACUAUAAUAAAAAGACUACGUUACUAUUGGGGUAGAGAAAAUAUACAGACUGUAUUAUUAUUACAUCGCAUUUUACUAAUUAACUAGUGCAAGACUUCUUUAGUGUCAAAUCAAGAACUAAUUAGAAAAGACAACUCAUGAUAAUACAGACCUUAAUAAGCAAUUGCUAACAACAUCCCAUAUACUCCUAUUUUAGCCUUCAUUAUCCUGGUAAAAACACAAAUAAGUCUUGCAAACGAACAUUUAUAAGUAAAUUCAACAUUAAUUAAGAUUAGGUAUCUACUGCACCUAAUAGCAUGGUCAACCAUCCAGUUCCUGUAGCCUUCCAUGUACCUAUGUUAGUUACAUUUUACAUAUUAAGCCACGAAAACGAAGAAUCACAGCCUGGUAAAGAAAGACAUUAAUUAAUAGUUUUUGUUUAAAAAGUUCUCCUUUAGAUCUUUCCUAUUCAAUGAAUCAAUGUAAUCUAAAGAGAAUUCUUCCAUUUCAAACAGUGUUAGAAGGUAUUUGCAAAGCCUAAAGAUAAUAUACAAGGACCAAGAUAUACACAGAUGGUUUCUUUAUGGAAUUAAAGAGCUUUAUAGAUGUUAAAACUGUUUCAAACAAUUUUUCUUGUUUGGUUUAACUAAGGAAAAGCUUGUGGAAGAUUAAAAAUGAUGUUUCCUAUUCUCUGUAGGAAACUUUUAGGAGAUUUUUUGGGCUUUUUUGAAAGGUUGAAUUGUCAAAAAUACCUUGAUGUUAUUGUUUGCUAAAAGAUGUUACGGACAUCUAAACAACCAACAACAUUUUGUUAAAAGCUCUACUAGUGUAGGAUCUACUUAAAGAAGCUAUACCAAACAGACUCUUAGACUGAAUAACUCGAUCUUAAGUUUGUAAAAUUGGGCUCAGAAUCUCCACUAACAACCCCGCUUCGGUGAGAAAGCCCAAGCCUGUUACUUUGUAUAACCUUAUUCUGUAUGUUUGAUUGCAGGAACUGGCCGAUCAUACCGACGAGGUGAGUGUGCAACAUGAGGUGCUUGACGGGAUGUUUACUUUCUAUGAUACAACUAAAGCUAGCCUCAACAUAUAUCAGGUGCCUGCUUGUUUUUACCUUCUAGAUACUAAUAUUGUUUAGACGUGUAAUCUCUCUCUCCAUUGAACGCUAGACGGCUCGUCUCAAGCCUUCUACGUACUUCAGAGUCCUUCACUAGCUUUUUAUGUAUAAAGUUUUGAUCUUUUUCCUUCAUUUGCUUGAAGCUCAUUACUGCAGAUUUUUUUUACAGGUUGGUAGUGUAACAUUCGACUUGCUGUUGCUUCUAGUCUUGGGAUCGUAUUUAAUUGUGCUUUUCAGCUUUCUUGUCAUAACAACUAGGGUAUCACUCUUUCUCCAUAUCAAGCUUGAAGUUCUAAAUUUCAGUUUUAUCUUUUAUUUGAUGUUUUAUAAUUUCAUUGCAAACAGAUUAGAAUAGAAACUUCAAAAGUUCCAACUGACUAGUCCCGUGUAACUUUUUCAGGGAAGAUUUUCUCUCAUAACAACUACGAACGUGUUAUGGUUUAGCCCAGUGACACAAAGGACAGUUUUCAACAAUUGAUCCUAGGAAGAUGCCCAUAGCUUGUUGUGCCAAAAAUAGAAAAUCUAAGAUGCGAAAAAAUUUUGUUGAGAUUCAUUUUUCAUCCUGAUGUUACCGCUGGCCUUUUUUUUUUUUUUUUUUGGCAGAGAAUAAUGCUUAUGUGAUUUCUGAACUUGGUGAUUGUUGAAAUGAGCUGAAAAUGAGCUGGAAAUGUGUUUGGUUAAUGAGAAAGAGAGCAAGAAAAUGAAAGAAAUCUAUUUCACUUUUUAUUUAUCAGCAUGAUUACAUUCACAAUGAAUCUAAGCUGCUAUUUAUACUUAAAUGACUACACACGAGAAUCUUCUUGCUAGAUACUUCUAGAAACUCUACACGCACACUCACACUGAGCUAGUGGUUACCAAAACCGUUACAACGAUAUUGCCAGCUCAGCAUAACCAACUUAUAACUAACACACUCAGCUGCAGGGGAAACCAUCAAGCUUACUGUGCGUCCUCUGUAAUCAAGCUUCUUUAAGCAUGCUCUGCAGAUCAUACGUCUGAAUUAUCGAAACAAGAUGAAUUAUUUUUUGUUUAUUGCAGCAGGCGAUCAAUGAGCGGAAUUUCUAGCUUGUAUUCAAUUCGCGAACACAGUUUGAGAAGAAUCAGACCAUUAAUUUUCUUUUGAGCCAAUCAACAGAAUGUACAUUUCUUCUAAGAACUUGUAACCGAAACCGCAGUUUUUCAGGUUUGAUGCAUCUGGGAAAAUUGUCAGAUGGAAUAAAACCACCAUGCGCCAAGGUACCAAUGAUGUUUCUUCCAGCUUAUGAGCACUUCAAAUAAACUUAGGUCAUAUUUACACAAGGGCGCACAUGAUAUCAAUCUAAUGGCAAUUAUAUCAUCUAAAAUCCAAAACCAAGAGUCUCCCAUUUUCCCGCCCUCUACUCUGUUCGUAUUAUCAUAACUUGAAGAUUGCAAGGCAGCCGCAAUCUCCCAGAUCUUUGCUCCUUCCUCAUAGCAGUUAGUCAAACGAUAAACAGAGAUAUCCCAUGUCAACAAGAAGGUAAUCAUAAAAGAACAACAGAAUUGUUGCAAUAUAUUCAUAUGAAAUGUAAAACAAUUUUGAGAAAAAAUAUUGGGAAGAUGAUUUUUUUUUUCAUAGAAGUUGCAAUCUUUACGUUAUAUGCUAGUUUGACUAUGCUAUAUAAGGAAGCUAUAUGAAAUUAGAAAAAUAAGCUAUACUAGGAAAGAAUAAAUAUAUGUACAGAAAAUGAGGCUAUAAUCCCUGACUUUCAACAAAUUUAAUAUCAAUUUUCUUCUGGAAGUUGUCUCAAAUGGGGUGCAUCAGUAUUGUAACAUACUGUGAGAUGCUUAAACUCAACAAUAUAAGCAUGGUAAAUUAGAGAAAAAUGAUGCAAUUUUACCUUCCCAUUCAUGUAUGCCAAGGCUUUUUGGGCUUCCUCUUCUGUACUGAAAGUCACAUACCCGUAACCUUUUGAUCUAUUCUUACCUUUAUCCAUUAUUAUUGUAGCUGCAAAAAGAAAAGAACCGGAUAUUACAAAAUAGUGAAAGGGAAGAGGGGUUGAGACUUAAAACAGAAAUAGACCAAACCCUCAGUGACUUGGCCAAAUUGUGAAAAAGCAUCAGCUAACAUCUCUUUAGUGGUCGAGAAAGAUACGCCUGCAAAGAAUGCCAGUUAAUUUUAUCAUAAUUAGAUGGUAAGAUUGCAAAUUCUGCAGCCAAAGGUGGUACGGAACUGAAUGAAGGAAAUCAAAUAUGAAUAUGUUUUCAAUCUUAAAAUAUUAAGAGUAGCAUAAGUAACUUGUGAAACAGUUAUAAGUUCAAGGGAAUUAGAUGAUGGCAUGGUUGAAUUUUAUAAAUAUUUGAUAUUUUGGACCGAACAGGGCAAACAGAUGGAUCCAGAUAAUCAAGAAAAACAUCAAUUCCAUGCAGCCAAAUUAGUGUGGGCAAUGCAAUUGAGCAACACUAUAAAAUUAUUCAAAGAAAUCUCUAGGUCAGUAUCCAAAUAUAUGGCUCCGUCCGUUCCACCACCACAACCAAAAAAAUCAGAUCCCCCCAUUUGGAUUCGAUUGAUUAAUUUGAGCAUAAAAAAUCGGGUUUUAAACUUCCCUAAGCAAAAUUUAUAUUCCACAGAAUCAGUUCCUUUAACAUGAUGCAUUACAUAAUAUUUUGUUUGCAAAAUAAAGAAGAAAGAUGACAUAAUAGAAACACUCACAGAGAGAGAAUACCUUUGACGAAAAGCUUAGAAGUGAAUCCUCUGUAAAAUACGAGUUGAGCUGCUGAAUUUUUCGAGUUUGAAUGAGAGACUGCGGCAAUUCUGAAAAUGUUUUUUUCUCAUUAGCGCCGCCAUUUUUGUAAUAGAGGGUAAAGAAAUAAGUAACAAAGUAAGAGGUGAGCAGAAGCGGCCCAAUUUAGUUAUAUGCCAUGCAUGCGAUCAAAAUUGAAUGGUUAAAUGGCAGCCACUAUGUUACAUCUUGUGUAAGUAACAAACCGCCUACAUGGAUCGUUGGAUUUGGGAAUAUGAAAUCCAAUGGAUAAUAUUGAAUUUAACGAAAAAUAGAUUACAGGUUGCAUUAGUCCAAGUUUAUUUCAAACAAACCAGCUGAUGAAAUAGCCGCUAAUCGAAUUUAAAAGGGAAAAAAAAUCAAAUUAUAGGUUAUAGAUCUUAUUUCCAUCUUAAAUCUAUGUCUUUCAUGGUGACUCAAUGUGUAUACUAAUUUAUAAUUUGGAUCUAUAUUAGAGGCUUAGAGCCAAUGCUUCCCUAAAUAACUAAGAAAAUUUUCUUUUCAUUGAUUAAAUAUUUAUUUCCAAUAUCUUGUAUAUGUAGGAUUUGAAAAGAGGGAAAAUAGUAGGGAUGAUGAUGAGAGAAGAUAAAGAUGUCGAUUCUCAAAUCUAAUAUUAAUGCUAUACUUAUAUUCCUAUAGUAAAUAAAUUAUCCAAGGUUCGUGGUUAAUGAUACGUUGCGAAAUUUUAACUGUCUAAUAUGGCUUUUCAUAAAGCUUAGAGAAAAGUAGGGCUUUUACAAAAAAAAAAAUUUAAUUAGAAUUGUCAAUGAUAAAUUUUAAAAAGUACUUUAAUAAAUAAGCUUUUAAAAUUAUAUAUAUUAUGAAAGAAAUGAAAUAAGAUUAUAUAAUAAAUUAAGAGUAUCUUAGAUAAUUGAACUUUAAAAAUAAAACUUGCUAAGAGGUUUAAAAUUUGAGUUUUUAAUAGUGGAUACAAAAUAGUUUAUUUAAUUCUCAAAAGUACUAUUCAAAAUACAACCAUGUAACACAAAAAUUUUUAAUAAGUUUUUUGGACUAGUUAAGUACUUUUUUUGAAAAAAAAUAUAUUUUUUUCAUUGAGUAAAUAAUACUAAACAUGCACUAAAGUGUUAGGACCAGAAGUUGUACAAAUAAAACCAUGAAAUUAUAUGUUGUUGGAUGGAUAUUUUUCAAAUUUGCUGUAGUUUUUUUUUUUUAAUUUUCUGCUGGGAAAUUGAAAUGAUGGCUACAACUUAAAUUAUGAAUGGAGUAAUCGGAGAAUAUUGAAACCCAUUUAAUUUGGAUCGUGCAUUGAGGGACGAAAGGAUAAAAAAUUUAAUUUUGAAAUUGCUGUUGGGUACGGUACAAUGACUUACCGUUGACAGCUUUUGCAACCGGAUUACAAUCGGUUAGUUCAAUAAUUUUAUAUCCCUAUUUAACCGCCACGUGCUGCUGUUACAUGGGUCAAUUAAUCAUGUCUUUACCGAUACUUACAACUGCUGGUUAAAUUCUGUUGUUUCCAAUAAUUUUAUGCUGUAUCUUCUUUAAUAAUAAAGAAAACUUGCAUUAAAAUUAAAAUUAGGGUAAUACCUGAUUUUAUAAAUAGAUUGCAAUGUAAUUUUGAAAAAUAAAACAAUAAUUUACAAAAUGUUUAUAACAUAAUUUUAAUUUUUUUCAAAAAGGAAAAACAACAAAAGUAAGAAAUAGAGAAUAAGGGCUACCAACUUUGUAUCUUAAACGGCCGUUAAAUUAUUUGUAAAUGAAAGCAACGGUCAGAUAUUGGUGGAUUAUGGAAACAUGUAAUCAUAAGGACUACGAGUUUUUUUUGUUACAUUGAUAUAUUACAAUUAAAAUUCUAUUGGUAUUUACAACUAGAAUUUCAUCUGACUAUCUUUGAUAAUUCUAAACUAGUACAGCCCAAAUUCUUAUUCUCAUAUAAUAUCAAAGAUAGAUAUAUAUUCUUUUCCUCCAUUAAUAACGAGACAUUUUUACUUCUAUCCAAUUUAAAUAGAACAAGAAUUAAGUCAUUUUAAUAGUUAGGACUCAGAACUCAUACACACUAGUUUGAGAGUGUGGGGUGUGACAAUGGGCCAAGAGACCAUUGACAAGUACAAAAGAGUGGUAGAAAUUAAUUCAAACCGCUACACACGCUAUUGCAACCAAAUUGAGGGCCCAUUUUUGUUUAUUUCGUUGAAAAGUAGUCUGUAAAAUUAACUCAAACCGCUACAUACGCUAUUGCAACCCAAUUGAGGGCCCAUUUUUGUUUAUUUUGUUGAAAAGCAGUUUGCGCAAUUAAUUCAAACUGCUACACACGCUAUUGCAUCUUUUGAAAAAGAAAAAUGGAAUAGUUUUUCAAAAUUAGUUUAGAGAAUAAGAUUUACUAAUAAUGAUGUUAGAAAUCUUAAUAUUUGAAUCUUAAUAUUAUCUAUCACUCGUUUAUUAAAUAAUAGAUUUCAUAGUUUGUAAAAUUACUUAACCACUUGAUAAAUGUUAUAUUUGUUGGGACUAGAUUGGGACUUAAAUAUUGGAAUAUCUAGUAUUGCAUAAAAAAAAAAAAACUUAACAAUUUAUCUUCACACGACUAAUUGUUUUUACAUCACAACUAACCUUAAUUAUUUUAAAAGUUAUAGUAUUAUUAAAUUGCCCUAACUAGUUAUCAAAAGGUGAAAGCAUGUUUAAAAAAGAAAUUACUAAGAAACAUUUGUUUAAACGAAGGUUAAGGUUAUGAUCAAUUAAUUAAGAAGAAACUUACUAUCAAAGGUUAAGAUUAUGAACAAUUUAAGGAAGUUAUUGAGUAGAGAAAGGGACAGAAUGGUUGUCUGAUUUGUCGGUGACAAGAAUGCUUGUGUUGUGAAAAGAAAGCCGAUGGUUUGUAAAUUUGUUGAAUUGGUCCCAAUUAGUAUAGUAACCAUCUAUUGAGCGGUAAAAUAUUAAUUUAAAUAGUCAUGAAAUCUAAUAUAUAAUAGAUUACUAACACACAUAAAUUAAAACUUAAUUGUCAGAAAUCAUAACAUUAUUCUAAGCUUCAGUGGAGUUCUCUUAACAGAUUAUGUGAGAUUGCCUAUAUUAAAAAUAUGUUGAGACUGCUUGUUGAAAGCAAUAUUCGCUUUUCCAUUAUAUCCAUAACUUUGAAUUGAUAAAGUUGUAUUCAGCAGCUCUUGAAAAGACUAAUUUAUUUUAACUAGUCAUAGAAAUAAGAGAGAAAAGGGGCUAUUUCUUGACUCAAAGUCAAUUAUAAUUAUCAAAACUUGAGGGGACAUCGCAUGCCUAAAUUCCACGCACCCUAAUACGGUUUGAUUUGCUUUCACGCGUUCAUGAAUUUCCAUGAAAGAGCCUGCCUUUCGUCUCUUUCGGGACAGUGACUACAAUAAUGGAAAAAAUUAUAAUUCUCGUUAGAUUGUAACCAAAUUAUUAUCCCUAAUUUUUUUAAGUUACAUAUAAUAAAAUUCAUGCUUAAGUAUUUAGUAAUUAGAGAGAGAUAGAGAGGAUUGAGGGCCAAUGUUUCGCGAUUUGGGGUCAAUUCAAAGUCAACUAACGUGAAAAACACGUGUAUGCAUAGAAAACGCUUAGAUUAUUUGUGUUCCAAGUGCAAGAAAUUAAGAAAAGAAAAAUUGAUUUCCUUUCAUGAACUUCCAAGAAAGAAAGAAGACCCUUCACCUUCUUCGUUACAACAAAUGAAUGAAUGAUGUUGAUAUGACAAAUACAAGCGCUAUUACAGGGAACAACAUAAGACUGAGACUUGAUAAAGUGUUUGUUAAAUUACAUGUUAUUUUCUUUUAACUUGAAUGAUGUUGAAAAUAAAAUAAAAUAAAAUUGUAAUCAGGGUGAUGUGUGGAAUAUAGUGAAAUAAAUAAAUAGAGAAGAGAAAUUUGUUGAUCAAUAUUAAAGACACAUCCAAAGUGAUCGUCAAAGUCUAGAGGUUCGGUAUGAUUAGCAUUUAUUUUAUUUUUUUUGGCUUAGCAUCAUAUAUAGUCACCUGUCGUGUGAUCUAGGACAGGUUUAGAAAUCCUUUUAUUUUAACUUCUGUAUUCUUAUUAUUUAAUUAGUUAUAGGGUUUUUAAGUAUUUGAGUAUUGAUCACAUGUCUCCUAAUCUAAAAAUAUGUUUUUACGAGUACAAAUAACAAACUAGGAUUUUAACAGCCUUUUAUACUAAACCCUAAAAAUACAUGAAUUUAUCAAAAUAAGUAAAUUAAUUUAAAUUAGUAUGGCAUAGUAGAAGUUUUACCUGCCGAAACAAAUUAAAAAAAUAUUACACUUAAAUCAAAUAUUGACAAAAAUAGAUAACAAUCUAAUGAGAAUCUUAACUAGACAUUUUUACUUCUAUCCAAUUUAACUGGAAUGAGAAUUAAGUCAUGUCAAUAGUUAGGACUCAUAACUCAUACACACUAAUUUGAGAGUGUGGGGUGUGACAAUGGGUCAAAAGACCAUUGACAAGUAUAAAAGAGUGGUCGUAAUUAAUUCAAACCGCUACACACGCUAUAUUGAGGGCCCACUUUUGUUUAUUUCGUUGAAAAGUAGUUUUCACAAUUAAUUCAAACUGCUACACAUGCUAUUGCGUUUUUUUUUUUUUUUUUUUUUUUGAAGGGAAGCAAUUUCAUUAAACCAAAACGAAUUACAGACUAUGUAAUAACCACAAAGGUGGAACGAAAUUCCACUCUUGGGGACCUGACAUAGAACCUACUGCCCUUGCAACAGAGUGAGCAGCCAGGUUCGUAGACCGACGUACAAACGAGAAUUGUACUUCUCCUAAAGACUUAGCUAAAGCUCGACAUUCAUCAACUAUUAAACCAAAACCGUUAGGCCCUGAAAACUCCUCAACUAGAGCUUGAAAUACUUGUAAACAAUCAGUUUCAACAAUGACACAAGGAAAUUGUAAGCCUUUAAGCCAACUAAGGGCCUCCCGAAUACCAAGAGCUUCAGCCUCCCUUGCUCCAAAAUUCCCAGCCAUUCCAGCACAUCUUGCUGUUAAGAAAACACCCUCUGAAUUUCGAAGCACACACCCAAAACCAAUAUUUCCCUGAGAUGAAAAGAUAGCAGCGUCAACAUUACGUUUGACCCAACCAAACUUUGGCCUCUCCCAACAUAUUGCCCCAUGGACCAGCUUAUGGACAUCAGUAUCAGCAUAGAAUUGUUGCUUCUUUGCUGCUUGCCACUGAUAGAGAAGUUGCCCAGCAGAAUUGAGCACUUGAUUCACUGAACCAGUUUUGUUAUUCCAUACUUUGUCAUUCCGAUUAAUCCAAACUCUCCAGCAGAUCAUCAUGGCAACAUGGCAUUCUUCUUUGCUGCAGCGUGUAAAGAUGUGAUCAAGCCACUCUAAGAAAGAAUAACAAUGGCCAACAAAACCCACAGAGGAAGAAAUCCAGCAAGCCUUAGCAACAUUACACUCAACCAACGAAUGGAGAAUAGUUUCAUCAGAAGCAAGACACACAGCACAAGUAGGGGGGAUAUUCACCCUCUUAGAAAUUAAAUUAACUGCAGUAGGCAGCACAUUAGUUGCCGCUCGCCAAACAAAAUUCUUAACCUUAUUCGGCACAUUCAAGUUCCAUAGUUUUCGCCACACAUCUGUGAAAGGGCCAGGGGUAAGAGAAUGUAAAACGUUAUAACAGCUACGGACUGAAUAGCAUCCGCGAGAAUCAGCCAACCAAUACCACACAUCAUCAUUUCGGCGGGAACUAAGGGGAAUUUGAAGAAUCAACUCCUUGUCUCUUGCGUUGAAAAGAUCCAAAACAAGAUCAUAAUCCCAAGCUCGUUGAUUAGGCACCAGUAAACUACUAACAGGAGCUGCAGCAAGCUCGGCAUGGAGAUUAGAAGGAACAAAUCCAUUAUUAGUAUCAGGAAGCCACGGAUCCUUACCAAUGAAGAUCGAAUUUCCACAGCCAACUUGCAGUCUACUCCCUUGAAUUACCACAUCCUUUGCAGCCAAAAUAGAGCGCCACAUAUAGCUAGGAUUAUGCCCCGCAGAAGCUUGAAGAACAGAGGUGCGCGGAUGGUAGCGAGCUUUAAUUAUCUUGGCCACAAGAGAUUCCGGACAAGUUAACAGCUUCCACAUUUCCUUUCCUAACAUCGCUAUAUUGAAUAAAUGAAGUUGUUUAAAACCAAGGCCACCAUAUCCUUUUGGUUUGCACAGAUUUUCCCAUUUGGACCAGUUUAAAAAAGAAAAAUGGAAUAGUUUUCCAAAAUUAAUUCAGAGAAGAAGAUUUACUAAUAAUGAUGUUAGAAAUCUUAAUAUUAUGUAUCACUCAUUUAUUAAAUAAUAGAUUUCAUAGUUUGUAAAUUUACUUAACCACUUGAUAAAUGUUAUAUUUGUUUGAAUUGAUCCAAUAGCUCUUGAAAAGCACAUAAUAAUCAUUAUAAAUUUAAUCAAAGACUAAGCAGGUCUUCUUUGCAUUUGAUCACUGGCAUUUCAGUUAAGUUUGUCAUUUAUUUAAAUUUUUCUUGCUUUCAAUUUCCACUGUUGUUUUUUUUAAUAAAAUAAUUUAUUUAAACUAGUCAUAGAAAUAAGAGAGAAAGGGCGCCAUUUCUUGACUCAAAGUCAAUUAUAAUUAUCAAAACUUGAGCGGACAUUGCAUGCCUAAAUUCCACGCACCCUAAAACGGUUUGAUUUGCUUUCACGCGUUCAUGAUUUUGCAUGAAAGAGAGUGCCUCUCGUCUCUUUCCGGACAGUGACUGCAAUUAUGUUAACGUGACGAAUACAAAACGUUAUUACAUACAAGAAUAAGUUUUUGGAGCCGAUACUUGAGGGAGGUUCUAUCUAAUUCUAAAGAUUGUAACCAAAUCAUUAUCCCUAAUUUUUUUAAGUUAAAUAAAAUAAAAUUCAUGCUUAAGUAUAAAUAAUUUUUUUAAGUUAAAUAUAAAAUAAAAUUCAUGAACUUCCUAGAAAGAAAGAAGACCCUUCACCUUCUUCGCGACAACAAAUGAUGUUGACAUGACAAAUACAAGCUCUAUUACAGGGAACAGCAUGAGACCGAGACUUGAUAAAUAUUAAAUAUAUAAAAUAAGUGGAGCAAACGAACAGAAUAAUAGAUUUUUAUAAUAUUCUUCAUAAAAAUCCAAGUUUUGAGCUGGCCUAUAAGCUUAUCUAGUGAAGUCUGGGUAUCCGCGUUGCCCAAGGUUCCGUUUGAAUCCAGGCCGUGUAGAUGUUUAAGACAUCGCAUAUGGACGGAGUGGAAAUAUUUUCAGUUGACUGAAUUAAAUAAAAAUAUAUUACAAUCAUAUUAUAUAUUAGCAGCAAAAAUAAAAAGAAAUGAAGAAAAACGCAUGCAAGACUUAGACAAGUCAAUUAAAAGCUGGGAGUAUCAUCAGUUCAAUUGAUUAUAAAUAGCGUAGAGCCAUCCUCUCGUUGUUGCAGAACUGAAGCAAAGAGACUCAGAAAGAGUGUGUGUAGGUGAUUAUAAUUAAGAAGAUAUAAUGUGUGGUUCAAAAAGAGUGUGGGUGAGUGAGUUAAUUUUCAUAUUAUUAGUAGUAAAAGGGUGGUGGAGUGAGGGAUGUUUGGAGCAAGAGAGGUCUGCUCUCCUACAACUCAGACAUUUCUUCAAUGAUGAUCAACUUCUUCAAAACUGGGUAGACGAUGAGUAUUAUUCAGAUUGUUGUCAGUGGGAACGGGUUGAGUGCAACGACACCACUGGAAGAGUGAUUGAAUUACAACUACUAGAAACUCGAAAACAGGGAUCAGCAGAGUGGUAUAUGAAUGCCUCUCUGUUUACUCCAUUUCAACAAUUAGAGUCUCUUGAUUUAAUGGGGAACAAUAUAGCCGGUUGUGUUGAAAAUGAAGGUCCUUAAUUUACUCUAUUUUAAUUCUUCCUCGUAAUUUCUUACAUUUAUCUGAUCCCUUUUGAUUUUUGUUUAAUUUAUUCGUGAUACAAUAAAAUUACUUUUUAUUUUUUGUCAGGUCUAGAUAGGUUAUCAAGGUUGAACAACUUGAAGUUUCUUUACUUAAACCUUAACCACUUCAACAACAGCAUCUUUUCAUCCAUAGGUGGUCUUUCAUCACUCAGACGCUUAUCAUUGGCUAGUAAUGAAUUGAAUGGAAGUAUUGAUAUUAAAGGUAAGCAAGCUUCAUCCCUUCUCCCGUGUCCCAUCUUUUGUGGAUCUUAUUUUAUUGACCGGCUGGAAGUAUUGAUAUAAGAUCUGGCUAGACUCUUGCUAGUUUAAGCUUCAAGGAUUUAAAUAUUAUAAAAAUAGGUUUAAGAAAUUAUCAAUAUAUGCAAUUUUCAAUGCUUCUCAUAAUCAGACACAAUUCAAUCUAAUUAUUUUGUAUGUCCUGUCUUCAAAAGUAAAGAAUUGUACACUAAAUGGAAAUCGACAUCGUAGCUUUUUAUUUUUUCUAAUGCUCUUUUUUCGUUAACGAGUUUAUAUCCUAAGAGGGAUUGGAUUGAAAAAAAAAAAAGUUUUGAUGUUCAAGGUAGGCCAUAAUAACCCGCAUCUUAUUUGUCUGCCUGUAUCUAAAUUUGUGCACUGAAUUUAGUAUUUUGGUUAUUGUGAAGGGAUCAGAUAUUGGCUUCCAUAGACCAACUUGUAUUUAGUUAAUUAAUUAAUUAACGACAUUUAAUAUUUAACAAAUUAAAAUUUCGUGUUUAAUCUAUUUUAAUUUUUUUAAGAAAAAAGAAAAAGAUAUAGCAAUAGGUAAAGCUAAAAUAAAUUUUAAUUCCUUACAAAUUUAAAUUCAUGGUUGUCAGCUAAAUAUACUUACUUAAAGCCACUCAGUCGAGCCCUUUGAGAGCUGCUUUAAAUUUUUAGCCAUAUUCUUUUCUUAUUAAUAAAAUUCUUUUCGCUGAGAUUUAACAUAAAAAAAGGAGAAAAUAAGUUAUUUAAUUAACUCUGUUUUAAGUGUUGGAAUAAAUACAGGACUGGAAUCCUUGAGUAACUUGGAGGAGCUGGGCAUGAGCGACAAUGCAAUCGACAAUCUAGUGGUUCCUAAAGGUAUACAAAAUGUUCAAAUAUUAAUAAUUUGGAGGACAGUUUAAUUGAUUUGAUUAGGGAAUGCCCAAUGACACUUACCCAAAAUAAUUUAAUCCGAAAUUGUAUCCCAAAUAGAUUACAGAGGUUUGAGGUAGUUGAAUACCUUUUAUUUGGGGAGGGGGGGGGGGGGGAGGGAGGGAAAUUGCAGUGAUAUAUGGAAGCAAGGUGUUGCAAUAAAUAAAGAAAUUCGUUGGUCAAUAUUCAAGGACUCAUCCAAAGUAAUCGUUAAAGUCUAAAGGUCUGCUCUCCUCCAACUCAAACAUUUCUUCAAUGAUGAGAAUUAUUCAGAUUGUUGUCAGUGGGAAGGGGUUGAGUGCAACAACACCACUGGCAGAGUGAUUAAAUUAGAUCUAGGAGCCACUAGAAAUCGGGAAUCAGCAGAGUGGCAUAUGAAUGCUUCUCUGUUUUCUCCAUUUCAACAAUUAGAAUCUCUUGAUUUAACUGGGAACAAUAUAGCCGUUUGUGUUGAAAAUGAAGGUCCUCAAUUUACUCUACUCUAAUUCUCCCUCGUAAUUUCUAGCAUUUAUCUGAUCCCUUUUAGCUUGUGUUUAAUUUGUACGUGAUACAAUAAAAUUAGGUUUUAUUUUUUAUUUUUUAUUUUUUGGCAGGUCUAGAUAAGUUAUCAAGGUUGAACAACUUGAAGUCUCUUUAUUUAGACUUUAACCACUUCAACAACAGCAUCUUUUCAUCUCUAGGUGAUCUUUCAUCACUCAAACACUUUUCAUUGGCUGGUAAUGAAUUGAAUGGAAGUAUUGAUAUUGAAGGUGAGUAAGCUUCAUCCCUUCUCCCGUGUCCCAUCUUUUGUGGAUCUUAUUUCAUUGAGCAGCUGGAGGUACUGAUGUUAGAUCUAGCUAGACUCUUGCUAGUUUAGGCUUCAAGGCUUCGAUUACUAUAAAAAUAGGUGUAAGAAAUCAUCAAUACAUGCAAUUUUCAGUGCUUCUCAAAAUCAGACACAGUUUAGUCUAAUUAUUUUGUAUGUCCCGUCUUUAAAAGUAAAGAAUUGUAUUGUAAUUGGAAAUCGACAACGUAGCUUUUCAUUUUCUGUAAUGCUCUUUCUUCGUUAACAAGUUUAUAUCUUAAGAGAGAUUGGAUUCGGAAAAAGUUUUCACGCUCAAGGUAAGCCAUAAUAACUUCUUUCUUCGUUAACAAGUUCAUUAGUUCAAUUGGCAACUGUUUUUUAAGUUUUUCUGGUUAGCCGUAUACUUUUUUGCUUAUUAAUAAAAUUCUUUUGCGCCGAGAUUUAAAAAUAAAGGAGGAGAAAAUAAGUUAUUUAAUUAACCUUGUUUUAAGUGUUGGCAUAAAUACAGGACUGGAUUCCUUGAGUAACUUGGAGGUGCUGGACAUGAGCUUCAAUGCAAUCGACAAUCUUGUGGUUCCUAAAGGUAUACAAAAUGUUCAAAUAUUAAUAAUUUGGAGGACAAUUUAAUAGAUUUGAUUAGGGAAUGCCCAAUGACACUUAUCCAAAAUAAUUUAAUCCGAAAUUGUAUCCCAAAUAGAUUACAGAGGCUUGAGGAAGUUGAAUACCCUUGUCUUAGGGGGAACGGAAAUUGCAAUGAUAGAUGGAAGUAAGGCGUUGCAAUCAAUAGGAUCACUACUGUCCCUCAAAACACUUUACCUUUUGUAUACUAAUUUUACAGGAACAGUAGUUAAUCAAGGUAAGUAAAUCUUUUAUGUCGAAAAUAAUUGAAUUAAUAUAUAUAGCUAAAAUUUAUUGUUUCUAUUUCUUUCUAAAUAGAAUUACACAAUUUCACCAACUUGGAAGAAUUGAUAUUGGUCGAGUCUGAUCUCCAUGUAAGCCAGCUUCUGCAAAGCAUCGCAUCAUUCACUUCGUUAAAGUAUUUGUCAAUGCAAGUUAGUGUACUCAAGGGUGCCCUGCAUGGUCAAGGUAAAUUACGGGUAUCUGAAGCUUUUGUGAUAUUAAUUCGAUAAUGAUUCUUUCUUUUCAAGUUUAUUUUCUCCCGUAAAAUAAUAUUUUUUUCUUUUAAAUUUUAUAUACUUUCACUGUCCAAUAGUUCUACCUUCUCUAAAUUGUAGGAUUCUUGAUUAAGGUUAAUGAAUUUUUAGUUCUGUUAUGUUAAGAAUAUUUCGAUCGCUUAGAAGAGUAAGGAAAAAUAAGUAAAUUAACCCAAAAAAGAGAAAAGAACAGGACCGGAUUAUCCUUAUUCCCUUGCAUUAUGUGAUCAAUAUCAAAAUUAUAACCAUUUCUUGUUUAUUGCUUGUAGAUUUUCAUAAAUUCAAGAAUUUGGAACAUCUGGACAUGGAUUGGGUGCAGGUUAACGUCAACACCAGUUUUUUUCAAAUUGUCGGCGAAUCGAUGCCUUCUCUCAAGUUUUUAUCACUGGCAAAUUCAAGUCUUAAUAAAAACACCAUUCUUGAUCAAGGUUAAUUAAUGAUUCUCCUUCUCCCUCUCUCGCAUCAUAACUAAAUUUAAUUGAGAAUAUCUAUAAUGCUAGCUAUUUAUAAACUUAAUGAAAGUUGAUGAGGAGCCAUAUUAAUGACAAAAACAACUGUAAAAUAGUGCGCUGUUGUAGCGUUGAUUGAAAAAUAAUGCUAAUGUUUUACUUAACAACACUAUAAGUGAUCAAACUUAAUUUUUAAUGUGUACUUUAAAGAUUUUAUGCAAUUAUUUAAGUUUUAUGCAAUUAUAUUUUUCAGGACUUUGUCGGUUAGUGCAUCUGCAAGAGUUAUACAUCAGCGGUAAUGAUUUGAGAGGUAGCUUGCCAUGGUGCUUGGCAAACAUGACAUCCCUCCAAGUGUUAGAUGCCUCUUCUAAUCAACUUACUGGAAACUUUUCCCCAGGCCUUUGUGAGUUGGUGCUUCUGAGAGAGUUAUACAUUCACAACAAUGAUUUAAGAGGUAGCUUGCCUUUGUGCUUGGCAAAUUUGACUUCCCUUCGAGUAUUAGAUGUCUCUUACAAUCAACUUACUGAAAACAUCUCAUCUUCCCUCAUGCAUCUAAUAUCUAUGGAAAAGCUCAUACUUUCAAAUAAUCACUUCUUCCAAAUCCCUAUUUCACUUAAACCACUUUUCAAUCUCUCAAAACUCAAGACUUUCGAGGGUGAAAUAUGCGCAGAAACUGAGUCACAUUAUAAUUCUUUGACCCCAAAAUUCCAAUUGACUUCUAUCUCACUGUCUGGUUACAUAGAUGGUGGCACAUUUCCCAAAUUCUUGUACCAUCAGCAUGACUUGAAGAAUGCUGAUCUCUCACACCUUAACUUGAGUGGAAAUUUUCCAAAUUGGUUGGUAGAUAACAAUACGAACUUAGAGACGCUUCUUCUUGCCAACAACUCUCUUUUUGGAUCAUUUCGGAUGCCAAUUCAUUCCCACCAAAAAUUGGCAAAAUUGGAUGUCUCCAACAAUUUCUUUCAAGGCCAUAUUCCGGUGGAAAUCGAAACAUAUCUGCCAGUCUUAAUGGGUUUAAACUUAUCUAGAAAUGCUUUCAACGGUAGUAUUCCCUCUUCAUUUGCUGAUAUGAAAAUGUUGGAAAGGUUGGACAUAUCCUACAAUCAGUUGACUGGUGAAAUCCCUGAGCGCAUGGCCACGGGUUGCUUCUCAUUGGAAAUUCUUGCAUUGUCAAACAACAGUUUGCAAGGUCAUAUAUUCUCUAAAAAAUUUAACUUGACAAAUUUAUUAAGGUUGCAGUUGGAUGGUAAUAAUUUCAUUGGAGAGAUCCCAGAAAGCUUAUCUAAGUGCCGUUUGUUAGGAGGAUUAUAUCUGAGUGAUAAUCAUCUCACUGGUGAGAUUCCAAGAUGGUUGGGUAAUUUGUCAUUUUUACAAGAUAUUAUAAUGCCCAAUAACAAUCUUGAAGGGCCAAUUCCAAUCGAGUUUUGUCAGCUUGAUUCUCUGAAGAUUUUAGACCUUUCAAACAAUAGUAUUUUUGGAACUUUACCAUCUUGUUUUAGUCCAGCAUCUAUCGAACAAGUUCAUUUGUCGAAAAACAAGAUAGAAGGACGGUUGGAAAGUAUAAUCCAUGACAGCCCCAAUUUGGUGACAUUAGAUCUCAGUUAUAACCGCUUACACGGAAGUAUUCCAAAUCGGAUUGACAGACUACCUCUGUUAAGCUACCUUCUUUUAGCUAAUAAUUAUAUUGAAGGCAAAAUACCAGUUCAAUUAUGCCAGUUGAAGGAAGUGCGGUUGAUUGAUCUUUCUCAUAAUAAUCUAUCUGGUCAUAUUCCUCCUUGCUUGGUUAACACUUCACUCAGUGAAGGUCAUCAUGAGGCAAUAGCUCCAACUUCUAGUUCGCGGGAUCAAGCGUCUGCCUCUGUACUUCCAUCUGAGGCUCCAAAUGGAUCUCCGAUGGGAAAGGAAGAAACUGUACAGUUCACAACAAAGAAUAUGUCCUACUAUUAUCAAGGAAGAAUUUUGACGAGUAUGUCUGGGAUUGAUCUUUCUUGUAACAAACUGAUAGGUGAGAUUCCUCCUCAAAUUGGAUAUCUUACAAGGAUUCAUGCGCUAAAUCUAUCUCAUAACAAUUUGACGGGCACAAUCCCGACAACAUUUUCAAACCUGAAGCAAAUCGAAAGCUUGGACCUCUCCUACAACCUAUUGCAUGGGAAAAUCCCUUCUCAGCUCACUGUGCUAACUACAUUGGCGGCCUUCAGAGUAGCAUACAAUAACUUAUCAGGCAAAAUUCCGGAUAGAGUUGCACAAUUUUCAACUUUCGAGGAAGAUAGCUAUGAGGGGAAUCCUUUUCUUUGUGGAUGGCCACUGUCUAAAAGUUGCGAUGAUAAUGGAUUAACAACAGUGACAACAGAAGCUUACACUGAAAAUGAAGAAGUUGAUAGUUUAAUUGACAUGGACAGUUUCCUGAUCACUUUUACAGUAUCUUAUGGAAUUGUGAUAUUAGGAAUUAUUGGAGUUUUGUACGUAAACCCCUAUUGGCGGCGAAGUUGGUUUUACCUUGUUGAAGUAUGUAUGACCUCUUGCUACUAUUUUGCAGCAGACAAUCUUGUUCCUAGAAAAUUCUAUGGUGGAUGGAUGUAAUUUCAUUACAUUACAACUUAUAUGUAAUUUUCAAAGAAUUUUCUUUUGCAUGCAUGGAAUAGCAACUCAAUAAAAGUAUUUGAUGCAAAUUGUCCAAGAACAACUUAGUAAUUUCAUUGCUACUAUUCGGUUGUAUGUAUACAGUUAAUGAAAUUUUUAACCAUUCGCAGAAUACCCUUAGGAAUUUCUUUAGAUGGCGGCAAAAAACUAAGAGAUUCGGGGCUCUACACGGUCUGAAUGAAGAUUAACUUAAUGCCCUCAGGAUUAUGUGUAAGUUCUCUUUUAAAUUUAAGGGGUUGAGAUUUCAGGUCCGGAUGAAAGUUGAAUGCAGGUGACGAGACUUCACUGGGACAAACUUAAAAUAAAAAAUUAUAGUCCACAGUAAGAGCAAUGGGUAGCUUAACUUAUGGAAGAUAACUAGAACUUGGAAUAACUUAAAUUAGCUAUAAAAUUAAGACCAUUAUACAACUAAAAAGAAAGAAAAAUUGUUUGCUACUACAUAUCAAAACUAGUAAUAGCAAUGAAAGAUGGCAGACUUCUUACUUAAACAGAUGAGAGGCUACAAAUAAAAAAUUUGUGCAAAUAAAUAUAUGAUAAAGAGCAUAAUACUUUCUUGGGGGCUAAAAAUAAUAUACAACUUGUGAAAUAUAAAUUGAGCUACCGUUACCUUUUAGAUGUGGCAACUUUCGACUUUUGAGGCACUUUGGAAUAUGCAUUCAGAAUCCUGCAUUUGGAAGCCAAAUAAAUAAUGUUAAUAACAAUUUUACAAUAGAAAAAUUAAAAAUUGAUAAAUGGCAGUUGUAAUUUAUGUAUGUGUAAAGAUAGCAUCACAUCCAGGGUCCUCCCAUAAACAUGCUUGUAACAAGAAUUAGUUUGCCUCAACUGCUAGCAACUAUACAAUAGUAAAAAUCACUCUUAUGAACUCAACAAUACUAGGCACCAAUAAGAGUAUGAUACAGCCAUUCUAAAUGGAAGAGAAUACAACUGUUUUACAACUAUGUUGCAUCAGGAGAUAUGUUAGGAGUUUUAAUCCAGAUACCUUCCAACCCAAUUAGGAAAACUCGAGUCAGAAACCAGGAGCUGCAACCGAACCUUACAAUCUUGAAGGAAGAAGGAGACUUGGGGCAUUUUUCUAGAUAGGUGACUUACUAGAUCUACUGCCAAGAAAAUAUCUAUUGCUUUGAACCUCCAUUGAAAUUUCUUUUCCCUUUUUCUUAUUUUGACUUGGAACUUUCCAGCAUCAUCUAUUUGAUCUUUUUUAAAGCUAAAAUAGCAAUCUACGGGUUGUCAACAUCUUAUCCCCCCCCCCCCCCCCCGAGGGGCCCCCAAAAAAAAAAACAUCAAUGAGUUGUCAAUAAAUAGCGCCUACUCAACUUAUGUUCUCCAAUGGAUGACAAUGUGCAAAUCGACCUAGCAGCCACAUUUUUCCCCCCUUUCAACCACCAUUAGGCAACUUUUCUAACCUUUCUUCAUUGCCCACGUCUACAGAACUAUCAUAUAAAGACUACAAGAUAGACGCACGGUAUCUAAAUAAUUGUACCAACCCCCUCUCCUGAUUGUCAUAAAACGGCCAAUAUUUAACGCUCGACAACAAAAUUGCAAAUACUCUAGCCUCUAUAUUAUUGGCAUAUAAAUAUUUUCGGUUAGGUACAUUAUAUUCUUCGUUCUAAAACCUCAAUUAUUAGCUAGUACUGUGAUAAAAUGAUUCAUCACUGAAAUUAAAACUAGUUCACGUACAAAUAAUCAAAACUGAAAUAGAAGCAACGAUAAACCAACCUGUAUUACGUCGAUUCAUCACAACAAACUGAAAUCGAGGCUGUGUGUUCCUGAAAAUUGAAAAAAAUAAUAAUUUCACCAACUUCAUAUGUAAUACAAUCUCCAAAACACUGAAUAUCAAAUGAAAAAAUGGAAAGCAUAAGAUAGAAAAGAAUCUAAUUUUAUUGACCUUUUGACGACGACGAGAGAGCCUUCAACAUCCUUACGACUCCAUUGGCUGAGGUCGAUGUUGAACUCGUAGAAGGUGACAUGAGCGGCCGUGAUGAGGAUCUCCUCAAUGAAUGGAUCGAUUCGCUGAAGAACUGUCAGGUUCAGGAGUUUUGUGCUCUGCUGGUCCAGAUUAAGCAUCAAUUUUCCGUUAUGCGACAUUUUUCAUAGUCGUUUUGGGCUCUGCCCCGAGCACAAGCCCCAGGGUUUUUCUGUGAGCUCUCUCUUUUGUAAAUAAAGUGUUUGAUGAGAUAGCCGAGAGAGAGUGAAAGUGUUGAACAGCCAAACACGGUCUCGAGAUUGAUCUUCCUUUAACUUCUUUUAAACAUUUGGGAAAUAGCAUUUAUUUCUUUUAGUUUCUCUACUUUUUUUUUCCUUUAUGUCAUUUAGACCCCAAAAUUAGAUUUAUUAUAAUCCUAUUUUACCCAUACACUAUUAACCCCUUUUAUUUUUAAAAUUUGUCAAUAUUAAUGUGUUAGAAUAAUGUUAAAAAUCUCAAUUAUUAUCUCAAUGUUUCAAUCAUAACUAAUGUGAUGACUCAUUGGUAACUGCAACAUUAACUUAAUUAUUAAUGUAACACAAUAAAAGUUUGCCACUUCGGCAUUGGUCGGAGUGGUGGGAUGCUUGUGAGGGCAGCGGUUCAAGCCCCCACAAAAGCAUUUGUGGGGGCUAACGUUGUGGGGGCUAACGUGCUUAUUUGUUUAAUAUUUCAAAAAUUUCCUCUCCCUCGUGCAAUACGAGUGGAGUAUGGACAUCCCUCUUCUGUAAGGGAUUAUUUGUCUGGGCAUGUACUUCACAGAAUUCAAUGUAAUAAUAUAAGUCCCAAUCAUGUAUUUCUGAUUGUAAAUAUCAGUGUAAUAUAUCUGCUGUUGAUGCGAGAUUCUGGUUCUCCUCGUUCUACGACCAGGAUCUCUGCUCGAUCAACUUUACCACGACCAGGAGGUCUCCUAGUAAUGCUUCUUCUCCAGAUGUCCCUGCACACACAGACAAGUCAGAGUACGCCGGUUGUUCUCCCGGCGCAAACCCUCCGACGCUCAAGUCAGAUAUGAAGGUUCGGGGAACGCUUGCCACAGGUCUUAUGGCUUUUUCGUGGUUUUCUCUUUUAUCUUAAAAAUGCUAACCCUUUUACCUUCGUUGGCUACCUUUUUAUAGGCUUCUCCGAAUCCCCGUUUUCCGCUUUUUGCCAGACGGUAUGGGACUCUGACUGCUGCGUCAUGGGCGAAGGUGGGAUCUUGCGUGUUACGCCACGGUUCUGGGGAAAGCGUGGCUGUCGUGCCUAGAUUCUCGGGCUGGAGAGCAUGUCUUGCCAACUGCCGUCGACCGGGUCUCCUCGCUUCUCGACCUCUAGCCGGAAUGAUCUUAUGCCUCUUACAGGAAAUUGACCUCGCGGAUGACGUGCUCGUGGACGAGCAGGAUAUUUCUGCUCCUGUUCCCCCGCGCAUCAGGCUUUUACGGAACACACCGGCUCGAGGAACUCUGCCCCCAGAUAUCUGCUCACCAUGCCUGGUCUCGUCGACGUAUUUCUCCUAAACACCGGUCCCCCAGUUUCUGGUGUUGGGUAAUGUAGUGGACCAGCAGUAGAAACUCGAUAGUACUCGCUCACGUGGGACUGGAAAAGGCUGCCAAGAGUCGUGUCGCAUUUAAUUGCGGACGGGGUGACGUGGCGAAAAUCCCCCCCUCCAUUUGAAUUUCAAACCGACGGUUAUGAGGCCCUCGGGAUUCGGCGCUGUUAAAUGCUGGCAACCCAAGAGUCCGUCCCCAUUAGAAAAACCAAAUCCUCUCGAACGGCAUAUUCAUCAUCCACUACGUCUCCGUCUCUGUCUCUCCGGCAAAGAAGUUCCGGCAUAAAAGUCCUCCAUCUCUGAUUUUCACCGACUGAACCAUUACUUCAGGUAUUUCUUCUAUCUCCUUGGCCUCGGAUAGUUGUAGAUAAUUUCUCUUUUCUUCUGUUUGGGUAGUAGUUGGUGGUGUUGUGGUUAGAGCUUAGGGAAUGUCGAAAGGCAAAGAGAAGGUCAUUGAGGUUGACGACGACGAGUUGGACUUCCUGCCUAGUCUGCUCACCGACCCUGCUUUUGACCCCGGGAUUCCCUUAGAGCCCACUAGGUCUAGUGUCGGGACUAGUGCUAGGAGGAUGUCUCCCCAAACAACCUCUACGAGCGGAAGUAGUGGUGAGGAGAGAUCUUCUGACUCUGAGGAUACGUUGAGUGAGAAUGGCGAAGGUGAUUCUGGUGAGGUGUCUCCAUCUAGAACAUCACGACCAGGAGAACGGGGUACAGUAGGAGGCAGAGCCUUGUCGCGCGAUUAUGCCAUUGAUUACAUGACGUGCACGACCUCGUUUGACGAGCUCAAGGACCUCCGGCUUAGGUAUAGCAUUCCUGGUGAGAUACCUCUCAAGGUCCCAGGAAAGAAGGAUGCUCCCAGCCGGCCUCCUAGGGGAUACGUUACCCUGUUUUUAGAGAGCUUUAAGUACGGGCUGAGGUGUCCCUUGCAACCCUACUUUGCCCGGAUACUUAACGGGCUAAACCUAUCUCCUGGUCAGCUGAAUCCCAAUGGGUGGAGAGUGCUCUCUGGUCUGUUCAUAUUGUGGGACAGAUGUUGCCAGAGCGAGCCCACGGUUGAUGAGGUGAGACACCUGUACCAGCUAAAGAGCAGCCCCAAAGAUGCCGGCUGGUACUACUUCCAAUCUAGCACCAAGAGCAGGAAACCUAUAACCGACCUCCCCACUGGUGGUGGUGGGAAUUGGAAGAGAAAGUUCUUUUUUGCUGGGGGUCCUUGGGGUCAGGUUGCACAAAUGAACGGGAAGGAUUAUCGGGUCCCACCCCGUUUCACGGUCCCAGGUUGCCUGCUUGCUUUUAGAUGUCUUGUAUCCAUAAGUGUUCUUGCUUUAUUGGCUUGUCUCUAACCAAGUGUCUGUUUGUGUUGUAGUUUCUUGGGGUGUUCACUUCCCGCUCCCACCCGACCAGCUCAAACGGGUCGAGGAUGUGCUCGCCAAUUCCUGCUCGAGCCGGGAACUGUUAACUACGUACAACUUGCUCGAGUCUCGCUUGAUACUUCCUGGCCAUAGGAUGGAGGACGCUGUGAUUGGGGCUCUGACCCGAAAACGUUCUCGACCCCCAACCACGAAGAGGGACCAGAGUAAGGAUGCCCCUGUGGCAAAGCGGGCCAACAUCGUGCAGCAGGUCCCACCCUUGAAGAUUUUACCUCCUGCUCCCGUAAAAAUUGGGGAAGCUGGUGGAGCUGCCACAGAUCCUGCUUCCUCUCCUCCUCCUGUCGGGCCCCGAUCUCACUUACCUGACAGCCGAGCAGAACAUCUGGUCCUCUACUUCAAUGAGUUAACUAAACUCGUGAGCAGGAAGGAUCUGGAGGACUUUGACGGCCGCACCUUGGGUGAGUUGGUGGGGGCCAUGCAGCAUAGCGCUUUCCACCUCAGCUGCAUGACCACCUAUUACAAGGCUAAGGUUGGCCGCUAUGACCGGAAGAUGAAGGAGGAUAUUCAAUCGGCGACGACCAGAGCUGACGUUGCCGAGAAGAAAGCAGGGGAGCUGAAUCUCGAGAAUCUGAAGCUGAUGGAGCAAGAAUCACUUGCUCAAGCAAAAGCCAUCGCCCUCGAGGAGGAGCUUAUCAAGGUCAGGGAGGAUCUGCAAAGGCAGAAGACAAUGUAUGAGGCUCAGCUCGAAUCUCUUCGCGACUCCCACCGAGCUCAGGCCGAGAACUUGGAGAGGGAGGCCGACAACCAGUACGACCAGGGACUUCGGUAUUCCUAUCGUUGCAUCAUGGCCGUCCUCGGGAAGCAACACCCUGAUCUGAAGAUGGGUGACCUUGCGGCUGGUGUUGCUCAACAUAUGGACGAGGAGGCGGCCAAGGAGGAUGCCAAAGGGGUAGAGCCGAUCGUGAUAGAGGAGGAAAACUCUCCUCCUCAUGUAGUCCCUGCUGAUGUUGGCGAGGCGAGCACCCACCCCAAUGCCUCUAGUGAUACCCCUCCUGCACCUGAGGAGGUCCAGCCAACCGAUGCCGCUGGGCUCACUGAUCCACCAUCUUCUUGAUAUAUUUCUUGUAUUGUAAUGACAAUGUUUAUGAAGAUUAUUCCCUCUGUUAAUUAUUAACAAAUUAAUAAAAAUGUUUUUGAUCACCUUCUUGUGUCGUAAUUACGAAUUAAUUUUCGUUUGAGAAUCUGCUUGUCUUUGUCUAAACGAGCAGGUUCCGGCUUGGCUCAUGGUUUUGCCACAUGCCUUUGAAGAUUUUUCAAUGCUUGGGAUUCGGUUUGCCUUCGCGCAGUUGAGCAGAUCCUGGCACGCUUGGCUUCUGUCUCGCCAUAAGAUAGGCUUUGAGACUUGACGAGCCUUUGCAUGCCUUGGAUUCUUCAAAGCUCAGGAUUCUGCUGCCUUCUCGUGGCCGAGCAGAUCCUGGCAUGCUUGGCUUCUGUCUCGCCAUAAGACAGGCUUUGAGACUUGACGAGCCUUUGCAUGCCUUGGAUUCUUCAAGGGUUGGGAUUCUGCUGCCUUCUCGUGGCCGAGCAGAUCCUGGCAUGCUUGGCUUCGGUCUCGCCAUAAGACAGGCUUUGAGACUUGACGAGCCUUUGCAUGCCUUGGAUUCUUCAAGGGUUGGGAUUCUGCUGCCUUCUCGUGGCCGAGCAGAUCCUGGCACGCUUGGCUUCUGUCUCGCCAUAAGACAGGCUUUGAGACUUGAUGAGUCUUUGCAUGCCUUGGAUUCUUCAAGGGUUGGGAUUCUGCUGCCUUCUCGUGGCCGAGCAGAUCCUGGCAUGCUUGGCUUCUGUCUCGCCAUAAGACAUGCUUUGAGACUUGACGAGCCUUUGCAUGCCUUGGAUAAUUUCUUGGUUUCAAGCGUAAAAUUGCUUCAUUAAUGGCAGGAUUCGACUUACAUAAAAUUGUUUGGGACAUAAAGCGUAAAAGAUAAACGAUAAUGAGCAUGAGCAGAAAUAGCUCUCAAAUGUGAACAAAUCUUACUGGAAGUAUUUUCGGAGGUGUGCUGCGUUCCAUGGGCGUUUCACCUCGUGGCCGUCCGCGCGAACCAGCCUGUAAGCUCCGGGUCCCGCUAUCUGCUUGACUCUAUAUGGCCCUUCCCAAUUCGGUCCCAGCACUCCUUGAGUCGAAUCUUUGGUGCUCUGAUUCACUCUUCUCAGUACCCAGUCUCCGACCCUGAAUUGCCGUAUGUUCACCUUCUGGUUAUAAUACCGAGCAACCCUCUGUUGGUAAGUGACUGAUCGCUCGGCUGCUUGCUCCCUCCUUUCCGUCAGCAGAUCAAGAUUCAAACAUAUCUGCUCGUCGUUCUCCUGCUCAUUGAAAUGAUCUGUCCGGUGUGUGGUCGUUCCUAUCUCAGCCGGCACGACCGCUUCGUGUCCGAAAGCCAAAGCGAACGGUGUCUCCCCCGUUGCGGUUUUGUGGGUUGUUCUGUAUGCCCAUAGCACACCUGACAGCUCGUCAACCCACGCACCCUUUUUUGCACCAAGCCUGGUUUUCAAAAGCCUCUUGAUGGUCUUGUUGGCUGCUUCUACUUGUCCAUUCGAUUGAGGGUGAGCAGGCGAGCAAUACUUCAGCUCUAUCCCGAGGUUCUGGCAGAAAUCCCUGAAGCUGUGAUUAUCGAACUGCCUGCCAUUAUCCGUUACCAAGGCAUAAGGGAUCCCGUAUCGACAGACCAGGUUUCUCCACACGAAGUCUGUUGUUUUCUUCUCCGUGAUCCUGCUAAGGGCUUCCACCUCUAUCCACUUCGUGAAGUAAUCUAUAGCAACUAUUGCAUGUGUUGCUGCUCCUCGUCCUUUUGGCAAUGGGCCGAUCAGAUCAAUUCCCCAUUGAGCAAACGGCCAAGGGGAGGCCAUAGAGGUGAGCUUCUCUGGUGAUUGGUUGGAGAAAUUUACAAAACUCUGGCAGCUUGCACAACCCCUGGUCUUCUUUUGCGCAUCCUGGUGCAUUGUCGGCCAGAAAUAUCCCUGCCUUAGGACCUUGUGGGCCAGGGACCUCCCGCCAGAAUGAUUUCCGCAAAUUCCUUCAUGUACUUCUCUCAGCACGUAAUCCGCGUCGUCGUCAUCCAAACACCGAAGGAACGGUAAUGUGUAUCCUCGCCGAUACAGUACCCCAUCGAUCAUCGUGUAUCUCGAGGCCUGAGCUCUAAUCUUCCGAGCUCGCAGCUUAUCUGGUGGUAAUACCCCGUCUCUAAGGUAUGAAACUAUCGGGUCCCUCCACGAGCAUUUUUGUUCUAUCCGCAACACCCCCAAAUUCUGCUCGAUACUUGGGCUGGACUUCACUUCUAGAGGGACGGACUUUGGCAUUUUUGGGUCGGCUACUGCUGCCAUCCUAGCCAAAAUGUCUGCUCGACUAUUCUGCUCCCUGGGGAUUUGUAUCACCUCCACUGCUUCGAACUUCCCCAUCAUCUGCCUGACUAUCUUCAGGUACUGUUCCAUCUUCUCCUCUCUUGGUUGGAAUCUUUCACUGACAUGAUUCGCAACCAGCUGGGAAUCAGUUCUGAUCUUAACUCUGUCUGCUUUCACGGCCCUAGCCAAUUCCAGGCCUGCUAUCAAGGCUUCGUACUCUGCCUGGUUAUUUGUGACUGCAAAUUCCAACUUUACAGCAUAAGAGAUCUCCUCCCCCUCUGGGCCUUCCAGGACAAUCCCUGCUCCUGAACCCCGCUCCCCUGAUGACCCAUCUACAGACAUCUGCCAUACUUGAGUUUCGUCAUUGCCUAUAACUGCAUCUUGUUGACCUAAGCAUGUUUCGGGCUCUGUGAAUUCAGCUACGAAAUCGGCCAUUGCCUGGGCCUUUAUCGCUGCGCGGGGUUUAUAGUCUAUGUCGAACUCGCUCAGCUCUACAGCCCACUUGACGAGCCGCCCAGAGGCAUCUGGCUUGUGCAGAGUCUGACGCAAUGGCUGGUCUGUUAUUACCGAGAUCGGGAAGGCUUGAAAAUAUGGCCUCAACUUCCGAGCAGCAACCACAAGGGCAAGUGCCCAUUUCUCCAACGGUGGGUACCUGGUCUCAGCGUCGAGCAGGGCCUUGCUGGUGUAGUAUAUCGGAUACUGAACUCCUUCUUCCUCUCUCACCAGAACAGAACUGGCGGCCCGAUCCGAUACCGCCAAAUACAGAUACAACUUGUCCCCAUUCCUCGGUGUGGACAGCAGCGGAGCUUGCUGCAAGUAUUGCUUCAAGUUCCGGAAGGCUUCCUCGCAUUCUGGGGUCCAUUCUGUUUUCUUUCCCCUCCUUAUCACUUGAAAGAAUGGCUGACACUUAUCUGUAGCUUUGGAUAUGAAUCUGCUCAACGCCGCCAACCUCCCCGUGAGGCCCUGCGUCUCCUUCAGGUUACGAGGAGACGUCAUUUGCACAAUCGCCUGGAUUUUCUCGGGAUUUGCUUCAAUCCCCCUAUGGCUCACCAUGAAUCCCAGGAAUUUCCCUGACUCGACCCCAAAAGCACACUUCUCCGGAUUGAGCUUCAUCUUAUACUUCCUCAAAAGCUCGAAUGUCUCCUCGAGGUGUCUGACAUGUUCCUUCGGGAUCUUGGACUUGGUGAUCAUGUCAUCCACGUACACCUCCAUGGUUUUCCCGAUCAACGGCUUAAAGACUUUGUUCACCAGCCUUUGAUAGGUGGCCCCAGCAUUCUUGAGACCGAAUGGCAUCACCCUGUAACAGAACAAACCUUGGUUAGUGAUGAAAGCCGUGCUCUCCUCAUCCUGCUCGUACAUGGGGAUCUGGUUGUAUCCCGAGAAUGCGUCCAUGAAGCUAAGCAGACCAUGUCCAGCUGUUGAAUCUACUAGCUGAUCGAUCCUUGGUAAAGGGAAGCUGUCUUUUGGGCACGCCUUGUUGAGGUCUGUGAAAUCCACACACAUCCUCCACUUGCCGUUUGCCUUCUUUACCAACACCACAUUUGAUAUCCACUCUGGGUAACUGACUUCCCGAAUGAACCCUGCUCUCAGGAGCUUCUCCACCUCGUCAUUUACAGCCUCAUACCUCUCCUGGUUGAAGCACCUCCUCUUCUGCCUUACUGCCCGAGCACCUUUCUUUAUUGCCAGCUUAUGACACGCUACCUCAGGGUCAAUCCCUGGCAUGUCUUCAUGUGUCCAGGCAAACACAUCAGCAUGAGCCUGUAAGCAUUUCACCAACUCCUGCUUUUGCUCUCCCUUCAGUCUCGACCCGAUUCUGAUCGUCUUUCCCGGGUUCUCUGGUCCCAUGCUUACCGUUUCCAGAUCCUCUACAGGUUCUUGUCUGCCAGUCUUGUUUUCUACUCGGGUAUCGAAGGAUGUUAUCUGCAUUGCCUCCCUUGCUGCCGAGGAGUAGCAGCUUCUUGCGAUCCUCUGGUCUCCUCGUACCACUCCUACUACCCCAUUCACCCGGUACUUCAGAGCCAGAUAAUGGUUGGACAAUACCGCUUUGCUCAUCCUUAAAAACGGCCGACCUAGGAUCAUCUGGUAAGGACCUUCCUCAUCCACUACGACAAAGUCCAGUAUCAUUGUUCUUUCUGUUAGGGGGCUCCCAAUUGUGAUAGGUAGUUCGACCACGCCCAGGGGAACCAGCUUCCCUCCUCCGAACCCCUUCAAGGAGGUGUUGGUGUAUUCCAACUUCCGGUCGGCUAUUCCCAUCUCUUCCAGGGUUGACUUAAAUAACACAUCAACUGAGCUCCCUGUAUCAACCAGUAUCCGGUCAAACUUCUUGCUAGCGACCGUAGCCUUGAUGACUAAGGCAUCCUCGUGGGGGUAUAGGAUCCCUUCCUCAUCCUCAUCCGUCCACAUGAUUGGCACUUGCCUGACCCUUGCCCGUUUGGCUGCUGGGGUGUUGAGGAGUACCUCUUUACUGGUCAUGGCGUACCUAGCAUAAUUUUUUCUCGAUCUGUUUGAAUCUCCGGCCAACGUUGGGCCCCCCGCUAUCACCCUUACUGCGGGCUGCUCGUGCCUCAAGAUUCUAUCACUCUGCUCCCCUUCAUCUGUUGUGGCCACCAUCGGGAAAGUCCCAUCCAUAAACUCGUCCAGGUACCGAUUUCUCACCAAAUCUUCGACUUGGGUCUUGAGAUCUCUACACUCUGCUGUGGUAUGGCCAUGGGUGCCAUGGAACUUACAAUAACGUCCUCUAUCCCUCCUGUUGGGUAGCUUUGUUAUUGAUGUAGGGAGGUGCAGCAGCCCUCGAUCCUUUAUAGCCUCGUACACCUCAUCCAGGGACAUCUUCAAGGGAGUGUACCGCCCAUAGUCCUGGUGCUGGUCGAUCCGAUGUACUGCUCUUUCUCUGUUUGUCCCGCUCUGAGUUGGGGGCGGUAGAAGUACUUCUGGUCUGCUCGUCCUGCUACCGUGGGAAUGUUGAUGAAGACCACCAGAUGCCGGAUCAUUUCUUGUCCAAGGUUCCCUAGCUGGGGAACGAGGAGGUUGCGCCCUGCUGCGCUGAUACUGUGGUGGCCUCUGAUGAGGCUGGUAAGCAGUGACCCUGCCUCCUGCUCCACUACCGGAGGCCUGGUGGUCCCUCCUCCUGAUCGGCCCGUUCCCUGGUAAUGCUUUCAUCUCUCUCCUCCCCAACCCUUCUAUCUGGUCUGUCUUGAUCCGUGCAGCCUUCUCCUCUUCAAUCUCGAUGUCUCUUUUAGCCUGUUCGUAUGCGGCCGCAUACGUUUGAAUAGCUGGGCUUCUCAAAUUGUACCACAGCCUUCCUAUCUUCACCCCUUCUUUCAAUCCCCUUAACGCCUGAGGGUGGUUGAAGGCUCCCAAGUCGAGGACAGCCCGAUGAAACCUCUUGAUGAAUUCCGGAAGGGUUUCUUGCUCCCCCUGUUUCAUGCUUUUUAGCUCCAUCAUGUCAUCUUCCGGUGACAUUGCCCUACUGAACUGCUCCGCGAAUUCCUGGCACAUCUGCUCGAAGGUUUUAAUGCUGCCCCGAGGAAGUUUCAUGUACCAUUCUCGUGCACGUCCCUCAAGGGAUAGUGGGAACACCCUGCACCUUUGGGAUUGAGAUAAUCCUUGUACCCCAGUUAUGUCGUUGAAGCGCUCUAUGUGCAUCAGCGGGUCAGUUCUUCCCGUGUAUCUGAAGUCGGGGAGGCGGAAAUCUCUCGGAAUAACUGCCCUCAUGAUCUCUGCUGCGAGCGGUGAUUCUCCGUCCAGCAUUAUCCUCCAACCAGGGGCUCUGUUCCUCCCUUGCAUAUCGUCAAUUAUCUGCGCUAGUCUGCGCACUUCCUCCUCCAGCUGCCCUGCACGACCAGGGUCACGUGCUGCAACUUGAUCCCGCUCUUGCUCUACAUCUUGCAAGUGUUGCCUCAACUCGGUUUCCUCUGCAUUCACCACCCCGUCGUCCGCGUCACAAGUCUGUCUUGCCGGGGACCGCUCUCUUUCUCUAUGAAAUUCUCCCCGUAGAGGUGCGUUACCUCUCUCACCACCAAAUCUCCCUGUGGUUUGACUUCUCCCCGCACUAUCGGGACCUGGUGCCACUCCACCGCCUCUCACCCUUCCCUCUUGAGUUACCCUUCGCUCGCUCCGUAGCUCAUGCAGGAUGGUUGUCAAGGUCUCCAUCUGCUUUUCCAUCCGUUCCAUCCGGUCGAACAUGACUUUUCCCGUGCUUCACUGACUAUCUCCCUCAGCGUCACGAAAUCGUUAAGCCUCAUAUCACCCCCUUGUGCACUACUUCCUCCUGUCUCCAUUGCUUUUUGCUUACUCCACCCCUCUUCUUGCUAUCAACAGAAGCUUUUUGCUCUGGGUCCCCACAGACGGCGCCAAAAUGUUGAUGCGAGAUUCCGGUUCUCCUCGUUCUACGACCAGGAUCUCUGCUCGAUCAACUUUACCACGACCAGGAGGUCUCCUAGUAAUGCUUCUUCUCCAGAUGUCCCUGCACACACAGACAAGUCAGAGUACGCCGGUUGUUCUCCCGGCGUAAACCCUCCGACGCUCAAGUCAGAUAUGAAGGUUCGGGGAACGCUUGCCACAGGUCUUAUGGCUUUUUCGUGGUUUUCUCUUUUAUCUUAAAAAUGCUAACCCUUUUACCUUCGUUGGCUACCUUUUUAUAGGCUUCUCCGAAUCCCCGUUUUCCGCUUUUUGCCAGACGGUAUGGGACUCUGACUGCUGCGUCAUGGGCGAAGGUGGGAUCUUGCGUGUUACGCCACGGUUCUGGGGAAAGCGUGGCUGUCGUGCCUAGAUUCUCGGGCUGGAGAGCAUGUCUUGCCAACUGCCGUCGACCGGGUCUCCUCGCUUCUCGACCUCUAGCCGGAAUGAUCUUAUGCCUCUUACAGGAAAUUGACCUCGCGGAUGACGUGCUCGUGGACGAGCAUGAUAUUUCUGCUCCUGUUCCCCCGCGCAUCAGGCUUUUACGGAACACACCGGCUCGAGGAACUCUGCCCCCAGAUAUCUGCUCACCAUGCCUGGUCUCGUCGACGUAUUUCUCCUAAACAUCUGCUAUAAUAGCAGUUGUAAAUAUAUGUGUAAUGCAGUAAUAUGAUGAUUAAUCAGUAUUCAAAACACAAUAAAAGUUUCGUACAGAUUUUGAUAUUGAGAGUAACACAAUAAAAGUUUCAUACAGAUUUUGCAAACGAAAAGCACAUAAUACACUUAACUAGGAGGAAAAAUUAAGGUGUAUUUAUUACAAAUUGCUAACAAUAUACAAUUGUAAAAAUCACUCUUAUGAACUCACAAAUACUAGGCAGCAAUAAGAGUAUGAUACAACCAUUCUAAAUGAAAGAGAAUACAACUGUUUUACAACUAUGUCACAUCAAGAGAUAUGUUAGCAGGAUUAAUCCAGAUACCUUCGAACCCAAUUAACGAACUCGAGUCAGAAACCAGGGGCCCCUAACUAAACCUUACAAUCUUGAAGGAAGAAGGAGACUCGUGGUCCAGAUAGGUGACUUACUAGAUCUCCUGCAAAAGAGAAUAUCUAUUGCUUUGAACCUCCAUUGAAAUUUUUUUUUCCCUUUUUCUUGUUUUGACUUGGAACUUUCCAACAUCAUCUAUUUGAUCUUUUUUUAAGGUAAAAUAGCAAUCUAUAGGUUGCCAACAUGUUAUUCUGCCAAACCCCACCCCACCCCCCCGGGGGACAACAAAUCGACCUAGCACACACCUUUCUUCAUUGCCCACACCUACAGAACUAUAAUAAAAAGACUACGUUACUAUUGGGGUAGAGAAAAUAUACAGACUGUAUUAUUAUUACAUCGCAUUUUACUAAUUAACUAGUGCAAGACUUCUUUAGUGUCAAAUCAAGAACUAAUUAGAAAAGACAACUCAUGAUAAUACAGACCUUAAUAAGCAAUUGCUAACAACAUCCCAUAUACUCCUAUUUUAGCCUUCAUUAUCCUGGUAAAAACACAAAUAAGUCUUGCAAACGAACAUUUAUAAGUAAAUUCAACAUUAAUUAAGAUUAGGUAUCUACUGCACCUAAUAGCAUGGUCAACCAUCUAGUUCCUGUAGCCUUCCAUGUACCUAUGUUAGUUACAUUUUACAUAUUAAGCCACGAAAACGAAGAAUCACAGCCUGGUAAAGAAAGACAUUAAUUAAUAGUUUUUGUUUAAAAAGUUCUCCUUUAGAUCUUUCCUAUUCAAUGAAUCAAUGUAAUCUAAAGAGAACUCUUCCAUUUCAAACAGUGUUAGAAGGUAUUUGCAAAGCCUAAAGAUAAUAUACAAGGACCAAGAUAUACACAGAUGGUUUCUUUAUGGAAUUAAAGAGCUUUAUAGAUGUUAAAACUGUUUCAAACAAUUUUUCUUGUUUGGUUUAACUAAGGAAAAGCUUGUGGAAGAUUAAAAAUGAUGUUUCCUAUUCUCUGUAGGAAACUUUUAGGAGAUUUUUUGGGCUUUUUUGAAAGGUUGAAUUGUCAAAAAUACCUUGAUGUUAUUGUUUGCUAAAAGAUGUUACGGACAUCUAAACAACCAACAACAUUUUGUUAAAAGCUCUACUAGUGUAGGAUCUACUUAAAGAAGCUAUACCAAACAGACUCUUAGACUGAAUAACUCGAUCUUAAGUUUGUAAAAUUGGGCUCAGAAUCUCCACUAACAACCCCGCUUCGGUGAGAAAGCCCAAGCCUGUUACUUUGUAUAACCUUAUUCUGUAUGUUUGAUUGCAGGAACUGGCCGAUCAUACCGACGAGGUGAGUGUGCAACAUGAGGUGCUUGACGGGAUGUUUACUUUCUAUGAUUCAACUAAAGCUAGCCUCAACAUAUAUCAGGUGCCUGCUUGUUUUUACCUUCUAGAUACUAAUAUUGUUUAGACGUGUAAUCUCUCUCUCCAUUGAACGCUAGACGGCUCGUCUCAAGCCUUCUACGUACUUCAGAGUCCUUCACUAGCUUUUUAUGUAUAAAGUUUUGAUCUUUUUCCUUCAUUUGCUUGAAGCUCAUUACUGCAGAUUUUUUUUACAGGUUGGUAGUGUAACAUUCGACUUGCUGUUGCUUCUAGUCUUGGGAUCGUAUUUAAUUGUGCUUUUCAGCUUUCUUGUCAUAACAACUAGGGUAUCACUCUUUCUCCAUAUCAAGCUUGAAGUUCUAAAUUUCAGUUUUAUCUUGUAUUUGAUGUUUUAUAAUUUCAUUGCAAACAGAUUAGAAUAGAAACUUCAAAAGUUCCAACUGACUAGUCCCGUGUAACUUUUUCAGGGAAGAUUUUCUCUCAUAACAACUACGAACGUGUUAUGGUUUAGCCCAGUGACACAAAGGACAGUUUUCAACAAUUGAUCCUAGGAAGAUGCCCAUAGCUUGUUGUGCCAAAAAUAGAAAAUCUAAGAUGCGAAAAAAUUUUGUUGAGAUUCAUUUUUCAUCCUGAUGUUACCGCUGGCCUUUUUUUUUUUUUUUUUUGGCAGAGAAUAAUGCUUAUGUGAUUUCUGAACUUGGUGAUUGUUGAAAUGAGCUGAAAAUGAGCUGGAAAUGUGUUUGGUUAAUGAGAAAGAGAGCAAGAAAAUGAAAGAAAUCUAUUUCACUUUUUAUUUAUCAGCAUGAUUACAUUCACAAUGAAUCUAAGCUGCUAUUUAUACUUAAAUGACUACACACGAGAAUCUUCUUGCUAGAUACUUCUAGAAACUCUACACGCACACUCACACUGAGCUAGUGGUUACCAAAACCGUUACAACGAUAUUGCCAGCUCAGCAUAACCAACUUAUAACUAACACACUCAGCUGCAGGGGAAACCAUCAAGCUUACUGUGCGUCCUCUGUAAUCAAGCUUCUUUAAGCAUGCUCUGCAGAUCAUACGUCUGAAUUAUCGAAACAAGAUGAAUUAUUUUUUGUUUAUUGCAGCAGGCGAUCAAUGAGCGGAAUUUCUAGCUUGUAUUCAAUUCGCGAACACAGUUUGAGAAGAAUCAGACCAUUAAUUUUCUUUUGAGCCAAUCAACAGAAUGUACAUUUCUUCUAAGAACUUGUAACCGAAACCGCAGUUUUUCAGGUUUGCUCCUUCCUCAUAGCAGUUAAUCAAACGAUAAACAGAGAUAUCCCAUGUCAACAAGAAGGUAAUCAUAAAAGAACAACAGAAUUGUUGCAACAUAUUCAUAUGAAAUGUAAAACAAUUUUGAGAAAAAAUAUUGGGAAGAUAUUUUUUUUUCAUAGAAGUUGCAAUCUUUACGUUAUUUACUAGUUUGACUAGACUAUAUAAGGAAGCUAUAUGAAAUUAGAAAAAUAAGCUAUACUAGGAAAGAAUAAAUAUGUGUACAGAAAAUUAGGCUAUAAUUUUCAAAUUAGAUGCCAGUUAAUUUUAUCAUAAUUAGAUGGUAAGAUUGCAAAUUCUGCAGCCAAAGGUGGUACGGAACUGAAUGAAGGAAAUCAAAUAUGAACAUGUUUUCAAUCUUAAAAUAUUAAGAGUAGCAUAAGUAACUUGUGAAACAGUUAUAAGUUCAAGGGAAUUAGAUGAUGGCAUGGUUGAAUUUUAUAAAUAUUUGAUAUUUUGGACCGAACAGGGCAAACAGAUGGAUCCAGAUAAUCAAGAAAAACAUCAAUUCCAUGCAACCAAAUGAGUCUAGUCAAAGAAAUUAUUCAAAGAAAUCUCUAGGUCAGUAUCCAAAUAUAUGGCUCCGUCCGUUCCACCACCACAACCAAAAAAAUCAGAUCCCCCCAUUUGGAUUCGAUUGAUUAAUUUGAGCAUAUAAAAUCGGGUUUUAAACUUCCCUAAUCAAAAUUUAUAUUCCACAGAAUCAGUUCCUUUAACAUGAUGCAUUACAUAAUAUUUUGUUUGCAAAAUAAAGAAGAAAGAUGACAUAAUAGAAACACGCUAUUGCAUCUUUUGAAAAAGAAAAACGGAAUAGUUUUCCAAAAUUAAUUCCGAGAAGAAGAUUAACUAAUAAUGAUGUUAGAAAUUUUAAUAUUUGAGUCUUAAUAUUAUGUAUCACUCAUUUAUUAAAUAAUAGAUUUCAUAAUUUGUAAAAUUACUUAACCACUUGAUAAAUGUUAUAUUUGUUGGGACUAAAUUGGAACUUAAAUGUUGGAAUAUCUAGUAUUGCAUUAAAAAAUAAAUAAAAACUUAACAAUUUAUCUUCACUUGACUAAUUGUUUUUACAUCACAACUAACCUUAAUUAUUUUGAAAGUUACAGUAUUAUUAAAUUGUCCUAACUGGUUAUCCAAAGUUGAAGCAUGUUAAAAUAAAAAAAAUUACUAAGAAACAUGUGCUUAAACAGAGGUUAAAGCUAUGAACAAUUAAGAAGAAACUCUUAAUUUGGUCCCAGUUAGUAUAAUAAUCAUCUAUUGAGCGGUAAAAUAUUAAUUUUAAUAGUGAUGAAAUCCAAUAAAUAAUAGAUUACUAACACACAUAAAUUAAAACUUAACUGUCUGAAAUCAUAACAUUACUCUACUCUUCAGUGGAGUUCUCUUAAACAGAUUAUGUGAGAUUGCCUACAUUAAAAAUAUGUUAAGACUGCUUGUUGAAAGCAAUAUUCGCUUUUCCAUUAUAUCCAUAACUUUGAAUUGAUAAAGUUGUAUUCAGCAGCUCUUGAAAAGACUAAUUUAUUUUAACUAGUCAUAGAAAUAAGAGAGAAAAGGGGCUAUUUCUUGACUCAAAGUCAAUUAUAAUUAUCAAAACUUGAGGGGACAUCGCAUGCCUAAAUUCCACGCACCCUAAUACGGUUUGAUUUGCUUUCACGCGUUCAUGAAUUUCCAUGAAAGAGCCUGCCUUUCGUCUCUUUCGGGACAGUGACUACAAUAAUGGAAAAAAUUAUAAUUCUCGUUAGAUUGUAACCAAAUUAUUAUCCCUAAUUUUUUUAAGUUACAUAUAAUAAAAUUCAUGCUUAAGUAUUUAGUAAUUAGAGAGAGAUAGAGAGGAUUGAGGGCCAAUGUUUCGCGAUUUGGGGUCAAUUCAAAGUCAACUAACGUGUAAAACACGUGUAUGCAUAGAAAACGCUUAGAUUAUUUGUGUUCCAAGAAAGAAAGAAGACCCAUCACCUUCUUCGUGACAACAAAUGAAUGAAUGAUGUUGAUAUGACAAAUACAAGCGCUAUUACAGGGAACAGCAUAAGAUCGAGACUUGAUAAAGGGUUUGUUAAAUUACAUGUUAUUUUCUUUUGACUUGAAUGAUGUUGAAGAGAAAAAUCAAAUAACAUUGUAAUCAGGGUGAUGUGUGGAAUAUAGUGAAAUAAAUAAAUAGAGAAGAGAAAUUCGUUGAUCAAUAUUCAAGAACUCAUCCAAAGUGAUCGUCAAAGUCUAGAGGUUCGGUAUGAUUAGCAUUUAUUAUUAUUUUUUUUGGCUUAACAUCAUAUAUAGUCACCUGUCGUGUGAUCUAGAACAGGUUUAGAAAUCCUUUUAUUUUAACUUCCGUAUUCUUAUUAUUUAAUUAGUUAUAGGGUUCUUCAGUAUUUGAGUAUUGAUCACAUGUCUCCUAAUCUAAAAAUAUGUUUUUACGAGUACAAAUAACAAACUAGGAUUUUAACAGCCUUUUAUACUAAACCCUAAAAAUACAUGAAUUUAUCAAAAUAAGUAAAUUAAUUUAAAUUGGUAUGGCAUAAUAAAAGUUUUACCUGCCGAAACAAAUUAAAAAAAUAUUACACUUAAAUCAAAUAUUGACAAAAAUAGAUAACAAUCUAAUGAGAAUCUUAACUAGAUAUUUUUACUUCUAUCCAAUUUAACUGGAACGAGAAUUAAGUCCUUUCAAUAGUUAGGACUCAUAACUCAUACACGCUAGUUUGAGAGUGUGGGGUGUGACAAUGGGCCAAAAGACCAUUGACAAGUACAAAAGAGUGGUCGCAAUUAAUUCAAACCGCUACACACGCUAUUGCGUCUUUUAAAAAAAAAAUGGAAUAGUUUUCCAAAAUUAAUUCAGAGAAGAAGAUUUACUAAUAAUGAUGUUAGAAAUCUUAAUAUUUGAAUCUUAAUAUUAUGUAUCACUCAUUUAUUAAAUAAUAGAUUUCAUAGUUUGUAAAUUUACUUAACCACUUGAUAAGUGUUAUAUUUGUUGGGACUAAAUUGGGACUUAGAUGUUGGAAUAUCAAGUAUUGCAUAAAAAUAAAAAAUAAAAACUUAACAAUUUAUCUUCACAUGACUAAUUGUUUUUACAUCACAACUAACCUUAGUUAUUUUUUAAAGUUAUAGUAUUAUUAAAUUGCCCUAACUGGUUAUCAAAAGAUGAAAGCAUGUUAAAAUAAGAAAUUACUAAGAAACAUGUGCUUAAACAGAGGUUAAGGCUACGAACAAUUAAGAAGAAACAACUUACAAUCAAAGGUUAAGAUUAUGAACAAAUUAAGGAAGGUAUUGAGCAGAUAAAGGGACGAAAUCAUUGUCUGAAUUGCCGGUGACAAGAAUGCUUGUGUUGUGAAAAGAAACCUGAUGGUUUGUAAAUGGGUUGAAUUUUUUAUUCGGUCGCUCCAACUGACUUACUAAUGCCAAAUUUAUUACUUUGCACAGUAGUGUUUAGGAUCCUCAAGAUCAACUCUUAAUUUGGUCCCAAUUAGUGUAGAAAUCAUCUAUUGAGCAAUAGAAUAAGAAUUUUUCUAGUCAUGAAAUUCAAUAUAUAAUAUAUCCUUGACACACAUCGAUUAUAACUUAACUGUUAGAAUUCAUAACAUUACUCUACUCUCAAGGGGAGUUCUCUUAACAUAUUAUGUUAGGUUGCCUACAUUCAAAAUAUGUUAGGCUGCUCUUUGAAAACAAUAUUCCUUUUUCCGUAACUUUGAAUUGAUCCAAUAGCUCUUGAAAAGCACAUAAUAAUCAUUAUAAAUUUAAUCAAAGACUAAGCAGGUCUUCUUUCCAUUUGAUCACUCGCAUUUCAGUUAAGUUUGUCGUUUACUUAAAUUUUUCUUGCUUUCAAUUUCCACUGUUGUUUUUUUUUAUAUAAAAUAAUUUAUUUAAACUAGUCAUAGAAAUAAGAGAGAAAGGGCGCCAUUUCUUGACUCAAAGUGAAUUAUAAUUAUCAAAACUUGAGCGGACAUUGCAUGCCUAAAUUCCACGCACGCUAAAACGGUUUGAUUUGCUUUCACGCGUUCAUGAUUUUCCAUGAAAGAGAGUGCCUCUCGUCUCUUUCCGGACAGUGACUGCAAUUAUGUUAACGUGACGAAUACAAAACGUUAUUACAUACAAGAAUAAGUUUUUGGACCCGAGACUUGAGGGAGGUUCUAUCUAAUUCUAAAGAUUGUAACCAAAUCAUUAUCCCCAAAUUUUUUCAGUUAAAUAAAAUAAAAUUUAUGCUUAAGUAUAAAUAAUUUUUUAAAGUUAAAUAUAAAAUAAAAAAAUUCAUGAACUUCCUAGAAAGAAAGAAGACCCUUCACCUUCUUCGCGACAACAAAUGAUGUUGACAUGACAAAUACAAGCUCUAUUACAGGGAACAGCAUAAGACCGAGACUUGAUAAAUAUUAAAUAUAUAAAAUAAGUGGAGCAAACGAACAGAAUAAUAGAUAUUUUAUAAUAUUCUUCAUAAAAAUCCAUGUUUUGAGCCUGCCUAUAAGCUUAUCUAGUGAAGUCUGGGUAUCCGCGUUGCCCAAGGUUCCGUUUGAAUCCAGGCCGUGUAGAUGUUUAAGACAUCGCAUAUGGACGGAGUGGAAAUAUUUUCAGUUGACUGAAUUAAAUAAAAAUAUAUUACAAUCAUAUUAUAUAUUAGCAGCAAAAAUAAAAAGAAAUGAAGAAAAACGCAUGCAAGACUUAGACAAGUCAAUUAAAAGCUGGGAGUAUCAUCAGUUCAAUUGGUUAUAAAUAGCGUAGAGCCAUCCUCUCGUUGUUGCAGAACUGAAGCAAAGAGACUCAGAAAGAGUGUGUGUAGGUGAUUAUAAUUAAGAAGAUAUAAUGUGUGGUUCAAAAAGAGUGUGGGUGAGUGAGUUAAUUUUCAUAUUAUUAGUAGUAAAAGGGUGGUGGAGUGAGGGAUGUUUGGAGCAAGAGAGGUCUGCUCUCCUACAACUCAGACAUUUCUUCAAUGAUGAUCAACUUCUUCAAAACUGGGUAGACGAUGAGAAUUAUUCAGAUUGUUGUCAGUGGGAAGGGGUUGAGUGCAAUAACACCACUGGCAGAGUGAUUGAAUUAUAUCUAGGAUAUACUCGGAAAUGGGAAUCAGCAGAGUGGCAUAUGAAUGCUUCUCUGUUUACUCCCUUUCAACAAUUAGAGUCUCUUGAUUUAAGUUGGAACAAUAUAGCCGGUUGUGUUGAAAAUGAAGGUCCUUAAUUUACUUUAUUUUAAUUCUUCCUCCUCGUAAUUUCUUACAUCUAUCUGAUCCCUUUUGGCUUUUGUUUAAUUUGUACGUGAUACAAUAAAAUUACUUUUUAUUUUUUGUCAGGUCUAGAUAGGUUAUCAAGGUUGAAGUUUCUUUAUUUAGACUAUAACUGCUUCAACAACAGCAUCGUUUCAUCUCUAGGUGGUCUUUCAUCACUCAGAAACUUAUCAUUGGCUGGUAAUGAAUUGGAUGGAAGUAUUGAUAUUAAAAGUAAGUACGCUUCAACCCUUCUCCCCUGUCCCAUCUUUUGUAGAUCUUAUUUCACUGAGCAGCUGGAAGUAUUGAUACGAGAUCUAGCUAGACUCUUGUGAGUUUAGGCUUCAAGGCUUUGAAUAUUAUAAAAAUAAGUUAAAGAAAUUAUCGAUAUAUGCAAUUUUCAAUGCUUCUCAUAAUCAGACACAAUUCAAUCUAAUUAUUUCGUAUGUCCUGUCUUCAAAAGUAAAGAAUUGUACACUAAUUGGAAAUCGACAUCGUAGCUUUUUAUUUUCUAUAAUGCUCUUUUUUCGUUAACGAGUUUAUAUCCUAAGAGGGAUUGGAUUGAAAAAAAAAAAGUUUUGAUGUUCAAUGUAAGCCAUGAUAACCUGCAUCUUAUUUGUCUGCCGACAUCCAAAUUUGUGCACUGAAUUUAGUAUUUUGGUUAUUGUGAAGGGAUCAGAUAUUGGCUUCCAUAGACCAACUUGUAUUUACUUAAUUAAUUAAUUAACGACAUUUAGUAUUUAACAAAUUAAAAUUUCAUGUUUAAUCGAUUUUAAUUUUUUUAAGAAAAAAGAAAAAGAUAUAACAGCAUGUAAAGCUGAAAUAAAUUUUAAUUCCUUACAAAUUUAAAUUCAUGGUUGUCAGCUAAAUAUACCUGCUUAAAGCCACUCUUUUCGCUGAGAUUUAACCAAAAAAAAAAGGAGAAAAUAAUUUAUUUAAUUAACUCUGUUUUAAGUGUUGGAAUAAAUACAGGACUGGAAUCCUUGAGUAACUUGGAGAUGCUGGACAUGAGGGACAAUGCAAUCGACAAUCUAGUGGUUCCUAAAGGUAUACAAAAUGACACUAACCCAAAAUAAUUUAAUCCGAAAUUGUAUCCCAAAUAGAUUACAGAGGUUUGAGGAAGUUGGAUACCCUUUAUUUGGGGGGGAAGGGAAAUUGCAGUGAUAUAUGGAAGCAAGGUGUUGCAAUCAAUAAAGAAAUUCAUAGGGUCAAUAUUAAAGGACUCUCCUCCAACUCAAACAUUUCUCAAAUAGAUUAUUUAAUCUGAAAUAGUAUCUCAAAUAGAUUAUAGAGGUUUGAGGAAGUUGAAUACCUUUUAUUUGGGGGGGAAGGGAAAUUGCAGUGAUAUAUGGAAGCAAGGUGUUGCAAUCAAUAAAGAAAUUCGUUGGUCAAUAUUCAAGACUCAUCCAAAGUGAUCGUUAAAGUCUAGAGGUCUGCUCUCCUCCAACUCAAACAUUUCUUCAAUGAUGAGAAUUAUUCAGAUUAUGGUCAGUGGGAAGCGGUUGAGUGCAACAACACCACUGGCAGAGUGAUUAAAUUAGAUCUAGGAGCCACUAGGAAUCGGGAAUCAUCAGAGUGGCAUAUGAAUGCUUCUUUGUUUACUCCCUUUCAACAAUUAGAGUCUCUUCAUCUAAUUGGGAACAAUAUAGCCGAUUGUGUUAAAAAUGAAGGUCCUUAAUUUACUCUAUUUUAGUUCUUCCUCGUAAUUUCUUACAUUUAUCUGAUCCCUUUUGGCUUUUGUUUAAUUUGUACGUGAUACAAUAAAAUUAUUUUUUAUUUUUUGGCAGGUCUAGAGAGGCUAUCAAGGUUGACCAACUUGAAGUUUCUUCAUUUAGACUAUAACUGCUUCAACAACAGCAUCUUUUCAUCUCUGGUUGGUCUUUCAUCACUCAAACGCUUAUCAUUGGCUAGUAAUGAAUUGAAUGGAAGUAUUGAUAUUGAAGGUGAGUAAGCUUCAUCCCUUCUCCCGUGUCCCAUCUUUUGUGGAUCUUAUCUCAUUGACGGGUUGGAAGUAUUGAUACGAGAUCUAGCUAGACUCUUGCUAGUUUAGGCUUCAAGGCUUUGAAUAUUAUAAAAAUAGGAUUAAGAAAAUAUCAAUAAAUGCAAAUUUCAAUGCUUCUCGUAAUCAGACACAAUUAAAUCUAAUUAUUUUGUAUGUCCUGUCUUCAAAAGAAAAGAAUUGUACACUAAAUGGAAAUCGACAUUAUUGUUUGCUUUUGAUUAGUGGAUCAAAAAUCGACUAAUUUUGAUUUAACAUAAAAAUAAAAAAGAGAAAAUAAGUUAUUUAAUUAACCCUGUUUUAAGUGUUGGCAUAAAUGCAGGACUGAAUUCCUUGAGUAACUUGGAGGAGCUGGACAUGAGCGACAAUGCAAUCGACAAUCUUGUGGUUCCUAAAGGUAUACAAAAUGUUCAAAUAUUAAUAAUUUGGAGGACAGUUUAAUUGAUUUGAUUAGGGAAUGCCCAAUGACACUUACCCAAAAUAAUUUAAUCUGUAAUUGUAUCCAAAACAGAUUUCAGAGGUUUGAGGAAGUUGAAUACCCUUCGUAUAGGGGGAAGCAGAAUUCGAAUGAUAGAUGGAAGCAAGGUGUUGCAAUCAAUAGGAUCACUACCGUCCCUCAAAACACUUGACCUUUGGUAUACUAAUUUUACGGGAACAGUAGUUAAUCAAGGUAAGUAAAUCUUUUAUGUCGAAAAUAAUUGAAUUAAUAUAUAUAGCUAAAAUUUAUUGUUUCUACUUCUUUCUAAAUAGAGUUGCACAAUUUCACCAACUUGGAAGAAUUGAUAUUGCUCGGGUCUCAUCUCCACGUAAGCCAGCUUCUGCAAAGCAUCGCAUCAUUCACUUCGUUAAAGAAUUUGUCAAUGCCAGUUUGUACCCUUACAGGUGCCGUACAUGGUCAAGGUAAAUUACGGGUAUCUGAAGCUUUUAUGAUAUUAAUUCGAUAAUAAUUCUUUCUUUUCAAGUUAAUUUUCUCCCGUAAAAUAAUAUUUUUUUCUUUUAAAUUUUAUAUAUUUUCACCGUCCAAUAGAAGAGUAAAGAAAAAUAAGUAAAUUAACCCAAAAAAAAGAAAAGAACAAGACCGGAUUAUCCUUAUUCCCUUGCAUUAUGCGAUCAAUAUCAAAAUUAUAACCAUUUCUUGUUUAUUGCUUGUAGAUUUUCGUAAAUUCAAGAAUUUGGAACAUCUGGACAUGGGUGGGGUGCAAGUUGAUGUCAACACCAGUUUUCUUCAAAUUGUCGGCGAAUCAAUGCCUUCUCUUAAGUUUUUAUCACUGGCAGAUUCAAGUCUUAAUAAAAACACCAUUCUUGAUCAAGGUUAAUUAAUGAUUCUCAUUCUCCCUCUCUCGCAUCAUAACUAAAUUUAAUGGAGAAUAUCUAUAAUGCGAGCUAUUUAUAAACUUAAUGAAAGAUGAUAAGGAGCCAUAAUAAUGACAAAAAUAAUUGUAAAAUAGUGCACUGUUGUAGUGUUGAUUGAAAAAUAAUGCUAAUGUUUUACCUAACAACACUAUAACGUCGGAUAAUUUUUAAUAUGUACUUUAAACUAUCAGUACUCAAACUAUCAGUACUCAAACUUAAUUUUUAAUAUGUACUUUAAAGAUUUUAUGCAAUUAUUUAAGUUUUAUGCAAUUAUAUUUUUCAGGACUUUGUCGGUUAGUGCAUCUGCAAGAGUUAUACAUCAGCAGUAAUGAUUUGAGAGGUAGCUUGCCAUGGUGCUUGGCAAAUUUGACUUCCCUUCGAGUAUUAGAUGUCUCUUACAAUCAACUAACUGAAAACAUCUCCUCAUCUCCCCUCAUGCAUCUAACAUCUAUCGAAGAGCUCAUACUUUCAAAUAAUCACUUCUUCCAAAUCCCUAUUUCACUUGAACCACUUUUCAAUCUCUCAAAACUCAAGACUUUCGAUGGUGAAAUAUGCGCAGAAACUGAGUCACAUUAUAAUUCUUUGACCCCAAAAUUCCAACUGACUUCUAUCUCACUGUCUGGUUACAUAGAUGGUGGCACAUUUCCCAAAUUCUUGUACCAUCAGCAUGACUUGAAGAAUGCUGAUCUCUCACACCUUAACUUGAGUGGAGAAUUUCCAAAUUGGUUGCUAGAAAACAAUACAAACUUAGAGACGCUUCUUCUUGCCAACAACUCUCUUUUUGGAUCAUUUCGGAUGCCAAUUCAUUCCCACCAGAAUUUAGCAACAUUGGAUGUCUCUAAAAAUUUCUUUCAAGGCCAUAUUUCGGUGGAAAUCGGAACAUAUCUGCCAGGUUUAAUGGAUUUAAACUUAUCUAGAAAUGCUUUCAACGGUAGCAUUCCCUCUUCAUUUGCUGAUAUGAAAAUGUUGGAAAGGUUGGACAUAUCCUACAAUCAGUUGACUGGUGAAAUCCCAGAGCGCAUGGCCACAGGUUGCUUCUCAUUAGAAAUUCUUGCAUUGUCAAACAACAGUUUGCAAGGUCAUAUAUUCUCUAAAAAAUUUAGCUUGACAAAUUUGACGACGUUGCAGUUGGAUGGUAAUAAAUUCGCUGGAGAGAUCCCAGAAAGCUUAUCUAAGUGCUAUUUGUUAGAAGGAUUAUAUCUGAGUGAUAAUCAUCUCACUGGUGAGAUUCCAAGAUGGUUGGGUAAUUUGUCAGCUUUGGAAGAUAUUAUAAUGCCCAAUAACAAUCUUGGAGGGCCAAUUCCAAUCGAGUUUUGUCAGCUUGAUUCUCUGAAGAUUUUAGACCUUUCAAACAAUAGUAUUUUCGGAACCUUACCAUCUUGCCUUAGUCCAGGAUCUAUUGAACAACUUCAUUUGUCAAAAAACAAGAUAGAAGGACGAUUGGAAAGUAUAAUCCAUGACAGCCCUUAUUUGGUGACAUUAGAUCUUAGUUAUAACAGCUUACACGGAAGUAUUCCAAAUCGGAUUGACAGACUACCUAAGUUAAACUACCUUCUUUUGGCUAAUAAUUAUAUUGAAGGCGAAAUACCAGUUCAAUUAUGCCAUUUGAAGGAAGUGCGGUUGAUUGAUCUUUCUCAUAAUAAUCUAUCUGGUCAUAUUCCUCCUUGCUUGGUUAACACUUCACUCAGUGAAGGUCAUCAUGAGGCAGUAGCUCCAACUCCAAGUGGAUCUUCGAUGGGAAAGGAAGAAACUGUACAGUUCACAACAAAGAAUAUGUCCUACUAUUAUCAAGGAAGAAUUUUGACGAGUAUGUCUGGGAUUGAUCUUUCUUGUAACAAACUGACAGGUGAGAUUCCUACUCAAAUUGGAUAUCUUACUAGGAUUCAUGCACUAAAUCUAUCUCAUAACAAUUUGACGGGCACAAUCCCGACAACAUUUUCAAACCUGAAGCAAAUCGAAAGCUUGGACCUCUCCUACAACCUACUGCAUGGGAAAAUCCCUUCUCAGCUCACCGUGCUAACUACAUUGGCGGUCUUCACAGUAGCAUACAAUAACUUAUCAGGCAAAAUCCCAGAUAGAGUCGCACAAUUUUCAACUUUUGAGGAAGAUAGCUAUGAGGGGAAUCCUUUUCUUUGUGGAUGGCCACUGUCUAAAAGUUGCAAUGAUAGUGGAUUAUCAGCAGUGACACCAGAAGCUUACACUGAUAAUGAAGAAGGUGAUAGUUUAAUUGACAUGGACAGUUUCCUGAUCACUUUUACAGUAUCUUAUGGAAUUGUGAUAUUAGGAAUUAUUGGAGUUUUGUACGUAAACCCCUAUUGGCGGCGAAGAUGGUUUUACCUUGUUGAAGUGUGUAUGACCUCUUGCUACUAUUUUGUGGCAGACAAUCUUGUUCCUAGAAGAUUCUAUGGUGGAUGGAUGUAAUUUCAUUUACUUUACAACUUAUAUGUUAUUUUUAAAGAAUUUUCUUUUGCAUGCAUGGAAUAGCAACUCAAUAAAAGUAUUUGAUGCAAAUUGUCCAAGAACAACUUAGUAAUUUCAUUGCUACUAUUCGGUUGUAUAUAUACAGUUAAUGAAAUUUUUAAUCAUUCGCAGUAGGAAUUUCUUUAAAUGGCGGCCAAAACCAACAGAUUUGGGGCUCUACCUCUACACAUCAUAACAGGCAAAAGGUCUCUCUUUUACACUAUCUGAAUGAAGAUUAGCUUACGCCCCUGGAGUUCUCUAUUAAACUUGACGGUUGAGAUUUCAGGUCCAGAUGAAAGUUAAAUGCAGGCGACGAGACUACACUUUAAGUAAACUGGGACAAACUUAAAAUAAAUAAAAAUUAUAGUCCAGGGUAAGAGUAAUGGGUAGCUCAACUUAUGGAGUAUAACUAGGACUUGGAAUAACUAUCAGAUUUGCAACUCUUGUUAUAUGCUUGGGAGUUACAGUAAUCGAUUCAUUUCCUCCAUUUCUGAUGGUAACCCAGCUCUAUACAAGAACAAUCAGAGAAGGUUCAUUUAAGAAAUUUCACAACCCACGCUUUUUUUUCCUUUUUGCCCUCUUCCUCACAAUAAAAACACCUAACACACCAAGCCGUGCACAAAAUAGUCCUAUUUUAUUCAUGUCAUGAAUCCAAAAACUAUCCCAGCUCACUUUGUUUAACCAGCAUAACUAAAUUGUGGGUAUAAAUGAACACACUUUCGAAGCCUGUAACUUAUAAUAAGCUCAAACCCAAAAAUGACAUUUAAAUCCUGCAAGUGUUUUUCAUCAUCCCUAACAAAAAGAAACAAGAAUAAUUAUAUACCAAUAAUUUUUCCAUAAAAAAUACUGAUACCAAUAAUUUUUCCAUAAAAAAUACUGAUUUGAGUUGAAACACUAUACAAACUGGGUUUUAUACACUUGCAGAAAGCUACACGAUAGACAAAAUCUAGCAGCUACAUAAUGGUAUCACUUUCAGCUGGUCAUGAAUGGUGUGCAUUCAGCAGUGCUCGAUAGACCAUGUCUAUGAAUUGAUUGUCCUAUUACAUAUAAAAGCUGGUCAGCUAUACAAGGAAAAAAAUAAUAAUUGAAAAUGCAUCACAAAAAAUAAGUGUCUCGCAUUAGUGUUUGCACUCUAAGCAUGGCAAAGUGGUGCGGGUUCAUGAUUUUGAAGACUGGGAUAAGUGAAAAAUAGUUCAAUCCACUGAUGAACAUAAAUUUAUUUACAUGUCAAUUUAGAUAUCAUAAAAAAGUAAACAGUAAUUCACAGUCACUUAAAAGAGUUGAUAAAAUGCGUGCCGUGAAUGCAUUUUUGUACAUAAGAAAUCCAAAGAGUAUUUCUGACAAUACAAAUAUGCUAGCUUUAAAUCUGCUGUCAAUAUGCAAUUAAGAAGAUUAUACCAGCUGCAUGAUAAAGUUCCCCUAAUCUUAAUAACAGUAAACAUGAACAUGUCAGAUGCAAUUAUAGCUUCGAGCAUUUGCAUAACCAGAAAUCCUAACCUGAACAAGCACCAGAAGUGUCUCUCGGACUUUCUCCUUGUUGAUAAAUGGUCCGCUGUUUGAAGUAAGAGCAGGAGUAAGAGAUGGUGGAGGGGUUGGUAGUGGAAAAGGUUGAAGCAUUGGGGCACCAUAUGGGCGUUGCAGACUCAGGGGAGGAUUAAGUGGCGGAGCUGUUGGUGUAGAUGAAGAGACAAGCUGCAUCAUCUGUGCAUAGGAGGAUGGAGGAGGAACAAAGAAUAAGGAAGGCUUUACAAGAUUAGGGGUAGGUGCUGACAGAGGUGGAGAUGGUAUUUGCAAGGUUGGCACGAUAGGAGAAGCAACACUGGCGGGAUGAGAAGGUAAAGAAAUAGUUGUAUUGGACUGGUAAGGUUGUGCAGAGAUUGCUGCAUUAGAAGUAUUCCCCACAGUCAAAGCUGUCUGCAAUGAUAAGGACAGAUGUCAUAUACAAGGACAAGUGAUAACAUAUGAAAAUAGUAUGACUUGCUGCAGUUUUGUGGUAAUGUUGCAUACUUAUGCAGAAACAUAUUAUUUCAAAGAAAACAUACACUGAAGUAGUUCACAAAAGCAGGAUCUUCAGGAACAUCAGCAGCAUUUGAGGGAGUUGACUCUAGAGGACCAUCCAUAACUGCCAUAGUUGGAACAGCUUCCAGUUCCUCAAACUCACUGCAGUUUAACAUAAAAGGAACUUGAUGACCAAUUUAAGUAAUAAUUAGAUGAUAUAAGAGGUUAGGGAAAAUGAUGAGUGGACCCUUAUGGAAGGUGAUUUCACCUUAGCUAAACACGAAAAUAAAAAGAAAUCAAAGCUGAAUCCUCGAGUGCAAUGCAAAGAAUUUUUUCUCGCUCUUCUCUAACUCCUCUUAUUCGAAAUUGCUCAUCAUUGUGCUGUUCUUCGAGUUUUCGCUAGAGUAGAGAAAGCUAUUCUCUCGUUAAGUGCAGAGGAAAGAGAAGGGCAAGGGCCUGGUAUGAUGCUAUUCUAUAGGAAGUGAGAAGGUGAAGGGUUAAAAUAUUUUGUAAUUUGGAGGUGGUGUUUGUUAGUGUGUGUGUACUUCUGAAUUUAUUACCUCUUUAGGAUCCAUAGAAAUUGCCUCUUGUUCAGCAUGCACUGUGCCUACGAGUAAGACGAGCUUGCAUGGUAUCUAUUGUCUAUUUACUUGGAUAUUCAAACAUGACUACCAGCCACCAAACACAAAUCCCCAAACAAAACACUCUUUCAAGUGCAAGGAAAGAGUAACUUGGGCAUAUUUAUAGUUCAAGCACUACAAUAACUAAGAAUGUGAUGACUGUCCACAAACACUAUAUCAGUGCCUUUUGAACUACAUUACAUGCUCGAAGACUUUUUUUUUAGUCAUACAUAAAUUAGCUAUAAAAUUAAGACCGUUAUACAACUAAAAAGAAAGAAAAAUUGUUUGCUACUACAUAUCAAAACUGGUAAUAGCAAUGUAAGAUGGCAGACUUCUUACUUAAACAGAUGAGAGGCUACAAAUAAAAAAUUUGUGCAAAUAAAAUAUAUGAUAGAGAGCAUAAUACUUUCUUGGGGGCUAAAAAUAAUAUACAACUUGUGAAAUAUAAAUUGAGCUACCAUUACCUUUUAGAUGUGGCAACUUUCGACUUUUGAGGCACCUUGGAAUAUGCAUUCAGAAUCCUGCAUUUGGAAGCCAAAUAAAUAAUGUUAAUAACAAUUUUACAAUAGAAAAAUUAAAAAUUGAUAAAUGGCAGUUGUAAUUUAUGUAUGCGUAAAGAUAGCUUCACAUCCAGGGUCCUCCCAUAAACAUGCUUGUAACAAGAAUUAGUUUGUCCAACUGUUAGCAACUGCUAACAAUAUACAAUAGUAAAAAUCACUCUCAUGAACUCAACAAUACUAGGCACCAAUAAGAGUAUGAUACAGCCAUUCUAAAAUGGAAGAGAAUACAACUGUUUUACAACUAUGUUGCAUCAGGAGAUAUGUUAGGAGGAUUAAUCCAGAUACCUUCCAACCCAAUUAGGAAAACUCGAGUCAGAAACCAGGAGCCGCAACCGAACCUUACAAUCUUGAAGGAAGAAGGAGACUUGGGGCAUUUUUCCAGAUAGGUGACUUACUAGAUCUCCUGCCAAGAGAAUAUCUAUUGCUUUGAACCUCCAUUGAAAUUUCUUUUCCCUUUUUCUUGUUUUGGCUUGGAACUUUCCAGCAUCAUCUAUUUGAUCUUUUUUAAAGCUAAAAAAGCAAUCUAUGGGUUGUGAACAUCUUAUCACCACCCCCCCCCCCCCCCCGGGCCCCCAAAAAAAAAUCAAUGAGUUGUCAAUAAAUAGCGCCUACUCAAAUGUUUUCCAAUGGAUGACAAUGUGCAAAUCGACCUAGCAGCCACAUUUUUCCCCCCUUUCAACCACCAUUAGGCAACUUUUCUAACCUUUCUUCAUUGCCCACGUGUACAGAACUAUCAUAUAAAGACUACAUUAUUAUUGGGAUGGAGAAAAAUAUACAGACUAUAUUAUUAUAUCUCAUUUUAUUAAUUAACUAGUGCAAGACUUAUUUAGUGUCAAAUCAAGAACUAAUUGGAAAAGACAACUCAUGAUAAUACAGACCUUAAAAAGCAAUAGCUAGCAACACCUCAUAUACUCCUAUUUUAGCCUUUAAUAUCCUGGUAAAAACACAAUUAAGUCUUGCAAAAGAACAUUCACAAGUAAAUUCAACAUUAAUUAAGAUUAAGUAUCUACUGCACCUUCAAUCAAUGACUGGGUGAAUAGCAUGGUCAACCAUCUAGUUCCUGUAGCCCUCCUUGUACCUAUGUUGGUUACAUUUUACAUAUUCAGCCACGAAAAUGAAGGAUCACAGCCUGGUAAAGAAAGCCAUUAAUUAAUAGUGUUUGUUUAAAAAGUUCUCGUUUAGAUCUUUCCUAUUCAAUGAAUCAAUGUAAUCCAUGGAGAACUCUUCCAUUUCAAGCAGUGUUAGAAGAUAAUUGGAAAGCCUAAAGAUAGUAUACAAGGACCAAGAUAUCGAUUAGGUCAAAUAGUGAAUGUCAAAUAUAAAAAAUAAAUAAAAGAAGUUGUACAUGAUCAUUUACUAUCAAGUUCUGUAAAAUUGAAAAUACCAUUAUCACUGUAGAGAUUCUCAAACAACUCUUUAGCAAAUUAUAAAAUAGUUAAAAAAAGAACAAAAGUUUUUUUUUAAAAAAAGAAGAACAUCCAUAUCAGGAGAUGUUUUUCUUCUCAAUCUCAAUAUUUUCUAGCCGUGAAGCAAUUGAAAAGCUUAACACUAAGUGAAUUAUUAAGAAUUCAUCAUUUAAAUUCCCAAAUCGCAAAAUGUUGGUGCAACUAGGAAAGUGCAAAUGCAAUCACUUAACUAACACAAGAAACACCAAUAGUGAGAGCCCACUUUGUAUCAAAUUUGAAACAGAUAGAGGUCAAAAAAAUUAUACACUCAAUUAAAAGCCUUUCAAACAGCUUUUGCAUGGAACAAGAACAAAUCAAAGGCAAUGUGAAUGUAUUCAAAGACUAAUUUACAAUGAUCUACAGGACAUAAAUAUCUUGGAUACCUACUCUCUAUACCUUACUGUCCCACUAGAAAUCAUCAAAUCCCUCCAAACAAAAAUGACAAAAUGGAUAAGAAUUGUGUCGUUAAACUUCAAUAACUUAGCAGCCACAGCAAAAACUUAUGUAGGCACGCAAGCCACUCAAAAUAGUCAUAUUUUUUGCUUUCCAAACAAAAGCCACUUUGUAAUGAAUAUUCAUAAAUUGCUACUAUCAUGUUUGUUAAAACACGUGAAAACCACCAUAACUAACUAAAUGUAACUGAUGAUCAUCAUCAAGUUCAUGGAAUCACAUAUCUGACAGUAUUAAUUAGUGCAAAUGGCAUGCUUCUUAAAACUCCGUAUUUAUCACAUGGGCGCCAUUCCAAUCAACCAAUGAUUCUGAUCUAGUCGGCAUAUUCAACCCACGAGCGAGUAAUACCUCCUAUUGCUUCUUUACAUUUCUCAACGAAAUUCCACAUUCUAACCAUACUUCUGAACAUGUUGCUCCCAUAGACUAAUACAAUAUAAAGAUUUCUUCCCACACCACCUCAGCCCACACUCCUGAAAAACCAAUUUAAAUUCUCAUUGGCUGUACAACCUAUAGUCCAUACCAAAUUGAAAAAUUUACAAAUAUAGAACCUCAAAGAAUCUUCUUGUGUUCCAUUUUUUACGGCAAGAAAUUUGACUUUUACCACAUGCAAGUCAACAAAUAAAAAAAUCAUGUCUUUGUGAGAUGCACAUUUUCAGAUGAAUCUAAAGAGCAAUGAAACCGUAAAAACCGAAUAUCAGAACACCGAGGACUCCAGAUAUCACCUAUAGAAUCUUUGGUCCACACUUGCACGAUGAAAAUGAUGAAAAACAAUUGAAGGCUUCAUCACCAGCUCCCCAGGUUGUUUUGUUCUCCUAUCUCCUAAAUAUAAAGGAAACGCAACCCGUUCUUUUUUCCAAUCUUAAGGGGCACAAAACGACUCUGGUAUAAAAUAGUCAGUUUCUAUACAAAAAUAACUCCUUUGCACUUGGCAUUGCACAUCUCGAAAUAAAAAGCAUGCUAGAAAGAGAAUAUAAUAGCAUUAAACAAGUUUUAUUAACCAAACUUCAUGCCACACAAGGCAAAAAAGGAAUCUGUACAUGCCAGAUUCCAAGAAUAAUAAUUCCAAUAUACAAUUCAGGAAAACAAUAACUAAAACUAGGUUCACGAGGCCUCGGCAGAAGCAACAUGUAAUAACCAUACUCUAUUAUUUGAAACACAUUUCUAAGUUUGGUUAAGAUUCUAAACUAUUCUCUGUGUCAAUUAUUAACAUGUAAAACAUAAUAAUAUACACUUAAACUACUACACAAACUACUACAGUAGUAAAACCAGUAAAACAACAAUACCUGUUGAAAAGAUUUGCUACCUCUUCACAUUCACGAGCAUUGUAGAACCAAAUCCCAUUUACUUCUUGGGAUGCAUUUCGAUAUAACAAAUACAGAACCUGAACUUCAAACUCAAAAUCUCCCAAAAGAUUUUCCACUAAAUUAUCUGCACAUAUACAAGAUAUUGAAGCUUAUCAGUGCAAAAACAUAUACAAAAAGACAUGAAGGUUAGAAGACAUAACUAAAACUUAGCAACAACUGAUAAGCACAACAAGACAUGAAAUAUAACACUAGUUGUAAACAAGAUAGACACAUGGUAUCUAAAAAAUUGUACCAACCCCCUCUCCUGAUUGUCAUAAAACGGCCAAUAUUUAACCCUAGACAACAAAAUUGCAAAUACUCUAGCCUCUAUAUUAUUGGCAUAUAAAUAUUUUAGGUUAGGUACGUUAUAUUCUUCGUUCUAAAACCUCAAUUAUUAGCUAGUACUGUGAUAAAAUGAUUCAUCACUGAAAUUAAAACUAGUUCACGUACAAAUAAUCAAAACUGAAAUAGAAACAACGACAAACCAACCUGUAUUACGUCGAUUCAUUACAACAAACUGAAAUCGAGGCUGUGUGUUCCUGAAAAUUGAAAAAAUAAUAAUUUCACCAACUUCAUAUGUAAUACAAUCUCCAAAACACCGAAUAUCAAAUGAAAAAAUGGAAAGCAUAAGAGAGAAAAGAAUCUAAUUUUAUUGACCUUUUGACGACGAAGAGAGAGCCUUCAACAUCCUUACGACACCAUUGGCUGAGGUCGAUGUUGAACUCGUAGAAGGUGACAUGAGCGGCCGUGAUGAGGAUCUCCUCAAUGAAUGGAUCGAUUCGCUGAAGAACUGUCAGGUUUAGGAGUUUUGUGCUCUGCUGGUCCAGAUUAGGCAUCAAUUUUCCGUUCUGCGACAUUUUUCAUAGCCGUUUUGGGCUCUGCCCUGAGCACAAGCCCCAUGGUUUUUCUGUGAGCUCUUUCUCUUUUGUAAAUAAAGUGUUUGAUGAGAUAGCCCAGAGAGAGUGAGAGUUGAACAGCCAAACAAGAUGAGGUGAACAGUUUCGGAUUGAGACUCGAGAUUGGUCAAGCUUUAACUUCUUUCAAACAUUUGGGAAAUAGCAUUUAUUUCUUUCAAUUUCUC